AUUCAUUGAAUCCCUUUCUCCUUCGAAAUCAAUCGAUCAGCUCUCUUUUCCUUAAAUUUUAAUCCAAUUUAUUAUUUAAUUGAUGCUAUGAAGUUUUUUUUAUUAAUUUUAAUUCCUUUUUCAUUGAUUUCAAUACGGUGUCAUAUAGUUGUUCAGGGUUUCAAUUUUGUUUAGAUUAAUUAUUUGUUAUGUUAUAUAAUGUCUUUUUUUAUGGAUAAAGAAAAAGGGGAAACAAUUUUCUUUCUUUAAAAAAAAAAUCUUUUAAAUGUUGAAAGAUAGAAUAUUGCAGUUUUAAAGAAUGUUAGACUCGGUUGAUUAUUCCUGGAUGAACUAAAUGAGCUAAUUGUUGAAUUUUGUUUAUACAACUAAUAAGAUCAUAAUUUUAAUUGAUUGAUUUUUAUCUGCAAAUCCAAGACUAACCAUUUGUAACAACUAAAAAUUGAUAAAACUAUGACAUAACAAUAGAAAUUAACUACAUUGCAUUCUUUUUUUUUUUUUGGUUUUUCCUAGAGCAAUAUGUAUUUGGAGAAGAGAUGGAAGAACAUAGCGAAUAUGAGGAAACCUCAUUCACUGGUAGACUUUUGUGUUAGGACGGGGAUAGAUAACGUAAGAUACCUUGGGGAUGUCGGUGAGACAGAUUCACAUCUUCUUGAGCGUAUUCUACCCCAUUGUACAGUGGAUCAAUUAUUGCACGUGGAAAAGAGUACAAAAGUAAGUUGAUUUGCAUAGUUUGUGCAAGAAUUGGCAUUUGGCUCUGAUUAUAUGUAUAAUUUUAAAAGGGAUUGAUUGAUUGUUCUAGGGAAGGGAUCUUACUCCAGUAACUGAUAAACUUUGGAAGAAUUUCUAUGAGCUACAGUUUGGUCAUCAGAAUAUGACUCUUGUAAUUGAGAGGAUGAAGCUCAAGAAAGUUUCAUUUAGAUGGAGACAGUUGUAUGAGGUAGGUAAUCUUUUAACUUUCUUUACUUUCAUGCCGUCCUCUUACCUAAUAGCUAGGUUGUUAGUGGAAUGUUGAGGAACCAGCAAUGUACCUUUACUUAAGGUGUGCACAGUUUUAUGGAUUUCCUUACUAAAGUUGGAUGAUUUAUUGUAGGCAAAAUUGAAGGAUUUUCAGGAGGCUGAGAACAAAGCAAGUGAUCGGCUUAAGCAGCUAUACAAGAAAGAAGAUGCUCGUAUGCUCCUUGUUCUUUGAAUUCUUAAUGACAUAAGCCAUGAUUUUGACUUGUUGCUUGCUUGCUACAUGUAUGCUUCUGUCUCUUGAACUUUUUUAUCACUGGUUUGAUUUGCAUUUAUAGUUACCAGUGCAAUAUUGCCCCAAGCUUUCUCUUGCAAGCACAAAAGUCUUGCUGAAAAGGCCAUUUCAUUCAAAAAGUGCUGAAAAUUGGAACUAUUUCUUAAUUACCAUUGCCACAACCUAAAUCAGGCCAAACUUGCACUGAGAAGCAGCCUUUAAUUGCAUGUCUAUGUACUUGGAUUAAUAUAUUGAAGAGAACUAGAGAGUGCUUUGUGGUAGUUGCCAGUAUAUUUGUUGUAAAAUAUUAAAGUAUUUACUGACUUAUGUACCCUUUACCCUAAGACUGAUUGGAGAGGACUAAAGAGUUUUUCUUGUGGUACUCUCAUAUGUAUUUAGAGUAAAAUAUUAUAGUGAUGCAUAUACCCUUUAACUUAAUUACUAAAGAGAAAUGUUCUUUUAUGAUCAUAAUUUCGUACCAUUAUUUCUAUUUUAUUAGGAAAACAAAGUCGGCAGGUUCAGCUUUGCACUAAGGUUCCACCUUCAACCAAAAGAAGCUUUUAUGCUGGUAACAUUCUUUGUACCUCAAAAGCUUGGUUGUUUGAUCUAGUCCAUUGGUCUCGUAUAUUGGAAUAUUUGCAACUUUGGUCUUUGUGCUUGAUAAUUAAAGAGGGCAUUUCAUGAAUUGUUGGCUUUAUUUAUAAAGUCUUAAUAAUCCUUUUUAGAAAUAAUCCUUUUUAGAAUCUUAUAUCUGUAUAUUAUCUCUUUUAUGAACUUGCAUACCACCGAUUGGGUCAUGCUAGCAUAAGAUGCAACUUUUACCUAUUUUGUGAAAUAAUCAAUUAUCACAAAGAUAAAUCUAUGCCCAUUUGAAGCUUUCGGGGUAAUGGGACCGAUGACAUCCAUGCCUUACAUAGAAAAUAGCCAUAGAGGUGCUAAAACUUACAAAGCUGAUGGAAGAGCAUAAAUCUUGUCAGCAUAAAUCUGACACUUAUGACAUCUUCUGACAUAAUCAAUAUAGUCAUUUUUCAUUGUCAACUAAUAAUAGCCAGCACCCAUAAUUUAUCUAGCCAUUAUGUGACCAUUCGCAUGUGCCCCCCAAACCCCAUCAUGUAUUUUUCAAUAAUUUUUUUUGCUUCAACUACAUUUACACAUCUUAAAAGUACCUUAUCUUGGCUUCUUUGUAAAAAACAUCUCCAUCAAGAAAGAAACUCAUAGCCAAACUUCUAAUGAUCCUUUUAUCAUUUUUUAUUGCAUGCUCUUGGUAUUGUUGACUUUUGAUAUAUUGAAGAAUAUCAUGAUACCAUGGUUUCCCAUCAACUUCUUCUUCGACACCUGAGUAAUGUGCUAGUACAUCUUUUAUGUCCAGCUUGAUGGGUUGGAUCUUGAUAUUUGCAUCUAUUUUAAUCAUUGCAGCCAAAAUGACCAGUGCAUCAGUAAUUUGGUUCUCCUCUUUAAGUAGAUACUCAAAUUAAAUUUCUUCAAACUGCUUGACUAACUCAGAGAUGUAUUUAUGGUAGCAGAUCAACUUUGAAUCUCUUGUUUCUCAUUCACCUCGUAAGUUAUAAACAACUAGUGCUAAAUCUCCAAACAUAUCCAACAUUUUGAUCUUUCUUUCAAUUGUUUCUUGUAAACCUAUAACAAAAAUCUCGUAUUCAGCCAUAUUAUUUGAGUAGUUGAAAUUCAAUCUAGUUAUGAUGGGAUAAUAAUGUCCAUUAGGAAAUAUUAAAAUUACCCUAAUACCAUGACCUAAAGCAUUAGCAGCUCUAUCAAAAUACAUCCUCAAAAACUUCUUAACAAUUUCAUUUUCUUCAAUGACUAUCACAUCUUCAUCAAAAAAUCAAGCUUUAUUGGUUCAUAAUCUUUAGCCACAUGAUCGGCAAUGAACUCAGUUAUUGCACUCUUUUUAAUAACCUUUUGAGUUACAUAGACAAUAUCAUAUUUUGAAAGCAUAACUUGCCAUCGUACUAUUCUUCCUAUCAAUGAAAGUUUUUCGAAGAUAUACUUGAUAAGGUCUAACUUUGCUAUAAGCUAAAUAGUGUGAUAAACAUAUAUUGCCUAAGCCUUCAAGCUAUCUAAGCUAGUGCACAACAUAUCUUUUCUAAUGGAAAAUACUUGGAUUCAUAAUUAGUGAAUUUUUUACUCAAGUAGUAGAUUGCUUGCUCAUUUUUGUUGGUUUCAUCUCUUUGCCCCAACACACAUCCAUUGAAUUUUCAUGCAUGGUUAACUAUAAAAUCAAAGGUUUUCUUGGAACUGAUGGCACCAACAUGAGUGGAUUUGACAAGUAUUCUUUGACUUUGUCAAAAGCUUUUUGGCAUUCAUCGUUUCAUUCUCCUAGAUCAUGUUUUCUAAGAAGCUUGAAAAUCUGAUUGCACUUGUAAGUAAGUUGUGAGAUGAAACAAGCAAUAUAGUUCAAUCUUCCCAUAAAGCCUCGCAUUUUUUUUAGGUAUGAAGAGGGGAUAAGUUUUGAAUAGCACAUAUUUUGUUCGGAUCCACUUCUAUUUCUUUUCACUAACCAUAAAGCCCAAUAGGUUUUUGAUUUAGCAUCAAAUGUACAUUUGGUAGGAUUUAACUUCAGUUGGAAUCUCCUCAACCUAUCAAACAACUUUCUGAGAUUGACUACAUGAUCUUCUCCUUCAUGAGAUUUUGCAAUCAUAUCAUUCAUAUACAUUUCUAUUGCUUUAUGCGUCAGUGAUGAAAGAGAGUCACCAUCACUCUUUGAUAAGUAGCACCGAUAUUUUUCAAUCCAAAAGGCAUGACUUUGUAACAAAAUAUCCCUCACACGGUCAUAAACAUUAUUUUUUUCCAUAUCUUCUCCAACCAUCUUAAUCUGAUUAUAGCUUGAUAAGCCAUCCAUAAAGGAAAAUAUGAAAUAUCUAGCAGUAUUAUCCAUUAGGGUAUCGAUAUGGGGUAGAGGAAAAUUAUCAUUAGGAUUUGCCCUAUUCAGAUUUCGAUAAUCGAUAUAUAUUCUCACCUUUUCAUCUUUCUUGAAAAUAGGCACUAUAUUGGCUACCAUUCAAGAUAUUUUGCCACCUCUAAAAUUCAAUGUCAAAUUGCUUUUUCACCUCUUCUUUAAUUUUCAGUAGCAUCUCUAGCUUCAUGCACCUUAGCUUUUCUUGUACUGACUUGCAAUCUAAUUUACAGGUAAUUUAUGUUCUGUAAUAUCAGUAUUGAGUUUAGGCAUAUCCUGGCAAGACCAUGUGAACACAUCUACGUAUUUUUAGAGUAGUUUUCUAGCCUUUACCUAUCAACUAAUGAAAUAAACAUACCAAUUUUAACCUAUUUUUUAUUUUUAUCAUCCCUUAAAUUCACUAAUUUGGUAAUUUCUUGGUAGGGCUCAAUUAGCUUAUCUUCAUGUUCUAUUAAUUUCAACAAAUCAAAAGGUUAUGUGUAAUUAUCUAAAUCUUUUCAUUAUCAAGUUUGUCAACAUGAAAUGUGUGUUUAAAAUCAAAUUUGAGAUUAUUAUCAUAGUUAUCUUCGUAUUCAUUAAUUUGAGGCCCUACAAAAGAUGAGAUGAAGAGAAUAUUGGUACUCAAAAGUGGAAUGGCAAGAAAAUGAUUAGGGCAUAAUGAAAAAAAAAUGGAUUGUAUAAAUGAAAAUGAAAAUAAAUAGAAAUGCAGACGCAUCUUCUAAGUCUUUUAUUAUAACGACAAACAUAAAUACACCACAAAAGAUUUUUUAAUGCUUAUAGAGAGCAAUUAAGAAUUUAAAGUUUCACAAUAAAUUAUUUUUUAAAAGUUUUAAAGAUAACAUGCAGCUUUAUGACUUUCUAAUUAUCUAGCUCAAAAUUUGAAGGGUAAGCACGCAUUAACAGCUCUUCAUCCUAACUUUUCUUUUUUUUCCUAUAUAUAAUCUGAAUGGCUAGCUCAAAAAAGUUUCAAUCAACUUUGCAUUUAGGGCUUCAAAUGAAUCUAGGUAAAUAUAACCUCAUAAAUGAAAAGAAUCAUAGAGAUAAUGACCAUCAACUCAAAUUCUGGCUCAUAUCCCCCAAGAUUAGCCAUUCUUUUUUCUUUUUUCUUAUUCAUGAUUUUCAUUAUGUUUCCUUUUGUUGGUUUAUAACCCAAGCUGAAUCUAUUUUUUUAUCAUAUGGUGUUGGAGGCAUCGUGAUUCCUUACAAAUUCUUUCUAAGUCUAGCUCCAGGUUGCCAUCCCAUUUUGAUAAGUUGCUUAACAAUCAUUUUAAUAGUUGUAGAUAGGUGCGAUGAAUAUAAUUUAGAUCUUUCAGCCAUAUAUAUUACAUUGGCAAUCUCGAAAGAUCUAAAAAAGUACUUCGAGGCUUCAUCUAGCACUUUUACAUAAGAAGUAUUUAUCGAUUGGGUUACCAGUAAAUCUUAUUUUUUUGCCACACAUGUAAGCUUUCCAUUAAUAAUGACUUUGCCUUUCUAGUGUAAUGAAGAUGGAACAGCACCUGUCAUAUGAAUCCAUGGCCUACCCACCAAGCAACUGUAUGAAAGGGAGAUAUCCAUAACUUGAAAUUUCAUAUUGAAAGUGCAAAGGCCAAUUUGUAAUGGAAUUUUUAUAUCUUUUAGCACUAUUUUCGGUCUAUUAAAGGCUUGAAACUACAUAUGAUGAGGUUUUAUGUAAGAUCCAUCAACAGGUAGUUUUGCCAAAGUAGAUUAUGGGCAUAACUUUGAUUGAUAAGCCAUUGUCAAUCAGAACCUUAGCCAUUAUGUGACUUUUACAUUUUACAGUAAUAUGGAGAGCCUUGGUACUUCUUUCGACCUUCAAGAGGAAUCUCUUCAUCACUCAAAGAGAUAUAGUUUGAAAAUUACUAGAUUGCCAACAAGCUAUUUCACGUACUCAACAAAUAUAUUGUAGGACACAUAUAUUUGAUUGAACACCUUUAAUAGAGUGUUACAAUGCAACUUUGAGCUUAGUAACAAUGACAAUAGCAAAAUUCUAGCUAGCAUCUUGUUCAACUGUUCUACUAUGUUAUACUCGCUAUAUUUUAGUAGUUUUAAAAAUUCACAAGCUUCAUUCCUAAAGAUUGGCUUUUGACAUUCUUUAUUAAGGACUGUCAUAAGAUUACUCUAAUUUCCCUUUUCUUCCUUGACCUUUGCUUUUUUUCUUAGCUUUUUCUAGCAUUUCUAGAGUGUAACAUCGCCCACUUCGGGUCAUACCUCCUAUACCUAUUAUGUUUGUAGCAUCUAGAUUGACUACGAUGUCAUAAUUGUACUUUCAUAGCACUGCUUUGUCAUUUUGGUAUGAAAAAAGGCUAGAGACUUUAAUUGUCACUACUAAUCGAGAGAUAGGCUUUUUUGGUCUUGAGGUCGGUUUCUUAUCAUAAUAUAUAGUUAUCAAUUUAUGCACAAACUUAUUCUUUGAAUUAAUGGUAGACACUUCAGCUUUCAUCAAUUUUUCUCUUUCUUUGUAAAGCUUUAUCUAACCUAUAUCCAUCAACUUUUGGACACCUUGAUGAAAUUGGUCACAAUUCUUAAAAGAAUACCUUGAAACAUUUUUUUGAUAAUUGUAGCUCUCGGUUGAGAUAAUUUUUUUGAAGUAGUUUUGAAGCUCUAUUAACUUCAACACAUCAGCCUUGACUAAGGCUUCAAACACCUUAGUCAUUGAAGUUUUGGCUUCAUCUAUCCCCUUUUUUACAUAACUUGCUUGCCCAUUAAUCAAAGCAUUUAUUGAUAGUCUAGUAUGAUUUGGUAGAGGGUUUCCAUUAAUAUUUGGAGUCCCUCGUUUGCUAGUAUCAAAGUUUAACACCCUCUCAUUGAUUAACCCUUACACUUUACGCUUCAAAGUAGUGUAAUUUUUCAUAGAAUGACCUGGGUUUUCAUAAUGAUAAUCAUAAUGCACAUUGGAUCAUACCAUUUUCAAAGGUUCAACAAUAACAAGGGCUAGUAAAUGUUUUUCAACAAGUUGAGGGUACAAAUUUGUAUAUAUCAUAAAGAUAGGGUCAAAAAUGGUUUUUUUUUAGGUAUUUCUUGGGGUUCUCAGACUACUACUUGGAUUGGGUCUUCAUUAUGAUCUAGUAGGUAUAGCAAGAUGAUUAUAUAAAUAGGUGGGUAUUUGAAAAGAUGGUUGAAAAUAAGGUGAAUAAGUUGGUUGUUGUAGUAGCUGACACAAUUGAUACGGAUGAGGGAUGGAUGUAACAUUGUUUAUAGGAGGGUAAUGGAUUUGGCACAUUGGUGUAGGGUAUGACGUGAAACCUUUGAACUAUUGACCUACAUAGUUCACUGUUUAGCUUCAUUUUCUUUUUUCUUGAGAGAUCUGCCUUUCUUUACUUCGCUUAUCUAUCCUAUAUUGAGCUUGUUAUUUUUUAUGACAUUUUCAAUAAUCUCACUUGAUAUCACCAUAUCUGUAAAGUUUUUAGUUGCAUUACCUAUCAUUCUUUUAUAGUAAGGUGCUUUCAAGGUGUUUACAAAUAGGAUAGUUGUCUCUUUCUUAGUGAUGGGAGGUUGUGCUUGUAUGACCAUAUCUCUCCAUCUUUGUGAGUACUCUUAAAAUUUUUCUAUUAUAUUCUUUUCCAUGCUCUGGAGAGAUAGAUCAUCUAAAGCUAGAUAUAUAACAUGCUGGUAUUGUGUAAAGAAUGCCCUUGUAAGUUUUAUCAUAAAUGAAUAUGAGUCCUAUCUAGUUAAAUAUACUAUCUGACUAUAGAACUUAUAAGGCUAUCCUAAUAUACGUGCAAUAAUAUCUUCUAGUCAUGAGUAUAUGCCCCUAUCUUAUGAUAAUAAAUGGUGACAUAAAUCAUUAAAAAUUUUGUACCAUCAUAUUUUUCAAAUUUAGAAACCUUGAAUUUAGGUGAAAUGACCACGUCUAGGACUAACCAAAGCUCAGCUGCAUCUGUAGAGCCAUAAAAAUUCAUUCCUUCUACAACCUUAAGUUUUUUUUUUAAUAAUUUUAUUUUCUGCAGGAUACUAGUAUGUUUCACUUUCUUAGAUGUCUUCAUCUCUAGCUUUUCUCUCUUAUUGGGAUCAUCCAAGUUAGGAAUCAAGAUUGGCUCAGUGGUUUUUAUACCAUGAUGGGAUUAGCAAAAUUUUAGGACUAUUUUAGAGUGAAUAUAAAUGUCAAUCCUGGAUAAGAAUAAGAAUAUCCUCCGAGAGUAGGGAUUUGCACUCUAGCUCCUUGAGAAGGUUGGGUUGGUCGUGGCUCAAACCUUGGAGGGUAUACAGGAUUUAUCAUGUAUGGCAAUUGCUUUUGGAAACUGGGAUUUCUUUCCAUCAUUUUUUUUUUGUCAAGAUUCUUAAGUAUGUCCAUUAUCUUACUAAGAUCCCCUUUUAGUUCUUCUUGAGCCUUCUCAAUUCUUUCAAAUCAACUGGACUAUUCUUGUUCUAUGAUUCUUAUUUGAACCUUGGUGUUGUAUGAAUGACAAGUAGGUUUAGUCAAAAUUUUUAGUGGAUAAGCUAUUAUUGAACCUUUAUUAUCACAAAUUUUCAAAAAUCAAAAUGUCAUGUGUUGAAAAUUUUAUUUUUCACUUUUUUUUUGUGAUUUUGUUAAAAGAAUAUGGUUAUUAAAACAAAAAAUGGUGCACAUGAUGCAUGAACUGCAAAUGAGAGAUAUUUGCUCUUAGACAAAUUUCAACACUAGAAAUUUUCAUUAAUUUCAUACAAUUUUUGUUACAUGAGAUUUAUCAUCCUAAAAUUAUAUUUAUAAAAGCAUUUGACUUGUUCAUAAUGAUCAUUGGCUUCGCUUAGAAAGUUCAUUAGGCAUUGUCCAUAUUCUCCUACUAGAUUGACUUCUCUUCUUAAUGCCUAUACCUUUUAAACCAUCUCCGAUGCCUUUUUCACUGCCUUGCAAACUUGACUGGUCAGGUGCUGUAUGUACUAUUGCCUCCUUGAGCUUUCUGCUUUUUAUCUCAUACUGGCAUCUCUUUCUAAUUCACUUAUGCAGAUCUAAUCUUUUUCUCUUUUUUGUCACUAAUUUAUUAUUGCUGAAAUAUGGUUCUUGUGAUCUUGCAGUUGUAGCUUUAACCCUUGGAUCACCUGGUGAAAUGAUUCCUUUAUGUUUAGUAUUUCAAAGUGCUUUCUUCUCUCUAUUGCAAGCAUAACUUUCAACCUUUCCUUUUCUUUUUGGCAUUCAACCAAUUUUACUAAAGCUGUAGAGUAUAAUCUCUCCCAAUUUUAACAUUCUUGAAAAUUUUUGGUGACCUCUUUUUUCUUUUCUUGAAUUGUGCCUUUUCAUUGGUUCAUUUUCUCUCAGAGCUCAUCUAUUUCAUGUUACCAACUAAAGUAAGACUUGAUGACAUUUUCAGACUUGAAUUAGACUCGUAAUCUUUUGUUUUCUUAGUGCAGAUUUUUCAAAUCAUUAUUAGCCAUAUCCCGUUCCUUUAUGACCUUAUCUAGUUGCUCCCUUCUACUUCUACUUCGUAUUUCAAUUGUCCCAUCUUUUCAUGAAGUCUCAAAAUUUCUUUUCUUAUUUUUUCUUUUUCAACUUUUAAUUCUUUCUUGACAAGCUCGACUUUUGAUAAUUGCACUUCUAUCUAAAUAUUAGCUGAUUGAUGUGAGCCAUUAUCAGGAAGGAGUACUAUGUCUCUCAAUUGCUUCACUUUCCAAAUCUGGUAAUCAAGAGUGACUUUGUUGAUGAGAGGCCCUAAUCUUAUUUUUUGCAUUUUCUUCCAUGCUUGGAUUAACCAUUUUGAUGUUCUUAGUGAAUUGGACUCUCUAUAGGUGAAUUCUACUUGAACCAAGUAAUGAAUGGCAAGAACGAAUUGCUUUGCAUUGAAUUACCUCAAUAACAUCAACAAAGCAUAACUUACCACAUCCUAUAGUCCUAACAAUGGUAUCUAUGGUUCAUUUUCUCCUCGAUACAACAUGGGCACUUGUGGCAUUCAUGGUGCCAUUCAUUUUAUUUCAUCCUAAAUAAGCCUUUGCAAGAAUAGAACCUAUUCUUCUUUAGCCUUCAAUGUCAGGCAUUGGCUUUUAUAGAAUUCUUCAAUUAGUGCCUUGUUUCAAGGAUAUGCCUUUGAGAAUGCACUAUUUUCACACUUAAAAUGACUUUUAACCCACACAUGUAACAGUGAUGCACACCUUAUAAACAGUCAUUUUUCAUUCUGUCAAUAGAAAUUCAAUGACUUAAUGGUUUUGGUUAGAAAUGCUAGUGUAGGAUUAUUUGUUUGGGUUUCAAUUUGCUCAAAAAAGUCCACCACCACUAUCUCGAUGUAGCCUAAGGUCUUUGAGAAGAUCACCAUGCUAUACAAUGCUGAGGCAAACAUAGCCAUGCCUUGAUCAUCAUCUAGAUGACUUUAAACCAAAUUAUAGAAGAAAUCCCAACGGAUACCAAGAUGUUCACCUUUAGGCUUUGUGAAAGUAUCUAUGGUUUUUACUUUAACCUUUAUAAGCUUGGCCAACUUGUUGCAAUAACCUAAUUUUGGCUUUUGAGUAAAUGCUUUAUCCAGACAUUAUAGUUCUAUCCCAAGCAAAAUUGAGUAUUCCUCAAUGGUUAGCACCAAAUUUUUUUGAUUAAAAAUGAAGCAUCUGUAGGAAGGGUCCCAAAUUUGUAUAGUUGUCUCGACCAACUGUUCAUUGAUCACUACUAAAAUGAGGGAUGUAAUCUGUAUAUACUUCUUGUAAAAGCUUUUUUUUCUUUCUUCACAUAACUGACCUCAGAUGAUGGAUAAGUCUUCUACAUUAUUCUGUGUGAGAUCCAAAUGCAUCUUUUCAUGUAAGUAAGACACAUAACCAGUGGGCAAACAAUCUCCAUUAUGUUACUGGGCUUCCUUUGACCAGACAUGUACUUCAUUAUAUGAUUCACAUUGGACAAUGAUAGAGAGUAAGCAAAUCUGUAAUUCUACAAUAUCCAUGAAGAACUUCUCGAGAGAAAGAUGUCCUAGAGUAAAUACCUCGAUAUAGAACUAUAUGAUAUGAUUUAAAUUUCAAAUUAUCUCAGGAGAAAGAUGUCUUAGGAAUCCCAAACUUUUUUAGAUUUAAAUUUUAAAUUUUCAAUCGGUCUAGCAAACUUUAGUGGCUAAAAUCCAUGCUGCCAAGUUAGACAAAGGUGUCAGGCAGCUGUGGCGCUGGUGCUUUUGGUGUAUUUAAUGCACAAUGACUUUUGGCCGAAAUGACCUGAAAAGGGAAUAAAGAAAGAAAGAAAAAUAAUAAUAAUAACAAAUAAGAAAAAUUGAAUCUUUACAGGCCAUGGCAUGUAGAAGGUUAGCCAAACCUCUAAACGUUACAUCAAUGGUGGAUUUUGUUAUGGCUUGAUCUCUAUUGCUCCAAAACACAACUAUUGACUAGUUGGUUGAAUUUUUUUAUCAAACUUGGUGUUAAAGAGGCAAACAACUUUGGAGGAAGCUAUUUUCUCUUGAAAAAUAUUACUUAAAAUUCAAACAAUAAGGAAACAUGGCAAGAAAAUUCAUGGAAAUGAUGAUGGAAAUGUAUGGAGGAUAAGGUAGAAAUAUACCUCCCAAAAGCUUCUCAAAAUUUUUCUUUUUUUUUUCCUCUUUUUACUUCUCUUUUUCACACUACUUCUUUGGCUACCUCCCCUUCUUUUCUUAGCCCUAAAUGAUGAACAUAAAGGCCAUGCAAAUGCAUGAUAGCUGUUGAUAAAAAAUGCAUCCAAAGACCACUAGCUCUCUUCCAAGUUUCCAAACAAUCACCUUUCACCCUUAGAUCAAGGUUUUUGAAAAAUCAAUGGUUUAUGAUGAAUCCAACAUGAAAUAAGGUUUUUGGUAUAACUAGCACAAUGUAAAAAGACCAUUUUACCUUUUUUAAAAGUUUUCACCUUUUUAUGAGAUUUUCUUGGAAAAACAUGAUCCCUUCUUUAUUUUUGUGAUUUCAAUGUGCCAAAAGAUCAUCAAAUAAUAUGAAAACAUGAUCUAAAAGUUUUCGUGAAAAAAUCGACCUCGAGAAAGUGAAAUCAUAAAAAUACCCCUAAAAGACAUUUUAAUAAUUUCACACCCCAUGAAGUACGAACAAGGUUUUUAAUGCACCAAUAAUCAUCCAAUAAUGUUUAAACAUAAUCUGAAAGUUUUCACUAAAAAUUAACUAUGAGAAGAUCAAAUUACAAAAAUACCUUUAGAGGACAUUUUGGUUAUUUUACCCUUCUUGAAGCGAUCAGAGUUUUUAAUGCAUUAAAAUCAUAAAUUUCAACCAAAAGCCUUGUUAAUCCCAUUUAUUUGUGAAUUUUGAAGAAUGACCCGAUUUUGAUCUAGUUCGAUGGAUUUUGAUCGAGUUUGACCAAAUUUAACAAAAUUUGAUCAAAUUUGUUUAAGUUUGACUUUAAGGCAUUUGGGUCAAAUUGGUUUCAAAUUUGACUUUGAAAACUCAUCGAUAUUAAAGAAAUGUUGGAUUGGAAUUGAGUUGAAUUUUAAAAACCUCACAACUAGCUAAAUUUUGAUUGAACAAAAUUAAAUAUCUAUAAAAGUCAAAAGGAUACUUGUUUUCUGGAAAUAGACGGGAUGGCUUUAUCAUCCAUUUCAACAUAAAGCACAUUUUGAUGAAUGAACUUAAAUUAUGGACCAACUCUGUGUAAUGCAAAAAGUAAUGUAUGCAUGAAUGAACAUUUUAUACUCAUUUAUAACAAAAUUGAAUACUAUAUUAAAUGAUAUAAUUUAAAUACCCUAAUUUAGAAGUGGUUUAAGACUUUCAAUUUUAUAUUUCAUGUAGUUGUGAUACUUGCUAAGUGUGAUAUUAUUUAAACAUUAAAAAAUGAUAAUUUCAUCUAAUAUUAUUUUUUAUAUAUAUAUAUUUGAAUGAGUUCAGAUUCUUGUUAAUGUAAUUAAUUAAUUAAUUUCUAGAAUUCUUUGCAACCAAAUAUAUUAUUAUUGUGUACUUAAUUGAAUAUGAAUAUUCUGUUAAUUACCAAUGCUUAUUAAUUGUCUUUGGGACUCGUAUUUGUGAAUAAUUCAAAUAUUAGUAAGUUUACUAUAAUGCAUCUUUCUACGUUUUUCUUAAUGUAUUUUUAUCAUAAUUAUAUCUUAUAUGUCAAUGAAAGAUUGGUUUAGGAAGAGAUUUUACAACCUUGAAGUUCUAAAUUCAAGUGUCACUGUAUGCAUUUGAUUCAAUUUUAUAUUCUAAUUUAUUUUAGUUAUACUAUAAUUUUUUUUAUUGAUUAUUCAAUAUUUCUUAUUUAUGACUAUUGAACUUGAUUAUGAUUGUAAUUUUAAUUUCUUAAAAAAAGUCAUAUAUUUCAUUUGAUUGAUUUUUUUUUUUUUAAGGAGAUAAUUUGAAAAUGACUUUUAAUCCAUGUAAUAGUAGUGUACACCCUAUGAAUCAUCCUUUUUUAUUCUAUCAAUAGAAAUUCAAUGACCUGAUGGUUUCAACUAGGACUACUAGCACAGGAUUAAUUGCUUGGGUUUUACUUUGCUUGAAAAAAUCUACCACCAUUAUCUCGAUGUAGCCCAAGAUCUUUUGGAAGAUCACCAUGCCAUACAAUGCCAAAGCAAACACAGCCAUGCCUUGAUCAUCAUCUAAAUGCUCUUAAACAAAAUUAUGAAGAAGUUCCAACGAAUACCGAGAUGUUCACCUUUAGGCUUUACGAAAGAAUCUAUAAGCUUGGCUAACUUUUUGUCAUAACUUGAUUUCAGCUUUCGGUAAACACUUUAUCCAGACACUGUAGUUCUAUCCCAAGCAAAAUUGAGUAUUCCUUAAUGGUUGGUGUAGACAUGAAUUUUGUUUGAGACUUUUUUUUCAACAUGAUUGACACAGGGCUCAUUUACAAACAUGGGCCAAGACCAUUUAGGAAGACCAUUUAUAACCCAUAAAGAGCUCACAAAUUCAACUAUUCAGAAACCCAAAGUCAACUUGGAUCAAAUCUAAUCAAACAAAGUCAAAAUUGCACAAAAUUUGAUCAAAAUGGAUGAGAGCUCAAUCAAUUCUAAAAAUUCAAAAUCUAAUUGAAAUCAACAUGGUUUAAAAUUGAAUUUGAGAUUUUUUUCAAAACACUAAAAUUUUCAUAGUGUCUAAAAAGGGCAAAAUUACCAAAAUACCCUUAUAGGUGUAUUUUCAUAAUUUGACCUUCUCGAGCUUGAAUUUUUGUGCCAAGUUGCAUCACAUUAUAAGAAAUGAUCUUUUGGUUUGAACUUUUUAAACAUAUGUUUUGAGCCAAUUUUAUCCAUUUCUUUUAUGAUUCCUUAUUAUAUCCUAUACUACAAUACUUAAAAGUCUAUUUUGAUCAAAUAUGAAUGCUCGAAUUAAAUGAUCAUGUGUUUGACUAUGGCAUGUUUCUGAUGAAGUAAUGGAAUCGUGUUAUGUUCUUGUAUUUUAAAGAUUGAUAUGUGAGAGAUAUCAAUAGUGGAUGAAGAAAAAAUUAAAAAUUAAAAAAUUAAAAAAAUGAAAAAUGAAAAUGAAAAAAAAGUGAAAAAGGUGAAAAAAUGAAAAAUGAAAAAUGUGAAAAAAAUGAAGAAAAAGGAAAGAAAAGAAAGACUCAAAUUGAAAACCUGAAAAGGUAAUUUAGGUAAAAAAAAGUCUAAGCUGAGAGUUGGAUAAAUAGUUCAACACAUGGAAGAUGACAUCUAAAGAUUCUCCAAAGCUGGGGCAAAGUUUGAUGAGCUCUAAAAUUAUUUUGAAAGUCAAUGGAAUAAGUUUUUGAAAAAGAAUUCUAGAUUAAUGUUAAGAAUUGUCUAAAUAUUCAUUGUUUGGACAAUUGCAUCCCUAGUGAUAUGCUUUGAAUUUGUUCCUUCGCCUAUUUAUUUUUGUACUUGACUCAUUUUUAUAUUGACUACCUUUUUUCCAAUUCACAUUGUACUUUUUUAUUUUUUCAUCCCCAAAAUAAAUUGAUAAAAUGUAUGAUUGCAUUAUAUUUUUCAUUAUUUGAAAUAAUAAUUAAUGAAUGAUAAUGUUCAUAAAAGAUUCCUACAUUCUUUUAAAAUGAAAUCGAGGAUGAUAGGGGUAAAAAAAAAGAAAAGAUGGAAAAAGGCUUGAAAAGAUGAUUUGAAAGGACACAUGGGGUGACCAAGUGAUGAAUAUGGUGAUGGAUCUAUGAUCAAAUUAUGAAAAUAAUGGGGAUUAGUGGACAAAAUUUGUUAUGAAAUUGUUAGUGCUGAGAAACUAAAAAUGAAAAAUGUGAGAUGGUGGAGUCAUUAAGAACCAUAUUACCACAAUUAAUUAGAAUUUCAUGUUAGUGACAUUUGCAUUACAUGCAUUAUGUUUUGCAUUACAUGCAUUACAUUUGCAUUGUAGUUUGAACAAUACAUGUAUAUAAUUUGAUGAAUAUUUAAAACUUUGGUUUGGCUAUGCACUUGCAUCAUGCAGUGAACAUUUGAAUCAUGGUUUAAAGUAUGGCAUCUGCAUUAUUAUGAGUAUCUAGAUUGUUGCAUUUGCAUUAUUAAGAAAGUAUUUGCAUCAUGAUCAUGACAUUCAUUACAUACAAAAUUUUGACUUUGAUGAAAAAUUGAGAAUUUUUAUGACAAAAAAUUUUAAACUUUUUGAGGAAAGCUUUUUAAGAUAAGGUUGGGAAUCCUCGAAUGAAAAAAUGUUUUAUAAGGAAAACAUUUAGAAUUCUAAAGUUGUGGAGCCUUUUAAAGGAGCAUUUUUAAUGUUAAAAAUGAUAAGAAUUUUUGUCUUUAAGUUUAAAUAAGAAUCUUUAAGAAAUUUUAAAUGAGAAUCUUUGUCUUUGAGUUUUAAAUGAGAAUCUUUGAAUGAGAAUCUUUAUCUUUGACUUUUAAAUAGGAAUAUUGAGAAUUUAUGUGAAUCUCCAAAGUUUUUUGAAUCUGAAUCUUUGAAGAAUCAAAUGUGAAUCUUUGAAUUCGAAUGAGAAACUUUGAUAUUUUAGAAGUGAAUCCUAAAGUUUUUCAAAUAAAAAUCUUUAACUUUUUGGUGUGAAUCUCUAGAAUUUUAGAGUGUAAAUCUUUAAAUGUUGGAUGUGAGCCUUGCAAUUGUGAUAUGAAUCCCUAAAUUAAAAUUUUGGAUGUGAAUCUUUCAAAUGGAGUCUGAAUUCUUGCAAAAUUGAAACUUUGAUAACCGUAAAUCCUUGCGAACGUUAAAUUCUCAUGAAUCUAAAAGCUUACAAACCUUAAACUCUUGUGAAUUUGAAAAAUCUUGUGAAUCUUAAAAUCAUAUGAAUCUAAGUUCUUGCAAAUAUAAAAUUUUGUGAAUCUUUGUGUCUACAAAUCUUAAAAUUCUUGCAAAUCUGAAUUUUAUGAAUCUUUGUGUGUUGCGAACCUAAAAAAUCUUAUGAAUUGAAAUCUUGCAAAUCUAAAAGUCUUACGAAUAUUCGAAUUGCAAACCUUUGAUUUUUGAAAUAGUGAUUUUUUAAACUCAAAUUGUGAAUCUUUGAGCUGCAACUUGCAUUACUAAUUGACAAAUUACAAUGUUUUUGAAUAUUUCAAAUUGUGAAUCUUUGGAGUUUUGAAAUUUUGUAAUUGUUGUUAAGCUAUAUCCGGACGUAAUGGAUAUUUAUAUCUUUGCAUAAUUCCUGUUUCAUAGAAAAUGCGUAAAAAGGGGUAGUUGUAAACACUCCAUUUUGUCAUGGGUUUAUAUUUUAUUUAUCUUUUCAAUUUAAUAAUAAUAAUAAUAAUAAUAAUAAUAAUAAGUUUUUUCAUGAAUCAAUGUGAGCAAGAGUUAGAAUUGGACUUGAUUUGUAAAAGGCUAAAUUUUAGUUUUAUGAUAAUACAACAAUCUUAUUAAAGUUGAAUCACAAUCAAGCAAAAUUUCCUUUGAUUGUUUCUUAUAAAUAAACUUGUUAUCAACAGAGAAAGGGGGGAUAUAGAGCAAGCAUAGUUUUUAAGAGAAAAAAAUAAAAAAGAAUUCAGUGAGCAAAUAAUUUUUUUGAAAGAAAAUAAGGCUUCUGUCAAGGAUUUUUAAGUUGAUUGUGAGUUUAAUCAGGUUGAAAAGUGGUUUAGAAAGAUUCUUGAAGAUUAACGGGUUAAAAUCAUAGAAAUUUUUCUAAAAUUUUUUUGGAAAAUUUUAGGAAUUCCAGAAUUUGUUUGAAUUUUUUAGUAAAAUUCAAGUUUUCCGACAAGAUUCCAGUGAGAAACCCAUUUUUUAAUGACUAACCCAAAUUCUGAUGAUCCAACCAGAAUCUGGUUGAAGUCUUUCUAGCAUAUUCCCAGUUCUUGAUGUUGUUUCCUAGAAUUUAAUGAAGGAUUCAAUUGGUGUUCAUAUGUUUUAGAGAGAGAGAGAAAAAAAGAAAAGGCUAAAGAGAAAGAAAGGGAAAAAGAAAUCUAAAAAAAAUAUUUUUUAGGCUUUUAUAUUACAAACAAAUGAUGCCAUUUUGAUCAUAAAACCUUUAGGAUUCGUGUGCUGCCCCAAACACUCGACCUGAUCCGCAACACUUUGACCUAAGAUCCUUCCUUUUUAAGCUACUGUGGAGUUGAGCUGUUAGUCAGCCAAGCCACAUCUCUAAAGUUAUCUUUUGUGUCUGGAGCCAAGUCAGUGUGAUAACCAAGCCGAGUUAGUCCUUUUGUUUUGGUUUUUUUAUGGUUUUUAUUUAUUUUUAUUUUAUGUUAUUAUUUCCUUUAUUCAUUUUUUGUGAAAUAUUUUUGCAUGAUUAAAAUUUUAGGAAAACUAUAAAAAAAAUAUUAAAAUUAAACAUAAUAAAAUUUGAAAAAUAAAUGAUAAUUAUCUAAUGAUGGAAUUUUUAGAAAUUACAAAUGAAUAAUUUUUAUAAAAUUUCUAGGUGAGAAUUUUUCUUCUAAAUUUAACCUAAAUGGUGGAAGAAAUGAGAUGAAAAUUAAAAAAUAGUUAUCAUAUUAUUUUCUUAAGGAUUAAGAAGUAAGUGAUGAAUAAAUAGAAUAAAGAUAUUUCUAAAUAGACCUAAAUGGUGAAAAAUUUAGAAAUAAAACUUGUAAAAUAAAAAUAAAUUUCGAUGAUGAAAUUAUUAGUAAUCACAAAUGGAUGAUUAUCUAAGAAAUUUUUAGGCAAGAAGAUAUUUCUAAUUUUGACCCAAAUGGUGGAAGAAUUAGAUAUAUUUUCAAUAAAAACAAAAAUAAAAAAUGAUUAAAUCAUUUUUCGAUAAUGAAGCCUCUUCAAGAAAACAAAUGGGAUUCAUAUAUACUUUCGAUGUGAGAAAGUAUUUUUAAGAAUUUUACUAGAUUGAUGGAGAAUCUUAAAAGUUAUUUCCAAUAUUUAAAUGUUAAUAGAAGACCAUUAGUAUCAAAUCUUAGGAUAAUUUAAAAUAAAAUUGUAUCAGCAUUUCGAUGGGUAUGUAGGGGUGUUAUAACAUUCCCUAUAUGUAAUCAAAAUCUUGAACCUUAUUCUGAUUAGUAGACCAAAACUUAAUCUUUAAAGAUCUUUAGUCAAGCUUAGGAGCUUCUUAAAAGAAUAGAUUUACUAGAUGACCAAUCACACCUAGAAAAAAGAUUGGUGAUGGCUCUUUAAAGUCGAGUCCAGCUAUAGGUUAAUGGAUUUAUAUGUUAUGACAAUAAGUUUUAAGCCUAAUUUAGCUGGCAUCUAAGUUUUAAACCCAGCUUAGCUAGCAUCAAUCAAAAUUUAAGCCCAAAUUAGCUGGCACAUAAGCUUAGUUUAGCUAGCAUGUAAGCCCAGAUUAGUUGAAAAAGUACACACCUUUUUUUCCCUUUAAGUGGUGAGAUCUUUUUGAAUCAAUAGAAAUAUCUGUAUACAAAAUCAUUCAAUCCAUUAAGAGAAAUAAUUUUGACUUCUUUCAUUUCUAAUAAGGAUUGUCAAUUCUCCUAAAAAUUUAAGUUUAUCCAGGUUUUAAGCCUGGUUUAGUUGACACCUAAUGAAAAUUUAAGCCUAGUGUAGCUGGCACUCAAUCAAAAUAUAAGCCCAAUUUAGUUAGCAUCAAUGAAGUUUUAAGCCUAGUUUAUCUAGCACUAAUGAAAAUUUAAGCCUAGCUUAGUUGCCACUUUGUGAAAAUUUAAGCCUAGCAUAGCUGGCACCUAGGUUUUAAGCCCACCUUAGCUGGCACCUAUGUUUUAAGCCCACUUUAGCUGGUACCCAAUGAAGAUUUAAGCCUAGCUUAGCUAGCAUUCAAUGAAAUUUAAGCCUAGAUUAUUAGACACUCAAUGAAGUUUUAAGCCUAGUUAGUUGGCACCUAAUGAAGUUUUAAACCCAAUUUAGCUGGCACUAAUCAACAAAGUUUUAAGCCCAACUUAGCUGACACCCAAUGAAAUUUAAGCCCAGUUUAACUGAUCUCUAAUGAAAAUUUAAGCCUAAUGUAGUUGGCACCAAUAAAGUUUUAAGCCCGGUUUAUUUGGCAUCAAUGAAAAAUUUAAGCCAAACUUAGUUGGCACCCAGUAAAAAUUUAAGCCUAAUUUAGCUGACACCUAGGUUUUAAGCCAAGCUUAACUAGCACCCAAUGAAGAUUUAGACCUAGCUUAGUCGGCACUUAAUGAAAUUUAAACCAAGAUUAUCUGGCACUUAAUGAAGUUUUAAGCCUAAUUUAGUUGGCACCCAAUGAAAUUUAAACCUAGUUUUGUUGACAUCCAAUUAAAAUUUAAGCCUAGUAUAGUUGGUACCAAUAAAAAUUUAAGCUUAGUUUAGUUAGCAUAAUAGUCCAGUUUAGCUAGAAUAUAAACCUAAAUCAGUGGUCACCCAUAUUCGACUUGCAGUUUAAUCCUGGUCAUCCUUAUCAUUUGACCCGUAAUUUAAUCUCGGUCACUUCACUCGACUUACAGUUUAAUCCCAAUCAUCCUUACCUUUCAACUCAUGAUUUAAUCCCAAUCAUUAUAAAAAAUAAAAAAUAAAAAAAUGAAAAAAAACAAAGAAUAAUAAUCUUCAAAGCCCACUAAUGGCCUAUUGCUAACCAUUAAACAAAAAAUAAAUAAUAAAAAUAUAAAAAUCAUUAAAUAAAAAAUAUAUAAUAAUAAAUAAGUAAUAUAAAUAUAAAAAAAUAAAAACAAAUUAAAAUGUUAUACAAAUUCAAAUAUAUAUACAAAUAAAAUAUAAAAAAUAUAAAAAAUAUUAAAAGAUAUAUAUCAAAAUUAUAAAGGGAGUUUGACCCAUAAUAAAGUCCUAAGAGCCCAUAAAAUAUGGCUUUAACCUAAAGAUUAAAGAAGCCCAUUUGGCUAAAAAAAGAAAAAUUGUAUGAAAAGCCAAAAUACAUGCAUGAAAUUGGGUGGCCAACAUGGGAAGCUGCUGGAAAAAAAAAUACAAAGAGAAGAAAACUACAAAGGGUAACAUGAACAUCAGAGCAAAAAGGCAUGAACAUGAGAAAGGGGUAUGGUUUGAAGGCUUCGCAUUGUAAAAACUGAAGAAAACUAAAAAAAAAACUAGCACUGGAAUUGAAAAAAUUAUAGAGAAAACCAAAAAAAAAGAAAACCAAAAAAGCAAAAAAACCUGAAAAGAAAAUGUGGUGGAGGCAAAAAAGGGAUGUUUUUCAAAAGAGGCAUCCAAGGCAUGAGGAAAAACUAAAAGUGCAAACUUGAAGAAAGGAAAAGGGAAAGGAGGAACAUUCAAGCAAGAAGAAAACCAAGGGAGAAUUUUUGGCAAAAAAUAGGAGAAUAAGCCAAGAGAAAAAGUAGCAUUUGGGUGGAGGAAAUAAAAAAAAAAAAAAAAAGAAAUAGGGAAAAGAAAGAGAGGAGAAAAACCAAUGAAGGAAGAGGUAAAAAAGGCAUAAAAAUGGCAGAAAAGCCAGUUGCAAGAAGUGGCAAGCAAACAGAAAAAGAAAGAGGCGGGCAUUUGGACAAAAGAAUAAAAAAAAAUUGAGCAAACCAGUAGCAAAUAGAAAGGAGGAAAAAGAAAAAAAAACACUAGCAAGUAGGCGACAAGGCCAGUAGAAAAAGCAAAAAAAAUAAGGAAGCUACAAAAAAAACUGGUAGCAGAAUUAAAAAAAAGGGGUAACACAAAUAGUAGCAACAUGAGAAACCAAUUGCCAAAAGAAACAAGAAAAAAAAAUGAAGAACUGGGGUACUCAUUUUUUGCAUGAAGUGGUUUGGUAUGAACUUAAAGCUCCAUUAGGUUCUGUUUGCAUGAAAUUCAUGCUUUGCAUUGAACUUGUCUUGGUUUUCCUUUUCAUUUCCUUUGCAUUUGUUUAAUAUAUCAAGGUUGCAUGGAGUCAAGGUUCAUUUGUUUCUAUUUGUUUUUUUAUCAUUUUUCAUUUUUCUGGUUCGACAUACUUUGUUUGCAGGAGCAUAAGCCUUCAUUUCGUGCACUGCAUGGGGUAUACUUUCUCUUGUAGCUUAUAUUCAUUUGGGAAUUAAUUGAAAAAAAGCUUUGAUUCAAAAGAAAAUGCAUUUAGGAAACCAUAUGAGGAGUAAACCAUUUUUUUUUUUGUUAUAUAUACAUUUCAUUAUUAUUUUGUUAAUAAACAAAGACUUAAAACAUGAGGCUGAUAAUUUAUUUUUAAAGAUUAUUUUCAUUUAUAUUUCAUAUUAUUCAUAUUCAUGCACAUUUUUUAUGUUGGUUAAGCCUGGUUAUUAUUUAAGUUUCAUGAAUUUCAUUUUCCUUGUUGAUCACAUUUCAAUGUAUAUUUUAAUUUUUAUGCAAUUUAAUUCUUCAUGCUUAAAUUCCAUACUUUGAAUAUAAUUUACUUCCUAUAUAUUUUUAGAUUUAUGCAAAAACUAAUAAUGAUAAUUUUUUUAAAAAUAUAUAAAACAAAAUUAUGAAAUCCUAGCCUACAUGUUGGAAGGAAUAAAAACGUUUUUUAAAAAUAAUAAUAAUAGUUCUGCUUAGAUGUAGGAAAAUUAUUAAAUAAAAAAUUAAAUAAUAAAAAAUUAAAUAAUAAUAAUAAUAUUUUAAUAAAAAAAUAUAAAAUAUAAAAAUUCAUUUUUUAGAGAAAUCGAAAAAACAAACUUUAUCUAAAAGUUUACCUAGAAGUUGGAGAUUUCUAAAGAGGUGUGUAAAGUUUUGAAAUAUUAAAACAAAACUCUAAAUGGAAUCUUAAAUGAAACCCUAAACCUUAGGUAAACCCAAGAACCCUAAAAUCCUAGGUGAAUCCUUGAACCCUAAAUGAAACCCUAAAUCAUAAGCAAACCCUAAAACCCUAAGGUGAAACCUUAAAUUCAUUCCAAACCUUAAAAUCAUCCCAAGAUUCAAGAGUUGAUAUGAAAACUUUUUAUGAAAUAAUCUAUUCCUGAAUGUUGCAUAGAUGAUAAGGUAUUUAAGAAAAUUUAUGUCAUUAAGAAUUUUUAUACAUUUUUUGCAACUUAAAAUAAAUUUGUUUUGUUAAAAUAAAAAAUAUAUAAAUAUAAAAUAAUAAAGAAUAGAAUGAGAUUUUAAAUAUAAAUAGUUAUACCUAAACUCUAUCUAGAGAUUGGAAAGUCUAAGUGAUCUUUUUAUAUUUGAAAAUCUGAUUCCUAAAUUCGCAUUUUAUCAUCAUUUGCAUGCAUCUCCUUUUUUUAUAUUAAUGUGUACAUGUAUAAUGCUUAUAUAUGUUUAUUCUAAUUAUUGAUGUUUAAAAUUAAUUCUAUUAUAUUUCUUUUUUUUUAUUGCAUAAAAAGUUCUUAAAAAAAUUUAGUUUCAAACGAAGAAAACUAAAAUAGCUUUUCAUGAAAUAUAAGUGUUGGCAUUCUAUCUCGAUGUUGGAGAGUUACCAAUAAUUAUCAUUUACAAAGAAUGUUAUUUUAUUAUUUUAUAAGGAAUGUUGCGAUAAAUUUUAGAUGAAAAGAUUAUUUUUGAAUUAUGCUUUUAUGUUAAAGAAUUUGAAGGUAUUCUUCAAUCUAAAAUUUUCAUAAUAUUUUUUAAUAAAGAUUUUUUAAAAUUAAUUUUCUUUCUAAAAGAUGAAAAAAAUUAUAAGUAAAUUUUAUAUAGAAACCAUUUUUGUCCAAAGUUAUAAAUACCACAUGAUUAAUUAAUAUUAAUUUUAUUGGUUUUGUGGGGAUGUUGAUCUUUCUUUACGCAUAACCGACUCCUGAACUUAAUCUUAUUUCAUAGAUCAAAAUUAUCUUUAUAAUAAAUUUUAAACCCGUUUUAUUAUUUUAUUAAAAAGAUAAAAUUUUUGGAUAACUAAUCACACCAUAAAAAAGAUAUUGGGGGUAACUCCCUGUAUUUUUUCACGAAUUUUAAUUUUUACAUCCAGCAAUCGCGUUUUCAAACUGAUACAUUAUGACAAGUAUAUUCUAAUUACUUUGAAAUUUCAGUUGUAUCCUCUGACAAUAUAUGUUUUUAUUUUUUUCCUUCUAUUUUCUUAAUUUUAACCAAUCUCUUUUAAUAGUAGUACGUAGUUGUUCAAAUUACAAAUUAGAACCUUAUUAGAAAAAAAAACAAUUAUUAUUGGGAUAAAAAAUCAAGAUACCAGAGUUUCUAUCUAGAGAGAAAAGAAGGUUGCUUUGCCUGAAGCUAGGUGGUGACCAGGUAUUCAUCCACGUCAACAUAGUUGUUGUUAAUUAGAAGCAUUCGCAACAAGCUUAUCACGUUCAGACUCUUGUAUUGAAAUUUUGUUGAAUUUAGCAGUUGGAGAAUAAUGUAAUCAAUAGAUGGAAUUGGAGAAUUGCUAUUGAAAGCUCCUAGUGUAAGAAUCUUAAAAAGUUUGAAUUCAUACGAAAUGUGAAAUUUGUUACUUUUACUUUGUUCUCAAUGUAAUAUCUUAAUGCCUAUUUUACAUUGUGUUCUAAUCCUACUUUGCUUGUUACUUUAUACUAUAACUAAAUUAUAAUCCAUGCGGUGCAUAUGAAUAUAUACAUAUAUAUAUAUAAACUAAUUUCUUUUAAAAAUUAUAUUCAAAUCUUUAAAGCUCAUAGCAUAUAUAAAAUUUAUAAAUAUUGACUUGUCAUUAAAAAAUAAACUUUCUAAAAAUAGUAAAAAAAAUUAUGUUUUUCUUUUGGAUAUUUUUGUUUACAAUAAUAUUUAUACACCUAUAAAAUUUUAUCAAAUAAAAUAAAUUAUAUCUUUUUUUAAAAAAUAAAAAUAUAUAUUAUUGAAUGAUAAAUUAAAUAAUAAAAGAAUUAUUAACACAUUUUCACUUUAGUAAUCUUAACUAAAUUAUUAUACAAAAUAUGAAAAAAGUUAAAAAAUAUGUGAAAAGAGAAAAAAAAUUAAUUUUUAUAAGAAUAAAACUAUAAUAAUAAUAAAAUAUAUUGUAGAAAAAAUAUAUAAAUAAAAAAAACAAAUUGCAAUAGUAACAGAAUAUACCUUAAAAAAGUUACUGAAAAAAUAAAAAAAUUGAUGUAUAACACAUUACAUUUGUAAUCUUAAAUUUGUAGAAAAAUAUUUUAGUGACAAUUAGGAUUAAAUAGAUAAUUUUUAAAACUUAAAAUGGAUAUAAUAAGUGAUAAAGAUAAUAUUAAAAUUUUUGCAUUUAUUUGAAAUAUAAAUUUCAUAAUUAGAGUUCAAAUAGAUAUAAUCAUUUUGAUAAUCUUAUUAUUUAAAAAUUAAAAUAAAAUUUUUUUGAAUUUUCAAAAUCUUACAUCAAAUUGCUUGAAUUUUUAAUGUCUUACGUAAAUUUGUUAAAUCAAGAUAAAAAAUUUGUUGAAAUAUUUCAAUAAACUUAAUCUUUAUAAUUUUUAAACAUGUUUGAAAGAUUUUGAUAAUUAAAUAAUUUUUUAAAUUAAAGUUAUUUGCUAAAAGAUUAAAAUUAUUUAUUAAAAACUAAAGCCCAUAUUUCAUAUUUUUAAUUUUAGAAUAUAUAUAUAUCUCUAAAUUGAUUUGAUUUUCAAUUCUAAUUUAAAUAAUUUUAAAAUUUACAAUUUUUUAAUUUGUAAUUAAAAGAAACUAUUUUAUUUUUUAAAAAACUAUCUUACGUAUCAUUUAAGAGAGUUGUUCACAUAGAUGCUUGUGUGAUAAAUUUAUUUAUGUAUUUUGUUACAUAAUAUAUAUAUAUAUAUAUAAGAUAAAAGUAAUUUUUAAACUUUAGAAAUUAGAUAAUACUUUUGGGAGUUUUAGAAGGAAAGACCUUCUAAUUUUAUUGCACUUUUGAGUAGCCAUCAAAAAUAUUUUAUUGUACUUGAAAUUUUUUAAUAGUAGAACAAUUAUUUAAUCCGUAAAUGUAGAUAAGUGGCCGCGCCAUGUAAAUUAUAGUGCAUUUUGGUUUGGUUGAUUUAUCUGUGUGUUUUUCCGUUGUUUCUUGGACAAAUUUUCAACCGAAGAGCAAAAGUCUAGGCUUAGGCAAAGCUUCAGAGCAAAGGAAGUUAAACUAUUAACGAACAGCUUUCCUUAAUUGUCACAUGACUGAAACGGCACGAUGACACCAAUUUUGUUCGGCUUAAUAUAUAUGAGGUUAGCUAUUUUGAAUACAAAAUCCAACUCCUUCCAAACCACUAUCACUAACGAUAAAACUGUCUAUAAACUAUACCUGUACAUGGAUUUAAGUUUGAACAUUAACUCCAUUCAUUCUACCAUAUUUAUCAGACCAAUUCUGAUAAUAGUCUUCAUCAGAAUAUCUUCAAGGGCACGAAGAUAAGCAAGAAGUGAUCUCAAAGUUCCUAAAACAAGUAUGUUAUUCAGGAAAUUUUUUACUAUAUAAGUGAAAGGAUUCAUCAAAUUUUAGUGUGCCUUAUCAAUUUUCAACUCUUCAAUCCUAGCAGCUACCCCGCCAUGGCAUACAAAAGCCAGUACCAAUGCAUUUGUUUGGCCUUAAUCUUCACAGUUGGUGCUUUAGUUUGUCAAGCCACAUCACGCUCUCUUCAAGAUGCAUCGAUGUAUGAAAGGCAUGAGCAAUGGAUGGCCCGUUAUGGACGAGUGUACCAGGACAACAAUGAGAGGGAGGGACGUUUCAAUAUUUUCAAACAAAAUGUGGCUCGCAUAGAAUCUUUCAAUAGUGCCAAUGACAAACCUUACAAGCUCGGUGUCAAUCAAUUUGCAGAUCUUACAAACGAAGAGUUCAUUGCUUCUCGAAAUAGGUUCAAGGGCCAUAUGUGUUCCAACAAGGCUACGACUUUCAAAUAUGAAAAUUUCACUGCAUUACCUUCUACCGUGGACUGGAGAAAUAAAGGAGCUGUAACACCUAUUAAGGACCAAGGCCAAUGUGGUAUGUUCAAAGUUUUUAUAAGAAAUAAUGGUUUUUGGUUCUUCUAGCUAAUUAUUAGUUCUAACUGUCGAUGUAUGAUUGAAAUACAGGAAGUUGUUGGGCAUUUUCGGCUGUGGCAGCCAUGGAAGGGGUUACUAAACUAGCAACAGGUAAGCUAGUUUCCUUGUCUGAGCAGGAGUUGGUUGACUGUGAUACCAAAGGUGAAGAUCAAGGCUGUCAGGGUGGUUUGAUGGACGAUGCUUUCCAAUUCAUCCAGAAAAACAAAGGCCUCACAACUGAAUCGAAUUACCCUUACAAGGGAGUUGAUGGCACAUGCAAUACCAACAGGGAAGCCAACCAUGCAGCCAAUAUUAAUGGACAUGAAGACGUGCCAGCCAAUAAUGAAGAGGCAUUACAGAAGGCAGUUGCAAACCAGCCGGUUUCUGUUGCUAUUGAUGCUGGGGGGUUUGAAUUCCAGUUCUACUCAAGUGGUGUAUUUACAGGAGAUUGUGGCACUGACCUAGAUCACGGUGUUGCUGCUGUUGGUUAUGGAGUGGAUGCUGAUGGGACUAAGUAUUGGUUAGUAAAGAACUCUUGGGGCACUAGCUGGGGUGAAGAAGGGUACAUUAGGAUGCAGAGAGAUGUUGGCGCAAAGGAAGGCCUUUGUGGCAUAGCAAUGCAAGCUUCUUACCCUACUGCUUGAACUUCAUUACCAUAGCCUAUAUAUAUAUUCUGCUCUCGAUGUAAUAUAAACAUAUUUAAAACAAACAUGAGACCAAUAGGAACUAUGAUGUCUGCUUUCAAUAUCCUAUAUGUGCUUGUAUUUUCUAAGAAAAAGGAAUUACUGAAGGAAUGACUUGUGUAUUAUAUAUUACACAUUAAAUUAUUUAUCUACUAUCGUCUCACUUGCACAUCUCAGCUCUUUUAUUUUUUAAACCACAAUUUUAUGACUAUUCCAGUGCCUAUAUAUGGAAUACUAGUGCCAUUUUUUAAAAUAGAAGGACCAUUAAUUCAUCUUGAUUCUGUGUGCUAACGGAAGUUCCUUUUGUGAGUUUAAGAGGGAGAGUGCGAAGGAAGUAUCAAUAUUUGAGAGAGUUGAGAAAACCGCCAUAACUAAUAAAAAUAGUGAUGAGCACAUCAUGUGGAAAAAAAAAAUGAUGACUUGCAGCAGCAUCAGCUUGAAUUCUUGACAAAUGAACAGUAGAAAUGGAGUACUUGAUAAUUAGACUAAAAGGUCUGAAGAGUGAGUAUAAUCAUCUAUUUUCUUACGAAUAUCAAGCAAGAAAAAUGAUCCGCCAACUAUUCUUCUUCCCGAGUAAUCCUAAAAUUUUUUAUUCUUUGUUAAAUAAUUAUUUAUUUAUGUAUAUCGAAAAAAUAUAUAUUCAAUAAUAUUAAUAAUGAUAUAAUUAUAUUUUUUUCUUUAGACACGACGAUAAUUGUAAUAAUAUAGAAUUAUAUUAUUUCAAAUUUUUAUUUACAAAUUUUUACAUAUAUUAUAAAUUGACACCCUAAAAAUAAUUUGGGUCCGUUGUUGGUCUCACGUGAGCCAAAUUCCCAUUGUUGAGGAAUCACUCAACUCCAACUCCUUUAUGGCUCCACCAGAUCAUAUUGGACCUCAAACAAAAGUUAGAACACAACACAUUGCGACAUUUUAGCUUCAAUAUUUAAGGUUGCUAGAUAGGGCUUUGUAAUCACUGGCGGGUUUGGGAACCCAAUAGUUGAACGUAGGGAAAAAGGCAGAUAAAAAGUAUUUUUCAUAAACUCAAAAUUGGAGAAUCAUCAUCAAUUUUUUUUUAAUAUGAUUGGUUAUCCAAAAAUUUUUAUUUUUUUAAUAAAACAUUUAAAACAAGUUUAGAGUUUAUUAAAAAAAAUUUAUUAUAUGCGAAAUCAAAAUUAAGUUCAAGAGUCAAUUACGCUUUGGGGAAAUAUUAGUAUUCCCACAUUGCCCGUUGAAAAUAAUACAAUUGAUUACAUGUUAUUCUUAAUUUUGAUAAAUAAUCCCAUCAUGUGCACCUCCUAAACUCUAUGGACUUGCAAUCACUUGAAUUACCAUUUUGACCUUCUUAUAGCCGAAAGUUACCAACUUAAAUGUUGACUGAAUUUCUUUUAUUUUUCUUCCAAUAUUACACAUUCUAACUUCCACUUGAACUUCACAAACCAAAUCUUGAACUUCUUUUCAUUCUUUAACUUCAAGAUUUCCAAGAAAUUAAUAACUUCUAAGAACAUCAACAGCUUCCCUUCUUAUGCACAAAAAAUAUCAAGAUUGAUCAAGAAUCAUCAGAAAUCUUCCAGAUUUAACUUUUUUCCUCAAGAAAACCUACAAAAUAAAAAAUUAUACCAUUUAGCUAUAAAAAGAACAUUAUUUUGUUAAGAAAUCAAGUAAAAAAUUAAUCAUUUAAGCACUAAAAAUAAGCCCAAACAACUUUAUUUAUAGAGUUAUCAACCCCCCAACUUAAACUUUUAUAUGUCCUCAAGCAAAAAUAAAACCAAACUAGAUGGCAUGUUAGACAUCAUCACACACUCCCAAUAUUAGAUUCUUAUGAUUCCUCAAAAAUGGCAUAAUGACUAUAUCUUAAAAGAAAAUCAUAAGCAUAGAUCCAACACAAAGUUCAUUUAAGAAUAAGCUUGCAUUCCACUCACAAAUUUUCAUGUGUGUGUAAAUAAUCUAUCUCCAAUUAAUUCGAGAUAUUUAACUAAAGCUAAGCAAAUAUGAAAUUAACAAAUCACCUCAAAGCAUGCACAAAUCUCAUAAGUUUGCUUUUCACAUACUCUUUCCACUAAUAUAGCCACAACUUAACCAAAGAUCAAUAGGUUUUUAUUAAGCUUGUAAUGCCAAGUUACGGUUAAGGUAUGAUAAAGGGAAAUUUAGGCUCAUAAACCCCAAACAUGCAUUACAUAGGAUCUGCACUUUUAUGAGAGAACUUCCAAGAAAAUAUAAUGCCCCUAAACUUAAAUUCUUUUUUCUUUUUCUUUUCAAACAAUAACUUUUUAUUGAUUUACAUGAAUACCUUACUAUUUUUCACUUUUUUCUCUUUCACUAUUUUUUCCUUUCUUUACUUUUAUUUUUUUCUUUUUUUCUUUGUUGAAAAGCUAUUUUUAGCGUUUUCUUUUUCUAUCCUUUGCUUGAAACUGAAUUUUGCAUAAUAAUUUCAACUGCAGACUCCACCCUUCCUUUCUAAAUGUAACAUAACUCUUAUAUUUCUUUGAUUAAUCCAUAUACACAUAGGGUAAGGUAGAAAGAAAAAAACAAUAAAUCAAUGGGGUAGCUAAUUUAUGUAGGUGAAAAACAAAGAAAGGAAUAUAUAUUUAUUAGGCUCCAACAGGGGUAACUAGGGAUAAAUAUAAUAAAGGUUAGCUUGAAAGGCUCAAAUGAUCCAAAGAUGGCCUAAAUCAUCUCCCUAGUUAAGUGUGGUAUAAUAUUUCACCUCAAAAGAUGCUCUAACAAAUUCUAAAAUCAAUACAUGACUUCAAAGAUCAAUGCAACUUCACAUCUACACAACUUCAACUAAAUAUACUUACAUCUCAAUGAUCAAGACUAAGUAUGUUUGAAGAAUAUGAAAAUAUUGCAAGUAAAAAGAAACUACUUCAAGAAUUUAUCUCAUGCCUUUACUACAUUCAAACUUUUUAAAAAGCUAUAUUUAAAGUCAAUUAAGGUUAUUAUCAUUGGAUUAUGAGAAAAUAAUCAUAGGAAGUGUAAUGAUUCUAACAUGACAAAAUAAGCUCAAAAAGAAAUUUUGAAAAAAAUUUUGAAAAAAAUUGGCAUAAAUUUUCUUUCCCUUUAAGUUAAAUGACACAUUGUCCCCAAUUUGUGAAAAUAAAGCAUAAAAGCAUGAAAGAGAAAAAAGAUACUCUUACUCCCCUAAAAUGGUAAUGGCUGAAACUGCAUUGAAGAAAUCCACCAUUGCUAAACCUUAUUCUAGCUUCCUUGCUCUUAUUUCCUACAAAAACAAAAUAAAGAAAACCAAAGCAUUACAUGUUCUUAACAAAUCAAACUAAAAGUAAAUAUGCAAACUAAAAAUUAAAAACUUGGGUUGUCUCCCAAUUAGUGCUAGUUAGAGUUAAGCUUGACUAACUCUUUCUAGAACUCUUCAAUCACUUUAUCCUUUUAGGAGGGAGUUUACCUUAUUGUAUUCUCCUUUGUGGUAUUACAUAGACUGAGUUACGUUUAGGAGGUGUACUCAUUUUCCUUGCAAGAAUAAAUCAAGUUGAACUUGGAUUCAUUUUUGGCCUAGAAAUUUCAAGUUCAUGCUUGUAAAAGCUAAGGCUCAUGGGUUUUGCCAAAUGGUCUUUCAAUAACGGACUAGGAGGUUUAGAAAUUAAGUUCAACUUCCUAGGUUUAUCCUUUUCCUUAACUCUUAUUAUUGCUUGAACAUCCUUCUCAUCUCUAAGGAUACCAUAUCCAUCAGUUAUAAAUUACAUUUUCUUGUCCUUAAAUCUCAGUGUAAGAUCACAAUUAUAUACAUCAAUCAAGGUUUUGGAUGUCAAAAACAACAAGGAUGCUUCAUUAUCUUCCAUUUCUAGUACCAUAAAAUCCACAAAAAUGUAUAUUUUCUGACCUUUAGCAACACAUUCUCUAAUAGUUUUUACGAUUUCUUUAUAGAUCUAUUAACAAACUUAAUAGUGCAAUUUGGAUAUUUCAAAACACCUUUUCCUAGUUGCAUGAAAACAUUCAUAGACAUUAGAUUUAUAUUAGAUUUAAGAUCAUAAAAAGCUUCAUCAAAUUUUAAAUGACCAAUUCUACAAAAAAUAGUAAAACUCCCUAGAUCUAUUUUUUUUUAAGAAAGAGAUGUUGAAGUGCAAGACUACACUCUUUCACAAAAAUAGCAUUCUCCAACUCCUUGAGUGGCACUUUCGGUAUAGAUCUAGGUGUUGAUGAUGCUACUUCUAAAGUUUGUCUUUGAUGUUCUUUUUCUUCAUCUUCUUCAGUUAGUUCAUAUUCCUUAUUUUCAUCUUCUUCUUUAAUCUCUUCCUCACUAGGAUCAUGUUUUAUUUCAUCAUGCAUAGACUUUUCCAAAUAAAAAACUUUCCUCAAAACCCUAUUUGACCCAUCUUUUUUUAGGGUAAAAAUGCUAUUAACUUGUUCUUUACCUUGUCUUUUAGGGUUGUGCUUAGUAUUGCUAGGUAAGGUUCCCUAAGGGCAAUUAUUGAGGCCAUUUACAAGCUGACCAACUUGCACUUUAAGGUUCUUUAUAAAGGCUACUUGGUUUUGUAAAAUCUAAGUGAACAUUUCUUCUAAGGAUGGUUUUUUUUCUUGGGUUAUGGAGGUGGAUGGUGUUGUUGUGGUGGUGGUGGUUGGAAACUAGGUGGGUUAACAUGUCUAUUAUAGGAAUUAAAAACUUGCCCUUAGUUAUUACCCUAUGAAAAAUUAGGAUGUUGCUUCCACCUUGGAUUGUAGGUAUUAGAGUAUGGAUUGUAUUGUUGCUUGGGUUGAGCAACAUAAUGGACUGGCUUUACUCUAAUGGGACACUGUCAUAACGUAUAGAUUCAUGGACUUAUCGCUAGAUAUGAUUUUUCAGGAGUUGCCACCAAUCUUUUUUGUUUAGGUGUGAUUGGCCACCUGAUUGAAUUUGUCCCAUUUAAAAGGGAGUUCCAAGAUUAACUUAGGUAUCUUUAAAUAGUAGAUUCUGAUCCAUGAAAUCAUAUUUUAGGUUCAAGAGUACAAUUACCUGUGAAGAAGGUUAUAGCACCCCACAGACCCAUCCAAAAUAUGAUACCAGUUUGAUUUCAAAUUAUCCAAGCCUUAAAUAUGUUUAUAGUUUACCAAAAUAUUUAUUUUUGAAAAUUAAUCUUAAAAUUACCCCAAUUGUUUGGUAGUAAUUUAAUAUAAUUCUCUUACCUCAUGAGUAUUCACGGAGACUAGUGUUUUAUUUUGAAGAGGCUCCAUUUUCGGAUUUAUUAAUGUAUUUUAUUCAAAAAAAAUAGAAAAAUCCUCCAAUAGUUUGGUAGGAUUUACUUUAAGGCAAAUCUUUUAAUAGUUUAAUGAGAUUUUAUUUGAAAAUGGUUAUAAAAAUUUUAUUCUUUCGAGAAAACUCAUUAAAUCUCCUAAUAGUUUGGUAAUAUUUAACUUGAGAUGCAAUUUUCCAAGAGCUUGGUAGGAUAAAAAAUCAUUUUUUUCAUUUUUUUGAAUUUUAUUUAUGGAACUUCCAAUAGUUUGGUGGAUUCCAUAAAAUUUAAAUUCAUAAAAAUUCUCUAUAGUUUGGUAGGAUUCAUGAAUUUAUUUGAAAAGAUUUUUCCUUUAUUUUUUGUUUCUUUUAUUUCUUUAUUUUUUUAAAAAAAAAAAAUAGAAUUUUAUAAAAUAUUUAACAAAUAACAAAUUGCUUAAUAAAAAUAAAUAAAUAAUAAAAGUUAGCAAAAUAAAUAAAAAAUUGAAUAUAAAAUAAUAUAAAAAUAUUUCAAAAUAUAAAAUAAAUAAAAAUAAAAUCAAAAAAUAAAAAUAAAAAUAAAAUGAAAAAAAGGAAACCUGCGAUCAAGUCAGGUUAAAGCACAGGUCAGCAUGCGAAUCAAUGGGUCACAUACAGAUAUGGGACCUUUAAAACGAUGUCUUUUGGUUUGCUAUAAAAGCCAAGUUCCUCAUUUUCUCUUUAAAAGCCUCAGUCUCCUCUUUUUCUCGCCUCAAACACUCUGACCUCUCUCUAAAAAAACUAAGAAUGUUCAAUCGAAAACUGAAAAUUUUCAUCGAUUUCUAGAAAAAUAGUCAAAAUCCCAUGGAAAGCUCAAACCUUGCUAAAAAAUUUAACUGAAAAUUUCAAAAAUUCAUCCCAAACCUAGAUUUUUUUAGAUAUUUCUUAGAAAAUCCCAUAUUUUUGCAAAAAUCUAAUCUUCAAUCAAGAAAUCUAGAAUCUCAAGCCCCACACUCCAAAACAGAAAUUUGAAAUCCAAACCGUUCCUAAAACUAUUAAUUCUAAACUUCCAAAACCAAAAUCUCAAAACCUAACCACCCAGAAAACUUUUCAGAAUUUUAAACACCAAACAUUUUCUCCUUCCAAAAACCAAUCAUCUCGUUCUUUCAGUCUUUUAUUCAAUUUAUAGCCAUCUUUAGUAGAGAUUUUAAGGAUAAGAUAGAACCAAUCCUGGGAUUGGAUUCUGCUCGAACCUGAUUUUAAAACUAAUUCUUUAAUGAUUUGUUUGGACUGAAUGAAAAUCCUUUGAUUUGGUUUUGAUUGACUCUUUGACCGAGUAGACUGAAUUCCCCUUUACUCCUAAUUCUACGAUCGUAGAUUGAAAAAAAGAAAAGAAAGAAAAAUGAUAAAAUAAAAUAAUAAUAAUAAUUAUAUAAUAAUAUAAUAUAUAUAUAAUAUAAUAUAAUAAUGCUAUAAUAUAAUAGUAAUAAUAAUAAUAAUAAUAAGAUGCUAUAAUAUAAUAAUAUAAUAAUAACAAUAAUAUAAUAUAAUAUAAUAUAAUAUGAUAAUAUAAUAAUAAUAAUAUAAUAUACCAUACUAUACUAUACUAGUAAUAAUAACAAAAUAAUACUAAUGCUAAUAGCGAAAUAAUAAUAGUAAAAAUAGACUCCAAUUGACCCCGGACACAGAUAGGUAUCUAUAACUGUCCCUCUUUACAUAUUCUUUUUAGACAAGGAUGAUGCAAAAACCUAGACAUCCAUUUUGUUCUAGUUUAAAAACAAAAGCCAAAUCAAUAAACAAAAAUGACUGGGACUAAGCCACAAGUCUAAAAAAUGAUUUGGACUGAUCCGAGAUUGAACAACCGAGAUUAAACUACAAGUUUGGAAAAUGAUCUGGACUAAGCCAAGAUCGAGCGACCGAGAUUAAACCAAAAGUUUAAAAAGUUGAUUUGGACCAAGUCGAGGUUGAACCUAGGUGACCGUGGUCAAGCCAAGGUUAAACGAUGAUUUAGAUGGAGCUGAGAUUAAAUGACCAGGAUUGAAUCAUAAGUCUAGAAAAUGAUCUGUAUUGAGCCAAUAUCAAGCGACCGGGGUUAAAUCACAAGUCUGAAAAAUGAUCUAGAUUAAGCCAAGGUCGAGAGAUCGGGAUUGAACCGCAAGUAAAAAACUAUUUGGACUGAGCUGAGGUAAAAAAUGAAUGAUAAUGCAAUGACACAAAUGCAUGUCCUAUCUAGGAUGCAAAUGUAAAUACAAUGUAAACACGGUGUAGUGCAGAUGUUACUAAAUAAAUGCCAUGAAAUUUCAAUUAUGGUAACACAGUUAUCAAAACUCCAUCAUCUCAUAUAUUCUAUCUCAACUUCUCAGCAUUAAUGAUCUUAGAACAAACCUCAUCAUUCGAUCUAUGUUGUUGCCUUCAUUUGGUCACAACUCACAAGUUAUAUUGAUCAAUCCAUCAUUGUAUUUGCAUCUGUGUUUGCCCCAUUUUUUUUCAUUUUUUGUUUUAUUUUCUCAGGCUUCCUCUCAGGCCUCUCACUUACCUCAUCUUAGAUUUCUUUCAAAAAGAUGGGAACAUUGUCAUUGCAUUUAUAUUACCAUCAUUCAAAUUGGGGUGACAAACAUGAUACAUUUUCUUGAUUUCAUUCAGGGGAUGUAACAUCUUAGUAAUGAAUAGGAAAAAUGGAUGCUUAUUAUGAAAGAAAAAAGAAAAGUAUGGUCCAAGAACAACUCAAAGAUAAAUGAAAGCAAAAUGAUGUGACUAAUGUAACAAGAUAAUCAACAUCUAGAAUAAUAACAGUUUUAGACAAUUUGAAACUCUAACUUAGAAUUCUCUUUAAAAGACACAUUCCAUCAAUAUUUUCAAUCUUUGAGCCAAUCAUCAUCUUCAUUCCUGGGACCCUUACAUGAUGUUGUUUCUUCAAGUUUCCAUCUUUACUUAAAUUGCCUUUUCAGGUUUUCAGUUUAAGUCAACCCCUUUUUUUUUUUUUUUGCACACCUUAUUCUCAUUUUUUCUUUUCAUUUCUCAUUUCUCUUUAUCAAUCAAUGACACUUCAAUCAAAGUUUUAAAUAAUCUAAUGACAAAUCUACCUUAAUUCAAUUCAUUAUUCUCUAAUUUGAGUAUUCACAUUCGAUCAAAAUGAACUUUUAAAAGAUGUAACAUAAGGUGAUGGGUUAUGAAAGAAAUUAAUGAAACAGGUCCAAAUUGUAUUUAAAGUGUUAUCAAACCAAGAAUCAUUUUUCAUGUAGAGCACAUUAGCAUUUUGCCCUAUCAAUUUCUUCUUUAUUUUUUUUUCUUUUUUCUUUUUCAUUAUUUUUCAAGAAAAAUUUGAGCACAAAAGGGCUUUGCCUUUGAAAUCACUAAGGAUAAACAAGCUUCUCAAACUUUGCCUCCUAGUGUAGGGGUGAUCUUUGGUUAGGAUUUCUUAAAAAAAAAUUUUAACAUGUUCAAAUAGGGUAGCAAAAGAUAAUUUUAUUCUUUUUUUUUAAAGGUAGAAGAAAGAUGACCAUUUUUUAUCUCAAACAUAAAUACUCUUAAUGAAAAACAUUUAUCGAUCAAGAGCAGGCCUAUGAAUGAAUAAUUGCAAAGAUCAUGUGUUACAUCACUUCUAAAAGUCUUCUCUAGAUUUGUCUUUUUUUUCAUUCAAUAGUCCUAAUGAAUUAGCAAUCUCUCUUUAUCAAUCAAAUCAUCAUGAAUGAUGUCUUCAAAAAUGAAUCUUGAAUUAUCAUCAUAACUAUCUAAAUAUUCAUUAUUUGGAAUCAAAGAAUAGAUAUGAAAAAAAGGUAUAAGAAGGUAAAAGUAAAUAAUGGUGACUCACACAAAAAAGAAUGUCAUGAAAAUGCAUCAAAUCUGUCAAUUUUAUUAAAAUGAUGAAAAACAAGAUGAAAUCCAAGUACAUAAAAGAGAUCCAUAUGCUUAAGAAAUCCUAAGAUGAUAAUAAAAAAUCAGCCUCCCUAUAAUCAUGCCUCUGGGUGAUUGGACAAUGGGUUACCAUUGACAUUAGGUGUUGUGUUUACAUCGGUGUCAAAGCUUAUCAACCCUACUUUAAUUAGACUUUGUAUUCUAUGUUUCAAAAGGAUAUAAUUUUUGAUAAAAUGACCAACCACCCUAUAAUGAUAGUCACAAUGAGCAAUGAAAUCAUACCAUUUGGGAUAAAGAAGUUCAAAUUAUUUUGCACGAAUGGGAGCAAUCAAGUGAUUUUUGUAAAACUUUUGGUAUAGUUUUAUGUAGCUCAUAGGAAUAGGAUCAAAAGUAGGUUUUUUCUAUUUCAUGAUUCUUAAACACCACUUGUUGGGUAGUUAGAUGAAUAGAGGGCCUAGUUCUAAAUAGAUAAAAAGGUCGUGUAGUUGAUUGGUAGGGUGAAACAUAAGCAUGACUUAUAGUACAUGAUAUGUAGAUAGAUCGACGGAGGGUAGUUUCUGAAUUACUGUCUUUCAAAACUCACAACUUGAGUCUCACUUUCAUUUUUCUUAGGCACCCUUUUAGCAGCAAAAGAUUCUCUUUCUUCUAGCUUAUCAUUUUUAUUGCAUUUUCAAUGAUCUCACCCAAAAUCACCAUAUCAGUAAAAUUUUUAGUCACAUUCCCUAUCAUCUUCUCAUAGUAUGGUAACUUUAAAGUGCUUAUAAAUAGCACCAUCGUUUCUUUCUAUAUUAGUGGUGGUUGUACUUAAGUGACGACAUUUUAUCACCUUUGGGCAUACUCUUUGAAAGACUCAAAUGCUUUUUUCUCCAUUCCUUGUAAUGAAAAGUGAUUAAGAGCCAUAUCUAUGAUGUGAUGGUAUUGGUUGAUAAAAGAUUGAGUUAAAUCUUUCCACGAUCUUAUGCGAGUCCUGCCUAAGUAAACAUACUACCUUACAACAAACUUGCUUAAGCUAUCUUGGAACAUAUGCAUCAGUAAUUUCUUAUUGCUAGCAUGUGUUACCAUCUUACGAUAAUACAUUAUGACGUGUGUAAUGGGACACUUAGUACCAUCAUACUUCUCAAAUUUUGAUACUUUAAAUUUUGGAAGAAGCAUAACAUUGGGACCAAAUAAAGGUUGGUUGCAUUCAUGAAGCCAUAAAAAUCUAUUCAUUCAAUAGCUUGCAAUCUUUCUUCAAUCAUGCUUAUUGUUUGAUCAGUCUUAAAGUUUUUUGAAGACAUAACCAUUUGCAACUUCGUUGUUUCUUUUAUCUCAUUCAGAUUGGAGAUUUGGAUGGGUUCAUUUACCUUUUCAGUGAAGAUGGGAUUAGUGUAAUCUGAACAUUCCCUUGACUAGGUGCACAAGGCAUUCUUAAGUAACUAUAACUUAGCAACGUGGUCUAUUGUGGCUAAAGUUUGAAAUGAUUUAGGUUUGAUGCAAAUCGAACCCUGAAAGAUACAAUGACUCAGUAAUUUCAUGUGAAAUAUCUCCUUCUACUACUUUCCCUUUGUUUAUCUUUUCUAGAGCUUUAAAGAUCUUACUUAGCUUCCCCUUAAUUAUCUCCUGAGCUUUUUCCAGCCCUUCAAAAUGGUUUAGGUUAUCCUAUUCCAUCUUUUUGGCUCUAACCCGGGGUAAUAUUAGUGUUGAGCUAUGCUUAAACUUUAAUUUCUCAUAAUGUGUAAAUUUACAAUGAUGUCUAUGGAACCCUCAGAUUGUGCAUGAACAUAAAUGCAAAAACAAAAUUCAUGAAUGCAAUAAGGAGAAUUUACUACAUAACCUUCAGAUGCUGCAUCAAAAUGAAUGUAAAAAUAAAAUGUUUGAAUACAAUAAGGUGAAUUUACCACAUAACAAUUGUUAUCAAAGAAAAUCUUUAUUGAAUUAAAAAUCAUUUUUAACCAAAUCCAACAUUACAUCCAUGAAAAAUCUAGAACUACUGGGAAAAGAAACCCAUAACUCGUCGAUAUUGGCUUUGCACUUUAUUAAAGAAAUCUAUCAAUUUUUGACUAUGUGCUCCCAUUGGUGGCACCCUUGCUUUCUAUUUUUCAAUCUUUUCUAUCAUGUCCUUGGCUUUGUAAAUAGCCAUAGUGAUUCGAUCAAAUAGAGACUUCAACUGGUUAUGUUUUUUUACAUAUGCUUCAUACACUUUGCUCACUUUUUUAGUCACAGCCUUUAUUUGUGCUCUAAUUCCCCACCACUACUCUCAUUUAGCAUUGAUUGCUUUUGUGCUUUAAAACAACAUUUCAUCCUUUCUUGUUAGCUUUGUUGGCAAUUAUUUGUUUGUGUAAAAAUUGGGCAUUUCUAAAUAGUGGUUGAUCAUGUUGUGGAUAAGUCAGUGAAAAAAUCUUUCAUGCAUCGUUUUUUGUUCAACAUGCUGAACUUCCCCUUUUGCUCUUGUUGCCAGUGGUCAACUCUUUAGACCCCUUUUUAGACCUAAUACAAGACUUGGCUAGGUUGUCCAUAGGAUGCAACUGAGAUUUUCCCCUUGUAAAAUUUUUUGGUGGCAAAUAUUCUUAUGAUAACAUCUAAUGAUGUUGAAAUGCAAUGAUAAAAAAAAGGGUUAGUAAAAAAUAAUAUUAAAAAAGCAGUAUAUAGGAUACAAAGUGCUUACAAGUAAAAUAAACAUCCAAUCAUAUGUCCUAUUUAGGAUUUUCUAACACAAGGGAAGACAUGGUUCUAUUUAUGAUUAGGCUUUUAAAGUUAACUAUACGCGGUUUGAAUUACUUUUAAAAGGUUCUCAAAUUGUUCCUUACAUCAUUGUCCAUCACAGACUAGUAAGGCACCCUAAUCUUCGCCCAUCAUAAGCUACAAACAAAAAUGAUCCAAUUUUAGUGAGAGUAUUUUGUAGGCCCAAGUGGAGACAUGAAAUCUCACAACGGCAUAGGUAGUUGACUCCUUCCUAAAGGUAAAGCUUAGGUGGAGAGCUUAUGUUAUGCACCAUGCAAGUAAGUGAUAGAUAUAUAUAUAUAAAUGAAUAACUAAAUAAAAUAUAAGCAAUGAAAAGACAUAAAUAGGAAAAUAAUUUCAAUUUUUUAAGCAAGGCUUGAAUAAUAAGAAAUCAUUUACUAGCUUCACUCUUAAUGUCCCUAGUGGAAUCAUCAAACUGUCAUAAUAUAUAAAUCUGUGGACCUAUCGCUAGAUGUGGUUUCCAGGAGUUGCCACCAAUCUUUUUUAUUUAGGUGUGAUUAGCCACCUGAUCGAAUCUAUCCCAUUUAAAAAUGAGUCCCAAGAUUGACUUAGCUAUCUUUAAAUAGUAGAUUCUGAUCUAUGAAACUAGAUUUUAGAUUUAGGAAUAUAGUUACAUGUGAGGAAGGUUAUAGCACCUCUAUAGCACCUAUCCAAAAGAUGGUACCAAUUUGAUUUCAAAUUAUCCAAGCCUUAAAUAUGUUUAUAGUUUACCAAAAUAUUUAUAUAUUGAAAAUUAAUCUUAAAAUUAACCUAAUAGUUUGGUAGCGAUUUAAGAUAAUUCUCUCACCUCAUGAGUAUUCAUGGAAACUAUUGUCCCACUUUAAAAAGGCUCCACUGUCAAAUUUAUUAAUGUAUUUUAUUCAUUAAAAUUAGUAAAGUCCUUCAAUAGCUUGGUAGGAUUUACUUUGAGGCAGAUCUACUAAUAGUUUGGUGAGAUUUUAUUUGAAAAUAGUUAUAAAAAUUUUAUUCUUUCACGAAAACUCAUUAAAUCUCUCAAUAAUUUGGUAAGAUUUAACUUGAGAUACAAUCCUCUAAUAGUUUGGUAAGAUAAAAAAUUUAUUAUUUUUCAUUUCUUUUAAUUUUAUUUAUGGAAUUUUCCAAUAGUUUGGUGGAUUCUAUAAAAUUUAAAUCCAUGUAAAUUCUCCAAUAGUUUGGUACGAUUUAUGAAUUUAUUUGAAAAUAUUUUUUCCUUUAUUUUUUAUUUCUUUAUUUCUUUUUUUAAAUAAAAAUAAAAUUUUAUAAAAUAUUUAACAAAUAAUAAAUUAUUGAGUAAAAAUAAAUAAAUAAUAAAAGUCAAUAAAAUAAAUAUAAAAUUGAAUAUAAAAUAAUAUAAAAUUUGCAAAAUAUAAAAUAAAUAUAAAUAAAAAUAAAAUGAAAAAAGAAAAACCAACGAUCGAGUUGGGUUGAAGAGCGGGUCAGCACAUGGGUCAACGGGUCAUGUGUGAAUCUGGGACCUUCAAAACGUUGUCGUUUUGGAUUGCUAUAAAAGCCAAGUUCCCUGUUUUCUCUUCGAAGCCUCAGUAUCCUCUCUCUCUCUAGCCUCAAAUGCUUUGACCUCUCUUUAGAAAAACCAAGAAUGUUCAACUGAAAAUUGGAAAUUUUUGCCAGUUUCUAGAAAAAUAACUGGAAUCCUAUAAAAAAACUGAAACAUUGUCGAAAAAUUCAACUAAAAAAUUCAAAAUUUCAUUCCAAACCUAGAUUUUUCUAGAUCUUUCCCAAAAUUUUCCAUAAAUCUAAUCUUCAAUCAAGAAACUCAUAAUCUCAACCCCCACACUCCAAAACAAAAUUUGAAAAUCCAAACCCUUCAUAGAAUCUCUAAUUCUAAACUUCCAAAACCAAAAUCUCAAAACCUGACCACCCAAAAAACUUUCUAGAAUUUUAAACACCAAACCUGUUCUCCUCUAAAAAAUCAAUCGUAUUGUUCCUUUAGUCCUUUAUUCAAUUUAUAGCCAUCCUUAGUAGAGAUUUUAGGGAUCGGUUAGAACCAAUCCAGCCUUGAAUCCUGGGAUUGGAUUUUGCCCAAAACUAAUUUUAAGACAAUUUUUUGCUGAUUUGUCUGGACUAAAUAAAAAUCCUUUAAUUUGGUUUUGACUGACUCUUUAACUGGGUAGAUUGAAUUCCUUUGAUUCGAUCAAUUCUAGAAUUUAGUUUCUUAAUUCUACAAUGAAAAUUGAAAGAAAGAAAGGAAAGAAAAAUGAUAAAAUAAUAAUAAUAAUAAUAAUACUAUAAUAUAAUAAUAAGAUACUAUAACAUAAUAUAGUAAUAACAAUAAUAAUAUAAUAUAUACAAUAUGAUAUAAUAUAAUAUGAUAAAAUAUAAUAUGAUAAUAUAAUAAUAAUAAUAUAAUAUACCACACUAUUCUAUACUAGUAACAAUAAUAAAAUAAUACUAAUACUAAUAGUAUUGACCCCGGACACAGAUGGGUGUCUACAGACACCUAUCUAAAGAAUGGUUCCUUCCAUAAUUAUCAUAAGAAACAAAAGGACUUUGAAUGGCAUUAAUAGGACUACAGAAAGGUUAGAUCCUAAGUUUUCAAUCUUUUUGGCUAAGGCUGAAACUUGUGAAGUGAAAGUAUUAAGUGCAUCAAGUUCAUAUACCUCAACCGAUUUCUUAGGCACAAACCUCUCAUUGGCCCAUUCAUACUUAUUCAUGGCCAUUUCUCUAUUCAAAUCAUAAGCUUCAUUAAUGAACUUACCCAUUAAAGUGCCACCAUUAGCAACAUUAUGGUGGUCCUAGUUGGACCUACUAACCCAUUAUAAAAAAUUUGAACUUACAACCAUUUAGAUAGGCCAUGGUGAUGACACCUCCUUAAUAGCUUUUUAUAACUCUCCCAUGCAUCAAAAAGAGAUUCGGCCUCAAAUUGCUUAAAAGAUGUAAUGUUAUCGCGCAUCUUAGCUAUCUUAAAUGGAGGAAAGAAAUGGGUCAAGAAUUUUUAAACUAAGCCAUCCAAGUAAUAAUUGGACCAAGAGGUAGAGAUAUGAGCCUACUCUUUGCUUUAUUCUUGAAAGAAAAUGGAAAAAGUCUUAGUUUAGUGGCAUCAUUAGUAACACCAUUUUGUUUAAAAGUAUCACAAAUCUCAAGAAAAUUAGUAAGAUGAAUGUUGGGGUCAUCACUAGGUAAACCACAAAACCAAAUAGAGUUUGGAACCAUAUUGAUAAUAGAUCAUUUUAAUUCAAAAUUGUUAGCCUAAAUGACUAGCCUACUAAUGCUCGACUGAAAACCAUCUAGCUAAGGGAUAGCAUAGCCUUAAGUGUUCUCUUAUUUUCUUGUAUUUAAUCAAUCAUAGAUGAAACAAAAGUUGUUUGCUUCUUACCUUUUUUAUCUUUCCAAGUGUUUUUCUCAAUUUCUUUAUCUAAAGGUACUAAACUAGCACUCUUAAUCCUUGGCAUACAAAACAAGAAUAACCAAACAUAUUAAAAACAAGAAAAAUAAAAUUUAAGCUACAAAUAGAGAAAUUAGUAUUGAUAUUGCACAUACUCCUUCAACAAUCCCUGACAAUGGUACCAAAAACUUGAUGGGUAAUUUAUAGGUGCACUAAAUCGUUCAAGUAAAUAAUGAUAAGAAUAAGAGUACCAUCCCACAUAUAUUGUGUAUAUGAGAUCAUAAGUACCAAAAUUGUAUAUUUCACACUUAUACUUAGAUAUAUCAAAUCAAAGAUAAUAUAAACUAAUGAAAUAAAACCUAAAACAUGCACUGCUAAUAUAAACCAAACUAAAUCAAACUAAAAAAAUAACUAAAAAUAGAUUAAACAGAAACCGAAUAAACAAGUGUAACAAAACCCAAACUAACUAAGCAAUAAUAAACCAACUAACAUAUAAUAAACCAUAAACUGAAAUCAACUAAUCAACUAAACAUGCAAUAUAAAUCAAAAGCAGUGAAAACCGAAACUAUAAAGAUCCAAUAAGCAAAACUAAAUAUAAACCCUAAAACAAUUAACAUGCAAUUUCAAUAAAACCAACUUAAACCAAAACAUUACUUAUCUUUAAAAUCAUGCAAUAAACUUAAAUUAAUCUUUAAACAUGCAAUUAAACCAAAUUAAAUCAAAAUAGAAAUCAAAUUUAUCCAAUAUAUGAAAACUGAAAAUAACAAAAUCGUAAUCUCAUGCAAUUUCCUAAAACCCUAAUAUAAAAAUCCUAAACAAAUAAAAUGAACCCUAAAUAUGCAAUAAUAAAUUAAAAUCAAUUAAAAUAUCUAAAACAGAACUUAAUUAAAUUCAAAAAGUCUUAAACCAAAUAGAAUAAGCAAGAACUUAAACAAAUAAAUCAAGAUUUCAUCCUAAACAUGCAAUCUAAACAAAUUAAGCUAAAACUAAAUUAAAUCCAACCUUAAACUUGAUAACCAAAACCUUUAAUAUAAAUUAAAGUUACAAUUGAAUAAAUUGAACCAGAACAAAAAAUUAACCAAAAAGAUUAAACCAAAAAAAAAAAAACAACUUGUAAACAUAAAGAACCAAAAUCAAAAAGAAAGAUUCAAUCUUUAAACUAAUAACACUAAACCAAAUGAAAAGAAACUUUAAACCAGAAUUUGAUUGGUUGAAAAUUUAAAAACAAUAUGUAUAAAUAAUCUUGAAAACCAGAAAAGCAAAAGACCAUAAAAUCUUUAAAAUAAAAGCUUGAAAACUAAAGACAACUUAAAGAAAACUUAGAAACAAGAACCCUAAAAAUCACUAAUAAGUUGGUUUGUCACCCCAAUCCCUUACACCCUUUAUUCUCAAACUUAAUGAUGUAGUUAUAGGCUAUAAAAACCCUAGAUAGGUUUGACCAAGAGAUCUUGAAAAAAGCUUGCACAAUUUCUGUUGGAAUUGAACUUUUAAAUCCAAGAAUGCCUCUUGUAGUUGAAUCCAACAAGAACUCUUUAAAAAGAAAGCUUAUAAAUCAAUCUUGACUUUUAAAUCAUAUUCAUCCUUAUUCUAAUCAUGUAGCAACUGACAUCAUGCAUAAAACAAUACUAUAACUAAAUCUUGAAUACCCAAAGAAUUGCAUCCGAACAAAAUACAUAAUCUUCUUAAAUGUUGCUUCAAAUUGCCUUGAUCUUAUAUCCAUCACGUAGUCUAUGCUUGCUUGACUUCUUGCUUGAAAAAUUAGAGUUUUAAACCAUGUAGAAUAUUUCGUUAGUGUCACCCAUAAAGAAUCGAAUUAAAUACUUCGUGCAAUCUUACUCCAAGUAGGAAUAAGAAUACCAACUCAUAAUCUAUAUAGGAAAUCCAAAUCCAAGUAGGAUAAGUAAUUAGAAUUACCACCUCAUUAUGCCAUAUCAUCUUUCUUAACCAAUAAGGAAACUCUUUAUACCAUAUCAUCCAAUAGUAAUCCUAUGCAUGUGCACCUAUAUAAGCUACCAUGGACUUGUAUUCACUUGAAAUUACAAUUCUAACCUUUUUUAUAGCCUAAAUUACCAACUUGAAUCUUGCAUGAAUUUUUCUCAUUUUUCUUCAAGAUUGCAUCAUUCUAACUCCAUUAAACUUCACAAAAUAAAUCUUGAACUUCUUUUCUAUUUUUUAGCUUCAAGAUUUUCAAGAAAAUUAAGAACUUAUAAGAACAUCACAAGAUUCCUUCUUAUACAUAAAAAUCAUCAAGAUUGAUCAAGAAUCAUCAAGAAUCUCUCAAAUUUACCCUUUUCUGCAAGAAAACCUACAAAACAGAAAAUUAUGCCAUUUAGGAGUAAAAAGCAUAUUAUUUGCUAAGAAUCAAGCAAAAACCAAUCAUUUAAGCACUGAAAACAAGCCUAAAUAAGUCUAUUUUAUAGAGUUAUUAGUGGGAAAGUUUUACUAGCCAUUAUGGAUGUUUACACUUCAUGAGAGCAUAGCUAUUUUACUUCUUCUUAUAAAGGAUUAGAGCUCGCAUAUAGAGCUUAUGCAUGUAAUAUAGAUGUGAGUGUGUGCGAAAGAACAUACAAAGCUUUCACAUUUUUCUAAAAUAACCCUAUCCAAAAUGCUUCACAAUUAUUAAAAGUAAAAUAAACAACAACAAUUUAAAAUAAAGGACAUGAUUAAAAUAUGCAUGAAAUGUAAAACACACAUAUAUUUUUUUUUUGGAUUUUAUGCUCUUUAAAGACAAAAAAUUAAAGUUAAAACAUUUUUUGAUUUUUUUACUUUUUUGGAAAACAAGAAAAUUAAAAUUAAGAAAUUAAGAUUAAAUAUUAACUAAGACCAUUAAUCCAAAAUUUAGGAUAAAUUGUAAUCAUUCUUUGGCUUGACUAUCAAAAAAUGCAUUCCCUAAAGAAGUCUCAAGCUGUCGUAACAUACGGGUCCAAGAACCAAGUCAUUGGACAUAGGGAAAAAGGCAAGCAAAAAUUAUUUUCAAUAAAAUCAAAAUCAAUGAAUCACCACUAAUUUUUUUUUAAAUGUGAUUGGUCACACAAAAAACCUUAUCCUUUUAAUCAAACAUUUAAAAUAAGUUUAAAGUUUAUUAAAUGAAUAUUUGUGGUCUGCGAAAUCAAAGUUGGGUCAUGGAGUUGGUUACACAUAAGGAAGGAUUAGCACCCCACAGUGCUCGUUGAAAAUGAUACUAAUUGAUUGCAUGUCAUCCUUGAAUUUUGGAAAAAACAGUCUUAUUAAAUGUUUAAAAAUUAAUUCCUUUCUUUUACUUGUUUAUUCAAAAAAUUGAAUCUUUUUUUAAAUUUUCUUUUGAAGGGAAAUAUUUUUUUAAUCUUUUUUUGAAAAAGAAAAUAAUUUAUUUUUGGAUCAAGAUAAAAAAUCACAAGUAUCAAGAUACUUCCUUCACUUCCCUAUAUUUUGGUAGAGUUUGAAAAGUGCCUCUAACUUAGGAGUUUUUAAAUUGUCUUAUGAAAACUAAUGUAACACUUCGCGUGAGUGAUAACCAUCGAAAAUCCUUCUAUAUUUAGCCCAGAUCUCGAAGGUUAUUUUUACAUGAAAUAUUACUUUAUUUUAAAACACUUUACUUAAAAAGACUUUUUUUUUAUAAAAUAUAUGCAUGGUAUGCAUGAAUACAACAAUGUAUAAUAUAUGCAUGAUAGUUGAAAAUGAAUGAUAAAAUGUAAAUGUAUGACAAUUCAAGAAUGCAUGUAACAAUAAAGUAAAAUGAGAUGCAAAUUAGGGGUGGCUCAUAAUGCAAAGCCCCCCAAAAAUUUUGAAACCUUUUUAAUAUGUAUAUAUAUAUAUAUAUUUGUAUUCGAUACAUUUAAACUGGUCCUCUAAUAAAAAAUGUUAAUUUUAUUGUUUUUUGUAUUUUAUAAAUUAAAUUUAUGUAUUGUAAUUUAAAAGAUGUUUAAAUUAUAUUUAUAUUUGUUUAUUUAUUAUAUCUAACAAUUAUUACUUGUAAAUUCUCACAUUUAUAUUUGUUAACAACUCUUUUCCUUCAUAUAUUUUUUACUUGUAUUUUUACUUUAGAUCUCUUUUACAUGUUGUAAUUCUUUUUUCAACAAAAAGAUCAUAUUUGAACUACUUUAUAAAAGGAUAGAAAAACACCAAACCUCUACUCUUAAGUUUUCAUUUUUAUUCUUUUAAAAGUAUAUAUUAGUUUUCUUGUUUUGAUGAAAUGUUUAAUGAUUGAUUUAUUGAUACUUUUUUAUUUCACUUUUAUAUAGUAAAAAAAAACUAAUUUUUUUAAUUAGUAAUUCAACAGUUAAUUAUAAAUCAUGUUAUUAUUAAAAUUAUAAUAUUGUCAUAGUAAUAUUUUAAUUUUAUAAUUUUAUACUUUUAUCAUGUUUUUAUUAGUAUAUUGUUUGCCUAUAUAUUUAUUAAUAAGUAUAAUAAAAUAUGCCUUAGAAAAAAAAUUAUAUAUUAUUAGUUAGCCCCUCUAAAUUAUAUGUCAAGAUUCGUCAUUGAUGCAAAUGCAUGAAUGGGAUAAGUGUCGGUUUAAGGGUUUAGGGAUUGGUUUGGUUUUUAGGGUUUAAGGUAGGUUUGAUUCAAUUUUUGGGUUGGUUUGGUUCGAUUUUGGGGUUGGUUUUCGAUUUAAAGUUUAGGGUUUGUUUAAGGUUUGGUUUAGGGUUUAGAAUUGGUUUAGGGUCAUGGUUAUAAUUUAGGCUUUAGUAUAGGUUUAGAGUUUUGGUUUAGGGUUCAAGGUUUAGGAUUUAGGGUUUUAGGGUUUAAGGUAAGAGUUUUGGUUUAGGGUUUGGGAUUUAGGAUUUAAGUUUAGGAUUCAAGGUUUCGGUUUAGUGUUUGGGGUUUAGGUUUGAUUUAAGGUUUUAGAUUUUGGUUUAGAGUUUAGGGUUUAGGGUAUUGGCUUAGGGUUUUGGUUUAAGGUUUAGGGUUUAGAGUUUGGUUUUAGUGUUUAGGUUUAGGGUUUAGGGUUUGCAUGUAAAAAAAUUCAACAAAAAUGCAACCUUUAAUGCAUGAAAAAUGGAUGAAUGUGAAGACCAAGACCUUGGCAUAUUUACAAACAUACCAUAAACUAAACAUGCAUGUAACAACAUAGUAAAAAUGGAUCAAACAUCGAGGAUUUAAAGACAAGAGGUUUGGCCAAGCUAUGAUUAAAGGCAUAAUUGAAACUUUAAGGCCAUUUUUCAUGUCCAUUAAUGGCUAAAAAAAAUAGAAAUGGCUCUACCAUUUUUGUUUUAAACCAAACACAUGCAAACAAAAUAAAAUCUCCAAAAAAGUUUACUAAUUCGACACUUUUAUUCAUUAAGGAUUUCUUCUAACACAUAGCUAACAUAGAGGAAUAACUAAAGAUAUAAUAAAACAAGCAUGGAAAGAGCAACAUUUAGCCAUCAAACAUAUGUGGCAGGUUUGGCCAAGCAUUAGGAAAGACUUGGCCAAAACAUGGCCGUUCCAAACACACAUCUUUCAUUUAGCUUGAACCACUAAAACAAUCAACAAUCAUGCAAUAACAUAUAGUAUAACAUUCAAAUCAUCCAAAUUCAUUAUUCAAAGCAAGAAAAACAUGAAAUAAACCAAUAAAAGGUUCGACCAUAUCAUAAUGGUUUUAGAGCCACCCGACAAAUUUGAAAAUGAAAAUAAAAAAAUGGAAAACGAAGUCACCACCAAUCUUUUUUUGGCUAGGUGUAAUUGGCCACCUAUUAAAAUUUAUCUUUUUAAUAAAAUCUUAAAAUUUAUUAAAAAGAUGAUUUUAUGGUCGACAAAAUAGUCUGGGUCUGAAAGUCGAUUAUAGAUAAAGAAGGAUUAGUACCCCCAUAGUGCCUAUUUAAAACAAUUCCAAUUAUUGCAUCUUAUCCAUUAAUCCUGACAAAAACAGUCUUAGUUUCAGUGUUUAAAAAGUAAUUUCUUAACUUUUUUUUUAUUAAAAUUUUGAUUUUUGUUAUUUUUUUUUCAAUAUUUAUUGUUCCAUUUUUAUUUGAGAAAAAUAAAUUAAAACCCUUUUAUUGAAAUAAUUCUUAAAGUGUUCCAGUACAUUAAUAACAUUAGAAGAAUUCUUUCUUACCUAGAGAUUUCUUAGAAAUCGCUUUUCAAAAUACCUUAGAAUCCUAUCAGUGAAGAUUCAUAUUUACUUUUCAUAAAAUUAAUAUCAAGCAUGCAAUACGAAUGACAAUAUAUUGAUGCACACAUUUUAUUUUACUUUUAGAAAUUUUAUUGGCUUUUUAUUAAAGUUUUUGAAGAAAAGAAUUUUUAUCAUAUUAAAGAUUUUCUAUAAAUACUCUAAUACAUUGGUAAUAUUUAAAAAAAAAUCUUAUCACCUAAAGAUUUCAUAAAGCAUUACUACUCGAAAUACUUUUAGAAUCCAAUCAUCAAAUAAAAUUUCCUUUUUCCUCAUUUUUUUAUUAUUUUUAACAAAUUAGUUACUCUUAUUUACUAUUUUAUAGCAAAAAAAAAUUUUAAUUCUAUUAAAAACUUUUUUUAAAUACUCCAAUAUGUUGGUUGUAUUUUAAAAAAAUUUUCUCCCCUAAAAAUUUCGUAAGUAUCGCUACUCGGAGUACCUUUAAAUCUUAUCGUCGGAUAAACAUUUCCUUUUCUUAUAUUUUUACUAAUUUUUUAUUAUUUGUAUUGUUCUAAUUAAUAAUUUUUACUAUUUUUUAUUUUUAAUUUUAAAAAUUUAUCAAAAGUUUGAAACCAUUUUUUAUUAUUGGUAUCAUUGUCAUUAAUUAUUAAUUAUUAUUUUUUAUCAUUAUUUUAUAAGGUUUAUUCCUAAUUUUAACAAAAUUAUCAAAAAAUUUAACUAUAUAUUUUAUUUUAUUUAUUUAUUUAUUAUUAUUAUAAAAAUAGCAAAAAAUUAUUCUAGCAAAUUUAAACAGUUUAGCAUCCAUAAAUAUUAAUAACACAAUUUUAAAUAAUAAUAAUAAUAAUAUUUAAAAAAUUAAUUCAAAAAAUUUUUAAAAAUUUUACCUAAACCGGAUCGAUCAAUGCCGGUCCGAUUGGGCUAGUCAAAGGUGAUUCAAUGGUUCAAUUGGAUCGGUGGGUGUUGAGGGGUGUCAAGUCACUGGGUUAGGUGCAUAGAACCUAAGUAGGGUUACGGGUCCAUAUGCUGAUCCUAAGGGUUCAAAACGAUAUCGUUUUGACCCCUAGCUACCUAUAUAAAAGCUUAUUUUUUUUUUUGCUCAUUCUAUCCCUUAUUUCAAUAUAUAUAUAUAUAUAUAUAUUUCCCUUUCUCUAUACCAAAAUCCCAGAGGGGGCUAGUUCAUCGCUGUUGUCUUCAUGCCAUCGAUCAUUAGCUACAGUCAUUGGUGAUCGAAAAACUUCAAAAACCCACCAAAAAACUCCUCAUGGCCUCUUAAAUCUCAAUCUGACCUCUUUUUUCCAAGAAAAUGGCAUGAAUGGUCUAGAUCAAGGCUAAAAGUUUUGACCAAAACUUUUUUUUUUAUUGUGGAUCUUGAUUUUUGAAUCUAGCAUUGAGGUUUCCUCAUCGAAAGGACUAUUUUUUUGUGUUUCUAUGUUUGAUUUUUUUUUAGUUUUUUUUAAUCUAGUAGAACCUUUUUUUUAAUUUGAGUUUUUUUAUUUUCAACAAGGUUUUCCUUUUUUAUUUUAGAAUUUGAAAGGUUCUUCUAAGUAGAGACUUAACGACUUCUUAUUUUUUUGCUAAAUUUGACAGGCUCCCCUAAGUAGAGGUUUAACAACUUUUUAAAAUUUAAAAAAGCUCCUCUAAACAGAGGCUCAAUAACUUUUUAAAAAUUUAAAAAACCCCUAUGAAUAGAGGCUUAACAACUUUAAAAUGCUCCUCUAAAAAGAGGCUUCACAAUUUUUUGUCAAUUUAAAAUAUUUUACCCUCAAGACUUAUGAAUCUUGAUAAUGAAAGCUCUUCUAUACAAAGGCUCAACAACUUUAAAAAUUUCAUCUUGAAAAAUCUCCUCUAAGUAAAGGUUCAACAACUUUCAUUGACUUUAAAAAUUUCUUUUCAAAAAAGCUCCUUUAAGUAGAGGCUUAACAACUUUAAAAAAUUUAUCAUGCAAAAGGCUCAUCUAAGUAAAGGCUCAAUAACUUUAAAAAUUUUAUCUUGAAAAGUUUCCUCUAAGCAAAGGUUCAACAACUUUAAAAAUUUCAUUUUAAAAAACUCCUCUAAGUAGAGGCUUAAAACUUUAAAAAAUUCAUGUUGAAAAAGGCUCAUCUAAGCAGAGACUCAACAACUUUAAAAAUUUCAUCUAAAAAAAGUUCCUCUAAAUAGAGGCUUAACAACUUAAAAAAAAAUUCAUCUUUUCUUGAAACUGAGAUCUCAUCUUUGAAAAAGCAAUUUUUUUUUUUUUUAAGGAUUGAACUCUUAUAUUGAAUCGUUAUCCUUUUACAAAGGCCAAAAAUCUAUUUUUUCAUUAGGGAAUAAAAAAUCUUUACAACUUGUGAUAUUAACCUUUAAUGAAUGCAUGUACCAAAUGCACUAAAUGCAAUGCUACCUCAUCAAACCACAUUUGCCCUUGUAUUUUAAGGUCAUCUCAUGAUGCUACCUCUUUUUUAUAUCUAAGCCACAUUUUCAUGUUUGCAACUAAGAUAUAUCUCUUUUUUUUUUCUUUUUUUUUGUUUUCAAGUAAAGUAUUUUUUUACAACAUCUGAGUUUAUCGAAUUAGGCAAAUCAUUUUCGUCCAUUUUUGCCUAAAUCAAUGCUCCACUAGAAAAAAGCUUUUUUCACCAUAAAUGAACCUUUUCAAUUUCAUAUUGAUUUAGAAACAUCCUUUUCAACACUAAAUCCCCUUCUUGAAAGUGAUGAAGGUGAAUUUUCUUAUCACGUGCUCUCAUCAUCCUCUUCUGAUACAGUUGGUCAUGGUAAAGUGCUAUAAGUCUUUUCUCUUAAUGAGGUUUAACUGUUCGUACUGAUUUUAAGCCCAUUCUACUUCCUCUAGCUCUACUUCCAUUAAAAUUCUCAAUGAGAAAAUUUUCACUUCAACUGGCAAUACAGCUUUCAUUCUAUAAACUAACAAAAAUGGAGUGGCCCCAAUAGAGAUUUUGAUUAAUGUUAUGUAAGCAUGCAAAGCAAAAAGUAAUUUCUUAUGCCAAUCUUUGUAAGUAUUAGUCAUAUUUUCUAGGAUACUCUUAAUAUUUUUAUUUGUAGCUUUUACUACUCUAUUCAUCUUCAAACAAUAUCUUGUUGAAUUAUGAUGAUGAAUCUUGAACUAAGUGCACACUUCUUUCAUCACUUUUCUAUUCAAGUUUUUGGCAUUAUCAGAAAUAAUCAUUUUUAAAAGCCUAUAUUUGCAUAUUGUCUCAUUCUUUAUGAACUUGUAUAACACUAAUUGGGUCACGCUGGCAUACAAUGUAGCUUUUACCCAUUUUGUGAAAUAAUCAAUUAUCACAAAGAUAACUCUAUGCCUAUUUGAAGCUUUCGGGGUCAUGGGACCAAUGACAUCUAUGCCCUACAUAAAAAAUAGCCAUAGAGGUGCUAAAACACGUAAAGCUAAUGGAGGAGCAUAAAUCUCGUCAACAUAAAUCUAACACUUAUGACAUCUUUUGGUAUAAUCAAUACAAUCACUUUUCAUUGUCAAACAAUAUAGCCAACCCUCAUAAUUUGUUUAGCCAUUAUGUGACAAUUAGCAUGUGCCCUCACAAACCCCAUCAUGUAUUUUUUCAGUAAUUUUUUUUUACUUUAAUUGCAUCUACACAUCUUAGAAGUACCUAUCUUGACUUUUUUUGUAAAAAGCAUCUCCAUCAAGAAAGAAACUCAUAGCCAACCUUUUGAUGAUCUUUUUAUCAUUUUUUAUUGCAUGCUCCAAGUAUUGUUGACUUUUGAUAAAUUGAAGAAUAUUAUGAUGCCAUAGCUUCCCAUCCACUUCUUCUUUGAUACCUGAGCAAUGUGUUGGUACAUCUUUCACAUCUAACUUGAUGGGUUAGAUCUUAGUAUUUGCAUCUAUUUUGAUCAUUGCAACCCAAGUAGAUAGUGCAUCAACAAUCUGGUUCUCUUUUUUAAACAGAUGCUCGAAUUAAACUUCUUUAAAUUACUUAACUAACUCGAAGAUGUAUUUAUGGUAUCAGAUCAAUUUUGAAUCUCUUAUUUCUUAUUCACCUCGUAACUAAUAGAUGACUAGUGCUGAAUCUCCAAACACAUCCAACUUUUUGAUUUUUCUUUCAAUUGCUGCUUGCAAACCCAUAACACAAGCCUUUUAAUAACCUUUUGAGUUAUAUAGAUAAUAUCAUACUCUGAAAGUAUAACUUGCUAUCGUGCUAUUCUCCCUAUUAAUGAAGGCUUUUUAAAGAUAUACUUGAUAGGAUCUAACUUUGCUAUAAGCUAUAUAGUGAUAAAGUAUAUAUUGCUUGAGCCUUUGAGCUAUCGAAGCUAGUGUAUAACAUAGCUUUUCUAAUGGCAAAUACUUAGACUCAUAAUUAGUGAACAUUUUGCUUAAGUAGUAGAUUGCUCAUUCUUUCUUAUUGGUUUCAUCUUUUUGCCCUAAUACACAUCCUAUUGAAUUUUCAUGCAUGGUAAGUAUAAAAUCAAAGGUUUUUCUAGAACUAAUGGCACCAACACAAGUGGAUUUGACAAGUAUUUCUUGACUUUGUCAAAAGCUUUUUGGCAUUCAUCAUUCUAUUCUCGUGGAUCAUGUUUUCUAAGAAGCUUGAAAAUGGGAUCACACUUGUCGAUGAGUUGAAAGAUGAAACAAGCAAUAUAGUUCAAUCUUCCCAUAAAAGCCUCACAUUUCUUUUGAGUUAAGAGGAUGGGAUAAGUUUUGAAUAGCACAUAUUUUACUCGAAUCCACUUGUAUUCCCCUUUCACUAACCACAAAGCCCAACAAUUUUUUUGAUUUAGCAUCGAAUAUAGAUUUUACAAGAUUUAACUUUAGUUGGAAUCUCCUCAAUCUAUCAAACAACUUUUUGAUAUUGACUACAUAAUCUUCUCCUUUAUGAAAUUUUGCAAUCAUAUCAUCCAUAUACACUUCUAUCACUUUAUGCAUCAUGUCGUAAAAGAGAGUCACCAUCAUUUUUUAAUAAGUAGCACUAAUAUUUUUCAAUCCAAAAGGCAUGAAUUUGUAAUAGAAUGUCCCUUACAUGGUCAUAAAUGUUGUUUUCCCCAUAUCUUUUUAAACUAGCUUAAUCUGAUUGUAACUUGAGAAGCCACCCAUAAAAGAAAAUGUAGAAUGCACAGCAGUGUUAUCCAUUAGGGUAUCGAUAUAGGGUAGAGAAAAAUUAUCCUUAGGACUUGCCUUAUUUAGAUCACGAUAAUCGACACACAUUCUAACCUUUUCAUACUUCUUGGGAACAGGCACUAUAUCGACUACCCAUUCAGGAUAAUUUUCCACCUCUAAAAAUCUAGCAUCAUAUCAUUUUUUCACCUUUUUUUUAAUCUUCAAUAGUAUCUCUGGCUUUAUGCACCUUAGCUUUUAUUGUACUGGCUUACAAUCUAAUUUCAAAGGUAAUUUGUGCUAUACAAUAUCAGUACUGAGUCCUAGCAUAUCCUGGUAAGACCAUGUGAAUACAUCUACAUAUUCUUAGAAUAGUUCUUCUAGCAUUUGCUUAUCAGUUGAUUAAAAAGACAUACCAAUUUUAACCUCUCUUCUAUUUUUAUCAUCCCCUAAAUUUAAUAAUUUGGUAAUUUUUUGGUUGGGCUCAAUUGGCUUAUCUUCAUGUUCUAUUAAUUUCAACAAAUCAAGAGGCAAUGUGUAAUUAUUUUUGUUUUCAUUAUCAAGUUCAUCAACAUGAAUUGUGUUUUCAAAAUUGAAUCUGAGAUUAUUAUCAUGGUUAUUUUCAUGUUCAUUAUUUGAGACACUACAAGGGGUGAAUGAAGAGAAUAUUGGCAUACAAAAGUGGAAUGGCAAGAAAAUGAUUAAGGCAGAAUGAAAGAGAAAUGGAUCAAAUAAAUAUAAAUAAAAACAAAUAAAAAAAUGCAAAUGCAUCUUCUAAGUCUUUUAUUAAAAUGACAAACAUAAAUACACCAUAAAAGAUCUCAUAAUGCUCAUAAAGAGCAAUUAGAGAUUUAAAGAUUCAUAAUAAAUUACUUUUUAAAAGUUUUAAAAAUAAGAGGCAACUCUAUGACUUUCUAAUUAUCUAGUUCAAAAUUUGAAGGGUAAAGAUACACAAAUAGCUCUUCAUCCUAACUCUUCUUUUUUUCCCCAUCUACCAUCUAAAUGGCCAGCUUAGUAAAAGUUUCAAUCAACUUCACAUUUGAGGUUUCAGAUGAAUCUAGGUAAAUACAACCUCCUAAAUGAAAAGAAUCAUAGAGAUAAAGAAUGACCAUCAACUUCGACUUUGGCUCAUAUCCCCCAAGAUUAGCCUUUUUUUUUUCUCAUUCAUGAUUUUCAUUUUGUUUCCUUUUAUCAGUUUAUAACCCAAGCUGAGUCUAUCUUUCAUAUCAUGUAUUGUUGGAGGCUUUGUGAUUUCUUCCAAAUUAUUCCUAAGUUUGGCUCCAAGUUGCCAUUUCAUCUGGAUAAGUUGCUUAACAAUCAUUUUAGUAGCCAUAGAUAGGUGUGGUAAAUAUAAUUUAGAUCUUUUAGCUACAUAUGUUGCAUUGGCAAACUUAAAAAAAUCUAUAAAAGCACUUUGGGGCUUCAUUUACCCCUUCUACAUAAAGAGUAUUUACUGAUUAGGUUACCAAUAAAUCAUUUUUUCCUGCCACACAUGUAAGCUUUUCAUCAAUAAUGAAUAUGACUUUUGAUGCAAUGAAGAUGGAACAACACCUACCAUAUGAAUCCAUGGCCUACCCAACAAGUAACUGUAUGAGGAAAAGAUAUCCAUAACUUAGAAUUUCAUAUUGAAAAUGCAAGGGCCAAUUUACAACAGUAUUUUUGUAUCCCUCAGCACCUCUCUUUGGGUCCUAUCAAAGGCUAAAAUUACUAUAUAACUAGGCUUUAUGUAAGAUCCAUCAACAAGUAAUUUUGCCAAAGUAGUCAUGGGCAUAACAUUGAUUGAUAUGCCAUUGUUGAUCAGAAUCUUAGUCAUUAUGUAACUCUUGCAUUUUACAAUAAUGUGAGAGCCUUGGUACUUUUUUUACCUUCAAAAGGAAUCUCUUCAUCACUGAAAGAGAUGUAGUUUGAAAUUGCUAGAUUACCAAUAAGCUAUUUCAUAUACUCAAUAGAUACAUUAUAAGACACAUAUACUUGAUUGAACACCUUCAAUAGAGCGUUAAAGUGCGACUUUGAGCUUAAUAACAAUGACAAUAGCAAAAUUCUAACUAGCAAUUUGUUCAACUAUUCUACCAUGCUAUACUCACUAUGUUUUAUUAGUUUUAAAAAUUCAUAGGCUUCAUUUUCAAAGAUUGGCUUUUGACAAUCUUUAUCAGUGAUUGUCACAAGAUUACCUUUAUUUCCUUUUUCUUCCCUAACCUUUGCUUUUUCUAGCAUUUUUAGGGUAUAACAUCACCCAUUCUGGGUCAUACCUCUUAUACCUAUUAUGUUUGCAACAUCUAGAUUGACUACAAUGUCAUAAUUGUACUUUUAUGGUACUGCUUUGUCGUUUUGGUAUGAAAAAAGGCCAAAAAUUUUAAUUGUCACUACUGGUCGAGAGAUGAGCUUUUCUGGCUUUAAGAUUGACUUCUUAUCAUAAUAGAUAGUUAUCAAUUUACAUAUAAACUUAUUCUUCGAAUCAAUAGUAGACACUUCAACUUUUAUUGAAUCUUUUUUUUCUUCGUAAAACAUAUCUAUCAACUUUUGCACCUUUUGACAAAACUGGUCAAAAUUCUCAAAAGAAUGCCCCAAAACACCUUUGUGAUAGUCACAGCUCUUGGUUGAGUUAAUCAUUCUAGAGCAAUUUUAAGACUUUAUUGACUUUAACAUAUCAGCCUUAACUAAAACUUUAAACACCUUAGUCAUCAGAGUUUUAACUUCAUCUAUCUUUUUAUUCAUGUAACUCACUUAUCCAUUAAUCGAAGCAUUUAUUGAUGGUCUAGUAUGGUUCGAUAGAGGGUUUUAAUUAACAUUUGGAGUCCCCAUUGGCUGGUAUCAAAGUUUAACACCCUUUCAUUGAUUAACGCUUGCAUUUUACGCUUCAAAGUAGUGCAAUUUUUCGUUGAAUGGUUUGGGUUUCCCUAAUGAUAAUCACAAAGCACAUUGGGAUCAUACCAUUUGAAAAUGGAGGUUUCAAAGGUUUAACAAUAACAAAGGCUAGUAAAUGUUUUUCAAUAAGUUGAGGGUACAAAUUUUUAUAUGUCACGAGGAUAGGGUUGAAAGUGAUUUUUUUCUUAGGUAUUUCUUAGGGCUCUUAAACCACUACUUGGAUUGGGUCUCUAUUUUGGACUAGUAGGUGUAGUAGGAUGAUUGUGAAAAUAGAUGGGUGCCUAAAAAGAUGGCUGAAAGUGAGGGAGAUAAGUUGGUUAUUGUAGCAACUGAAACAAUUGAUACGGAUGAGGGAUGGAUGUAACAUUGUUAAUGGGAAGGUAAUGGAUUUGGUACACUAGUGUGGGGUAUGGCAUGAAACUUCUGAACUAUUGCCCCACAUAGUUCACUAUUUAAACUUCAUUUUUUUUCUUCUUGAGAGCUCCACAUUUCUUUGCUUCGCUUGCCUCUUUUACAUUGAGCUUGCUAUUUUUUAUGACGUUUUCAAUAAUCUCACUUGAUAUCACCUUAUCUACAAAGUUCUUAGUUGCAUUGCCUAUUAGUCUUUAUAAUAAGGUGUUUUUCAGGGUGUUUACAAAUAGGAUAAUUGUCUCUUUCUCAGUGAAGGAAGGUUAUACUUGUACGACCACAUCUCUCUAUCUCUAUGCAUUCUCAUUAAAGUUUUCUGUUGCUUUUUUUUCCAUGCUUUAUAGAGAUAGAUGAUCUGGUGCUAGAUUUAUAACAUGUCGAUAUUGUGUAAAAAAUGCUUUCAUGAGUUUUUGCCAUAAAUGAAUAUGAGUCCUGUCUAGUUAAACAUACCAGCUGGUGCAGAACCUAUAAGGUUAUCUUAAAAUACGUGCAUUAAUAGCUUCUUGUCAUGAGCAUGUGCCAUCAUCUUAUGAAAAUAUAUGGUGAUAUGAGUCAUUGGGUAUUUUGUACCAUUAUAUUUUUUAAAUUUAGGUACCUUAAAUUUAGGUGGAAUGACCAUGUCUGGAACCAAACAAAGCUUGACUUCGUCCAUGGAGCCAUAAAAAUCAAUUCCCUCUACAGCCCUAAGUCUUUCUUCUAAUAAUUUUAUCUUCUACAUGGCACUAGUAUCUUUCACUUUCUUAAAUGUCUCAUCCCUUGCUUUUCUCUCUCUUUGGGAUCAUCCAAGUUACGAAUCAAGAUUGGCUUAAGUGGUUUUUCUACCAUGAUGAGAUUAGCGAAAUUUUAAAACUAUCUUAAAAUAGAUAUAGAUGUCAUUCCUGGAUAAGGAUAGAAAUAUCCUCUAGGAGUAAGGAUUUGCAUUCUAGCUCCUUGAUAAGGUUAGGUUAGUCGUGGAUCAAAUCUUCAAGGGUAUACAGGAUUCACCAUGUCUGGCAUUUGCUCUUGAAAGCUGGGAUUUUCUUUCAUCACUUUUCCUUUAUCAAGAUUCUUAAGCAUGUCCGUUAUUUUACUAAGAUCCUCUUUUAGUUCCUUGUAAACCUUCUCAAUCCUCUCAAAUCGAUUGGCCUGUUCUUGUUCUAUGAUUCUUGUUUAAGCUCUAGUGUUAUAUGAAUGAUGAGUAGGUUGAGUGAAAAGUUUUUAUGUAUGAGCUAUUCUUGAAAAUUUUUUAUCACAAAUUUUUAAAAUUUAGAAUGUCAUGGGUUGAAAAUUUUAUUUUUCACUUUUUUGUGAUUUUUAAAAAAUAUGGUAAUUAAAGCAAAAAUAAUGCACAUGAUACAUGAAUGCAAGGGAUAGAUAUUUGCUCUUAGACGAAUUUCAACACUAGAAAUCUUUAUUGAUUCUAUACAACUUUUGUUACACAAGAUUUAUCAUCCUAGAAUUAUACCUAUAAAAGCAUUUGACUUGCUCAUAAUGAUCAUUGGCUUCAUCUAAAAAGUUUACUAGGCUAUCUAUAUUCUCCUACUAGAUUGACUUCUCUUCUUAAUGCAUCUACCUUUUAAACCAUUUCUCAUGCCUUUUUCACUACCUUGCAAACCUGACUGGUUAGGUGCUAUAUUUACUAUUGCCUUCUUAAGCUUUAUGCUCUCCAUUUUAUGCAAACAACUCUUUCCAAAUCACAUGUGCAGAUUUAAUCUUUUUCCCUUAUCUGCCAUUCAUUUAUUAUUGUUGAAAUGCAAUUGUAGCUCUAACUCUUAGAUCACGUAGUAAAGUGAUUUUUUUUCAUUUAGUAUUUCAAAGUGCUUUUUACUCUCUUUGGCAAGCAUAGCAUUCAACUUUUUCUUUUUGGCAUUCAACCAAUCUUGUUGAAACUAUAGAGUAUAAUCUUUCCCAAUUCUGACAUUCUUAAGAAAUUCUAGUGACCUUUUCUUGCUUUUCUUGAGCUUUGCCUUUUUAUUGGUUUAUUUCCUCUCAAAGCUUAUCCAUUUCAUGUUGCUAACUACGAUAAGACUUGAUGACUUUUUCGAUCUUGAAUUAGACUUGUAAUCUCUUAUUUUCUUGGUAUAUAUCUUUCAAAUCAUUGUUGGCCACAUGCACUUCUUUAAUGACCUUAUCUAAUCUAUUCCCUUGAACUUGUAUUUUGUAUUUCAAUUGUCCCAUCUUCUCACAAAAUUUCAAAUUUUCUCCUUUUAUUUCCUCUAUUUUAGCUUUUAAUUCUUUCCUGAUAAGCUCAACUUCUGAUAAUUGCAUUUUUGUCAAAAUGUUAGCUGAUUGAUGUGAGUCAUCAUUAGGAAGAAGCACUAUGUAUUUAAGUCGCUUCACUUUCCAAAUCUACUAAUCAUGAGUGAGUUUGUUGAGUAAAGGCCCUAAUCUCAUUCUUUGCAUUUUCUUCCAUGCUUGGAUCAACCACUUUGAUGUUCUUGGUGGAUUGGACUUCCCAUACGUGAACUCUACUUGAACCAGGUUAUAAAUGAUAAAAACAAACUGCUUUGCACUGAAUUGCCUCAAUACCAUCAAUGAAGCAUAACUUACCACACCCCAUAGUCCUAACAAUGGUAUUCAUGAUUCAUUUCCUUCUUGAUACAACAUGGGAACAUAGGGCAUCCAUGGUGCUAUCCAUUUUAUUUCAUCCCUAAUAAGGCUUCGUAAGAAUAGAACCCAUUCUUCUUUAGUCUUUAAUGUCAACCAUUAGCUUUUAUAGAAUUCUUUGAUUGGUGCCUUAUUUUAAAGAUAUGGCUUUGAGGAUGCAUUCUUUCCACACUUGAAAUGACUUUUAAUCCACAUAUGUAAUAGUAGUGCAAACCCAAUGAAUCAUCCUUUUUUAUUUUGNNNNNNNNNNNNNNNNNNNNNNNNNNNNNNNNNNNNNNNNNNNNNNNNNNNNNNNNNNNNNNNNNNNNNNNNNNNNNNNNNNNNNNNNNNNNNNNNNNNNNNNNNNNNNNNNNNNNNNNNNNNNNNNNNNNNNNNNNNNNNNNNNNNNNNNNNNNNNNNNNNNNNNNNNNNNNNNNNNNNNNNNNNNNNNNNNNNNNNNNNNNNNNNNNNNNNNNNNNNNNNNNNNNNNNNNNNNNNNNNNNNNNNNNNNNNNNNNNNNNNNNNNNNNNNNNNNNNNNNNNNNNNNNNNNNNNNNNNNNNNNNNNNNNNNNNNNNNNNNNNNNNNNNNNNNNNNNNNNNNNNNNNNNNNNNNNNNNNNNNNNNNNNNNNNNNNNNNNNNNNNNNNNNNNNNNNNNNNNNNNNNNNNNNNNNNNNNNNNNNNNNNNNNNNNNNNNNNNNNNNNNNNNNNNNNNNNNNNNNNNNNNNNNNNNNNNNNNNNNNNNNNNNNNNNNNNNNNNNNNNNNNNNNNNNNNNNNNNNNNNNNNNNNNNNNNNNNNNNNNNNNNNNNNNNNNNNNNNNNNNNNNNNNNNNNNNNNNNNNNNNNNNNNNNNNNNNNNNNNNNNNNNNNNNNNNNNNNNNNNNNNNNNNNNNNNNNNNNNNNNNNNNNNNNNNNNNNNNNNNNNNNNNNNNNNNNNNNNNNNNNNNNNNNNNNNNNNNNNNNNNNNNNNNNNNNNNNNNNNNNNNNNNNNNNNNNNNNNNNNNNNNNNNNNNNNNNNNNNNNNNNNNNNNNNNNNNNNNNNNNNNNNNNNNNNNNNNNNNNNNNNNNNNNNNNNNNNNNNNNNNNNNNNNNNNNNNNNNNNNNNNNNNNNNNNNNNNNNNNNNNNNNNNNNNNNNNNNNNNNNNNNNNNNNNNNNNNNNNNNNNNNNNNNNNNNNNNNNNNNNNNNNNNNNNNNNNNNNNNNNNNNNNNNNNNNNNNNNNNNNNNNNNNNNNNNNNNNNNNNNNNNNNNNNNNNNNNNNNNNCAUAGUAAAAAUGGAUCAAACACCAAGGAUUUAAAGACAAGAGAGGUUUGGCCAAGCUAUGAUUAAAGGCAUAAUUGAAACUUUAAGGCCAUUUUUCAUGCUCCAUUAUUGGCUAAAAAAAAAGGGAAAUGCCUCCACCAUAUUUGUUUUAAACCAAACACAUGCAAACAAAAUCAAAAUCUCCAAAAAAGUUUACUAAUUCAACACUUUUAUUCAUUAAGGAUUUCAUCUAACACAUAGCUAACAUAGAGGAAUAACUAAAGAUAUAAUAAAAUAGGCAUGGAAAGAGCAACAUUUAGCCAUCAAACAUAUGCGGCAGGUUUGGCCAAGCAUUAGGAAAAACUUGGCCAAAACAUGGCCGUUCCCAAACACACAUCUUUCAUUUAGCUUGAACCACUAAAACAAUCAACAAUCAUGCAAAUAACAUAUAGUAUAACAUUCAAAUCAUCCAAAUUCAUUAUUCAAAGCGAGAAAAACAUGAAAUAAACCAAUAAAAGGUUCGACCAUAUGGUAAUGGUUUGGGAGUCACCUGACAAAUUUGAAAACGAAAAUAAAAAAAUGGAAAACGAAGUUGUUACCAAUCUUUUUUUGGCUAGGUGCAAUUGGCCACCUAUUAAAAUUUAUCUUUUUAAUAAAAUCUUAAAUUUUAUUAAAAAGAUGAUUUUAAGGUCGACAAAAUAGUCUAAGUUUGCGAGUCGAUUAUAGAUAAAGAAGGAUUAGUACCCCUAUAAUGCUUAUUUAAAAUUGUUCCAAUUAAUUGCAUGUUAUCCAUUAAUCCUGACAAAAAUAGUCUUAGUUUUAGUGUUUAAAAAGUAAUUUCUUAACUUCUUUUUUAUUAAAAUUUUGAUUCUUGUUAUUUUCCUUUCAAAAUUUAUUGUUCCAUUUUUAUUUGAGAAAAAUAAAUUAGAACCCUUUUAUUGAAAUAAUUCUUAGAAUAUUCCAGUACAUUAGUAACAUUAGAAAAUUCUUUCUUACCUAGAGAUUUCUUAGAAAUCGCUUCUCAAAAUACCUUAGAAUCCUAUCCUCGAAGAUUUGUAUUUACUUUUUGUAAAAUUAAUAUCAAGCAUACAAUGCGAAUGACAAUAUAUUGAUGCACACAUUUUAUUUUACUUUUAAAAUUUUUAUUGGUUUUUUAUUAAAAUUUUUGAAGAAAAGAAUUUUUAUCAUAUUAAAGAUUUUCUAUAAAUACUCCGAUACAUUGAUAAUAUUUAAAAAAAAGUCUUAUCACCUAAGGAUUUCGUAAAGUAUUACUACUCGAAAUAGUUUUAAAAUCUCAUCAUCAGACAAAAUUUUCUUUUUCCUCAUUUUUUAUUAUUUUUAACAAAUUAGUUAUUCUUAUUUACUAUUUUAUAGAAAAAAAAAUUUUAAUUGUAUUAAAAACUUUUUAUAAAUACUCCAAUAUGUUGGUCGUAUUUUAAAAAAAAAAUUUCCCCUAAAAAUUUCAUAGGUAUCGCUACUCGAAGUACCUUUAAAUCUCAUCAUCCGAUAAACAUUUCCUUUUCUUACAUUUUUAGAAAUUUUUUAUUAUUUUAUUGUUUUCAUUAAUGAUUUUUACUAUUUUUUAUUUUUAAUUUUAAAAAUUUAUCAAAAGUUUGAAACCAUUUUUUAUUAUUGGCAUCAUAGUCAUUAAUUGUUAAUUAUUAUUUUUUAUCAUUAUUUUAUAAGGUUUAUUCCAAAUUUUAACUAUAUAUUUUAUUAUUUAUUUAUAUUUAUUUAUUUAUUAUUAUUAUAAAAAUAACAAAAAUUUAUUCUAGCAAAUUUAAACAUUUUAGCAUCCAUAAAUAUUAAUAACAAAAUUUUAAAUAAUAAUAAUAAUAUUUAGAAAAUUAAUUCAAAAAAUUCAAAAAAAAAAUUAUUUAAACCGGUUCAGUUGGGCUAGUCAAAGGUGAUUUAGUGGUACAAAACUCGUUCAAUUGGAUCAGUGGGGGUUUGGCGUGUUAUGUCACUGGGUUAGGUGCAUGGACCUCAAGUAGGGUUGCGGGUCCACACGCUGAUCCUAGGGGUUCAAAAUGAUGUUAUUUUGACCCCUAGUUGCCUAUAUAAAAGCUCAAUUAUUUUUUUCUGCUCAUUCUCUCCCCUAUUUCAAAAAUAUAUAUAUUUCCCUUUCUCUAUACCAAAAUCCCAAAGGGGGCUAGCUCAUCGCUGUUGUCGUCAUGCCAUCAAUCAUCAACUGUCAUCAUUGGUGACUGAAAAACUUCAAAAACCCACCAAAAAAAUCCUCCUGGCCUUUUAAGUCUCAAUCUGACCUCUUGUUUGCAAGAAAAUGGCAUGAAUGCUCUAGAUCAAGGCUAAAGUUUUGACCAAAACUCUUUUUUUUUUUUUGUGGAUCUUGAUUUUUGAAUCUAGCGUUGAGGUUUCCUCAUCGAAAGGACUAUUUUUUUGUGUUUUUGUGUUUGAUUUGUUUUUUGUUUUUUUUAAUAUGGCAAAACCUUUUUUUUUUAAUUUGAGUUUUUUUAUUUUCAGUAAGGUUUUCCUUUUUUAUUUUAGAAUUUGAAAGGUUCCUCUAAGUAGAAACUUAACGACUUCUUAUUUUUUUGCUAAAUUUGACAGGCUCCCUAAGGAAAGGCUUAACAACUUUUUGAAAUUUUAAAAAGCUCUUUUAAACAGAAGCUUAACAACUUUUUAAAAAUUUAAAAAGCCCCUCUGAACAAAGGCUUAAUAACUUUAAAAAGCUUUUCUAAAAAUAGGCUCUACAACUUUUUAUCAAUUUAAAAUAUUCUACCCUUCAAGAUUUAUGAAUCUUGAUAAUGAAAGCUCCUCUAUACAAAGGCUCAACAACUUUAAAAAUUUCAUCUUGGAAAAGCUCCUCUAAGUAAAGGUUCAAUAACUUUCAUUGACUUUAAAAAUUUCAUCUCAAAAAAGCUCCUCUAAGUAGAGGUUUAACAACUUUAAAAACUUUAUCUUGCAAAAGGCUCCUCUAAGUAAAGGCUCAAUGACUUUAAACAUUUUAUCUUGCAAAGUUUCCUCUAAGCAGAGGUUCAACAACUUUAAAAAUUUCAUCUUAAAAAAAUCCUCUAAGUAGAGGCUUAACAACUUUAAAAAAUUCAUCUUGAAAAAGGCUCCUCUAAAUAAAGGCUUAACAACUUAAAAAAAAAAUUCAUCUUUUCUUGAAACUGAGAUAUCAUUUGUGAAAAGGCAAAUUUCAUUUUUUUUUAGGAUUAAAGUCUUGUAUUGGAUCGUUAUCCUUUUAUAAAGGCCAAAAAUCUAUUUUUUCAUUAAGGAAUGAAAAAUCUUUACAACUUGUGAUAUUAACCUUUAAUGAAUGCAUGUACCAAAUGCACUAAAUGCAAUGCAUGUAAUGCAAUCAAAUUAUUCACUUCCAAUUAUGGUAAAAGGUUCUUAGAAUCUCUUACCUUUUAUGCUUCAAUAAUAAAAAUUCUCAACAAUUGUCAUAUAACCAACUUAUCCUUGACAUAUGAUCAUUUUAUUUUCUUCAACAAUAUCCUUUCCUUUUUUUGCAACAUCAAUGUCUUGUCAUGCUUUUCUUGUCUAUUUCUACCUGCUUUUAUCAACUUUUAAAGAAUAAUGUUGGGAUCUUCCAUGUUAUUGGUUAGUUUUUCAUCAUUUUAAGUUCAAGACAAAUAAAAUGCAUCAUACAUUUCUUUUAUUCAUUUGUAGAAUGGGAUAGUGAAUGAGAUAAAGGAAUGAAUAUAUUAUCUUUAUUUCAAUGAGAAGAGGGAACACAUUUCAUUAAACAGAUAACAAAAUCAUAAAGUGUUUGGGUGGGAACAAAAGCAUCUAAAUAAUGAUUAUAAGAUAAUCAUGAACAAGUUAUUCCUAGAUUCUUUUUCUAAAACUCAACUAGAUGACAUCCUUGAUCUUUAAAACUCAUCCAACCACAUUUGUCCUUGUAUUUUAAGGUUUUCUUAUGAUGCUACCUCUCUUUUAUAUCUAAGCCACAUUUUUAUGUUUGCAACUAAGAUAUAUCUCUUUUUUUUUUUGUUUUCAAGCAAAGUAUUUUUUUACAACAUCUGAGUUUAUCGAAUUAUGCAAAUCAUUUUCGUCCAUUUUUGCCUAAAUCAAUGCUUUACUAGAAAAAAGCUUUUUUCACCAUAAAUGAACCUUUUCAAUUUAGUGUGCAUUUCCCUCGAUUGUCAUAUUGAUUUGGAAACAUCCUUUUUUAGCACUAAAUCCCUUCUCAAAAGUGAUGAAGGUGAAUUUUCUUAUCAUGUGCUCUCAUUAUCCUCUUCUGAUAUAGUUGGCUAUGGUAAAGUGCUAUAAGUCUUUUCUCUUUAAUGAGGUUUAACUGUUCAUAUUGAUUUAAACCCAUUCUACUUCCUCUAGCUCUACUUCCAUUAAAAUUCUCAAAGAGAAAAUUUUCACUUUAACUGGCAAUACAGUUUUCAUUCCAUAGACCAACAAAAAUGGAGUGGCCCUAAUAGAGGUUUUGAUUAAUGUUAUGUAAGCAUGCAAAGCAAAAAGUAAUUUCUCAUGCCAAUCUUUGUAAGUAUCAGUCAUAUUUUCUAGGAUACUCUUAAUAUUUUUAUUUGCAGCUUUUACUACUCCAUUCAUCUUCAAACAAUAUGGUGCUGAAUUAUGAUGACGAAUCUUGAACUGAGUGCACACUUCUUUCAUCACUUUUCUAUUCAAGUUUUUGGCAUUAUUAGAAAUAAUCCUCUUUAAAAGCCUAUAUCUACAUAUUGUCUCCUUCUUUAUGAACUUGCAUUCCACCAAUUGGGUCAUGCUAGCAUACAAUGUAGCUUUUACCCAUUUUAUGAAAUAAUCAAUUAUCACAAAGAUAACUCUAUGCCUAUUUGAAUCUUUCAAGGUCAUAGGACCAAUGACAUCUAUGCCUUAUAUAAAAAAUGACCAUAAAGGUGCUAAAACAUGCAAAGCUAAUGGAAGAGUAUAAAUCUCAUCAACAUAAAUCUAACACUUAUGACAUCUUUUGGUAUAAUCAAUACAAUCACUUUUCAUUGUCAAGCAAUAUAGCCAACCUUCGUAAUUUGUCUAGCCAUUAUGUGACCAUUCGUAUGUGCCCUCACAAACCCCAUCGUGUAUUUUUUCAGUAAUUUUUUUUACUUUAAUUGCAUUUACACAUCUGAGAAGUACCUAAUCUCGACUUCUUUUGUAAAAAACAUCUCCAUCAAGAAAGAAACUCAUAGCCAACCUUUUGAUGAUCUUUUUAUCAUUUUCUGUUGCAUGCUCCAAGUAUUGUUGACUUUUGAUAUAUUGAAGAAUAUUAUGAUACCAUAGCUUCUUAUCCACUUUUUUCUUUGAUACCUAAGCAAUGUGUUGGUACAUCUUUCACGUCUAACUUGAUGGGUUGAAUCUCAAUAUUUGCAUUUAUUUUGAUCAUUACAACCUAAAUAGAUAGUGCAUAAACAAUCUAGUUCUCCUCUUUUAAAUAGAUGCUCAAAUUAAACUUCUUUAAAUUACUUGAUUAACUCAGAGAUGUAUUUAUGGUAUCGGAUCAAUUUCGAAUCUCUUAUUUCUUAUUCACCUCGUAACUAAUAGAUGACUAGUGCUGAAUCUCCAAACACAUCUAACUCUUUUGAUUUUUGUUUCAAUUGCUACUUACAAACCCAUAACACAACCCUCGUAUUUAGCCAUAUUAUUUGUGCAGUUAAAAUUCAAUCUAGCUGUGAUAGGAUAAUAGUGUUCAUUGGGAGAUAUUAAAACUGCUCCAAUAACAUGACCCAAAGCAUUAAUAGCUCCAUUAAAAUACAUCCUCCAAGACUUCUUGACAAGUUCAUUUUCUUCAAUGACUAUCACAUAUUCAUCAGGAAAAUCAAGCUUCAUUGGUUCAUAAUCUUCAGUCGCACGAUCGGUAAAGAACUCAGCUAUUAUACUCCUUUUAAUAACCUUUUUGAGUUAUAUAGACAAUAUCAUAAUUUAAAAGCAUAACUUGCUAUCGUGCUAUUCUCCCUAUUAAUGAAAGCUUUUCGAAGAUAUACUUGAUAGGAUCUAACUUUGCUAUCAGCUAUGUAGUGUGAUAAAGCAUAUAUUGCUUGAGCCUUUAAGCUAUCCAAGCUAGUGUAUAACAUAUCUUCUCUAAUGGCAAAUACUUAGACUCAUAAUCAGUGAACAUUUUGCUCAAGUAGUAGAUUGCUCAUUCUUUCUUGUUGGUUUCAUCUCUUUGCCCUAAUACACAUCAUGUUGAAUUUUUAUACACGGUUAAGUAUAAAAUCAAAGGUUUUCCUAGAACUAAUGGCACCAACACGAGUGGAUUUAACAAGUAUUCCUUGACUUUGUCAAAAGCUUUUUGGCAUUCAUCAUUCCAUUCUCUUGGAUCAUGUUUUCUAAGAAGCUUGAAAAUAGGAUCACACUUGUCAGUGAGUUGAAAGAUGAAACUAGCAAUAUAGUUCAAUCUUCCUAUAAAGCCUCACAUUUCUUUUAAGUUAAGAGGAGGGGAUAAGUUUUGAAUAGCAUAUAUUUUAUUCAGAUCCACUUGUAUUCCUCUUUCACUAACUACAAAGCCCAAUAAUUUUUUUGAUUUAGCACCGAAUGUAGAUUUUACAAGAUUUAACAUUAGUUGGAAUCUCCUCAAUCUAUCAAACAACUUUUUGAGAUUGACUAUAUGAUCUUUUCCUUUAUGAAAUUUUGCAAUCAUAUCAUCCACAUACAUUUCUAUCAUUUUAUGCAUCAUGUCAUAAAAGAGAGUCACCAUCAUUUUUUGAUAAGUAGCACCAAUAUUUUUCAAACGAAAAGGCAUGACUUUGUAACAGAAUAUCCCUCACAAGGUCAUAAAUGUUGUUUUCCCCAUAUCUUCUUGAACCAUCUUAAUUUGAUUAUAGCCUGAGAAGCUAUCCAUAAAAGAAAAUACAGAAUGCCCAACAGUGUUAUCCACUAGGGUAUUGAUAUAGGGUAGAGAAAAAUUAUCCUUAGGACUUGCCUUAUUUAGAUCAUGAUAAUCGACACACAUUCUCACCUUUCCAUACUUCUUGGGAAUAGUCAUAUAUUGGCUACCCAUUCAGGAUAUUCUUCCACCUCUAAAAAUCUAGCAUCAUAGUUUUUUCAUCUCUUUUUUAAUCUUCAGUAGUAUCUCUGGCUUCAUGCACCUUAGCUUUUGUUGUAUCGACUUACUAUCUAAUUUCAAAGGCAAUUUAUGCUAUACAAUAUCAGUACUAAGUCCUAGCAUAUCCUGGUAAGACCAUGUGAACAUAUCUACGUAUUCUCAGAGUAGUUCUUCUAGCCUUUGCUUAUCAGUUGGUGAAAAAGACAUACCAAUUUUAAUCUCUCUUCUAUUUCUAUCAUCCCCUAAAUUCACUAAUUCGAUAAUUUUAUGGUAGGGCUCAAUUGGCUUAUCUUCAUGUUCUAUUAAUUUCAACAAAUCAAGAGGCAAUGUCUAAUUAUCUAAAUCUUUUUCAUUAUCAAGUUCAUCAACAUGAAUUGUGUUUUCAAAAUUGAAUUUGACAUUAUUAUCAUGGUUAUUUUCAUGCUCAUUAUUUGAGGCACUGCAAGGGGUGAAAUGAAAAGAAUAUUGGCAUACAAUAGUGGAAUGGCAAAAAAAUGAUUAAGGCAGAAUGAAAAGAGAAAUGGAUCAAAUAAAUGAAAAUAAAAACAAAUAGAAAAAAUGCAAAUGCAUCUUCUAGGUCUUUUAUUAAAAUGAAAAACAUAAAUACACCAUAAAAGAUCUCCUAAUGCUCAUAGAAAGCAAUUAGGGAUUUAAAGUUUCACAGUAAAUUACUUUUUAAAAGUUUUAAAGACAAUAGGCAACUCCAUGACUUUCCAAUUAUCUAGCUCAAAAUUCGAAGGACAAAGACGCAUAAACAGCUCUUCAUCCUAACUUUUUUUUUCCCCAUCUACCAUAUGAAUGGCCAGCUUAGUAAAAGUUUCAAUGAAAUCCACAUUUAGGGUUUCAAAUGAAUCUAGGUAAAUACAACCUUUUAAACAAAAAGAAUCAUAAAGAUAAAGAAUGACCAUCGACUUCGACUUUGGCUCAUAUCGCCCAAGAUUAGCCAUUGUUUUUUCUUUCUUCUCAUUCAUGAUUUUCAUUUUGUUUCCUUUUGUUAGUUUAUAACCCAAGUUGAGUUUAUCUUUCUUAUCAUGUAUUGUUGGAGGCUUCGUGAUUCCUUACAGAUUUUUUCCAAGUUUGGCUCUAGGUUGCCAUUAAAUCUUGAUAACCUAUUUAACAAUCAUUUUAGUAGUCAUAGAUAGGUGCGAUAAAUAUAAUUUAGAUCUUUUAGCUACAUAUGUUGCAUUGGCAAUCUCAAAAAAUCUAUAAAAGCAUUUUGGGCCUUCAUCCACCAUUUCUACAUAAAGAGUAUUUACUGAUUAGGUUACCAAUAAAUCUUUUUUUCCUGCCACACAUGUAAGCUUUUCAUCAAUAAGGAAUUUGACUUUUGAUGCAAUGAAGAUGGAACAACACCUGCCAUAUGAAUCCAUGGCCUACCAAACAAGUAACUGUAUGAGGGAGAGAUAUCUAUAACUUGGAACUUCAUAUUAAAAAUGCAAGGGCCAAUUUGCAAUAGCAUUUUUAUAUCUCUCAGCACCUCUCUUCAGGUCCUAUCAAAGGCUAAAAUUACUAUAUAACUAGGCUUUAUGUAAGAUCCAUCAACAAGUAAUUUUACCAAAGUAGUCAUAGGCAUAACAUUGAUUGAUGUGCCAUUGUUGAUCAGAGCCUUAGUUAUUAUGUAAUUCUUGCAUUUUACAAUAAUGUAGAGAGCCUUGGUACUUUUUUUACCUUCAAGAGGAAUUUUUUCAUCAUUAAAAUAGAUGUAGUUUGAAAUUGUUAGAUUACCAACAAGCUAUUCCACAUACUCAAUAAAUACAUUAUUGGACACAUAUACUUGAUUGAACACUUUCAAUAGAGCAUUAAAGUGCGACUUUGAGCUUAGUAACAAUGACAAUAGCAAAAUUCUAACUAGCAACUUGUUCAACUAUUCUACCAUGCUAUACUCGCUAUGUUGUAUUAGUUUUAAAAAUUCACAAGCUUCAUUUUCAAAGAUUGGCUUCUGAAAAUCUUUAUCAGGGAUUGUCAUAAGAUUACUUUAUUUCCCUUUUCUUCCUCAACCUUUGCUUUUUCUUUCCUAGCUUUUUCUAGUGUUUCUAGGGUAUAACAUCACCCAUUUCGAGUCAUACCUCAUAUAUCUGUUAUGUUUUGCAGCAUCUAGAUUGACUACAAUGUCAUAAUUAUACUUUUAUGGUACUGCUUUGUCAUUUUGGUAUAAAAAAAGGCUAGAAAUUUUAAUUCUCACUACUGGUCGAGAGAUGAGCUUUUUUGGCUUUAAGAUCGACUUCUCAUCAUAAUAGAUAAUUAUCAAUUUACAUAUAAACUUAUUCUUUGAAUCAAUAGUAGACACUUCAACUUUUAUCAAAUCUUUUUUUUCUUCGUAAAACUUUAUACAACCUAUAUCUAUCAACUUUUGCACCUCUUGACAAAAUUGAUCAGAAUUUUUGAAAGAAUGCCCCAAAGCACCUUUGUGAUAGUCACAGCUCUUGGUUGAGUUAAUCACUCUAGAGCAAUUUUAAGACUUUAUUGACUUAACAUAUCAGCCUUAACUAAAGCUUUAAACACCUUAGUCAUCAAAGUUUUAACUUCAUCUAUCCCCUUAUUCAUGUAACUCGUUUGUCCAUUAAUCAAAGCAUUUAUUGAUGGUCUAGUAUGGUUCGAUAAGGGUUCUAAUUAACAUUUGGAGUCCCCAUUGGCUGGUAUCAAAGUUUAACACCUUUUCAUUGAUUAACUUGCACUUUAUGCUUCAAAGUAGUGCAGUUUUUCGUAGAAUGGCUUGGGUUUCCCUAAUGAUAAUCACAAAGCACAUUGGGAUCAUACCAUUUGAAAAAUGGAGGUUUCAAAGGUUUAACAAUAACAAAGGCUAGUAAAUGUUUUCAAUAAGUUGAGGGUACAAAUUUGUAUAUGUCAUGGGGAUAGGGUUGAAAGUGAUUUUUUUCUUAGGUAUUUCUUGGGGCUCUCAAACCACUACUUGGAUUGGGUCUUCCAUUCUAGACUAGUAGGUGCAAUAGGAUGAUUGUGAAAAUAGAUGGGUGUUUGAAAGGAUGGCUAAAAGUGGGGGAGAUAAGUUGGUUGUUGUAGCAACUAAAAUAAUUGAUACGGAUGAGGGAUGGAUGUAACAUUGUUAAUGGGAGGGUAAUGGAUUUGGUACACUAGUGUGGGGUAUGGCAUGAAACUUCUGAACUAUUGCCCCACAUAGUUCACUAUUUAGACUUCAUUUUCUUUCUUCUUAAGAGCUCCACAUUUUUUUCUCCGCUUGUCUCUUUUACAUUGAGCUUACUAUUUUUUUAUGACAUUUUCAAUAAUUUCACUUGAUAUCACCAUAUUCGCAAAGUUCUUAGUUGCAUUACCUAUUAGUCUUUUAUAAUAAGAUGUUUUCAAGGUGUUUACAAAUAGGACAAUUGUCUCUUUCUUAGUAAAGAAAGGUUAUACUUGUACGACCACAUCUCUCAAUCUUUAUGCGUACUCUUUAAAGUUUUUUAUUGCCUUUUUUUCCAUGCUCUGCAAAGAUAGAUGAUUUGGUGCUAGAUCUAUAACAUGUCGAUUUGUGUAAAGAAUGCCCUCAUGAGUUUUUACUAGGAAUGAAUAUGAGUCCUGUCUAGUAGAACAUACUAACUGGUUGCAGAACCCGUAAGGUUAUCUUAAAAUACAUGCAUCAAUAGCUUCUCGUCAUGAGCAUGUGCCAUCAUCUUAUGAAAAAACAUGGUGACAUGAGUCAUUGGGUAUUUUGUACUAUCAUAUUUUUUAACUAUAAGGACCUUAAAUUUAGGUGGAAUGACCAUGUCUAAAACCAAACAAAGCUUGACUUCAUCCAUGGAGCCAUAAAAAUCAAUUCCCUCUAUAGCCUUAAGUCUUUUUUCUAAUAAUUUCAUCUUCUACUGGGCACUAGUAUCUUUCACUUUCUUAAAUGUCUCAUUCCUAGCUUUUCUCUCUCUUUGGGAUCAUCCAAGUUAUGAAUCAAGAUUGGCUCAAAUGGUUUUUCUACCAUGAUGAGAUCAACAAAAUUUUAAAACUAUCUUAGAAUAGGUGUAAAUGUCAUUCUUGGAUAAGGAUAGAAAUAUCUUCCGGGAGUAAGGAUUUGCACUCUAGCUCCUUGAUAAGGUUAGGUUAGUCGUGGAUCAAAUCUUGAAGGGUAUAUAGGAUCCACCAUGUCUAGCAUUUGCUCUUGAAAGCUGGGAUUUCCUUCCAUCGCUUUUUCUUUGUCAAAAUUAUUGACCAUGUCUGUUAUUUUACUAAGAUCCUCUUUUAGUUCCUUUUAAGCCUUCUCAAUCCUCUUAAAUCAACUAGCUUGUCCUUGUUCUAUGAUUCUUGUUUAAGCUCUAGUGUUAUAUAAAUGAUGAGUAGGUUGAGUCAAAAAUUUUUAUGUACAAGCUAUUCUUGAAACUUUUUUAUCACAAAUUUUUAAAAAUUAGAAUGUCGUGUGUUGAAAAUUUUAUUUUUCACUUCUUUUUGUGAUUUUUAAAAAAAUAUGGUAAUUAAAACAAAACAAUGCACAUGAUACAUGAAUGCAAGUGAUAGAUAUUUUGCUCUUGGACGAAUUUCAACACUAGAAAUUUUUAUUGAUUCCAACAACUUUUGUUACAUGAGAUUUAUCAUCCUAGAAUUAUACCCAUAAAAGCAUUUGACUUGCUCAUAAUGAUCCUUAGCUUCAUCUAAAAAGUUCACUAGGCUAUCUAUAUUUUCCUACUGGAUUGACUUCUCUUCUUAAUGUAUCUACCUUUUAAACCAUCUCUCAUGCCUUUUUCACUGCCUUGCAAACUUGACAGGUCAGGUGUUAUAUUUACUGUUGCCUCCUUCAGCUUUCUGCUCUCCAUCUCAUGCAAACAUCCCUUUCCAAAUCAUAUGUGCAAAUCCAAUCUUUUUCCUUCUCUGCCAUGCAUUUAUUAUUGUUGAAAUAUGGUUCUUAUGGUCUUGCAAUUGUAGCUCCAACCUUUAUAUCACUUGGUAAAGUGAUUCUUUUUCAUUUAGUAUUUCAAAGUGCUUUUUACUCUCUUUGGAAAGCAUAGCCUUCAACCUUUUCUUUUUGGCAUUCAACCAAUCUUGUUGAAACUAUAGAGUAUUAUCUUUCCCAAUUCUGACAUUCUUAAGAAAUUCUAGUGAACUCUUCUUACUUUUCUUGAGAUUUGCCUUUUUAUUGGUUUAUUUCCUCUCAGAGCUCAUCCGUUUCAUGUUGCUAACUAAGAUAAGACUUGAUGACUUUUUCAGUCUUGAAUUAGACUUGUAAUCUCUUAUUUUCUUACUUUAAAUCUUUUAAAUCAUUGUUGGCCACAUGCUAUUCUUUUAUGAACUUAUCCAAUCUGCUCCCUUGUACUUUUAUUUUGUAUUUCAAUUGUCCUAUCUUUUCAUAAAAUUUCAAUUUUUCUCUUUUUAUUUCCUCUGUUUCAGUUUUUAAUUCUUUCCUGACAAGCUCAACUUCUGAUAAUUGCAUUUUUGUCAAAAUGUUAGACGACUGAUGUAAGUCAUCAUUAGGAAGGAGCACUAUGUCUUUGAGUCACUUCGCUUUCCAAAUCUAGUAAGCAAGAGUGGGUUUGUUGAUUAAAGGCCCUAGUCUCAUUCUUUACAUUUUCUUCCAUGCUUGGAUCAACCACCCUGAUGUUCCUGGUGGAUUGGACUCCUCGUACGUGAAUUCUACUUGAACUAGGUCAUAGUGACAAAAACAAACUGCUUUGCACUGAAUUGCCUCAAUACCAUCAACGAAGCAUAACUUACCAUACCCCAUAGUUCUAAUAGUGGUAUCCACGGCUCAUUUCCUCCUCGAUACAAUAUGGGCACAUAGGGUAUCCAUGGUGCUAUCCAUUUUAUUUCAUCCCCGAUAAGCCUUCGCAGAAUAGAAUCCAUUUUUCUUAGUCUUUAAUGUCGGCCAUUAGCUUUUACAAAAUUCUUUGAUUGGUUCCUUGUUUUGAAGAUAUGGCUUUGAGAAUGCAUUCUUUCCACACUUGAAAUGAAUUUUAAUCCACAUAUGUAAUAGCAAUGCAAACCCUAUGAAUUGUCCUUUUUCAUUCUGUCGAUAAAAAUUCAAUGACCUAAUGGUUUUGACUAGGACCACUAGUGCAGGAUUAAUUGCUUGGGUUUCAAUUUGCUCAAAAUAUUUCACCACCAUUAUCUCAAUGUAGCCCAAGAUCUUUGGGAAGAUCACCAUGCCAUACAAUGCUAAAGCAAACACAGCCAUGCCUUGAUCAUCAUCUAAAUGCUCUUAAACAAAAUUAUGAAGGAAGUUCCAAUGAAUACUAAGAUGUUCACCUUUAGCCUUUAUGAAAAAAUCUAUGGUUUCCACUUCAACCUCCAUAAGCUAGGCCAACUUUUUUUCAUAACUUGAUUUUAGCUUUUGGGUAAACACUUUAUCCAGACACUAUAGUUCUAUCUCAAGUAAAAUUGAGUAUUCCUUAAUGGUUGGUGUAGACAUCGAAUUUUGCUCGAGACUUUUUUUUCAACAUGAUUGACACAAGGCUCAUUUACAAACAUGGUCUAAGACCAUUUAGGAGGACCAUUUAUGACCCACAAAGAGUUCACAAAUUCACCUAUUCAAAAACCCAAAGUCCACUUGGAUCAAAUCCGAUCAAACAAAGUCAAAAUUGCACAAAACUUGAUCAAAAUGAAAGAGAGCCCAUAUCAAUUCUAAAAAUUCAAAAUCUAAUUGAAAUCAACAUGGUUUAAAAUUAAAUUUGAGAUUUUUUUCAAAACACUAAAAUUUUCAUAGUGCCCCGAAAAGGGUAAAAUUACCAAAAUACCCUUAUAGGGGUAUUUUCAUAAAUUGAUCUUUUCGAGGUUGAAUUUUUGUGAAACUUCUCAAAUCUUAAUUUUAUAAUAUUUCAUAAAUUUUUGUGCAUUUAAAAUCAUGAUGGUACCCCGGGAAGGAUGAAAUUACCAAAAUACCCUUAUUAGGGUAUUUUCAUAAUUUGACUUUUUUGAACUCAAAUUUUUGUGAACCUUUUUCAAAUUUUAAUUUUAUAAUAUUUCAUGAUUUUUUGUGAGUUCAAAGCCACAGUAGUACCUAAAAAGUGUGAUAUUACCAAAAUACCUUUAUAGGGGUCUUUUUGUAAUUUGGCUUUAUCGAGCUUGGAAUUUCACAAAAAUUUUUAAAUCUUAAUUCCAUAAUAGUUUAUGAUUUUUGGUCCUUGAAAAUCUCAAAAAUGACAAUGGGAACAUUGAUUUUUAAGAAAAUGAUCAUAAAUACCAAAAAUUUGUACUAGGGGUGAAAUGGUCUUUUUCAUAGGUUUGGGAGCAUAAAAAUUCAACCUUUGUAGUGUUCAAUGUAGGCCAUUGGAUCUUUUGCUACCUCUUGAUCCAAGGGCCAAAGAUGGCUCCUUGAAAAAAUAGAAAAAGAGAAAUUUUGGCCCUUUAAUGAGAUUUCAUCUAAGGGCUUUUAUUGAUCAAGAUUAGGAUCUUGAUCUUGGAGGCUUGGCCAAUUAUGUAUAGGCUAGAGGGAAGCAGUUAGAAUGGGAGGAUGGAAAGAGAGGCAUCUAACAUUUGAAAAAAAUAAAAAGAAAAAGAAAGAGUACAAAAAAAAGGAAAGUUGUAAACAAAAAAAUUCAAGAGUUGAGACAGCCCAUACCAAGGUUCAGUUUUGCCGAUUAUAUCAUGUGUUUUACACUAUUUUUGCACCUGCUAUGAUCCUUUUUGCAACUAUUUUUUUAUUCCUUUCAUGCCUCGUGUUUGGUGUAUUUAUUGAUAGAAUUUCAAGCCUUAUUUGUUUUAUGUUUCUAUUUCAUUUGUUUUAAAACUGGUUGGAGCAUCAUUGUCUAUUCUGUUGUUGCCAAAUAGCUGCUACUUCUCUUUCUAGCAGUAACUAUUUGGUCCAUGCCACAAAUCCUCCCACCUUUCUUUUCCAUCAUUCAUAUCUAGUUUAUAGCUAGCUUAAGCUAAGACAAAUACAGAUAGGGAAAUUAGCUUGGAGUAGCCAAACCGUGCUGCCUAAUUUUCCAUAGGCAAUCAUGGGUUGGAUUAUUUUUUUAUAUAGAUAUAGCCCCUCAUUUGACUGGGAAGAAUGCUUCAACAAAAAAUGUUUUCCAAGUUAAAGAGAUAAGCCGUUAGAGGGGGAAGAAAGGUUUAAAAGUUUUAGUUUCCUUUCACUUCUAGUCUCUAGUUUCACAUAGUGGGGUUUUAUACACAUUAAAGCUUCAAGAUUUUUCUUUACAUGGGGUCUUACCUUUGGUCCAUUCUUGUAUUUGACUAUAUGAAAAAUAAAAAGUUGAAAUGGUCCAUACAUAGAGCAAGCUUCAUGUGAAUGUUCCCUUUUUAUUUUUAGUUUGCUUGACUUUCUUUGUAUGACUUUGCUUACUAAACCAGUGCAUGAACAAUAAAUUCUAGAUGUAGGAAAACACAAGGAAUGAAAGCUAAAAAUAGGCCAUAGGUAGUGCAUGCUUCAUGUGAACUAGGUUGUCCCAUCUUCAAGUUUGUUUUGCUUGGUUAUUUAUAUUUUUAUCUAUUUCAUCAGUGCAUGAAUCGGUUUUGGAUGAGGGAAAAUAUUACACUUACCACACUGUCCCAUCAUUAUAUUGAUGCUUAGCUCUCUUAUGGUUCUUUGUGGAAUGAUAGUUGUAAGGGUGGGUCAAUCUUUAGCAUGAUGGUUAUUAGAUGUUCUAAAGACUAUAAUACAAAAUGUUUUGAUUAAGGGAUUAGAACCUUUAAAUAGUAAUAUUCAUUUUAGCAUGAUAAUCAUGUUUAUUUUUGAAUUAUGCCAAGGUUUUGAAUGUCAAAUUCCUUUGUGCAUUUAUUAGCUUUUAAACUGAUUUGUUUAUGUUCUUUGAAUACAUUUUAUUUAUCUUAAUUGCUAUUUACAUUUCAAAGAUUUUUACUAAUACUGAUAAUAAUUUUAUGCUAGAAAGUAUAAUUAGUUAUAUAAAGAAUUUUAAUUAAUUUUUGUAAUAACUAUAAAAAAUAAACUUGCUCCAAAAGCCUGUCCAAAAGUCUGGUAGAUAUUAGAGACUUUUAGAAAGGUUCAUAAAUUCUUAAAAUUUGAAUCCAAAUCUACCUAUUCACAAUCUCAAACUCUUUUCAAAAUUUGUAUAAAAGCCUUUAAUGGAACAAUUUGUUCCCGAAUGCCGUAUAGAUAUUGGGGGUUUUAGGAAAUUUUAUUUCAUUAAAAAUUUUCAUACAUUUCUACAACUUAAACAAAUUUUUUUUUAUGUAUCUGGUUUUAAUUAUACCCAUGCAAUUUGUUUAUGAUUGUUUAAAUUUAAUUGCAAGCUUAAUCUUAUGCAUUGUUAAUUUCUUCAUUGUUCGGAUUCCCAAUGCUUAUUUAAAUUUAAUCUUUCAUACCUAAAUCUAUAUUUGAUAUAUUUUAUUCAUUUAAAAAAUAUAUAAAAAAUGAGCUUGCUCCAAAAGUCUGCUUAGAUAUUGGAGACUUUUAAAAAGGCUCGUAAAUUCUUAAAUUUUAAACCCAGACUUACCUAAAAACUCAAACUCAUUUUAAAUUUAUAAGAAUUUGCAUGAAAAACCUUUUGUAAAAUAAUUUACUCCCGAAUGCUGCCUAAACGUUGGGGUAUUUAGGAAAUUUUAUUUCAUUAAGGAUUUUCGUACAUUUCCAUGGCUUAAAAAAAAUAAAUUUGUUUUGCUAAAAUUUUGGUUAUGAAAAUACCUAUUAACUAAUAAUAAUUGGAUGAGAUUUUUAAAUAUUCACAUCCAAACUCUGCUUAGAUGUUGGAGAGUCCAGGUAAUUUCUUUAUAUAUGAAAUCCUGGUUUUUAAAUUCACACUUAAUCAUUAUUUUGCAUAUGUUUUGUCUUUAAAUUAAUGUCUUCAUCUAUGAUGCAUACAUAUAUGUUUGCUUUAGUUAUGGUUGUUAACAUUCCAUUUUUUUUACCAUAUAAAAAGUUUUCUUAAAAUUUUAUAAACAAAAAAAAUUAAAAUAGCAUUUUAUGAAAUAUAAUUUAUUGGUAUUUUGCCUAGAUGUUAGAGAGUUGUCAAUAAUUAUCAUUUACAAAGAAUGUUGUCUUACUAUUUUUAGAAGGAAUGUUAUGAUAAAUCUUAAAUAGAAUGACUAUUUUUUAAUUUUACCUUUAUAAUGGGGAAUUCAAGGGUAUUUCUUUAAUUUGAAGAUUUUCUCAAUAUUCCUCAAUAAAAUAUUUUUUAAAAAAACUAAUUUUAUUUCUUAUAAACAAAGGGAAUUAUAAUUAAAUUUUAUAUUGAAAACCAUUUUUAUAUAAAAUUACAAAUAGUGCAUAAUUAAUUGGUACCAAUUUUAUUGGUGUUGUGGGGGUGCUAAUCCUUUCCCACAUGUAACCGAUUCCUGAACCUGAUCAUAUUUUUGUAGACCAAAAUCAUCUUUUUAAUAAAGUUUUCAACCCAAUUUAUUGUUUUAUUAAAAAGAUAAAAUUUUUGGGUGGUCAAUCACACCCUUAAAAAAUGAUUAGUGGCGACUCCUCAUGUUUUUCACAAUAACUUUUAAAUUGUUACAUCUAGCAAUCAAGUCUGCGGACUAAUACAUUACAACAGUUUGGCAACUCUACUUGGGACUUUUGAGAGUCAGGCCAAAAGUUUUAAUUAUACGUUAUCAAUAAUUGUUGAAUUUAAUUGGUUUUAUUUGAUAUUUAAUUUAAUUUUUUUAUUUUAAUUUUUCAAAAUAAAUAUAAUACAUAUAUAUACAUAAGUUAAUAAAUAAAAUAAAUUGCAUGUUAGUUAUUUUUUUUUGAUUUUGUGCUUAUGAUUUAUUUAUGAUAUUGAUUUAUUUAUAAUAUUUUGAUUAAUAUGUCAUUUUGCAGGCACUCUGUAUAUGCACUUAUAUGUAUGAGCUCUAGACGCAGGCUCUAUCUUUUAGAAGGAAGUGAAGUAGUUAUACUCUCUUGAGGUGAUAACUUCUACAUUUGCUAGCAAAACACUUCUACUCAGAUUGAACCCUUUCCAUUAGUAGCCUGUAAUGGGUGAGGAUCGGGGAGCCUUACUAGUCUAUAAUAGAUAAUGAUGUAAGGAAAUAGUCUAGGAACCUUCAGACGUGUAAAUCCUAACCCAACAUAUCAUGAACCCUAAAGAUCCAACCUAGGAUAGAGUCAUGCCAUCCUUCUUGAGAAAAUUAUCAAAACUUAGGACACUGUAUACAUUCUAUUGUUUUGUUGUAAAGUUGUUAUAUUGUUUGUUUGUUUUGAAUUAUUUAAUCAUUUUAUUUUCUUUGAUUUUGUUGCUUGCAUCAUAUAGGCAUUAUAAGGUAGUCAUCAAUAAAAAAGGAGGAAAAAAAGAAUUUUAAAUUUGAAUCUUUCACUUUUUCGUUUGAUCUUUUACAUGUAUUUUUAACAUGUUUAAAAAAAAAGAGAAGAAAUAAUGAGAUAGAAUAUACACCCCAUUUCAUACAUCCUCAUAGAUAGUACAUGCACCCUAUCUAAUGCACAUCAUAAUAAGAUAAUACAUGCAUUGCAUCUUAUUCUCAUCAGUAAAUAGUACAUACAUCCCAUUUCAUGCACAUAUUGAUAAAUGCACAUGCCUUCUAUAUGUAUCUUAAUAGGUAGUUCACACACUCAAUUUCAUUAAUAUUUUAAGGUAGUGUCAGUUUCAUUAGGUUGAUUAACUCAACUAUUGCAUUUCAUGUAGAAAUAUCACAUGCAUUUGAUAGUCUAGCACUUUUUAGCCUUUGUCAUAGGAUUGUUCUUAAUGUAAAAACUUGAAACUUUUGGGAAUGAAGAAAAACUUUUGAAUUUUCUAUGAAUGGAUGUCUCUAUUUACAUGGUGUGCCUAAAAGAGUUUGUGAGAAAGAAUGAUGGUUGUAAAUAAUAGUUUCACCAUACUUUUAAGGUGGAAGAAAUAUCUUUAAAUAACCUGACUUGAAUAUAGGAGGGAAUUUGAGCUUAUCCUCAAUAAUAAUAAAUUUUGACUUGUAUAUCAUGCAUCAUUUUGUUUGAAUUCAUUAUUUUUCAUACUAGCUAAGGACAAAGAAUAAGGAUUGUAUAAAUAUUUUUGUUAAACUUUUAAAGCAAAAAAAAAUGAUUCAUAAUAAAGUCCCACAUAAAUAGUUUUCAAUAUCAAAAAAUAAAAAAUAGGUCUUCUCAAAAGAAAAUAUACAAUUUUUCUAGUGAGAAUCUCAAAGUAAUUGGUGAUUACUACAAAAAAAAUCCUCAUCUAAUACCACCAAACUUUUCCUUAACCACUCUUGUGUUGCAAUUUUUUUUAAUAAUUUUACUCACCAAUCAUAAUUCUUUAAGGGAUAUGAAUUUCCACUUGUGAACCUUGUUGUCAUUUGAUAUAUUGAAACCAUAGUCUUUUCUUGGGCAAUGAACAAAAGAAAACUCAUUUUGAAUUUUGAAAACCAAGCAAGAUACUAUUUCAAACUUUUAAUUGCUAAUUCAAUGUGUAUCAAAUAUUGCCAAUAUGAUUCAAAAAAUGCCUGAACUUUCUUUCUCAAGUAACCAUUAUUUCAUAUCUUAAGGUACAUUACUAAAAGAAACAAACUUCUUUCUUACCAAGACAAUUUGUUCUAUGCCUUAAUAUUUUUUUCCUCAUUUUACCAAAAUGAUAGACAAUUUGGAACCAAAAUAAGUCUUUUUGGGAACUAUGCAACCAAAUUUAGGACAUCCCAUAUGACCUCAUAAAAACCUUGAGUAGGAAAACAAGAUGGGGCUUCUAUCUAUUUUUUCAAAUACAUUGCUCUUUUAACCAAUUGAUCAUGUUUGAAAUGAUGAACAACCAUCUUUCUCUAUCCUUCACUUAUAAAAAAAUUAUCCACUUACUACCCUUUUGAGCUUAUUAAAUUUAUUGUUCCCAAAAUGAAUCCUCGUCAAGGAUCACUUUGGAGGGCAAAAUAAGGAUAUCUUCAAAAGCCCAACUUCAAGAAAAAUGUCUGAUAUUGAAAAUAUCUAACAAGCACUUUGAAAAUGAGGGUCCGAAGUAAAAAAAAAAGUGAAUGACAUUUCAGGAAAAUAGAAUUCAAGAAGUUGAUUGCUAAAAAUAAGGUCUAAUGUCACAAAAAAAAAAGAUAGAGACGAAAAAAAAGGAAUGAAAAGAAAAAUGGUUAUGACAUCAUGCAUUUAGGAAAUUUAAACAAAUCUUGACAAAUUCAAAGCUUUAAAAAAGGGAUGAAAAAGCCUAAAAUAAAAAAAUAAUAAACAAAAAAAACUAUUGAAAUGAAAAUCUUUUUUCGAGAUCAUUUUUCCAAAAAGAACUACUCUUCAAUUUAAGUUUUUAUACUUGAAAUGAUAAAUGACCGUCUUUCAUUAUCCUUUCACAAAUGUAUAAAUUUAUCCCUUGUUACCCAUUUGAGCUUGAUUGAAUUUUUUCAAAAUAAACCCUAAUUCACCCUCUACACUAGGAGACAAAAAAAAACAUGUUUAGCGUUUAAAAGUGGGGAUGUUCAAAUGGAAUCCCAUGUGAUAAGGGCAAAAGCCCAAUAUAAAAGUUCACAAAAGUUUUAAAUUCAUUCAAUGAAAGAAUGCAAAAAAAAAAAAACAAAACAAAAUAUGAAAGAAAAAAAAUGAAUAGGUAAAAAGCAAAAAAAGGAAUAGAGCUUAGAGUGCUUCCUUUGAAUGGAAAAAUAAUCCUUGGUUUUUAAUACCUUUAAAUACUUUUUUUUGGGCCUUUCUAUCCUUUUCUUUGAUAACCUUGAACCUUAACCUACAUUAUAACCUUUGAAAAGUCCAUAUUGGAUCAAGUAUAAAGGCUUAAAAUUGAAGAGUUUCUCUUAGAAAAAUGAUCAUGAAUCUUUUGACUCCCCAUUUAUUACACAAUUUCUUAUUUGGAUCGUUAACCCCAUUUGAAAAAAUUAUUUUCCUUUUUUGAAUUAGUUUUGAAUUUUUUAAGUGCACGGUGUGUUAAUAAAAAAAAAGUAAAAAAAAAAGAGUAAAGAAAGAUAGAUACACGGCUUUUCAUCUAAAGAAUUCUUCCAUUGGUGCCUUAUUUCGAAGAUAUGGCUUUGAGAAUGCAUUCUUUACACACUUGAAUUGACUUUUAAUCCACACAUGUAAUAGCAGUGUACACCCUAUGAAUCAUCUUUUUUUAUUCUAUCGAUAGAAAUUCAAUGACCUGAUGGUUUCAACUAGAACUAUUGGCACAGGAUUAAUUGCUUGGGUUUUACUUUGCUCGAAAAAGUUUGCCACCAUUAUCUCAAUGUAGCCCAAGAUCUAUUGGAAGAUCAUCAUGCCAUACAAUGCCAAAGCAAACACAACCAUGCCUUGAUCAUCAUUUAGAUGCUCUUAAACAAAAUUAUAGAUGAAGUUCCAAUGAAUACUGAGAUGUUCACUUUUAGGCUUUACAAAAGAAUCUAUGGUUUUCACUUUAACCCCCAUAAGCUUGGCCAACUUUUUGUGAUAACUUGAUUUCAGCUUUCUAGUAAACACUUUUAUCCAAACCCUAUAGUUUUAUCCCAAGCAAAAUCGAGUAUUCCUCAAUGGUUAGCACUAAAUCUUCCUAAUUAAAAAUGAAGCAUCAUAGCGGGGGUCCCAAAACUAUAUAUUUGUCUGGACCAACUAUUCCUUGAUCACUACCGAAAUGAGGGGAUGUAAUCUACCCAUACUUCUUGUAAAAGCUUUCUUUUCUUUCUUCACCGAACUGACCCCAGAUGACAGCUAAGUCUUCUAAAUAACUCUGUGUGAGAUCCAAAUGCAUCUUCUUGAGUAACUCAUACACAUAACUAGUAGGCAAACAAUCUCCAUUCUAUUACUAGGCUUCCUUUAACUAGACAUGUACUUCAUUAUAUGAUUCACAUGGGACAUUGAUGGAGAAUGAGCAAAUCUGUAGUUUUACAGGAUCCUUGAAGAACUUCUUAGGAGAAAGAUGUCCUUGAGCAAAUAUCUCGAUGCAGAACUAUAUGAUAUGUUUUAAACUUCAAAUUUUCUUAAAAGAAGGAUGUCAUAGGAAUCUUAGGUUUUUUUAGCUUUAAAUUUCAAAUUUUCAAUCGAUUUGGUGGCUGAAAUCCACACAACCAAGUUAAGUAAAGGUGUUGGGCGACUAUGGCAGUGGUGCUUUUAGUGCAUUUAAUACACAAUGACUUUUGGCCAAAAUUACCUAAAAAAGGAAAAAAAGGAAAAUAAUAACAAUAAUAAUAAUAAAUAAGAAAAAUUGGAUGUUUACAGGCCAUGGCAUGGAGAAGCUUAGCCAAACCUCCUAGCAUUACAUUAAUGGUGGAUUUUGUUAUGGCUUGAUCUAUAUUGCUUCAAAACACAAGCUUGGUGUUAAGAAGGCAAACAUCUUUGGAGGAAUCUAUUUUCUCUUGAAAAAUAUUACUUAAACUAAAAUAAUAAGGAAACAUGGCAAGAAAAUUCAUGGAAAUGAUCAUAGAAAUGUAUGGAGGAUAGGGUAGAAAUAUACCUCCCAAAAGCUUCCCAAAUUUUUUCCUUUUUUCCCUCUCUUUACUUAUCUUUUUCAUACUACUUCCUUGGCUGCCUCCCCCUCUUUUCUUAGCCCAAAAUGAUGAAUAUAAAGGCUAUGCAAAUGCAUGAUAGCCUUUGAUAAAUAAUACAUCCAAAGGCCACUAGCUCUCCAAGUUUCCAAACAGUCACCUUUCACCUUUAGAUCAAGGUAUUUGAAAUAUUAAUGGUUCAUGAUGAAUCUAGCACAAAAUGAGGUUUUUGGUAUAGCUAAAAUAACGUAAAAGUCCAUUUUACCUUUUUUUUUUUUAAGUUUUCUCCUUUUCUAUGAGAUUUUCUUAGAAAGACAUGAUCCCUUCUUUAUUUUUGUGAUUUCAAUGUGCCAAAAAGUCAUCAAAUAAUAUGAAAACAUGAUUUGAAAGUUUUCAUGAAAAUAUCGACCUCAAGAAAGUUAAAUUAUGAAAAUAACCCUAAAGAGCAUUUUAGUAAUUUCACACCUUUUGAGAUACGACAUAGGUUUUUAAUGCAUCAAAAAUCAUAAAAUAAUUUCAAAAUAUAAUCUAGAGUGUUUCAUGAAAAACCAACCUCUAAAGGUCAAAUGACAAAAAUAUUCCUACAAGGCAUUUUAGUAAUUUUAAAGCUUCCGAGGUGUGAUCAAGACUUUUAAUAUAUCAAAAAUCAUAAAAUGAUAUCAAAUUAUGAUCUAAAGUAUUUCGCGAAAAAUCAACCUUAAAAAGGUAAAAUUAUGAAAAUACCCUUAAAGUGCAUUGUAGUAAUUUCACACCUUCUGAGGUACAAAUAAAGUUUUUAAUGUACCAAUAAUCAUCAAAUAACGUUUUAAAUAUAAUCUGAAAGUUUUCACUAAAAAUUAACUUUAAGAAGAUCAAAUUACAAAAAUAUCCUUAGAAGGCAUUUUAGUCAUUUUACCCUUCUUGAAGUGUGAUAAGAGUUUUUAGUGCAUUAAAAUCACAAAUUCCAACCAAAAGCCUUGUUAAUCCCAUUAGUUAUGAAUUUUGAAGAAUGACCCAAGUUUGAUCCGGUUCGAUGGAUUUUGAUUGAGUUUGACCAAAAUUGACAAAAUUUGAUUAAAUUUGACCAAGUUUGACCCUAAGGCAUUUGGGUCAAAUUGGUUUCAAAUUUGAAUUUGAAAACUGUUAAUAUUAAAAAAAAUGUUGGAUUUGAAUUGAGUUAGAUUUUAAAAGCCUCACAACUAGCUAGAUUUUGAUAAAAUAAAACCAAAUGUCUACAAAAGUCAAAAGGAUACUUGUUUUUUGGCAACAGACAAGAUGGCUUUAUCAUCCAGUUUAGCAUAAAGCACAUUUUGAUAAAUGAAAUUAAAUUAUGGAGCCACUGUUCAUGUAAUGUGAAAAGUAAUGUAUUCAUCAAUGAACAUUUUACACUCUUUAUAACAAAAUUGAAUACUAUAUUAAAUGAUAUAAUUUAGAUACCCUAAUUUAUAAGUGGUUUAAGACUUUCAAAUUUAUAUUUCAUGCAAUUGUGAUACUUGCUAAGUGUGAUAUUAUUUAAACAUUAAAAAAUGAUAAUUUCAUCUAAUAAUAUUUUAUAUAUAUAUAUAUUUGAACGAGUUCAUAUGCUUAUUAAUGUAAUUAAUUAAUUAAUUUCUAGAAUUCUUUGCAACCAAAUAUAUUAUUGUUGUGUACUUAAUUGAAUAUGAAUAUUUUGGUAAUUACCAAAGCUUAUUAAUUAUCUUUGGGACUUGUAUUUGUGAAUAAUUCAAAUAUUAGUAAGUUUACUAUAAUGCAUCUAUCUAUGUUUUUCUUAAUGUAUUUUUAUCAUAAUUAUAUCUUGUAUGUCAAUGAAAGAUUGGUUUAGUGGUAAGCAAGAGAUUUUACAACCUUGAAGUUCUAAAUUCAAGUGUCACUGUAUGCAUUUGAUUCAAUUUUAUAUUCUAAUUUAUUUUAGUUAUAUUAUAAUUUUUUUUAUUGAUUAUUCAAUAUUUCUUAUUUAUGACUAUUGAACUUGAUUAUGAUUGUAAUUUUAAUUUCUUAAAAAAAGUCUUAUAAAUUCAUUUGAUUGAUUUUUAAAUUUUUUUAAGGAGAUAAUUUGAAAAUGAAAAUUAUGUUUCAUUUCUAAUUUGUUUAAAAUAAAUAGACUAUUUUAGCAAGAACUAGAAAUUUUUGGGUUAAAUCAAUUCUAAAUAACUAAACUAAAAUCAAGGGUAAAUGGGGGAGGGGGCGUGUUUAAUUCUAAGGACAAAUAUUGUUCAACCUUAAACACCAAAAUAUAGUCAAACAUUUACAAAUUACAAUUGGAAUCCAUCAUGAAUACAAGUAUUGAAUUAAUUAAGACUCUAGCUAAUUACAAAGCACUAAAAUUGAUUGUAAAAAGAUUCAAAAAUAUAUGUCAAAGUGAAAUGAAAUGAUUAUGUUAGUUUAGAAAGAGCCUAAUAAUAAUAACUAGAAUUUGACCCCUCUUUGUUGGGGUCAAGUAUUCUUCAUUAAACAUUUUCUAUUAUUCUUUUUUAUAUUUAUGAUGGUUUUUAACAUAAAAUUAACAAUAAAAUUUUUAAUCUACGUGUUAAAUAUUAUAAAUAUAUUGAAAUUAAAAAAAUUUAAUAUAAUGCUGUUGUAUUUUUGUUUUAGGUUUUUUAUGCUAUUUUGUGAAAGUUUAGGCUUUAUUAUAUUUUUAAUAUUUUGUUAUUUUAUAUUUAAUAAUAAAUAUAUCCAAAUAAAAAUAAAUUUCUGAUCUGCCCAACACGUUUCAUAAGAAUCUAUAGUUAUUUUUAUUUAAGAAAAUUUAGAAAAAAAUUAAAAUGUUAACUUUUGAAAAAAAUUUCUUUUUAGGAAAUAUUUUCUAAAUAAUUAUUGUUUCAUUAUGUUUAUUUCAGGCUUUAUUAUAUUUUGCAUUUUAUUUGAUUAUAUAUACAUAUAUAUAUAUAUAUUACUUUUUUAGUUUAGGAUUUAUUAUAUUUUCUAUUUAGCUUUAUUAUAUUUUCUAUUUGACUUUAAGGUUAGAAGCUUAAUGUGCCAAAUAAAAAAUAUUUACUCACUCUUUUAAUUUAAGCUUUAUUGUAGUUUUGGAUUCUCUCAACACUUUUCAUAAGAAUUUUUUCAACAAUUUUAGAUCUAAAAUAUCCUUUUUAUUUUACAAACUAUGCGUCCAACCUUAAAACCUAAACUAGAAAACUCAACCUGAAAACCUAGCCUAAAAAACCAACCACAAACCCACACUUCACAAUGAAUCAAUUAUUCUAAAGUUUUGGCCUUCAAAAACUUAACAACAAACCAACCCACAUCUUACUUCAAAAAGCCAAAAAUACUCGGGAGAAGGAAUGGAAAAGAAAGCUGGGAAAGGAGGAAAUCUUUCUCUUAUUUGAAUAUUAUUUAAAUUAAAAUAUAGGAAAAGAAAAAAAUUUGAGCAUUCCUUUCUUUUCUUUAAAUGCUCCAUUUUUUAAUUACUCCAAAUUGGAGAAAGAGCUAGGAAAAAGAAAAAGAUAAAUUUUUUUAAAAUAUAAAAUAACAUUUAUGUCAUUAUAAUUUUUUCAAAUUUCAAAGAAUAUAUUAUAAAUUUGACAAGUGAUAUUAAUAUUUACUUUUUAUCACACCUAAACUCAUUUCCCUAUUAUUUUCAUCAACUUCUUAUAAUAUGAUAUUCAAAUUUAUUUUUACGAAUUAUUUUGAAUUUGUAUUUUUUAUUUUUUUCUUUCUUUUAGUUUUUUUUAUUUUAUAUGAAAAUAAAAUUGAAAUUAUUAUUGAUUUAGAUAAUUUACCAUUGUCCACAAUAAAAGUAAUCAUAUCUUUUUUUUUUAAUUUAUGUAGGAACCUUAUAUCUUUUUUUUUAUAUUUUAUUAUUAUUUCAAAAUUUUGAGAAAAAGGAAAAACACAUACAAUUGGAGAAAUUAUGUUUAUGUUAAAGGAGUUUGUUAAAUUUGUAAGAAAAUAUUAAUAUAAGUUUAUAAUUAAUUUUAUUUACAAAGACAUAGAUUUUUUAAUUUUCUCAUUAAAAUUAAAUUUUGAAAAAAUAUAACUAUGUGAAAAUAUCUCCAAAUUACAUUCUUUAAAGGAUUCUUUUAAUAUAGAGGAUGUUAGGUUAAAUCCCAUGUACAUUCCUGUGUUAUUUGUGUUUCCUUGAUUCAUCUUCAAAAAAAAUUUUUUCCACUUAUAACCAUGUGGUUGACUAACUACAAAAAGUACUUACAGCAUUAAACAAAAAAUGAAAUGGCUUUAAUAUUUUAUCUUUGACCUCAAAUUUUUAAAUUUUUACAUCAAUACCUAUUACAACUGUAAAAUUAAAUAAAUCAACCAAUGAUAAACUUAAACAACAAAAAUCGGUAUUUUUUUUAUUAUUUGGAUUUGAAUUCGCUAAGAGGUUAUAAAAAGAUAAUUUACAUAAUUUUACUACUUUCGAUGUAAAUAAAUUUAUUUAAAUUGACCUAAAGAAGAAAUGUAUAGAGAAAAACCANNNNNNNNNNNNNNNNNNNNNNNNNNNNNNNNNNNNNNNNNNNNNNNNNNNNNNNNNNNNNNNNNNNNNNNNNNNNNNNNNNNNNNNNNNNNNNNNNNNNNNNNNNNNNNNNNNNNNNNNNNNNNNNNNNNNNNNNNNNNNNNNNNNNNNNNNNNNNNNNNNNNNNNNNNNNNNNNNNNNNNNNNNNNNNNNNNNNNNNNNNNNNNNNNNNNNNNNNNNNNNNNNNNNNNNNNNNNNNNNNNNNNNNNNNNNNNNNNNNNNNNNNNNNNNNNNNNNNNNNNNNNNNNNNNNNNNNNNNNNNNNNNNNNNNNNNNNNNNNNNNNNNNNNNNNNNNNNNNNNNNNNNNNNNNNNNNNNNNNNNNNNNNNNNNNNNNNNNNNNNNNNNNNNNNNNNNNNNNNNNNNNNNNNNNNNNNNNNNNNNNNNNNNNNNNNNNNNNNNNNNNNNNNNNNNNNNNNNNNNNNNNNNNNNNNNNNNNNNNNNNNNNNNNNNNNNNNNNNNNNNNNNNNNNNNNNNNNNNNNNNNNNNNNNNNNNNNNNNNNNNNNNNNNNNNNNNNNNNNNNNNNNNNNNNNNNNNNNNNNNNNNNNNNNNNNNNNNNNNNNNNNNNNNNNNNNNNNNNNNNNNNNNNNNNNNNNNNNNNNNNNNNNNNNNNNNNNNNNNNNNNNNNNNNNNNNNNNNNNNNNNNNNNNNNNNNNNNNNNNNNNNNNNNNNNNNNNNNNNNNNNNNNNNNNNNNNNNNNNNNNNNNNNNNNNNNNNNNNNNNNNNNNNNNNNNNNNNNNNNNNNNNNNNNNNNNNNNNNNNNNNNNNNNNNNNNNNNNNNNNNNNNNNNNNNNNNNNNNNNNNNNNNNNNNNNNNNNNNNNNNNNNNNNNNNNNNNNNNNNNNNNNNNNNNNNNNNNNNNNNNNNNNNNNNNNNNNNNNNNNNNNNNNNNNNNNNNNNNNNNNNNNNNNNNNNNNNNNNNNNNNNNNNNNNNNNNNNNNNNNNNNNNNNNNNNNNNNNNNNUAAAAUCAAUGGAUAACACAUAGUUAGUUGGUACCAUUUUAAACGGACGCUGUAGGGGUGCUAAUCCUUCUCCACAUAUAACCGACCCCUAAACCUAUACUGUUUCGCAGACCCUAAAAUUAACCUUUCAAUAAAUUUUAAUUAAUUUUAAGAUUUCAUUAAAGGAUAUGUUUUAAUUGGUGGCUAAUCACACCUAACCAAAAAAGAUUGGUGGCGACUCCAUUUUUUGUUAUUUUUUUAUUUCGUUUUCAAAUUCAUUGGGCAGCUCCAAAACCGUCAUGAAAUUGGAUGAGGUAUUUGGAUAAAAGAUUUUAUUUCAAUAAGGAUUUUCAAAAGUUAAAAAAUGAAUUUACUUGUUUGGAGAGAAAGAGAGAGAGAGAGUGAGAGAGAGAGAGAGAGAAUUUUAAAAUUUAGGUGAAAUUUUAAUAAAAAAUUUAAGGUGCUUGAAAUUCCACCUAAAUAAAUAGUUUUUUAAAAUUCCUUCUAACCUUAUCUCUCUUUACUACAAAUGAUCCACCAUAAAAUACAAAAUUAAGAAAAUAAAUAUAAUUUUAUUUAACUCUAAUAUAUAUUUUUCGUUUUUUAUACUAAUAAUAAUAUAUAUUUUUACAAAUAUAAAGAUUUCCAUAUUGCAUAUAUUUUUUUGCAUAGAUAUUUUUUAUCUUUAAUAUCAUUAUUAUUCUUUUAUAAUUAAUUUUUAUCUUAUCUAAUUGCAAUAGAUUAAUUUUUUUUAAGAAAUACUUGUUCAAACAAAAUAAUUGCAAAUGCUAGCAUUUAAAAUGCAUUUAUUCCAAAUUUCUUCAAAACUUCAAAUUUCUCCGUCUAAAUGCACUAUUAAUAAUUCUGCAAAAUCUUUUUAUUUUUCUGCAAAAUACCCAAAUCAAUUCAAAAAAUGAUAAAUUAUUAUUUUAGAACAUUAUAAAUCCAUAAUAAUUCAAAAUAUCCAAAAUUUUUAUUUUGUAAGGUUUUAAACACAUAACAAUUCAAAAUACCCAUAAUCAAUUUAUGAUCCUUACUCAAUAAUUUGUUUUUCAAAUUUGGCUAAAAUACUCAAAUCCCAAUAUAGAACCCUUAAACCUACUAGGAAAAGUAGUCAAAAAAGAUCAAAAUCAAUGAAAGAAAAUUUUUGAGCAUUAAAAUAUGACAACUAUGAAAAAAAAAAACCAAAACACAAGAAAUAUUGUAGAAAAUAAUCUUAUACAAUUAUCUAAAGUUCAUCUUUCUCAUUAAGCCAUCACAAAGAUAAUAAAAAAUGAAUAUAAGGGUUAAUAUAUAAACUGACUCAUGUAUCAUACAUCUUCUAUUAAUUUAGUACUAAAAAUAAAAAAAAUUUUAUUUUAGUAUUUUAAUUUUCACUCCAUUAAGUACUUUUGAUACAUCACAUUGUUACUAUCAGUUAAGUGAUUAACGUAAUAUGAAUAUCUAACAAAAACAUACCACGUAUCAUAAAAUGUUAAGUUAUCAUCACGUUAACUAUUGUCAUAUCAGCAAAAAAUUUAAAAAAUUAAAAAAAUAAUUUUUUAAAAAAAUAAAAAAUGAAAAAUAAAUAAAAAAUAAAAGUAAAAGAUUGGGGAAUAAGAGAGGGAAUGAAAGAAAAGGAAGCAAAAGGAGAGAGGGGGAAUGGAUUAUGUCAAUGAUUGACCUAAGGUCGAAUUGAGGCUGGUCUACCCCAGGCCCAACAAAACAACAUUGAUCCAGUGUACAUGAGUUGAGUUGGUAGAUUCGAAGUGGAUCAUCACCGAUUGGCCCCAAUCUAGCACUAGGCUACCAACGUUGUCACCUUUGCCUUCAUCUUCCCCCAUUUUCUCCUUUAGUUUUCCUUUUUUUUUUCUCUCUCCCUGAUUUUUUUCCUUUCAUUUUUUUAUUUUUUCAUUUUUUUUAAUUCUGAAUUAAGGCAUAUACUUUUUUUAAAAAAUUGAAUUUUUAUUUAAAUGCUGAUGUUAAAAAUUGAUGAUAUAACUAUAAUUGACAUUUAUGUUACGUGCAAUGAUUUUUGGAUAUUAAUACUAGUAAAUAACUUAAAUAAUGAUAUUAGUUUGAAGUAUUAAAAUAUUGACGAAUGAAAAUUUAAUUAUUAAAGUGAAAGUUUUAUUUAUUUAGAUACCAAAAUGACAAAAAAAAAUAGUAGAAGAGUCUUUUUUAUUUAACAUUAAAUAUAAAAAUAAAAACAAAUAAAAGUUAUCCAAUAAAAUCUAGCCUAACGGAAAACACUAAUCUUUUUAAUCCCAAAAUCCUUUUCAUCAUCUUCAAAAUUGGCAUAAAAACUUGCAAAAAUUCCAAAAGAGAUCAUAUUACUUGUUGCAAUUUUUUGCAUCUUAGAUUGCUAGAGAAUGUUGCUACCUUGGGUUGCUUUUACUGGGCAUUAUUGGAGAUUUUGUUUUGUAAUUGUUGAGAAAAACAAAAGAAAAGUGGAGUGGAGUGGAAAGUGGAAAGGGAAGUGUGAGAGUGAUUGAAAGAUUGGAUUGGGUGAUUCAUAAGAGAUUAAAAGGAUUAAAGUAUGAGUUGGUGAUAGAUAAAGAAGAUGGGAGAAAUUGAAGGAUCGAGUGGGUUAAUAAGAGAAAAUGAAAGAAACGUGAAAAAGGAAAAAAUGGAAAUUAAUAAUAAUUAAAACUAAAUUAUGAGCUUUUGCAGGAUUUUGAUAAAACUAACCUAUCUACAAGAUAUGUCUUCUUUUUUGUAAAGUCCUUCAAGGCUUUAGUCGUAAGAAUUAAUGCUUCUUAUGCUAUAGUCUAGCACUUGCUUCUUUAAGUUUAAUCUCAAUUAAACUAAGGAGAUAUAUAGCAAGCCUUUUUCAUUUAAGGUUUCACAGUUGCAAAAUUUUCAAUAUAUAUAUAUAUAUAUGAGAAAUUAUUAAAUAUAUUAACAAUAUAAUUUUUUAAUUUUACAAACGAAAUUAAGAUGAUAACACAAAUUAUUUAUACAUUUAAAAACAAGUAUAAUUAUCUUAAUCUCGCUUAUGAAAUUAAAAAUUUUCACUAUUAGAAUAUCAAAUAAUUAUAUAUAUAUAGAGUACAAAGAGAAAUAGGUUUAAUGAAAAAUAUGUUUUAGUAAAACUCAAUAUUUUAACAAAAAUAAUAAAAAAAGUGAUGUGGACUAAUUUUAACCAUUGGAUAGUGUUUUUAAAAUCAAUGGAGAUAGUGUUUUUAAUAUUGGAUAGGAUCAAUUUUUUAUUUUAUUUUAUGGUUUUUGCUUAUUGAAAGACGAUUUUGUAGUUCCCCUUAUGGUUGUUCUAUAGGUUUUUUUUUUUAUGGGAUACUUUUUUUUUAUUUAAUCAAAAAAACUCUAGGGUUUCAUCAAAACAAAAUAUUUGAAAAAUUGGAUCCAAUUUUGAUUUUGAUUUUCCUUUUUAUUUCUUUGCCUUCAAACCUUCCCAAAGUUGAUUAUUUUCCUUGAUUCCAAAUUCACGAACUUUUUAAAAUGUUCAAAAAUUUUGGCACAUUUUUGAAGGCUUUUUUUCCUUUUCUUUAAAAAGAUUUUUCAGAUUGACAUUAAAAAUUAAUCAAAAGAAUAAUAAAACAAAAAUUAAAAGAAAUAAAAAAAAAAAGAAAAUGGGUAAUCCAAUUUUUCUUGGGUUUAAAGCUAAAUUUGAGAUUGAAACUUAAUUAUCAAGAAGUGGUUGAUUAAUUGAUUAAAUUCAUCCAUCUCGAUGAAAAAAAUCUUAGGUUCGAAUCUUGUCAGUGGUCACUUAUUGGAGUCGUCUCGAAUACAUGACUUGUAGUCAUCUGUCUUAAACUGUCAAGUAUAACACAUCUUAUCUUGACUUUAGGAACUGAACAAUCUAUAUACUCCAAAAUUUUUUUUUACCAAAAAAAAAGUUAAAACUUAAUUUGUCAAUUUCAAAUCCAACUAAUAAUUUUUAAACCCAAAAUAAAUUCCAAGCGUGAAAGUAAACCUUGAGGUACCAAAAAAAAAACUCGAAAGCAAAUCUCGAGAACCAAUCGGUCUUGCAAGACCUAAAAGCAAAUAUUGACUCUAACUCAACUUGAUUAAGGGUCAAUCAUGAAUAUGAAAAUAAACGCAUCUUACUUUAAGUCCUUAAAAAAUUAUUCAAUUCAAAUUUUUUUAAAACACUUUUAAAAUUCUCGAAAAAAAAUAGGACGUUUAUACUUAUUCUUUUUAUUGUUUUAAAUUCAAACACGAUGUUAACUUAAAACAUGUAUUAAUACCAUUAUUUUUUUAUUUGAAACUUUUUUAAUAUUUUAUCAAUGAAUCAAAUUAUGAUAAUUAAUUAAAAAAUAAAUAUAAUUCUUACAAUCUCUUAAACAAAUACACAAUUUUUUUUUAAUUUUUAUUAAUAAAAUAUCAUAAUUGAUUUGCUAUCAAUGUUUAAUAUUUGAUAAUUGACAUACAUUAAAUAUAAAUUUUAAAAGAAAGUUAUAUGAAAUAAUUAUGUCACGUUAAUAUAUGUUUUUUCUAUUCAGAUCAUGUUAUAUAAUUAUAUUAUAUUAUUAAUUUAUUAUAAAUUAAUAAAUUAAUCUAUUAAAAUAAAUAUUUAUCAAUUAAUUAUCACAAACAAUAUAUAAUAAGUUAUUAAUUUUUUAAUAAUAUAAUUAUGUGAUAUAAUUUAAAUAAAAAAAUAUAUCCUAACCUUAAAUAUAUCUUUUAAAAAAUAUAUAAACUCUUGUUUGUUUUUACGUUAGACGAUAAAAAAAAGGGCAAAUCGUGCACCUUAGCGCACGAUAAUGAAGAUAAUCUUGGAAAUAAAUGAAUUUUGGUAGAACAGCCUACCUAGACAUGAUAAGUCGGUGCAUGUUAGCAUAGAAGAGAAUCUUUUUUCAUCCGGGCAUAAAGAAAGUUUACUUCGUCUGAAUUGAGAUUAGCAUCAAAAUCUGUUGAUCGAUCACUUCUCCGACUUUCGAUUCAUUAAAUCCUUUUCUCCUUCGAAAUUAAUCGAUCAGCUCUCUUUUCCCUAAAUUUUAAUCCAAUUUAUUAUUUAAUUGAUGCUAUGAACUUUUUGUUAUUAAUUUUAAUUCCUUUUUCAAUGAUUUCAAUACGAUGUCAUAUAAUUGUUCAGGUUUUCAAUUUUGUUUAGAUUAAUUAUUUGUUAUGUUACAUAAUUUAUUUUUUGAUGGAUAAAGAAAAAGGGGAAACAAUUUUCUUUCUUCUUUAAAAAAAAUCUUUUAAAUGUUGAAAGAUAGAAUAUUGCAGUUUUAAAGAAUGUUAGACUCGGUUGAUUAUUCCCGGAUGAGCUAAAUGAGCUAAUUGUUGAAUUUUUUUAUACAACUAAUAAGAUCAUAAUUUUAAUUGAUUGAUUUUUAUCUGCAAAUCCAAGACUAACCAUUUGUAACAACUAAAAAUUGAUAAAACUAUGACAUAACAAUAGAAAUUAACUAUAUUGCAUUUUUUUUUUGGUUUUUCCUAUAGCAAUAUGUAUUUGGAGAAGAGAUGGAGGAACAUAGCAAAUAUGAAGGAACCUCCUUCACUAGUAGACCUUUGUGUUAGGACGACGAUAGAUAACGUAAGAUACCUUGGGGAUGUCGGUGAGACAGAUUCACAUCUUCUUGAGCGUAUUCUACCCCAUUGUACAAUGGAUCAAUUAUUGCACGUGGAGAAGAGAGCAAAAGUAAGUUGAUUUACAUAGUUUGUGCAAGAGUUGGCAUUUGGCUCUGAUUAUAUGUAUAAUUUUAAAAGGGAUUGAUUGAUUGUUCUAGGGAAGGGAUCUUACUCCAGUAACUGAUAAACUUUAGAAGAAUUUCUAUGAGCUACAGUUUGGUCAUCAGAAUAUGACUCUUGUAAUUGAGAGGAUGAAGCUCAAGAAAGUUUCAUUUAGAUGGAGACAGUUGUAUGAGGUAGGUAAUCUUUUAACUUUCUUUACUUUCAUGCCGUCCUCUUACCUAAUAGCUAGGUUGUUAGUGGAAUGUUGAGGAACCAACAAUGUACCUUUACUUAAGGUGUGCACAGUUUUAUGGAUUUCCUUACUAAAGUUGGAUGAUUUAUUGUAGGCAAAAUUGAAGGAUUUUCAGGAGACUGAGAACAAAGCAAGUGAUCAGCUUAAACAGCUAUAUAAGAAAGAAGAUGCUUGUAUACUCUUUGUUCUUUGAAUUCUUAAUGACAUAAGCCAUGAUUUUGACUUGUUGCUUGCUUGCUACAUGUAUGCUUCUGUCUCUUGAAUUUUUUUAUCACUGGUUUGAUUUGCAUUUACAGUUACCAGUGCAAUAUUGCCCCAAGCUUUCUCUUGCAAGCAUAAAAGUCUUGUCGAAGAGGCCAUUUCAUUCAAAAAGUGCUAAAAAUUGGAACUAUUUCUUAAUUACCAUUGCCAGCAACCUAAAUUAAGCCAAACUUGCACUAAGAAGCAGCCAUUAAUUGCGUGUCUAUGUACUUGGAUUAAUAUAUUGAAGAGAACUAGAGAGUGCUUUGUGGUAGUUGCCAGUAUAUUUGUUGUCAAAUAUUAAAGUAUUUACUGACUUAUGUACCAUUUACCCUAAGACUGAUUGGAGAGGACUAAAGAGUUUUUCUUGUGGUACUCUCAUAUGUAUUUAGAGUAAAAUAUUAGAGUGAUGCAUAUACCCUUUACCUUAAUUACUAAAGACAAAUGUUCUUUUUAUGAUCAUAAUUUCGUACCAUUAUUUCUAUUUUAUUAGGAAAAUAAAGUCGACAGGUUCAACUUUGCUCUAAGGUUCCACCUUCAACCAAAAGAAGCUUUUAUGCUAGUAACAUUCUUUGUACCUCAAAAGCUUGGUUGUUUGAUCUAGUCCAUUGAUCUCGUAUAUUGGAAUAUUUGCAACUUUGGUCUUUAUGCCUGAUAAUUAAAUAGGGCAUUUCAUGAAUUGUUGGCUUUAUUUAUAAAGUUUUAAUAAUCUUUUUUAGAAAUAAUCCUUUUUAGAAUCUUAUAUAUGUAUAUUAUCUCUUUUAUGAACUUGUAUACCACCGAUUGGAUCAUGCUAGCAUAAGUUGCAACUUUUACUUAUUUUGUGAAAUAAUCAAUUAUCACAAAGAUAAAUCUAUGCCCAUUUGAAGCUUUCGGGGUAAUAGAACUGACGACAUCCAUGCCUUACAUAGAAAAUAGCCAUAGAGGUGCUAAAACUUACAAAGCUAAUGGAAGAGCAUAAAUCUAACACUUAUGACAUCUUCUGACAUAAUCAAUAUAGUCACUUUUCAUUGUCAACCAAUAAUAGCCAACACUCAUAAUUUAUCUAGCCAUUAUGUGACCAUUCACAUGUGCCCCCCAAACCCCAUCAUAUAUUUUUCAAUAAUUUUUUUUGCUUCAACUACAUUUUCACAUCUUAAAAGUACCUUAUCUUGGCUUCUUUUGUAAAAAACAUUUCCAUCAAGAAAGAAACUUAUAACCAACCUUCUAGUGAUCCUUUUAUCAUUUUUUAUUUCAUGCUCCUGGUAUUGUUGACUUUUAAUAUAUUGAAGAAUAUCAUGAUAACAUGGUUUCCCAUCAACUUCUUCUUCGACACCUGAGUAAUGUGCUAUUACAUCUUUCAUGUCUAGCUUGAUGGGUUGGAUCUUGAUAUUUGCAUCUAUUUUAAUCAUUACAGCCAAAAUGACCAGUGUAUCAAUAAUUUGGUUCUCCUCUUUAAGCAAAUACUCAAAUUAAACUUCUUCAAAUUGCUUGACUAACUCAUAGAUGUAUUUAUGGUAGCAAAUCAACUUUGAAUCUCUUGUUUCUCAUUCACCUCAUAAGUUAUAAAUAACUAGUGCUAAAUCUCCAAACAUAUCCAACACUUUGAUCUUUCUUUCAAUUGUUGCUUGUAAACCUAUAACAAAAAUAUUGUAUUCAGCCACAUUAUUUGAGUAGUUGAAAUUCAAUCUAGUUAUGAUGGGAUAAUAAUGUCCAUUAGGAAAUAUUAAAAUUACCCUAUACCAUGACCCAAAGCAUUAGCAGCUCUAUCAAAAUACAUCCUUAAAAACUUCUUAACAGUUUCAUUUUCUUCAAUGACCAUCACAUCUUCAUCAGAAAAAUCAAGCUUUAUUGGUUCAUAAUCUUUAGCCACAUGAUCGGCAAUGAAUUUAGUUAUUGCACUCUUUUUAAUAACCUUUUGAGUUACAUAGACAAUAUCAUAUUCUGAAAGCAUAACUUCCCAUCGUACUAUUCUUUCUAUCAAUGAAAGUUUUUCGAAGAUAUACUUGAUAGGGUCUAACUUUGCUAUAAGCUAAAUAGUGUGAUAAAGCAUAAACUGCCUGAGCCUUCAAGCUAUCUAGGCUAGUGCACAACAUAUCUUUUCUAAUGAAAAAUACUUGGAUUCAUAAUUAGUGAACUUUUUACUCAAGUAGUAGAUUGCCUGCUCUUUUUUGUUGGUUUCAUCUCUUUGCCCUUAAACAUAUCCCAUUAAAUUUUCAUGUAUGGUUAACUAUAAAAUCAAAAGUUUUCUUGGAAUUGAUGGCACCAACAUGAAUGGAUUUGACAAGUAUUCUUUGACUUUGUCAAAAGCUUCUUGGCAUUCAUCAUUUCAUUCUCUUAGAUCAUGUUUUCUAAAAGGCUUGAAAAUCAGAUUGCACUUGUAGAUAAGUUGCGAGAUGAAACAAGCAAUAUAGUUCAAUCUUCCCAUAAAGUCUCGCAUUUUUUUUUAGGUAUGAAGAGGGGAUAAGUUUUGAAUAGCACAUAUUUUGUUCGGAUCCACUUUUAUUUCUUUUCACUAACCAUAAAGCCCAAUAGGUUUUUGAUUUAGCAUCGAAUGUACAUUUGGUAAGAUUUAACUUCAGUUGGAAUCUCCUCAACCUAUCAAACAACUUUAUGAGAUUGACUACAUGAUCUUCUCCUUCAUGAGAUUUUGCAAUCAUAUCAUCCACAUACAUUUCUAUCACUUUAUGCAUCAUGUCAUGAAAGAGAGUCACCAUCACUCUUUGAUAAGUAGCACCGAUAUUUUUCAAUCCAAAAGGCAUGACUUUGUAACAAAAUAUCCCUCACACGAUCACAAACAUUAUUUUUUUCCAUAUCUUUUCCAACCAUCUUAAUCUGAUUGUAGCCUGAGAAGCCAUCCAUAAAGGAAAAUGUGAAAUAGCUAGCAGUAUUAUCCAUUAGGAUAUCGAUAUGAGAUAAAGGAAAAUUAUCCUUAGGAUUUGCCCUAUUUAGAUCUCGAUAAUCGAUAUAUAUUCUCACAUUUCCAUCUUUCUUGGAAAUAGGCACUAUAUUGGCUACCCAUUCAAGAUAUUUUACCACCUCUAAAAAUUUUACGUCAAAUUGCUUUUUCACCUCUUCCUUAAUUUUCAAUAGCAUCUCCAGCUUCACGCACCUUAGCUUUUGUUGUACUAACUUGCAAUCUAAUUUCAAAGGCAAUUUAUGCUCUGUAAUAUCAGUAUUGAGUUUAGGCAUAUCCUGGUAAGACCAUGUGAACACAUUUACGUAUUCUCAGAGUAGCUUUUCUAGCCUUUGCCUAUCAACUAAUGAAAUAAACAUACCAAUGUUAACCUAUUUUCUAUUUUUAUCAUCCCUCAAAUUCACUAAUUUGGUAAUUUCUUGGUAGGGCUCAAUUAGCUUAUCUUCGUGUUCUAUUAAUUUCAACAAAUCAAGAGGUUAUGUGUAAUUAUCUAAAUCUUUUUCAUUAUCAAGUUUGUCAACAUGAAUUGUGUUUUCAAAAUCAAAUUUGAGAUUAUUAUCAUGGUUAUCUUCGUAUUCAUUAUUUGAGACCCUACAAAGGAUGAGAUGAAGAGAAUAUUGGUACUCAAAAGUGGAAUGGCAAGAAAAUGAUUAAGGCAUAAUGAAAAAAAUUGGAUUGUAUAAAUGAAAAUGAAAAUAAAUAGAAAUGCAGACGCAUCUUCUAAGUUUUUUAUUAAAACGACAAACAUAAAUACACCACUAAAGAUUUUUUAAUGCUUAUAGAGAGCAAUUAAGGAUUUAAAGUUUCACAAUAAAUUAUUUUUUAAAAGUUUUAAAGACAGCAUGCAGCUUUAUGACUUUUCAAUUAUCUAGCUCAAAAUUUGAAGGGCAAAGACGUAUGAAUAGCUCUUCAUCCUAACUCUUCUUUUUUUCCCUAUAUAUCAUCUAAAUGGCUAGCUCAGAAGAAGUUUCAAUCAACUUUGCAUUUAGGGCUUCAAAUGAAUCUAGGUAAAUAUAACCUCCUAAAUGAAAAGAAUCAUAGAGAUAAUGACCAUCAACUCAAACUUUGGUUCAUAUCCCCUAAGGUUAGCCAUUUUUUUCUCACUCAUGAUUUUCAUUCUGUUUCCUUUUGUUGGUUUAUAACCCAAGCUGAAUCUAUUUUUUUUAUCAUAUAUUGUUGGAGGCAUCAUGAUUCCUUGUAAAUUCUAUCUAAGUCUAGCUCCAGGUUGCCAUCCCAUUUUGAUAAGUUGUUUAAUAAUCAUUUCAAUAGUUGUAGAUAGGUGUGAUGAAAAUAAUUUAGAUCUUUCAGCCAUAUAUAUUACGUUGGCAAUCUUGAAAGAUCUAAAAAAGCACUUUGAGGCUUCAUCUAGCACUUUUACAUAAUAAGUAUUUAUCAAGUAGUUUACCAGUAAAUCUUAUUUUUUUGCCACACAUGUAAGCUUUCCAUCAAUAAUGAAUUUGCCUUUCUGGUGCAAUGAAGAUGGAACAGCACCUGCCAUAUGAAUCCAUGGCCUACCCACCAAGCAACUUUAUUAGAGGGAGAUAUCCAUAACUUGGAAUUUCAUAUUGAAAGUGCAAGGGCCAAUUUGCAAUGGAAUUUUUAUAUCUUUUAGCACCUCUUUUUGGGUCCUAUUAAAGGGUCGAACUAUCAUAUAAUUAGGUUUUAUGUAAGAUCCAUCAACAGGUAGUUUUGCCAAAGUAGUUAUGGGUAUAACUUUGAUUGAUAAGCCGUUAUCAAUCAAAACCUUAGCCAUUAUGUGACUUUUACAUUUUACAGUAAUAUGGAGAGCUUGGUACUUCUUUGACCUUCAAGAGGAAUCUCUUCAUCACUAAAAGAGAUAUAGCUUGAAAUUACCAGAUUGCCAACAAACUAUUUCACGUACUCAACAAAUAUAUUGUAGGACACAUAUAUUUGAUUGAACACCUUUAAUAGAGUGUUACAGUGCAACUUUAAGCUUAGUAAUAAUGAUAAUAGCAAAAUUCUAGCUAGCAUCUUAUUCAACACUAUUCUACUAUGUUAUACUCGUUAUAUUUUAGUAGUUUUAAAAAUUCACAAACUUAAUUCCCAAAAACUAGCUUUUGACAUUCUUUAUUAAGGACUGUCAUAAGAUUACUCUAAUUUCCUUUUCUUUCUUGACCUUUGCUUUUUUUCCUAUCUUUUUCUAGCAUUUUUAAAAUGUAACAUCGCCCACUCCGGGUCAUACCUCCUAUACCUAUUAUGUUUGUAGCAUCUAGAUUAACUAUGAUGUCAUAAUUAUACUUUAAUAGCACUGCUUUGUCAUUUUGGUAUGAAAAAAAGCUAGAGACUUUAAUUGUCACUACUAAUCGAGAGAUAGGCCUUUUUGGUCUUGAGGUCGGCUUCUUAUCAUAAUAUAUAGUUAUCGAUUUAUGCAGAAGCUUAUUCUUUGAAUUAAUGGUAGACACUUUAGCUUCAUCAAUUUUUCUCUUUCUUCGUAAAACUUUAUCUAACCUAUAUCCAUCAACUUUUGCACCUCUUGACGAAAUUGGUCACAAUUCUUGAAAGAAUGCCUCGAAACACUUUUUUGAUAAUUGUAGCUCUCGAUUGAGAUAAUUGUUCUGAAGUAGUUUUGAAGCUCUAUUGACUUCAACACAUCAGCCUUGACUAAGGCUUCAAACACCUUAGUCAUUGAAGUUUUGGCUUCAUCUAUCCCUUUUUUUACAUAACUUGCUUGCCUAUUAAUCAAAGCAUUUAUUGAUAGUCUAGUAUGAUUUGGUAGAGGGUUUCCAUUAACAUUUGGAGUCCCUCAUUUGCUAGUAUCAAAGUUUAACACCCUUUCAUUGAUUAACCCUUACACUUUAUGCUUCCAAGUAGUGCAAUUUUUCAUAGAAUGACCUAGGUUUUCAUAAUGAUAAUCACAAUGCACAUUGGGAUCAUACCAUUUGAAAAAUGGACGUUUCAAAGUUUUAACAAUAACAAGGGCUAGUAAAUGUUUCUCAACAAGUUGAGGGUACAAAUUUGUAUAUAUCAUAGAGAUAGGGUCAAAAGUAAUUUUUUCUUAGAUAUUUCUUGGGGUUCUCGGACUUCUACUUAGAUUGGGUCUUCAUUAUGAUCUAGUAGGUAUAGCAGGAUGAUUAUAUAAAUAGGUGGGUGUUUGAAAGGAUGGUUGAAAAUAAGGUGAAUAAGUUGGUUGUUGUAGUAGCUGACACAAUUGAUACGGAUGAGGGAUGGAUGUAACAUUGUUUAUAGGAGGGUAAUGGAUUUGGCACAUUGGUGUGGGGUAUGACGUGAAACCUUUGAACUAUUGACCUCCUUAGUUCACUGCUUAGCUUUAUUUUCUUUUUUCUUGAAAGCUCUGCCUUUCUUUACUUUGCUUGUCUAUCCUAUAUCGAGUUUGUUAUUUUUUAUGACAUUUUCAAUAAUCUCACUUGAUAUCACCAUAUUUGUAAAGUUUUUAGUUGCAUUACCUAUCAUUCUUUUAUAGUAAAGUGCUUUCAAGGUGUUUACAAAUAGGAUAGUUGUCUCUUUCUUAGUGAUGAGAGGUUGUGCUUGUACAAUCAUAUCUCUCUAUUUUUGUGCGUACUCUUAAAAUUUUUCUAUUAUAUUCUUUUCCAUGCUAUGGAGAGAUAGAUCAUCUAAAGCUAUAUAUAUAAUAUACCGAUAUUGUGUAAAGAAUGCCCUUGUAAGUUCUUAUCAGAAAUUAAUACGAGUCUUAUCUAGUUAAAUGUACUAUCUGGCUAUAGAACUUAUAAGGCUAUCUUAAUAUACGUGUAAUAAUAUCUUCUAGUCACGAGCAUGUGCCCACAUCUUAUGAUAAUAAAUGGUGACAUAAAUCAUUAAGUAUUUUGUACCAUUAUAUUUUUCAAAUUUAGAAACCUUGAAUUUAGGUGAAAUGACCACGUCUAGGACUAAACAAAGCUCAGCUGCAUCUGUAGAGCCAUAAAAAUUCAUUCCCUCUACAACCUUAAGUCUUUUUUCUAAUAAUUUUAUCUUCUGUUGGGUACUGGUAUCUUUCACUUUCUUAGACGUCUUCAUCUCUAGCUUUUCUCUCUUAUUGGGAUCAUCCAAGUUAGGAAUCAAGAUUGGCUCGAGUGGUUUUUAUACCAUGAUGGGAUUAGCAAAAUUUUAGGACUAUCUUAGAGUGAAUAUGAAUAUCAAUCCUAGAUAAGAAUAAGAAUAUCCUUUGAGAGUAGGGAUUUGCAGUCUAGCUCCUUGAGAAGGUUAGGUUGGUCGUGGCUCAAACCUUGGAGGGUAUACAGGAUUUAUCAUGUAAGGCAAUUGCUUUUAGAAACUGGGAUUUCUUUCCAUCACUUUUUCUUUGUCAAGAUUCUUAAGUAUGUCCAUUAUUUUACUAAGAUCCCCUUUUAGUUCUUCUUGAGCCUUCUUAAUUCUUUCAAAUCAACUAGGACUAUUCUUGUUUUAUGAUUCUUAUUUGAACAUUGGCGUUGUAUGAAUGACGAGUAGGUUUAGUCAAAAUUUUUGGUGGAUGAGCUAUUAUUGAACCUUUAUUAUCACAAAUUUUCAAAAAUCAAAAUGCCAUGUGUUGAAAAUUUUAUUUUUCACUUUUUUGUGUGAUUUUGUUAAAAGAAUAUGGUUAUUAAAACAAAAAAUGGUGCAUAUGAUGCAUGAAUGCAAGUGAGAGAUAUUUGUUCUUGGACAAAUUUCAACACCAGAAAUUUUCAUUAAUUUCAACAACUUUUGUUACAUGAGAUUUAUCAUCCUAAAAUUAUAUUUAUAAAAGCAUUUGACUUGUUCAUAAUGAUCCUUGGCUACGCCUAGAAAGUUCAUUAGGCAUUGUCCAUAUUCUCCUACUAGAUUGACUUGUCUUCUUAAUGCCAUACCUUUCAAACCAUCUCCCAUGCCUUUUUCACUGCCUUGCAAACUUGAUUGGUCAGGUGUUGUAUGUACUAUUACCUUCAUUGAGCUUUCUGCUCUUUAUCUCAUACGGGCAUCUCUUUCUAAUUCACAUAUGUAGAUCCAGUCUUUUUCUCUUUUUUGCCACUUAUUUAUUAUUGCUGAAAUAUGGUUCUGUGAUCUUGCAGUUACAGCUUCAACCCUUGGAUCACCUGGUGAAAUGAUUCCUUUUUGUUUAGGAUUUCAAAGUGCUUUCUUCUCUCUAUUGUAAGCAUAACUUUCAACCUUUCCUUUUCUUUUUGGCAUUCAACCAAUCUUGCUAAAGCUGUAGAGUAUAAUCUCUCCCAAUUUUGACAUUUUUGAAAAAUUCUAGUGACCACUUUUUGCUUUUCUUGAGCUUUGCUUUUUCAUUGGUUCAUUUUCUCUCAGAGCUCAUCUAUUUCAUAUCACCAACUAAAAUAAGACUUGAUGACAUUUUCAGACUUGAAUUAGACUUGUAAUCUUUUGUUUUCUUAGUGCAGAUUUUUCAAAUCAUUAUUAGCCAUAUCCCGUUCUUUUAUAACCUUAUCCAGUUGAUCCCUUCUACUUUUACUUCCUAUUUCAAUUGUUCCAUCUUUUCACGAAGCCUCAAAUUUUUUUUUCUUAUUUCUUCUUUUUCAGCUUCUAAUUCUUUCCUGACAAGCUUGGCUUUUGAUAAUUGCACUUCUGUCAAAAUGUUAGUUGAUUGAUGUGAGCCAUUAUCAGGAAAGAGCACUAUGUCUCUCAAUCACUUCACUUUCCAAAUCUGGUAAUCAAGAGUGACUUUGUUGAUAAGAGGCUGUAAUCUCAUUUUUUACAUUUUCUUCCAUGCUUGGAUUAACCACUCUGAUGUUCUUAGUGAAUUGGACUCUUUGUAGGUGAAUUCUACUUGAACCAAGUAAUGAAUGGCAAGAACGAAUUGCUUUGCGUUGAAUUACCUUAAUAACAUCAACAAAGCUUAACUUACCACAUCCUAUAGUCCUAACAGUGGUAUCCAUGGUUCAUUUCCUCCUCAAUAAAACAUGGGCACUUGAGGCAUUCAUGGUGCCAUUUAUUUUAUUUCAUCCUCAAUAAGCCUUUGGAAGAAUAUAACCUAUUCUUUCUUAGCCUUCAAUGUCAGGCAUUGGCUUUUACAUAAUUCUUUGAUUGCUGCCUUGUUUCACGGAUAUGGCUUUGAGAAUGCACUCUUUUCACAUUUAAAAUGACUUUUAACCCACAAAUGUAACAGUGAUGCACACCCUAUAAACAGUCAUUUUUCAUUCUGUUGAUAGAAAUUCAAUGACCUGAUGGUUUCGGCUAGAAAUGCUAGUGCAGGAUUAAUUGUUUGGGUUUCAAUUUGCUCAAAAAAGUCCACCACCAUUAUCUCGAUACAACCUAAGGUCUUUGAGAAGAUCACCAUGUUAUACAAUGCUAAGGCAAACAUAGCCAUGCCUUAAUCAUCAUCUAGAUGCCUUUAAACAAAAUUACAGAAGAAAUCCCAAUGGAUACCAAGAUGUUCACCUUUAGGCUUUGUGAAAGAAUCUAUGGUUUUUACUUUAACCUCUAUAAGCUUGGCCAACUUGUUGCAAUAAACAAAUUUUGGCUUUCGAGUAAAUGCUUUAUCCAGACAUUAUAGUUCUAUCCCAAGCAAAAUCGAGUAUUCCUCAAUGGUUAGCACCAAAUUUUCUUAAUUAAAAAUAAAGCAUCUAUAGGAAGGGUCCCAAAUUUGUAUAGUUGUCUUGACCAACUGUUCAUUGAUCACUAUCGAAAUGAGGGAUGUAAUUUGUAUAUAUUUCUUGCAAAAACUUUUUUUUCUUUCUUCACAUAACUGACCUCAAAUGAUGGCUAAGUCUUCUAAAUUAUUCUGUUUGAGAUCCAAAUACAUCUUUUAAGGUAACUAAGACACAUAACCAGUGGGCAAACAAUCUCCACUACGUUAUUGGGCUUCUUUUGACCAAACAUGUACUUCAUUAUAUGAUUCACAUUGGACAAUGACAGAGAGUAAGCAAAUCUGUAGUUCUACAAUAUCCAUGAAGAACUUCUUGGGAGAAAGAUAUCCUAGAGCAAAUACCUUAUAUAGAACUAUAUGAUAUGAUUUAAAUUUCAAAUUAUCUCAGGAGAAAGAUGUUUUAGGAAUCCCAAAUUUUUUUAGAUUUAAAUUUCAAAUUUUCAACCGGUCUAGCAAACUUUGGUGGUUGAAAUCCAUGCUGCCAAGUUAGACAAGGGUGUCAGGCAGCUGUGGCGCUGGUGCUUUUGGUGUAUUUAAUGCACAAUGACUUUUGGCCAAAAUAACUUGAAAAGGGAAGAAAAAAAGAAAGAAAAAUAAUAAUAAUAAUAACAAAUAAGAAAAAUUGAAUCUUUACAAGCCAUGGCAUGUAGAAGGUUAGCUAAACUUCUCAAGGUCACAUCAAUGGUGGAUUUUGUUAUGGCUUGAUCUCUGUUGCUCCAAAAUUCAACUAUUGACUAGUCGGUUGAAUUUUUGGAUCAAACUUGGUGUUAAAGAGGCAAACAACUUUGGAGGAAGCUAUUUUUUCUUGAAAAAUAUUACUUAAAAUUCAAACAAUAAGGAAACAUGGUAAGAAAUUCAUGGAAAUGAUAAUGGAAAUGUGGAGGAUAAGGUAGAAAUAUACCUCCCAAAAGCUUCUCAAAAAGAUUUUUUUUCCUCUUUUUACUUCUCUUUUUCACACUACUUCUUUGGUUGCCUCCCCUUUUUUUCUUAACCCUAAAUGAUGAACAUAAAGGCCAUGCAAAUGCAUGAUAGCCUUUGAUAAAAAAUGCAUCCAAAGACCACUAGCUCUCUUCCAAGUUUCCAAACAAUCACCUUUCACCCUUAGAUCAAGGUCUUUGAAAAAUCAAUGGUUUAUAAUGAAUCAACAUGAAAUAAGGUUUUUGGUAUAACUAGAAUAAUGUAAAAAGACCAUUUUACCCUUUUUAAAAGUUUUCACCUUUCUAUGAGAUUUUCUUGGAAAAACAUGAUCCCUUUUUUAUUUUUGUGAUUUCAAUGUGCUAAAAGAUCAUCAAAUAAUAUGAAACAUGAUCUAAAAGUUUUCGUGAAAAAAUUGACCUCGAGAAAGUGAAAUUAUAAAAAUACCCCUAAAAGGCAUUUUAAUAAUUUCACACCCUAUGAGGUACUAACAAGGUUUUAAUGCACCAAUAAUCAUCCAAUAAUGUUUAAAUAUAAUAUGAAAGUUUUCACUAAAAAUUAACUACAAGAAGAUCAAAUUACAAAAAUACCUUUAGAGGACAUUUUGGUUAUUUUACCUUUCUUGAAGCGCAAUCAGAGUUUUUAAUGCAUAAAAUCAUAAAUUUCAACCAAAAGCCUUGUUAAUCCCAUUUAUUUGUGAAUUUUGAAGAAUGACUCAAUUUUGAUCUAGUUCGACAAAUUUUGAUCGAGUUUGACCAAAUUUAACAAAAUUUGAUCAGAUUUAUUUAAGUUUGACUUUAAGGCAUUUGGGUCAAAUUGGUUUCAAAUUUGACUUUGAAAACUCAUCGAUAUUAAAGAAAUGUUGGAUUGGAAUUGAGUUGAAUUUUAAGAACCUCACAACUAGCUAAAUUUUGACUGAACAAAAUUAAAUAUCUAUAAAAGUCAAAAGGAUACUUGUUUUCUGGAAAUAGACAGGAUGGCUUUAUAAUCCAUUUCAACAUAAAGCACAUUUUGAUGAAUGAACUUAAAUUAUGGACCAACUCCAUGUAAUGAAAAAAGUAAUGUAUGCAUGAGUGAACAUUUUACACUCAUUUAUAACAAAAUUGAAUACUAUAUUAAAUGAUAUAAUUUAAAUACCCUAAUUUAGAAGUGGUUUAAGACUUUCAAAUUUAUAUUUCAUGCAGUUGUGAUACUUGUUAAGUGUGAUAUUGUUUAAACAUUAAAAAAUGAUAAUUUCAUCUAAUAUUAUUUUAUAUAUAUAUAUAUUUGAACGAGUUCAAAUGCUUAUUAAUGUAAUUAAUUAAUUAAUUUCUAGAAUUCUUUGCAACCAAAUAUAUUAUUGUUGUGUACUUAAUUGAAUAUGAAUAUUCUGUUAAUAACCAAUGCUUAUUAAUUGUCUUUGGGACUCGUAUUUGUGAAUAAUUCAAAUAUUAGUAAGUUUACUACAAUGCAUCUUUCUUUGUUUUUCUUAAUGUAUUUUUAUCAUAAUUAUAUCUUGUAUGUCAAUGAAAGAUUGGUUUAGUGGUAAGGAAGAGAUUUUACAACCUUGAAGUUCCAAAUUCAAGUGUCACUAUAUGCAUUUGAUUCCAUUUUAUAUUCUAAUUUAUUUUAGUUAUACUAUAAUUUUUUUUAUUAAUUAUUCAAUAUUUCUUAUUUAUGACUAUUGAACUUGAUUAUGAUUGUAAUUUUAAUUUCUUAAAAAAAAUCUUAUAUAUUUCAUUUGAUUGAUUUUUAAUUUUUUUUAAAGAGAUAAUUUGAAAUUGACUUUUAAUUCACACAUGUAAUAGUAGUGUACACCCUAUGAAUCGUCCUUUUUUAUUCUAUCAAUAGAAAUUCAAUGACCUGAUGGUUUCAACUAGAAGUACUAGCACAGGAUUAAUUGCUUGGGUUUUACUUUACUUGAAAAAAUCUACCACCAUUAUCUCGAUGUAGCCCAAGAUCUUUUGGAAGAUCACUAUGCCAUACAAUGCCAAAGCAAACACAGCCAUGCCUUGAUCAUCAUCUAAAUGCUCUUAAACAAAAUUAUGAAAGAAGUUCCUAUGAAUACCGAGAUGUUCACUUUUAGGCUUUACGAAAGAAUCUAUGGUUUCCACUUCAACUUCCAUAAGCUUGGCCAACUUUUUGUCAUAAUUUGAUUUCAGUUUUCGGGUAAACACUUUAUCCAGACAUUGUAGUUCUAUCCCAAGCAAAAUUGAGUAUUCCUUAAUGGUUGGUGUAGACAUCAAAUUUUGUUUGAGACUUUUUUUUCAACAUGAUUGACAUAGGCUCAUUUACAACAUGGGCCAAGACCAUUUAGUAGGACCAUUUAUGACCCGUAAAGAGCUCACAAAUUCGCCUAUUCAAAAACUCAAAGUUAACUUGAAUCAAAUCUCAUCAAACAAAGUCAAAAUUGCACAAAACUUGACAAAAUGGAUGGACAACCCGGAUCAAUUCUAAAAAUUCAACAAUCUAAUUGAAAUCAACAUGGUUUAAAUUAAAUUUAAGAUUUUUUCAAAAACACUAAAAUUUUCAUAAUGUCCCGAAAAGGGUAAAAUUACCAAAUAUACCCGUUAUAGAGGUAAUUUUCAUAAUUUGACCUUCUCGAGCUUGGAAUUUUGUGGCCAAGUUUGGCCAUCACAUUAUAAGAAAUGAUCUUUUGGUUUGAACUUUUUAAACAUAUAUUUUGAGCCAAUUUUAUCCAUUUCUUUUAUGAUUAUUUAUUAUAGCCUAUAUUACAAUUCUUAAAAAUCUAUUUUGUUCAAAUGUGAAUACUCGAAUUGAAUGAUCAUAUGUUUGGCUAAGGCAUGCUUGUGAUGAAGUAAUGGAAUCGUGUUAUGUUCUUGUAUUUUAAAGAUUGAUAUGUGGGAGAUAUCAAUAAUGGAUGAAGAAAAAAUGAAAAAUGAAAAAAUGAAAAAAAAAUGAAAAAGUGAAAAAAGUGAAAAAAUGAAAAAUGAAAAAUGUGAAAAAAAUGAAGAAAAGGAAAAGAAAGAAAGACUCAAAUUGAAACCAAAAAGGCAAUUUGGGUAAAAAAAAAGUCUAAGCUGAGAGUUGGAUAAAUAGUUCAACACAUGGAAAAUGACAUCUAAAGAUUCUCUAAAGCUGGGGCAUAGUUUGAUGAGCUCUAAAAUUAUUUUGAAAGUCAAUGGAAUAAGUUUUUGAAAAAGAAUUUUAGAUUAAUGUUAAGAAUUGUCUAAAUAUUCAUUGUUUGGACAAUUGCAUCCCUAGUGAUAUGCUUUGAAUUUGUUCGUUUGCCUAUUUAUUUUUGUACCAGACUCUUUUUUGUAUUGACUACCUUUUUUCCAAUUCACCUUGUACUUUCUUAUUUUUUCAUCCCCAUCAAUAAAAUUGGAUAAGAUGUAAUGAAUUGCCAUUAUAUUUUGUCAUGAUUUGAAAUGAUAAUUAAUGAAUGAUAUGUUCAUAAAAGAUUCCUACAUUCUUUUAAAAAGAAAUCGAGGAUGAUAGGGGUAAACAAAAAGAAAUAUGGAAAAAGCUUGAAAAGAAUGAUUUGAAAGGACACAUGGGUGACCAAGCUGAUGAAUAUGGUGAUUGGAGUUGGUUGACCAUAACCUAUAAGCUAUGAUAAAUUAUGAAAAUUAAUGGGGGAUUAGUGGACAAAAUUUGUUCUGAAUUUGUUAGUGGCUGAGAACUAAAAACGAAAAAUUGUGAGAUGGUGGAGUCAUUAAGAACCUAUUACCAAAAUUAAUUCAGAAUUUCAUGUUAUGACAUUUGCAUUAUACAUGCAUUUACGUUUGCAUUGUAGUUUGAACAAUCAUGUAUAUAAAUUUGGAUGAAUAUUUAAAAGCUUUGGUUUGGCUAUGCACUUGCAUCAUGCAGUGAACAUUUGAAUCAUGGUUUAAAGUAUGGCAUCUGCAUUAUUAUGAGUAUCUAGAUUGUUGCAUUUGCAUUAUUAAGAAAGUAUUUGCAUCAUAUCAUGACAUUCAUUACAUACAAAAUUUGACUUUGAUGAAAAAUUGAGAAUUUUUCAUGACAAAAAAUUUUGAACUUUUUGAGGAAAGCUUUUAAGAUAAGGUUGGGAAUCCUUGAAUGAAAAAUGUUUUAUGAGGAAAACAUUUAGAAUUCUAAAGUUGUGGAGCCUUUUAAAGGAGCAUUUUUAAUGUUAAAAAAUGAUAGAAAUUUUUGUCUUUAAGUUUAAAUAAGAAUCUUUAAGAAAUUUUAAAUGAGAAAUCUUUGUCUUUGAGUUUUAAAUGAGAAUCUUUUGAAUGAGAAUCUUUAUCUUUGACUUUUAAAUAGGAAUAUUGAGAAUUUUAUGUGAAUCUCCAAAAGUUUUUUGAAAUCCGAAUCUUUGAAGAAUCAAUGUGAAUCUUUGAAUUCGAAUGAGAAACUUUGAUAUUUUAGAAGUGAAUCCUAAAGUUUUUCAGAUAAAAAUCUUUAACUUUUUGGUGUGAAUCUCUAGAAUUUUAAAGUGUAAAUCUUUAAAUGUUGGAUGUGAGCCUUGCAAUUGUGAUAUGAAUCCCUAAAUUAAAAUUUUGGAUGUGAAUCUUUCAAAUGGGAGUCUGAAUUCUUGCAAAAUUGAAACUUUGAUAACCUUAAAUCCUUGCGAACCUUAAAUUCUCGCGAAUCUAAAAGCUUGCAAACCUUAAACUCUUGCGAAUUUGAAAAAUCUUGUGAAUCUUAAAAUCAUAUGAAUCUGAGUUCUUGCAAAUAUAAAAUUUUGUGAAUCUUUGUGUCUACAAAUCUUAAAAUUCUUGUGAAUCUGAAUUUUGUGAAUCUUUGUGUGUUGCGAACCUAAAAAAUCUUAUGAAUAUGAAAUCUUGCGAAUCUAAAAGUCUUGUGAAUCUUUGAAUUGCAAACCUUUGAUUUUUGAAAUAGUGAUUUUUUGAACUCAAAUUGUGAAUCUUUGAGCUGCAACUUGCAUUACUAAUUGACGAAUUACAAAGUUUUUGAAUAUUUCAAAUUGUGAAUCUUUGGAGUUUUGAAAUUUUGUAAUUGUUGUUAAGCUACACCCGGACGUAAUGGAUAUUUAUAUCUUUGCAUAAUUCCUGUUUCAUAGAAAAUGCAUAACGAAGGGCAACUGUAGACACUCCAUUUUGUCCUAGGUUUAAAAUUUAUUUUUAUUUUAUUUAUCUUUUCAAUUUAAUAAUAAUAAUAAUAAGUUUUUCAUGAAUCAAUAUGAGCAAGAGNNNNNNNNNNNNNNNNNNNNNNNNNNNNNNNNNNNNNNNNNNNNNNNNNNNNNNNNNNNNNNNNNNNNNNNNNNNNNNNNNNNNNNNNNNNNNNNNNNNNNNNNNNNNNNNNNNNNNNNNNNNNNNNNNNNNNNNNNNNNNNNNNNNNNNNNNNNNNNNNNNNNNNNNNNNNNNNNNNNNNNNNNNNNNNNNNNNNNNNNNNNNNNNNNNNNNNNNNNNNNNNNNNNNNNNNNNNNNNNNNNNNNNNNNNNNNNNNNNNNNNNNNNNNNNNNNNNNNNNNNNNNNNNNNNNNNNNNNNNNNNNNNNNNNNNNNNNNNNNNNNNNNNNNNNNNNNNNNNNNNNNNNNNNNNNNNNNNNNNNNNNNNNNNNNNNNNNNNNNNNNNNNNNNNNNNNNNNNNNNNNNNNNNNNNNNNNNNNNNNNNNNNNNNNNNNNNNNNNNNNNNNNNNNNNNNNNNNNNNNNNNNNNNNNNNNNNNNNNNNNNNNNNNNNNNNNNNNNNNNNNNNNNNNNNNNNNNNNNNNNNNNNNNNNNNNNNNNNNNNNNNNNNNNNNNNNNNNNNNNNNNNNNNNNNNNNNNNNNNNNNNNNNNNNNNNNNNNNNNNNNNNNNNNNNNNNNNNNNNNNNNNNNNNNNNNNNNNNNNNNNNNNNNNNNNNNNNNNNNNNNNNNNNNNNNNNNNNNNNNNNNNNNNNNNNNNNNNNNNNNNNNNNNNNNNNNNNNNNNNNNNNNNNNNNNNNNNNNNNNNNNNNNNNNNNNNNNNNNNNNNNNNNNNNNNNNNNNNNNNNNNNNNNNNNNNNNNNNNNNNNNNNNNNNNNNNNNNNNNNNNNNNNNNNNNNNNNNNNNNNNNNNNNNNNNNNNNNNNNNNNNNNNNNNNNNNNNNNNNNNNNNNNNNNNNNNNNNNNNNNNNNNNNNNNNNNNNNNNNNNNNNNNNNNNNNNNNNNNNNNNNNNNNNNNNNNNNNNNNNNNNNNNNNNNNNNNNNNNNNNNNNNNNNNNNNNNNNNNNNUUUUAAAUUCAAACACAAUGUUGACUUAAAACAUGUAUUAAUAUCAUUAUUUUUUUGUUUGAAAAUUUUUUGAUAUAUUAUUAACGAAUCAAAUUAUGAUAACUAAUUUAAAAAAUAAAUAUAAUUAUUACAAAACUCUUAAAAUAAAUACACAAAAAUUUUAUUUUUUAAUUUUUUACUAAUACAGUAUCAUAAUUUGAUUUGCUAUCAAUGUUUAAUAUUUGAUAAUUAACAUACGUCAAAUAUAAAUUUAAAAAAAAAUUAUAGGAAACAAUUAUAUUACAGUAAUAUAUAUUCUUUCUAUUCACAUCAUAUUAAUAUUAAGUUAUAUUAUUAAAUUAAAAUUAUUAAUUAUUAUAAAGAAUAAUAGAAUGUAAUCUAUUAAAAUAAAUAUUUAUUCAGUUUUAAUUAUCACAAAUGAGUAUAUAAUAAGAUGAUUAAUUUUUUAAUGAAGAUUAUAAUUAUGUUGAUAUAAUUUAAAUAAAAAAACGUAUAGUACUAACCUGAAAUAUAUCUUUUAAAAAAGAUAUAAACUCUUUUUUUGUUUUUACGUUAGACGAUAAAAAAAAUGGCAAGCCGUGCACGCCCUAGGCGAAUGAUAGCGAAGAGUGAUCUUGGAAAUAAAUGAAUUUUGGUUAUAGAAACCAGGCCUGCCUAGACAUGAUAAAGUUGGUGCAUGGUUAGCAUAGAACUAAAAUCUCUUUUCAUUCUGGGGCAUAAAGAAGUUUACUUCGUUUUGAAUUGGAUUCAGCCACUCAAAAUCGUUUGAUCAAAUCCUCUCUUCUCCAACUUUCGAUUCAUUGAAUCCCUUUUCUCCUUCGAAAUCAAUCGGUCAGCUCUCUUUUCCUUAAUUUUUAAUCCAAUUUAUUAUCUAAUUGAUGCUAUGAACUUUUUUUUAUUAAUUUUAAUUCCUUUUUCAAUGAUUUCAAUACGAUGUCAUAUAGUUGUUCAAGUUUUCAAUUUUGUUUAGAUUAAUUAUUUGUUAUGUUAAAUAAUUUAUUUUUUGAUGGAUAAAGAAAAAGGGGAAACAAUUUUCUUUCUUCUUUAAAGAAAAAAAAUCUUUUAAAUGUUGAAAGAUAGAAUAUUGCAGUUUUAAAGAAUGUUAGACUCGGUUGAUUAUUCCUGGAUGAGCUAAAUGAGCUAAUUGUUGAAUUUUUUUUAUACAACUAAUAAGAUCAUAAUUUUAAUUGAUUGAUUUUUAUCUGCAAAUCCAAGACUAACCAUUUGUAACAACUAAAAAUUGAUAGAACUAUGACAUAAAAUAGAAAUUAAUUAUAUUGCAUUUUUUUUUUUUUGGUUUUUCCUAGAGAAUAUGUAUUUGGAGAAGAGAUGAAGGAACAUAGCGAAUAUGAGGAAACCUCCUUCACUGGUAGACCUUUGUGUUAGGACAGCGAUAGAUAACGUAAGAUACCUUGGGGAUGUUGGUGAGACAGAUUCACAUCUUCUUGAGCGUAUUCUACCCCAUUGUACAGUGGAUCAAUUAUUGCACGUGGAGAAAAGUACAAAAGUAAGUUGAUUUGCAUAGUUUGUGCAAGAAUUGGCAUUUGGAUCUGAUUAUAUGUAUAAUUUGAAAAGGGAUUGAUUGAUUGUUCUAGGGAAGGGAUCUUACUCCAGUAACUAAUAAACUUUGGAAGAAUUUCUAUGAGCUGCAGUUUGGUCAUCAAAAUAUGACUCUUGUAAUUGAGAGGAUGAAGCUCAAGAAAGUUUCAUUUAGAUGGAGACAGUUGUAUGAGGUAGGUAAUCUUUUAACUUUCUUGACUUUCAUGCCAUCCUCUUACCUAAUAGCUAGGUUGUUAGUGGAAUGCUGAGGAACCAGCAAUGUACCUUUACUUAAGGUGUGCACAGUUUUAUGGAUUUCCUUACUAAAGUUGGAUGAUUUAUUGUAGGCAAAAUUGAAGGAUUUUCAGGAGGCUGAGAACAAAGCAAAUGAUCGGCUUAAGCAACUAUACAAGAAAAAAGAUGCUCGUAUGCUUCUUAUUCUUUGAAUUCUUAAUGACAUAGCCAGAUUUGACUUGUGCUUGCUUGCUAAAUGUAUGCUUCUGUCUCUUGAACUUUUUAUCACUGGUUUGAUUUGCAUUUACAGUCCAGUGCAAUAUUGCCCCAAGCUUUCUCUGCAAGCCACAAAAGUCUUUGCCGAAAAGGCCCAUUUCAUCAAAAGUGCUAAAAAUUGGAACUAUUUCUUAAUUACCAUUGCCAGCAACCUAAAUCAGGCCAAACUUGCACUGAGAGAAGCAGCCUUUAAUUACGUGUCUUAGUACUUGGAUUAAUAUUAUUGAAGAGAACUAGAGAGUGCUUUUGGUAGUUGCCAGUAUAUUGUGUAAAAUAUUAAAGUAUUUACUGACUUAUUACCUUUACCCUAGACUGAUUGGAGAGGAAUAAAGAGUUUUUCUUGUGGUACUCUCAUAUGUAUUUAGAGUAAAAUAUUAGAGUGUAUGCAUAUACCCUUACCUUAAUUACUAAAGAGAAAUGUUCUUUUUAUGAUCAUAAUUUCGUACCAUUAUUUCUAUUUUAUUAGGAAAACAAAGUCGGCAGUUAGCUUUGCACUAAGUUCCACUUUCAACCAAAGAAGCUUUUAUUCUGGUACAUUCUUUGUACCUCAAAAGCUUGGUUGUUUGAUCUAGUCCAUUGGUCUCGUAUAUUGGAAUAUUUGCAACUUUGGUCUUUGUGCCUGAUAAUUAAAGAGGGCAUUUCAUGAAUUGUUGGCUUUAUUUAUAAAGUCUUAAUAAUCCUUUUUAGAAAUAAUCCUUUUUAGAUCUUAUAUCUGUAUAUUAUCUCUUUUAUGAACUUGCAUACCAUCGAUUGGGUCAUGCUAGCAUAAGAUGCAACUUGUACCUAUUUUGUGAAAUAAUCGAUUAUCACAAAGACAAAUCUAUGCCCCAUUUGAAGCUUUCAGGGUAAUGAGACUGAUGACAUCCAUGCGUUACAUAGAAAAUAGCCAUAGAGGUGCUAAAACUUACAAAGCUGAUGGAAGAGCAUAAAUCUUGUCAGCAUAAAUCUGACACUUAUGUCAUCUUCUGACAUAAUCAAUAUAGUCACUUUUCAUUGUCAACCAUAAAUCUUGUCAGCAUAAAUCUAACACUUAUGACAUCUUCUAACAUAAUCAAUAUAGUCACUUUUCAUUGUCAACCAAUAAUAGCCAGCACUUAUAAUUUUAUCUAGCCAUUAUGUAACCAUUCACAUGUGCCCCCCCAAACCCCAUCAUGUAUUUUUCAAUACUUGUUUUUGCUUCAACUACAUUUACACAUCUUAAAAGUACCUUAUCUUGGCUUCUUUUGUAAAAAACAUCUCCAUCAAGAAAAAAACUCAAAGCCAUCCUUCUAAUGAUCCUUUUAUCAUUUUUUUAUUGCAUACUCUUGGUAUUGUUGACUUUUGAUAUAUUGAAUAAUAUCAUGAUACCAUGGUUUCCCAUCAACUUCUUCUUCGACACCUGAGUGAUAUACUAGCACAUCUUUCAUGUCCAGCUUGAUGGGUUGGAUCUUGAUAUUUGUAUUUAUUUUAAUCAUUGCAACCAAAAUGAUCAGUGCAUCAGUAAUUUGGUUCUCCUCUUUAAGUAGAUACUCAAAUUAAACUUCUUCAAACUGCUUGACUAACUCAGAGAUGUAUUUAUGAUAGCAGAUCAACUUCGAAUCUCUUAUUUCUCAUUCACCUCGUAAGUUAUAAAUAACUAGUGCUAAAUCUCCGAACAUAUCCAACACUUUGAUCUUUCUUUCAAUUGUUGCUUGUAAACCUAUAAAAAAAAUCUCGUAUUCAGCCACAUUAUUUGAGUAGUUGAAAUUCAAUCUAGUUAUGAUGGGAUAAUAAUGUCCAUUAGGAAAUAUUAAAAUUACCCUAAUACCAUGACCCAAAGCAUUAGCAGCUCUAUCAAAAUACAUCUUCAAAACCUUUUUAACAGUUUCAUUUUCUUUAAUGACUAUCACAUCUUCAUCAGAAAAAUCAAGCUUUAUUGGUUCAUAAUCUUUAGCCACAUGAUCGGCAAUGAACUCAGUUAUUGCACUCUUUUUAAUAACCUUUUGAGUUACAUAGACAAUAUCAUAUUCUAAAAACAUAACUUGCCAUCGUACUAUUCUUCCUAUCAAUGAAAGUUUUUCGAAGAUAUACUUGAUAGGGUCUAACUUUGCUAUAAGCUAAAUAGUGUGAUAAAGCAUAUAUUGCCUGAGCCUUCAAGCUAUCUAGGCUAGUGCACGACAUAUCUUUUCUAAUGAAAAAUACUUGGAUUCAUAAUUAGUGAACUUUUUACUCAAUUAGUAGAUUGCUUGCUCUUUUUUGUUGGUUUCAUCUCUUUACCCCAAUACACAUCCCAUUUAAUUUUCAUGCAUGGUUAACUAUAAAAUCAAAGGUUUUCUUGGAACUGAUGGCACCAACAUGAGUGGAUUUGACAAGUAUUCUUUGACUUUGUCAAAAGCUUCUUGGCAUUCAUCGUUUCAUUCUCCUAGAUCAUGUUUUCUAAGAAGCUUGAAAAUCGAUUGCACUUGUAGGUAAGUUGUGAGAUGAAACAAGCAAUAUAGUUCAAUCUUCCCAUAAAGCCUCGCAUUUUUUUUAGGUAUGAAGAGGGGAUAAGUUUUGAAUAGCACAUAUUUUGUUCGGAUCCACUUCUAUUUCUUUUUCACUAACCAUAAAGCCCAAUAGGUUUUUGAUUUAGCAUCGAAUGUACAUUUGGUAGGAUUUAACUUCAGUUGGAAUCUCCUCAACCUAUCAAACAACUUUCUGAGAUUGACUACAUGAGAUUUUGCAAUCAUAUCAUCCACAUACAUUUAUAUCGCUUUAUGCGUCAUGUCAUGAAAGAGAGUCACCAUCACUCUUUGAUAAGUAGCACCGGUAUUUUUCAAUCCAAAAGGCAUGACUUUGUAACAAAAUAUCCCUCACACGAUCACAAACAUUAUUUUUUUCCAUAUCUUCUCCAACCAUCUUAAUCUGAUUGUAGCCUGAGAAGCCAUCCAUAAAGGAAAAUGUGAAAUACCUAGCAGUAUUAUCCAUUAGGGUAUCGAUAUGGGGUAGAGGAAAAUUAUCCUUAGGAUUUGCCCUAUUCAGAUCUCGAUAAUCGAUAUAUAUUCUCACUUUUCAUCUUUCUUGGAAAUAGGCACUAUAUUGGCUACCCAUUCAAGAUAUUUUGCCACCUCUAAAAUUCAGCGUCAAAUUGCUUUUUCACCUCUUCCUUAAUUUUCAGUAGCAUCUCUAGCUUCAUGCACCUUAGCUUUUGUUGUACUGACUUGCAAUCUAAUUUCAAAGGCAAUUUAUGCUCUGUAAUAUCAGUAUUGAGUUUAGGCAUAUCCUGGUAAGACCAUGUGAACACAUCUACGUAUUCUCAGAGUAGUUUUUCUAGCCUUUGCCUAUCAACUAAUGAAAUAAACAUACCAAUUUUAACCUAUUUUCUAUUUUUAUCAUCCCUCAAAUUCACUAAUUUGGUAAUUUCUUGGUAGGGCUCAAUUAGCUUAUCUUCGUGUUCUAUUAAUUUCAACAAAUCAAGAGGUUAUGUGUAAUUAUCUAAAUCUUUUUCAUUAUCAAGUUUGUCAACAUGAAUUGUGUUUUCAAAAUCAAAUUUGAGAUUAUUAUCAUGGUUAUCUUCGUAUUCAUUAUUUGAGACCCUACAAAGGAUGAGAUGAAGAGAAUAUUGGUACUCAAAAGUGGAAUGGCAAGAAAAUGAUUAAGGCAUAAUGAAAAAAAUUGGAUUGUAUAAAUGAAAAUGAAAAUAAAUAGAAAUGCAGACGCAUCUUCUAAGUCUUUUAUUAAAACGACAAACAUAAAUACACCACUAAAGAUUUUUUAAUGCUUAUAGAGAGCAAUUAAGGAUUUAAAGUUUCACAAUAAAUUAUUUUUAAAAGUUUAAAGACAAGCAUGCAGCUUUAUGACUUUUCAAUUAUCUAGCUCAAAAUUUGAAGGGCAAAGACGUAUGAAUAGCUCUUCAUCCUAACUCUUCUUUUUUUCCCUAUAUAUCAUCUAAAUGGCUAGCUCAGAAAAAGUUUCAAUCAACUUUGCAUUUAGGGCUUCAAAUGAAUCUAGGUAAAUAUAACCUCCUAAAUGAAAAGACUCAUAGAGAUAAUAACCAUCAACUCAAACUUUGGUUCAUAUCCCUUAAGAUUAGCCAUUUUUUUCUCACUCAUGAUUUUCAUUAUGUUUCCUUUUGUUGGUUUAUAACCCAAGCUGAAUCUAUUUUUUUAUCAUAUAUUGUUGGAGGCAUCGUGAUUCCUUGCAAAUUCUUUCUAAGUCUAGCUCCAGGUUGCCAUCCCAUUUUGAUAAGUUGCUUAACAAUCAUUUUAAUAGUUGUAGAUAGGUGUGAUGAAUAUAAUUUAGAUCUUUCAGCCAUAUAUAUUACGUUGGCAAUCUCGAAAGAUCUAAAAAAGCACUUCGAGGCUUCAUCUAGCACUUUUACAUAAGAAGUAUUUAUUGAUUGGGUUACCAGUAAAUCUUAUUUUUUUGCCACACAUGUAAGCUUUCCAUCAAUAAUGAAUUUGCCUUUCUAGUGCAAUGAAGAUGGAACAGCACCUGCCAUAUGAAUCCAUGGCCUACCCACCAAGCAACUGUAUGAGAGGGAGAUAUCCAUAACUUGGAAUUUCAUAUUGAAAGUGCAAGGGCCAAUUUGCAAUGGAAUUUUUAUAUCUUUUAGCACCUCUUUUCGGUCCUAUUAAAGGCUUGAACUACCAUAUGAUUAGGUUUUAUGUAAGAUCCAUCAACAGGUAGUUUUGCCAAAGUAGUUAUGGGCAUAACUUUGAUUGAUAAGCCAUUGUCAAUCAAACCUUAGCCAUUAUGUGACUUUUACAUUUUACAGUAAUAUGGAGAGCUUGGUACUUCUUCGACCUUCAAGAGGAAUCUCUUCAUCACUAAAAGAGAUAUAGUUUGAAAUUACUAGAUUGCCAACAAACUAUUUCACGUACUCAACAAAUAUAUUGUAGGACACAUAUAUUUGAUUGAACACCUUUAAUAGAGUGUUACAGUGCAACUUUGAGCUUAGUAACAAUGACAAUAGCAAAAUUCUAGCUAGCAUCUUAUCAACUGUUCUACUAUGUUAUACUCGCUAUAUUUUAGUAGUUUUAAAAAUUCACAAGCUUAAUUCCCAAAGACUAGCUUUUGACAUUCUUUAUUAAGGACUGUCAUAAGAUUACUCUAAUUUCCCUUUCUUUUGACCUUUGCUUUUUUUCCUAUCUUUUUCUAGCAUUUUUAAGUGUAACAUCGCCCACUCUGGGUCAUACCUCCUAUACCUAUUAUGUUUGUAGCAUCUAGAUUGAACUAUGAUGUCAUAAUUAUACUUUAAUAGCACUGCUUUGUCAUUUUGGUAUGAAAAAAAAAGCUAGAGACUUUAAUUGUCACUACUAAUCGAAAGAUAGGCUUUUUUGGUCUUGAGGUCAGCUUCUUAUCAUAAUAUAUAGUUAUUGAUUUAUGCAAAAACUUAUUCUUUGAAUUAAUGGUAGACACUUUAGCUUUCAUCAAUUUUUCUCUUUCUUCGUAAAACUUUAUCUAACCUAUAUUCAUCAACUUUUGCACCUCUUGAUGAAAUUGGUCACAAUUCUUGAAAGAAUGCCUUGAAACACUUUUUUGAUAAUUGUAGCUCUCAAUUGAGAUAAUUGUUCUGAAGUAGUUUUGAAGCUUUAUUGACUUCAACACAUCAGCCUUGACUAAGGCUUCAAACACCUUAGUCAUUGAAGUUUUGGCUUCAUCUAUCCCUUUUUUUACAUAACUUGCUUGCCUAUUAAUCAAAGUAUUUAUUGAUAGUCUAGUAUGAUUUGGUAGAGCGUUUCCAUUAACAUUUGGAGUCCCUCAUUUGCUAGUAUCAAAGUUUAACACCCUCUCAUUGAUUAACCCUUACACUUUACGCUUCAAAGUAGUGCAAUUUUUCAUAGAAUGACCUAGGUUUUCAUAAUGAUAAUCACAAUGCACAUUGGGAUCAUACCAUUUGAAAAAUGGAGGUUUCAAAGUUUUAACAAUAACAGGGGCUAGUAAAUGUUUCUCAACAAGUUGAGGGUACAAAUUUGUAUAUAUCAUAGAGAUAGGGUCAAAAGUAAUUUUUUCUUAGAUAUUUCUUAGGGUUCUCGGACUACUACUUAGAUUGGGUCUUCAUUAUGAUCUAGUAGGUAUAGCAGGAUGAUUAUAUAAAUAGGUGGGUGUUUGAAAGGAUGGUUGAAAAUAAGGUGAAUAAGUUGGUUGUUGUAGUAGCUGACACAAUUGAUACGGAUGAGGGAUGGAUGUAACAUUGUUUAUAGGAGGGUAAUGGAUUUGGCACAUUGGUGUGGGUAUGACGUGAAACCUUUGAACUAUUGACCUACUUAGUUCACUGCUUAGCUUUAUUUUCUUUUUUCUUGAGAGCUCUGCCUUUCUUUACUUCGCUUGUCUAUCCUAUAUCGAGCUUGUUAUUUUUUAUGACAUUUUCAAUAAUCUCACUUGAUAUCACCAUAUCUGUAAAGUUUUUAGUUGCAUUACCUAUCAUUCUUUUAUAGUAAAGUGCUUUCAAGGUGUUUACAAAUAGGAUAGUUGUCUCUUUCUUAGUGAUGAGAGGUUGUGCUUGUACGGUCAUAUCUCUCCAUCUUUGUGCGUACUCUUAAAAUUUUUCUAUUAUAUUCUUUUCCAUGCUCUGGAGAGAUAGAUCAUCUAAAGCUAUAUAUAUAACAUGUCGAUAUUGUGUAAAGAAUGCCCUUGUAAGUUUUUAUCAGAAAUGAAUACGAGUCCUAUCUAGUUAAAUGUACUAUCUGGCUAUAGAACUUGUAAAGCUAUCUUAAUAUACAUGUAAUAAUAUCUUCUAGUCACGAGCAUAUGCGCCCAUCUUAUGAUAAUAAAUGGUGACAUAAAUCAUUAAGUAUUUUGUACCAUUAUAUUUUUCAAAUUUAAAAACCUUGAAUUUAAGUGAAAUGACCACGUUUGGGACUAAACAAAGCUCAGCUGCAUCUGUAGAGCCAUAAAAAUUCAUUCCCUCUACAACCUUAAGUCUUUUUUCUAAUAAUUUUAUCUUCUACUAGGUACUGGUAUCUUUUACUUUCUUAGAUGUCUUCAUCUCUAGCUUUUCUUUCUUAUUGGGACAUCCAAUUUAGGAAUCAAGAUUGGCUCGAGUGGUUUUUAUACCAUGAUGGAUUAGCAAAAUUUUAGACUAUCUUAGAGUGAAUAUGAAUAUCAAUCCUAGAUAAGAAUAAGAAUAUCCUUGAGAGUAGGGAUUUACUCUAGCUCCUUGAGAAGGUUAGGUUGGUCGUGGCUCAAACCUUGGAGGGUAUACAGGAUUUAUCAUGUAUGGCAAUUGCUUUUGGAAACUGGGAUUUCUUUCCAUCACUUUUUCUUUGUCAAGAUUCUUAAGUAUGUCCAUUAUUUUACUAAGAUCCCCUUUUAGUUCUUCUUGAGCCUUCUCAAUUCUUUCAAAUCAACUAGACUAUUCUUGUUUUAUGAUUCUUAUUUGAACCUUGGUGUUGUAUGAAUGACGAGUAGGUUUAGUCAAAAUUUUUGUGGAUGAGCUAUUAUUGAACCUUUAUUAUCACAAAUUUUCAAAAAUCAAAAUGCCAUGUGUUGAAAAUUUUAUUUUUCACUUUUUUUUGUGAUUUUGUUAAAAGAAUAUGGUUAUUAAAAUAAAAAAUGGUGCAUAUGAUGCAUGAAUGCAAGUGAGAGAUAUUUUCUCUUGGACAAAUUUCAACACCAAAAAUUUUCAUUAAUUUCAACAACUUUUGUUACAUGAGAUUUAUCAUCCUAAAAUUAUAUUUAUAAAAGCAUUUGACUUGUUCAUAAUGAUCCUUGGCUUCGCCUAGAAAGUUCAUUAGGCAUUGUCCAUAUUCUCCUACUAGAUUGACUUGUCUUCUUAAUGCCUAUACCUUUCAAACCAUCUCCCAUGCCUUUUUCACUGCCUUGCAAACUUGAUUGGUCAAGUGUUGUAUGUACUAUUGCCUCAUUGAGCUUUUUGCUCUUCAUCUGAUUCGAGCAUCUCUUUCUAAUUCACAUAUGUAGAUCCAAUCUUUUUCUCUUUUUUGCCACUUAUUUAUUAUUGCUGAAAUAUGGUUCUUGUGAUCUUGUAGUUACAGCUUCAACCCUUGGAUCACCUGGUGAAAUGAUUCCUUUUUGUUUAGGAUUUCAAAGUGCUUUCUUCUCUCUAUUGCAAGCAUAACUUUCAACCUUUCCUUUUCUUUUUGGCAUUCAACCAAUCUUGCUAAAGCUAUAGAGUAUAAUCUCUCCCAAUUUUGACAUUCUUGAAAAAUUUUGGUGACCUCUUUUUGCUUUUCUCGAACUUUGCCUUUUCAUUGGUUCAUUUUCUCUCAUAGCUCAUCUAUUUCAUGUCACCAACUAAAAUAAGACUUGAUGACAUUUUCAGACUUGAAUUAGACUUGUAAUCUUUUGUUUUCUUAGUGCAGAUUUUUUAAAUCAUUAUUAGCCAUAUCCCGUUCUUUUAUAACCUUAUCCAGUUGAUCCCUUCUACUUUUACUUCGUAUUUCAAUUGUCCCAUCUUUUCACGAAGCCUCAAAUUUUUUUUUAUUUCUUCUUUUUCAACUUCUAAUUCUUUCCUGACAAGCUUGGCUUUUGAUAAUUGCACUUCUGCCAAAAUGUUAGUUCAUUGAUGUGAGCCAUUAUCAGGAAAGAACACUAUGUCUCUCAAUCACUUCACUUUCCAAAUCUGGUAAUCAAGAGUGACUUUGUUGAUAAGAGGCUGUAAUCUCAUUUUUUGCAUUUUCUUCCAUGCUUGGAUUAACCACUCUGAUGUUCUUAGUGAAAUGGACUCUUUGUAGGUGAAUUCUACUUGAACCCAGUAAUGAAUGGCAAGAAUGAAUUGUUUUGCAUUGAAUUACCUCAAUAACAUCAACAAAGCUUAACUUACCACAUCCUAUAGUCCUAACAGUGGUAUCCAUGGUUCAUUUCCUCCUCAAUAAAACAUGGGCACUUGAGGCAUUCAUGGUGCCAUUCAUUUUAUUUCAUCCUCAAUAAGCCUGUGGAACAAUAAAACCUAUUCUUCCUUAGCCUUCAAUGUCAAGCAUUGGUUUUUUACAUAAUUCUUUGAUUGGUGCCUUGUUUCAAGGAUAUGGCUUUGAGAAUGCACUCUUUUCACACUUAAAAUGACUUUUAACCCACACAUGUAAUAGUGAUGCACACCCUAUAAACAUUCAUUUUUCAUUCUGUUGAUAAAAAUUCAAUGACUUGAUGGUUUCGGCUAGAAAUGCUAGUGCAAGAUUAAUUGUUUGGGUUUCAAUUUGCUCAAAAAAGUCCACCACCAUUAUCUCGAUGUAGCCUAAGGUCUUUGAGAAGAUCACCAUGUUAUACAAUGCUAAGGCAAACAUAGCCAUGCCUUAAUUAUCAUCUAGAUGCCUUUAAACAAAUUACGGAAGAAAUCCUAACGGAUACCAAGAUGUUCACCUUUAGGCUUUGUGAAAGAAUCUAUGGUUUUUAUUUUAACCUCUAUAAGCUUGGCCAACUUGUUGCAAUAAACAAAUUUUGGCUUUCGAGUAAAUGCUUUAUCCAGACAUUAUAGUUCUAUCCCAAGCAAAAUCGAGUAUUCCUCAAUGGUUAGCACCAAAUUUUCUUAAUUAAAAAUAAAGCAUUUAUAGGAAGGGUCCCAAAUUUGUAUAGUUGUCUUAACCAACUGUUCAUUGACACUAUCGAAAUGAGGGAUUAAUUGUAUAUAUUCUUGCAAAAACUUUUUUUUCUUUCUUCACAUAACUGACCUCAAAUGAUGGCUAAGUCUUCUAAAUAUUCUGUUUGAGAUCCAAAUACAUCUUUUAAGGUAAACUAAGACACAUAACCAGUGUGGGCAAACAAUUUUCCAACUACGUUAUUGGGCUUCUUUUGACCAAAACAUGUACUUCAUUAUAUGAUUCACAUUGGACAAUGAUAGAGAGUAAGCAAAUCUAUAGUUCUACAAUAUCCAUGAAGAACUUCUUGGGAGAAAGAUAUCCUAGAGCAAAUACCUCGAUAUAGAACUCUAUGAUAUGAUUUAAAUUUCAAAUUAUCUCAGGAGAAAGAUGUUUUAGGAAUCCCAAAUUUUUUUAGAUUUAAAUUUCAAAUUUUCAACCGGUCUAGCAAACUUUGGUGGCUGAAAUUCAUGCUGCCAAGUUAGAUAAGGGUGUUAGGCAGCUGUGGCGCUGGUGCUUUCGGUGUAUUUAAUGCACAAUGACUUUUGGCCAAAAUGACUUGAAAAGGAAAGAAAAAAAGAAAUAAAUAAUAAUAAUAAUAAUAACAAAUAAGAAAAAUUGAAUCUUUACAUGCCAUGGCAUGUAGAAGGUUAGCUAAACCUCUCAAGGUCACAUCAAUGGUGGAUUUUGUUAUGGCUUGAUCUCUGUUGCUCCAAAAUUCAACUAUUGACUAGUCGGUUGAAUUUUUGGAUCAAACUUGGUGUUAAAAAGGCAAACAACUUUGGAGGAAGCUAUUUUUUCUUGAAAAAUAUUACUUAAAAUUCAAACAAUAAGAAAACAUGGCAAGAAAUUCAUGGAAAUGAUAAUGGAAAUGUGGAGGAUAAGGUAGAAAUAUACCUCCCAAAAGCUUCUCAAAAAUUUUUUUUCCCUCUUUUUACUUCUCUUUUUCACACUACUUCUUUGGUUGCCUCCCCUUCUUUUCUUAGCCUUAAAUGAUGAACAUAAAGGCCAUGCAAAUGCAUGAUAGCCUUUGAUAAAAAAUGCAUCCAAAGACCACUAGCUCUCUUCCAAGUUUCCAAACAAUCACCUUUCACCCUUAGAUCAAGGUCUUUGAAAAAUCAAUGGUUUAUGUUGAAUCAACAUGAAAUAAGGUUUUUGGUAUAACUAGAAUAAUGUAAAAAGACCAUUUUACCCUUUUUAAAAGCUUUCACCUUUCUAUGAGAUUUUCUUGGAAAAACAUGAUCCCUUUUUUAUUUUUGUGAUUUCAAUGUGCUAAAAGAUCAUCAAAUAAUAUGAAACAUGAUCUAAAAGUUUUCGUGAAAAAUUGACCUUCGAGAAAGUGAAAUUAUAAAAAUACCCCUAAAAGGCAUUUUAAUAAUUUCACACCCUAUGAGGUACUAACAAGGUUUUAAUGCACCAAUAAUCAUCCAAUAAUGUUUAAAUAUAAUAUGAACGUUUUCACUAAAAAUUAACUAUAAGAAAUCAAAUUACAAAAAUAUCUUUAGAGGACAUUUUGGUUAUUUUACCUUUCUUGAAGCAUGAUCAGAGUUUUUAAUGCAUUAAAAUCAUAAAUUUCAACCAAAAGCCUUGUUAAUCCCAUUUAUUUGUGAAUUUUGAAGAAUGACUCGAUUUUGAUCUAGUUUGACAAAUUUUGAUUGGGUUUGACCAAAUUUAACAAAAUUUGAUCAUAUUUAUUUAAGUUUGACUUUAAGGCAUUUGGGUCAAAUUGGUUUCAAAUUUGACUUUGAAAACUCAUCGAUAUUAAAGAAAUGUUGGAUUGGAAUUGAGUUGAAUUUUAAAAACCUCACAACUAGCUAAAUUUUGACUGAACAAAAUUAAAUAUCUAUAAAAGUCAAAAGGAUACUUGUUUUUCUGGAAAUAGACAGGAUGGCUUUAUAAUCCAUUUCAACAUAAAGCACAUUUGAUGAAUGAACUAAUUAUGGACAACUCCAUGUAAUGAAAAAAGUAAUGUAUGCAUGAGUGAACAUUUUACACUCAUUUAUAACAAAAUUGAAUACUAUAUUAAAUGAUAUAAUUUAAAUACCCUAAUUAGAAGUGGUUUAAGACUUUCCAAAUUAUAUUUCAUGCAGUUGUGAUACUUGUUAAGUGUGAUAUGUUUAAACAUUAAAAAAUGAUAAUUUCAUCUAAUAUUAUUUUUAUAUAUAUAUAUUUGAACGAGUUCAGAUGCUUAUUAAGAAUUAAUUAAUUAAUUUCUAGAAUUCUUUGCAACCAAAUAUAUUAUUGUUGUGUACUUAAUUGAAUAUGAAUAUUCUGUUAAUAACCAAUGCUUAUUAAUUGUCUUUGACUCGUAUUUGUGAAUAAUUCAAAUAUUAGUAAGUUUACUACAAUGCAUCUUUCUACGUUUUUCUUAAUGUAUUUUUAUCAUAAUUAUAUCUUGUAUGUCAAUGAAAGAUUGGUUUAGUGGUAAGGAAGAGAUUUUACAACCUUGAAGUUCCAAAUUCAAGUGUCACUAUAUGCAUUUGAUUCCAUUUUAUAUUCUAAUUUAUUUUAGUUAUACUAUAAUUUUUUUAUUAAUUAUUCAAUAUUUCUUAUUUAUGACUAUUGAACUUGAUUAUGAUUGUAAUUUUAAUUUCUUAAAAAAAAUGUUAUAUAUUUCAUUUGAUUGAUUUUUAUUUUUUUUUAAGGAGAUAAUUUGAAAUGGACUUUUAAUUCACACAUGUAAUAGUAGUGUACACCCUAUGAAUCAUCUUUUUUUAUUCUAUCAAUAGAAAUUCAAUGACCUGAUGGUUUCAACUAGGACUACUAGCACAGGAUUAAUUGCUUGGGUUUUACUUUGCUUGAAAAAAUCUACCACCAUUAUCUUGAUGUAGCCCAAGAUCUUUUGAAAGAUCACUAUGCCAUACAAUGCUAAAGCAAACCCUGCCAUGCCUUGAUCAUCAUCUAAAUGCUCUUAAACAAAAUUAUGAAAGAAGUUCCUACGAAUACCGAGAUGUUCACUUUUAGGCUUUACGAAAGAAUCUAUGGUUUCCACUUCAACUUCCAUAAGCUUGGCCAACUUUUUGUCAUAAUUUGAUUUCAGUUUUCGGGUAAACACUUUAUCCAGACAUUGUAGUUCUAUCCCAAGCAAAAUUGAGUAUUCCUUUAAUGGUUGGUGUAGACAUCAAAUUUUGUUUGAGACUUUUUUUUCAACAUGAUUGACACAGGGCUCAUUUACAAACAUGGGCCAAGACCAUUUAGUAGGACCAUUUAUGACCCGUAAAGAGCUCACAAAUUCGCCUAUUCAAAAACUCAAAGUUAACUUGGAUCAAAUCUCAUCAAACAAAGUCAAAAUUGCACAAAACUUGAUCAAAAUGGAUGACAGCCCGGAUCAAUUCUAAAAAUUCAAAAUCUAAUUGAAAUCAACAUGGUUUAAAAUUAAAUUUAAGAUUUUUUUCAAAACACUAAAAUUUUCAUAAUGUCCCGAAAAGGGUAAAAUUACCAAAAUACCCUUAUAGAGGUAUUUUCAUAAUUUGACCUUCUCGAGCUUGAAUUUUUGUGCCAAGUUGCAUCACAUUAUAAGAAAUGAUCUUUUGGUUUGAACUUUUUAAACAUAUGGUUUGAGCCAAUUUUAUCCAUUUCUUUUAUGAUUCUUUAUUAUAGCCUAUAUUACAAUCCUUAAAAGUCUAUUUUGUUCAAAUGUGAAUGCUCGAAUUGAAUGAUCAUAUGUUUGGCUAAGGCAUGCUUGUGAUGAAGUAAUGGAAUCAUGUUAUGUUCUUGUAUUUUAAAGAUUGAUAUGUGGGAGAUAUCAAUAAUGGAUGAAGAAAAAAUGAAAAAUGAAAAAAUGAAAAAAAAAAAAAAGUGAAAAAAGUGAAAAAAUGAAAAAUGAAAAAUGUGAAAAAAAUGAAGAAAAGGAAAGAAAAGAAAGACUCAAAUUGAAAACCAAAAAGGCAAUUUGGGUAAAAAAAAGUCUAAGCUGAGAGUUGGAUAAAUAGUUCAACACAUGGAAGAUGACAUCUAAAGAUUCUCCAAAGCUGGGGCAAAGUUUGAUGAGCUCUAAAAUUAUUUUGAAAGUCAAUGGAAUAAGUUUUUGAAAAAGAAUUCUAGAUUAAUGUUAAGAAUUGUCUAAAUAUUCAUUGUUUGGACAAUUGCAUCCCUAGUGAUAUGCUUUGAAUUUGUUCCUUCGCCUAUUUAUUUUUGUACCCGACUCAUUUUUAUAUUGACUACCUUUUUUCCAAUUCACCUUGUACUUUCUUAUUUUUUCAUCCCUAAAAAUUGAUUAAAUGUAUGAUUGCAUUAUAUUUGUCAUGAUUUGAAAUGAUAAUUAAUGAAUGAUAAUGUUCAUAAAAGAUUCCUACAUUCCUUUAAAAAGAAAUCGAGGAUGAUAGGGGUAAAAAAAAGAAAAUGGAAAAAGCUUGAAAAGAUGAUUUGAAAGGACACAUGGGGUGACCAAGUGAUGAAUAUGGUGAUGGAUUGGUUGACAUAACCUAUAAGCUAUGAUCAAAUUAUGAAAAUAAUGGGGAUUAGUGGACAAAAUUUGUUCUGAAAUUGUUAGUGCUGAGAAACUAAAAACGAAAAAUGUGAGAUGGUGGAGUCAUUAAGAACCAUAUUACCACAAUUAAUUAGAAUUUCAUGUUAGUGACAUUUGCAUUACAUGCAUUACGUUUGCAUUGUAGUUUGAACAAUACAUGUAUAUAAUUUGAUGAAUAUUUAAAACUUUGGUUUGGCUAUGCACUUGCAUCAUGCAGUGAACAUUUGAAUCAUGGUUUAAAGUAUGGCAUCUGCAUUAUUAUGAGUAUCUAGAUUGUUGCAUUUGCAUUAUUAAGAAAGUAUUUGCAUCAUGAUCAUGACAUUCAUUACAUACAAAAUUUUGACUUUGAUGAAAAAUUGAGAAUUUUUAUGACAAAAAAUUUUGAACUUUUUGAGGAAAGCUUUUUAAGAUAAGGUUGGGAAUCCUUGAAUGAAAAAAUGUUUUAUAAGGAAAACAUUUAGAAUUCUAAAGUUGUGGAGCCUUUUAAAGAGCAUUUUUAAUGUUAAAAAUGAUAAGAAUUUUUGUCUUUAAGUUUAAAUAAGAAUCUUUAAAAAAUUUUAAAUGAUAAUCUUUGUCUUUGAGUUUUAAAUGAGAAUCUUUGAAUAAGAAUCUUUAUCUUUGACUUUUAAAUAGGAAUAUUGAGAAUUUAUGUGAAUCUCCAAAGUUUUUUGAAUCCGAAUCUUUGAAGAAUCAAAUGUGAAUAUUUGAAUUUGAACGAGAAACUUUGAUAUUUUAGAAGUGAAUCCCUAAAGUUUUUCGAAUAAAAAUCUUUAACUUUUUGGUGUAAAUCUCUAGAAUUUUAAAGUGUAAAUCUUUAAAUGUUGGAUGUGAGCCUUGCAAUUGUGAUAUGAAUUCCUAAAUUGAAAUUUUGGGUGUGAAUAUUUCAAAUGGGAGUCUGAAUUCUUGCAAAAUUGAAACUUUGAUAACCUUAAAUCCUUGUGAACCUUAAAUUCUCGCGAAUCUAAAAGCUUGCAAACCUUAAACUCUUGCGAAUUUGAAAAAUCUUGUGAAUCUUAAAAUCAUAUGAAUCUGAGUUCUUGCAAAUAUAAAAUUUUGUGAAUCUUUGUGUCUACAAAUCUGAAAAUUCUUGCGAAUUUGAAUUUUGUGAAUCUGUGUGUUGCAAACCUAAAAAAUCUUAUGAAUAUGAAAUCUUACGAAUCUAAAAGUCUUGCAAAUCUUUGAAUUGCAAACCUUUGAUUUUUGAAAUAAUGAAUUUUUGAACUCAAAUUGUGAACCUUUGAGCUGCAAUUUGCAUUACUAAUUGACGAAUUACAAAGUUUUUGAAUAUUACAAAUUGUGAAUCUUUGAAGUUUUGAAAUUUUGUAAUUGUUGUUAAGCUACACCCGGACGUAAUGGAUAUUUAUAUCUUUGCCUAAUUCUUGUUUCAUAGAAAAUGCAUAAAUAGGGGCAGCUGUAGACAUUCCAUUUUGUUCUGGGUUUAAAAUUUAUUUUUAUUUUAUUUAUUUUUUCAAUUUAAUAAUAAUAAUAAUAAGUUUUUUCAUGAAUCAAUAUGAGCAAGAGUUAGAAUUGGACUUGAUUUGUAAAAGGCUAAAUUUUAGUUUUAUGAUAGUACAACAAUCUUAUUAAAGUUGAAUCACAAUCAAGCAAAAAAUCUUCUGAUUGUUCCUUAUAAAUAAACUUGUUAUCAACAGAGAAAUAGGGGAUAAGGAGCAAGCAUAGUUUUUGAAAGAAAAAAAUAAAAAAGAAUUCAAUAAGCAAAUAAUUUUUUUGAAGGAAACUAAGGCUUCUGUCAGGGAUUUUUAAGUUGAUUGUGAGUUUAAUCAAGUUAAAAAGUGGUUUAGAAAGAUUCUUGAAGAUUAAAGGGUCAAAAUCAUAGAAAUUUUUCUAAAAUUUUUUUUGGAAAAUUUUGGGAAUUCCAGAAUUUGUUUGAAUUAUUUAGUAAAAUUCAAGUUUUCCAACAAGAUUCCAGUGAGAAACCUAAUUUUUAAUGACUAACCUAGAUUCCGAUGAUCCAACCCAAAAUCUGGUUAAAGUCUUUCUAGCACAUUCCUAGUUCCCAAUGUUGUUUCCUAGAAUCUGGUGAAUGAUUCAAAUGACAUUCAUAUGUUUUAGAGAAAGAGAAAAAAAAGAAAAGGCUAAAGAGAAAGAAAGGGAAAAAAAUCUUAAAAAAAAAAAUUUUUAGGCUUUUAUAUUACAUAACAAAUGAUGCCAUUUUGAUCAUAAAACCUUUAGGAUUCGUGUGCUGCCCCAAACACUUAACCUGAUCCGCAACACUUUGACUUGAGAUCCUUCCUUUUUAAGCUGCUGUGGAGUUGAGCUACUAGUCAGCCAAGCCGUGUCUCUGAAGUUAUCUUUUGUGUCUGGAGCCAAGUCAGUGCCAUAACCAAGUCGAGUUAGUCCUUUUGUUUUAGUUUUUUUAUGGUUUUUAUUUAUUUUUCUUUUAUGUUAUUAUUUCCUUUAUUCAUUUUUUGUGGAAUAUUUUUGCAUGAUUAAAUUUUUAGGAAAACUAUAAAAAAAUAUUAAAAUUAAACAUUAAUAAAAUUUGAAAAAUAAAUGAUAAUUAUCCAAUGAUAAAAUUUUUAGAAAUUACAAAUGAAUAAUUUUUAUAAAAUUUCUAGGUGAGAAUUUUUCUUCUAAAUUUAACCUAAAUGGUGGAAGAAAUGAGAUGAAAAUUAAAAAAUAGUUGUCAUAUUAUUUUCUUAAGGAUUAAGAAGCAAGUGAUGAAUAAAAAGAAUAAAGAUAUUUCUAAAUAGACCCAAUCGUGAAAAAUUUAGAAAUAAAACUUGUAAAAUAAAAAUAAAUUUCGAUGAAAUUCUUAGUAAUCACAAAUGGAUGAUUAUCUAAGAAAUUUUUAGGCGAGAAGAUAUUUCUAAUUUUGGCCCAAAUGGUGAAAAAAUUAGAUAUAUUUUCAAUAAAAAUAAAAAUAAAAAAUGAUUAAAUCAUUUUUCGAUGAUGAAACCUCUUCAAGAAAACAAAUGGGAUUCAUAUAUACUUUCGAUGUGAGAAAGUAUUUUUAAGAAUUCUAAUAGAUUGAUGGAGAAUAUUAAAAGUUAUUUUCAAUAUUUAAAUGUUAAUAGAAGACCAAUAGAAUCAAAAUCUUGGGAUAAUUUAAAAUAAAAUGGUAUCAUCAUUUGGAUGGGCAUGUAGGGGUGUUAUAACCUUCCUCAUAUGUAAUCAAAAUCUCAAACCUUAUUCUGAUUAGUAGAUCAAAACUUAAUCUUUAAAGAUCCUUAGUCAAGCUUAGGAGCUUCUUAAAAGAAUAGAUUUGCUAGAUGACCAAUCACACCUAGAGAAAAGAUUGGUGAUGACUCCUUAAAGUCAAGUCCAGCUAUAAGUUAAUGGAUUUAUAUGUUAUGAUAAUAAGUUUUAAGCAUAAUUUAGCUGGCAUCCAAGUUUUAAACCCAGCUUAGCUAGCAUUAAUCAAAAUUUAAGCCCAGAUUAGCUGGCACAUAAGCUUAGUUUAGCUAGCAUGUAAGCCCGAUUAGUUGAAAAAGUACACACCUCUUUUUUUUCCUUUAAGUGGUGAGAUCUUUUUGAAUCAAUAGAAAUAUCUGUGUAUACAAUCAUUCAAUCCAUUAAGAGAAAUAAUUUUCACUUAUUUCAUUUCUAAUAAAGAUUGUCAAUUCUCCUAAAAAUUUAAGUUUAUCCAAGUUUUAAGCCUAGUUUAGUUGACACCUAAUGAAAAUUUAAGCCUAGUCUAGCUAGCACCCAAUGAAAAUUUAAGCCCAGUAUAGCUGGCACUCAAUCGAAAUAUGAGCCUAAUUUAGUUAGCAUCAAUGAAGUUUUAAGCCUAGUUUAUCUAGCACCAAUGAAAAUUUAAGCCUAGCAUUAUUGCCACUCUGUGAAAAUUUAAGCCUAGUAUAGCUGGCACCUAGGUUUUAAGCCCACUUUAGCUGGCACUUAUGUUUUAAGCCCACUUUAGCUGGCACCCAAUGAAGAUUUAACCCUAGCUUAGCUAGCAUCCAAUGAAAUUUAAGCCUAGAUUAUCAGACACUCAAUGAAGUUUUAAGCCUAGUUUAGUUGGCACCUAAUGAAGUUUUAAACCCAGUUUAGCUGGCACUCAAUGAAGUUUUAAACCCAAUUUAGCUGGCACUGAUCAACAAAGUUUUAAGCCCAACUUAGCUGACACCCAAUGAAAUUUAAGCCCAUUUGAACUGACCUCUAAUGAAAAUUUAAGCCUAAUAUAGUUGGCACCAAUAAAGUUUUAAGCCCAGUUUAUUUGGCAUCAAUGAAAAUUUAAGCCAAACUUAGUUGGCACCCAGUGAAAUUUUAAGCCUAGUUUAGCUGGCACCUAGGUUUUAAGCCAAGCUUAACUAGCACCCAAUAAAAAUUUAAACCUAGCAUAGUUGGCACUUAAUGAAAUUUAUACCAAGAUUAUCUAGCACUUAAUGAAAUUUUAAGCUCAAUUUAGCUGGCACCAAAUGAAAUUUAAGCCUAGUUUCGUUGACAUCCAAUUAAAAUUUAAGCCUAGUAUAGUUGGUACCAAUAAAAAUUUAAACUUAGUUUUGGUUGGCAUAAUAGUCCAGUUUAGCUGGCAUAUAAACCCAAAUUACUGGUCACCCAUAUUCGACUUGCAGUUUAAUCCUGGUCAUCUUUAUCAUUUGACUCGUAGUUUAAUCUUUAUCAUUUGGCUCGUAGUUUAAUCUCGAUCACUUCACUCGACUUACGAUUUAAUCCUAAUUAUCUUUACCUUUCAACUCACGAUUUUAUCCCAAUCAUCAUAAAAAAUAAAAAAUAAAAAAGAGAAAUAAAUGAAAAAAAUAAAAAAUAAUAAUCUUCAAAGCCCACUAAUGGCCUAUUGCUAACCAAUAAACAGAAAAAAUAAAUAAUAAAAUAUAAAAAUCAUUAAAUAAAAAAUAAAUAAAUAAAAUAUAAUAAAUAAAUAAUAUAAAUAUAAAAAAAUAAAAACAAAUAAAAAUGUUAUACAAAUUCAAAUAUAUAUAUACAAAUAAAAUAUAAAUAUAUAAAAAAUAAUUAAAAAAUAUUAAAGAUAUUAAAAGACAUAUAUCAAAAUUAUAAAGGGAGUUUGACCCACAAUAAAAUCCUAAGAGCCCAUAAAAUAUGGCUCUAACCUAAAGAUUAAAAAAGCCCAUUUGGCUAAAAAGAGGAAAACCGUAUGAAAACCCAAAAUACAUGCAUGAAAUUGGGUGGCCAACAUGGGAAGCUACUGGAAAAAAAAUACAAAAAGAGGAAAACUAAAAAGGGUAACAUGUAGAUGAGAGCAAAAGGGCAUGAACGUGAGAAAAGGGCAUGGUUUGAGGGCCUUACAACGUAAAAACUAAAGAAAACUAAAAAAAAUUAACACUGGAAUUGAAAAAAUUAUAGAGAAAACAAAAAAAAAAACCAAAAAAGCAAAAAAACCUUAAAAGAAAAUGUAGUGGAGGCAAAAAAAGGGAUGUUUUUUAAGAAAGGCAUCCAAGGCAUGAGGAAAAACUAAAAGUAGAAACUUGAAGAAAGGAAAAGGGAAAGGAGGACCAUUCAGGCAAGAAUAAAACCAAGGGAGAAUUUUUGGCAAAAAAUAAAAGAAGAAGCCAGGAGAAAAGAAAGCAUUUGGGUGAAAGAAAUAAAAAACAAAUUUAAGAAAAAAAAUAGGGAAAAGAAAGAGAAAAGAAAAACCAAUGAAGGAAAAGGUAAAAAAAGCACAAAAAAUGGUAAAAAAGCCAGUUGCAAGAAGUGGCAAGCAAACAAAAAAAGGAAAAGGUAGGCAUUUGGACAAAAGAAUAAAAAGAAAAAAAACUGAGCAAACUAGUAGCAAAUAUAAUAGAGGAAAAAAAAAACACCAAUAAGGAAGUGAUGCAGGCCAAUAGAAAAAGGAAAAAAAAUAAAAAAGCUGUAAAAAAAAGCUGGUAGCAGAAUUAAAAAAAAAAAAAGGUAACACAAAACAGUAGCAACACGAGAAACCAAUUGCCAAAGGAAACAAGAAAGGAAGAUGAAGAACCGGGGUACUCGUUUUUUGCAUGAAGUGGUUUGGUAUGAACUUAAAGCUCCAUUAGGUUCUGUUUGCAUGAAAUUCUUGCUUUACAUUGAACUUUUCUUGUUUUUCCUUUGCAUUUGUUUAAUAUAUCAAGGUUGCAUGGAGUCAAGGUUCAUUUGUUUCUAUUUGGCUUUUUGUCAUUUUUCAUUUUUUUGGUUCAGCAUACUUUGUUUGUAGGAGCAUAAGCUUUCAUUUCGUGCGUUGCACGGGGUAUACUUUCUCUUGUAGCUUAUAUUCAUUUGGGAAUUAAUUGAAAAACAAGCUUUGAUUCAAAAGAAAAUGCAUUUAGGAAACCAUAUGAGUAAACCAUUUUUUUUUGUUAUAUAUACAUUUCAUUAUUAUUUUGUUAAUAAACAUAGACUUAAAACAUGAGGCUAAUAAUUUAUUUUUAAAGAUUAUUUUCAUUUAUAUUUCAUAUUAUUUAUAUUCAUGCACAUUUUUUUAUGUUGGUUAAGCCUGGUUAUUAUUUAAGUUUCAUGAAUUUCAUUUUCCUUGUUGAUCACAUUUCAAUGUCUAUUUUAAUUUUUAUGCAAUUUAAUUCUUCAUGCUUAAAUUCCAUACUUUGAAUAUAAUUUACUUCCUAUAUAUUUUUAGAUUUAUGCAAAAACUAAUAAUGAUAAUUUUUUAAAAAAUAUAUAAAACUAAAUUCUGAAAUCCUUGCCUACAUGUUGGAAGGAAUAAAAACGUGUUUUAAAAAUAAUAAUAAUAGUUCUGCUUAGAUGUAGGGAAAUUAUUAAAUAAAAAUUAAAAUAAUAAAAGAUUAAAUAAUAAUAAUAUUUUAAUAAAAAAAUAUAUAAAAUAUAAAAAUUCAUUUUUUAGAGAAAUUGAAAAAACAAACUUGAUCUGAAAGAUUACCUAGAAGUUGGAGAUUUCUAAACAGGUGCGUAAAGUUUUGAAAUAUUAAAGCAAAACUCUAAGCGAAAUCUUAAAUGAAACCCUAAACCUUAGGUAAACCCAAAAACCCUAACCGAAACCCUAAAAUCGUAGGUGAAUCCUUGAACCCUAAAUGAAACCCUAAAUCAUAAGGAAACCCUAAAACCCUAAGGUGAAACCCUAAAUUCAUUCCAAACCUUAAAAUCAUCCCAAGAUUCAAAAGUUGAUAUGAAAACUUUUUGUGAAAUAAUAUGUUCCUGAAUGUUGCCUAGAUGAUAGGGUAUUUAAGAAAUUUUAUUUCAUUAAGAAUUUUUAUACAUUUUCGCACCUUAAAAUAAAUUCAUUUUGUUAAAAUAACAAAUAUAUAAAUAUAAAAUAAUAAAGAAUAGAAUGAGAUUUUAAAUAUAAAUAGUUACACCUAAACUUUGUCUAAAGGUUGGAGAGUCUAAGUGAUCUUUUUAUAUUUGAAAAUCUGAUUCCUAAAUUCGCAUUUUAUCAUCAUUUGCAUGCAUCUCCUUUUUUAUAUUAAUGUGUACAUUUGGGCAAACUUUCGAAGCAAACUCAUUUUUAUAAUUAUUCCAAAAAUUAUUUUUUAUAGUCUUAUACUUUUAUAUGCAUUUCUUUUUUGUUUUAUGAAAUUUGUUAUUGUUAUUGCUAUUAUUACUAUUAUGCAUAAAUUUAAAGUGCAUGAAAAACAAAAAUAAAACAUACCUAACAUAAAUUUCAGCAUGAAAUAUUGAAUUAAAACAAGCAUGAGAAUCCAAACCAUAAAAAAAAUUUAACAAUGCAUAAAAUUGAACUUAUAAUUAAAUUUAAACAACCUAAAAUAAAAUAUAAGUAUGAUUAAGAAAAUUCUAAGUGAAGAAAAUUUUUUACUUUACUAUUUUAUUUUUAUUAUUGUACUCAUGCCAAACCUAAAAAAAUAUAAGAUCCAAUUACCACCACUAUGGUCCCAUACCAUGGCUUUUCAUAGAUGAUGUUAUUAUCAUACAUGUAAAAUAUAUAUAUAUUUUUUGUAAAAGAGGUACCACUCUACCAGAACAAAUAAAGGAAACUUAAAGAUUCAAAUCUUCCUAUAAGCCAUGGCCAUGUAAUAGAAUAAAACAUAAGCAAAAAACAAAUUGAAGCUUUAGGCUUCCUUUUACAAGAGCUACAACUAAGCACAAGCAUGGAAGAAAAAGGUUUGAACAUCCCCUCAAGCAAACAUAUCGCAUGCAACAUGUGAAAAGAGAAAGCUUUGUGUUUCCAAGCAACAAUCCACACGUAAAAAAAGGAUCAUUAGAAAAACCAAAACUAUAGUAUUCAUUUUAUUCACCAAGAAAAAAGACUUGAGGAUGAUGAAAGGGCUAGCUUAUGUGAGCAAACAAAGGUAUAACAUACAAACAUUAGGAGAACAAGAAAACAUAAAAAGACAACCUACAACCAGUUUUAAACCAUCAUUAAUAGAGUUAUGAAAUUCAUAAGCAGCCAAAAGAGAACCUAGGCUAAACUGAAACAUGUUUGUGGAACUUGAAGCUUCUUUUUCUUAUCAUUUUUUUAGCAUAAAAAUUGAAGCCCAAACUCAUACUUAAGUCCUACUUGAAAAACUUGAGCCAUAUACAGAAAAAAAAGACCAAAGAUAUGGCUAGAAUCACUAAGGCAGUAAUGGAAGCAACUUUCAAAAUCUAGGUGAAAGAAACAACCAAACCGUGACUACUCAUGGGAAGCCAAAUAACAUGGUUUGGGUUAUCCAAACUUUUUAGGGUUUUUACUUAUUUUCAGCUUGUAAUAACUAGAGGGUGGUCAUGAAAAAUGGAAGGGCAAGGACUAUUAAGACUUUGUGGAGUGAGGUUAAUUGCUAUAGUUGCCAUUAGAAGAGGCAAGAGCUAUUUGGCAAUACCAAAAAAAAGGAAAUAGAGCUCCAACCAUUUUUGUAAAAAAAGCAACAUAGAACAUGUAAAAUUUUAAACUUUAUCAACAUUCACACCAAAGUCCAAAGCAUGUAAGGAACAAAUAAGAAUACUUUGCAAAAAAGAUCAUGGCAGGUGCAAAAAUAGUGUAACAACAAUGAUAUAAAUGGCAAACGUAUGCCUUUGUAUGGGCUGUAUCACCUUUUAAACUUUUUUUAUUUUUAGCUUUUUUUUUUUAUGUUUUAACCCUCUUUUUUUUUACUAGAAGCCUCUUUUUUUUUUCAACUAGCCCUUCUCUCCUUUAUCUAUUUAAUAGACCUUCUUCUAAGAAAGAAAAUACAUCAAUCUUGAUUAAUAAAGACCCUUGAAUGAAAUCUCAUCCAAAGGUCAAAGUUCCUCUUUUUCUUCUUUCCAAGGAGCCACAUUUGGCUAUUGGAUCAAAAGUCAAAAGAAGAUCCAAUAGUCCAUAUUAAACAAUGCAAAGGUUGAAUUUUUAUGCCCUCCAAACUCAUGAAAAGAUCAUUUUACCCCUAGUAUAAAGUUUUUAGUAUUUAAGCCAUUUUCUUAGAAAUCAAUGUUCCCAUGCUCAUUUUUGGGAUUUUAAAAUACCAAAAAUUAUAAAACAUUAUGAAAUUAAGAUUUGAAAAGUUUCAUGAAAAUUUGAGCUCGAGAAGGUCAAAUUAUAAAAAACCUCUGUAAGGGUAUUUUGGUAAUUUUACCUUUCCCAAGGUACUACUGUGAUUUAAAUGUACUAAAAAUCAUGAAAUAUUAUAAAAUUAGAAUUUGAAAAGUUUCAUGAAAUUUUUAUCUCAAAAAGAUCAAAUUACAAAAUACCCUUUAAAGGGUAUUUUAGUAAUUUUACACUUUUUAAGGUAGUGCUACGAUUUUAAAUGUAUCUGAAAAGUUUUACAAAAAUUUGAGCUUGAAAAAGUUAAAUUAUGAAAAUAUCCCUAUAAAGGUAUUUUGGUAAUUUCAUCCUUUUCGGGCACUGCUAUGAUUUUAAAUGCAUCAAAAAACAUAAAAUAUUAUAAAAUUAAGAUUUAAAAAGUUUCAUGAAAAUCUGAGCUUAGGAAGGUCAAAUUACAAAAAUACCUCUAUAAGGAUAAUUUGGUAAUUUUACCCUUCUCAGGGUACAAUGAAAAUUUUUGUGUUUCGAAUAACCCCAAAUUUAAUUGCAAACCACAUUGAUUUCAAUUAGGUUUUGAGUUUUGAGAAUUAACCUGAGCUCUAUCCAUUUUGACCAAAAUAUGUGUAAUUUUGACUUUAUUUAACUCGAUUUGACUCGAGCUAACUUUGGAUUCCUGAAUAAGCAAAUUUGUGGGCUCUUUAUAGGUUGUAAAUUGUUCUCCUAAAUGGUCUCGGCCCUUGUUCACAAGUGAACCCCAUGUCAAUUAAGUUAAAAUAUGUCCCGAACAAAAUUUGGUGUUUAUAGUGAAGAACUAAGGUACUUGUUUUUUGCAUGAAGUGGUUUGGUAUGAACUUAAAGCUCCAUUAGGUUUUGUUUGCACGAAAUUCAUGCUUUGCGUUGAAGUUGUCUUGUUUUUCCUUUUCAUUUCCUUUGCAUUUGUUUUAUAUAUUAAGGUUACAUAGAGUCAAGGUUCAUUUGUUUCUAUUUGUUUUUCUUUCAUUUUUCAUUUUUCUGGUUUGGCAUACUUUGUUUGCUGGAGCAUAAGCCUUCAUUUCAUGCAAUGCAUGGGGUAUACUUUCUCUUGUAGCUUACACUCAUUUGGGAAUUAAUUGAAAAACAAGCUUUGAUUCAAAAGAAAAUACAUUUAGGAAACUAUGUGAGGAGUAAACCAGUUAUAUAUAUAUAUAUAUACAUUUCAUUAUUAUUUUGUUGAUAAACAAAGACUUAAAACAUGAGGCUAAUAAUUUAUUUUUAAAGAUUAUUUUCAUUUAUAUUUCAUAUUAUUCAUAUUCAUGCACAUUUUUUAGGUUGGUUAAGCUUGGUUAUAAUUUAAGUUUCAUGAAUUUCAUUUUCCUUGUUGAUCACAUUUCAAUGUCUAUUUUAAUUUUUAUGCAAUUUAAUUCUUCAUACUUAAAUUCCUACUUUGAAUAUAAUUUACUUCCUAUAUAUUUUUAGAUUUAUGCAAAAACUAAUAAUGAUAAUUUUUAAAAAUAUAUAUAUAACAUAAUUCCGAAAUCAUUGCUUAGAUGUUGGAGGAAAUAAAAAUGUAUUUUAAAAAUAAUAAUAAUAGUUUUGCCUAGAUGUAGGAAAAUUAUUAAAUAAAAAAAUUAAAUAAUAAUAAUUUAAUAAAAAAAGUAUAUAAAAAUAUAAAAAUUCAUUUUUUAGAGAAAUAAAAAAAAAUAAACUUGCUCCGAAAGUAUAUCUAGAAGCUGGAGAUUUUUAAGAAGGUUUGUAAAGUUUUGAAAUCUUAAAACAAAACCCUAAACAAAAUCUUAAAUGAAACCCUAAACCUUAGUAAAUCCUAAAAUCUUAAAUGAAACCCUAAAACCCUAGGUGAAUCCUUAAACCCUAAAUAAAACCCUAAAUAAAACCCUAAACCAUAAGCAAACCUCGAAACCCUAACAUGAAACCCUAAAUUCAUUCAAAACCUUAAAAUCAUUCCAAGAUUCAAAGGUUGAUAUGAAAACUUUUUGUGAAACAAUUUGUUAAUGCGUCUAGAUGAUAGUGUAUUUAAAAAAUUUUAUUUCAUUAAGAAUUUUAUUAGCAUUUCGCAAACUUAAAAUAAAUUUGUUUUGUUAAAAUAACAAAUAUAUAAAUAUAAAAUAAUAAAGAAUAGAAUAAGAUUUUAAAUAUAAAUAGCGCACCUAAACUUUGCCUAGAGGUUGGAGUGUCCAGGUGAUCUUUUUAUAUUUGAAAACUUGAUUCCUAAAUUUGCAUUUUAUCAUCAUUUGCAUGCAUCUCUUUUUUUUAUAUUAAUGUGUACAUUUACAAUGCUUAUAUAUGUUUAUUCUAAUUAUUGAUAUUUAACAUUAAUUGUAUUUAAUUUUAUUUUUUAUUGCAUAAAAAGUUCUUAAAAAUUUUAGUUUUAGACAAAUAAAAUUAAAAUAGCUUUCCGUGAAAUAUAAGUGUUGGUACUCUAUCUAGAUGUUGGAGAGUUGCCAAUAAUUAUCCUUUACAAAGAAUGUUAUUUUAUUAUUUUUAAAAAGAAUGUUGCAAUAAAUUUUAAAUGAAAAGACUAUUUUUGAAUUUUGCCUUUAUGUCAAAGAAUUUGAAGGUAUUUCUUCAAUCUAAAAUUUUCAUAAUAUUAUUAAAUAAAGAUUUUUUAAAAUUAAUUAUAAAGAUUUUUUAAAAUUAAUUUUCUUUCUAAAAGAUGAAAGAAAUUAUAGUUAAAUUCUAUAUAAAAACAUUUUUAUCCAAAGUUAUAAAUAGCACAUGAUUAAUAAGGGAUGGGUAUUGUGGGGAUGUUGAUCCUUUCUCACGCGUAACUGACUCCCGAAUCCAAUCUCGUUUUGUAGAUCAAAAUUAUUUUUUAAUAAACUUUAAACCUAUUUUAUUGUUUUAUUAAAAAGAUAAAAUUAUUGGAUGGCCAAUCACACCUUAAAAAAAUUUUGGUAGUGACUUCCCUUAUUUUUUCAUGAAUUUUAAUUUUUACAUUCAACAAUCUAGUUUCCAAAUUGAUAUGUUAUGAAAAGCAUAUUCUAAGAUUACUUUGAAUUUUCAUUUGUUCCCUUUGAUAGUAUAUGUUUUUAUUUUUUUCCUUUUAUUUUCUUAAUUUUAACCAAUCUCUUUUAAUAGUAGUACGUAGUUGUUUAGAUUACAAAUUAGAACCUUAUUAGAAAAAAAAAUUAUUAUUAGGAUAAAAAAUCAAGACACCAGAGUUUUUAUCUUGAGAGAAAAAAAGGUUGCAUUGCCUGAAGAUAGGUGGUGAGAAGGUAUUCAUCCACGUCAACAUAGUUGUUAAUUAGAAGCAUUCAUAGCAAGUUUAUCACGUUUGGACUGUUGAAUUGAGAUUUUGUUGAAUUUAGCAGUUGGAGACUAAUGUAAUCAAUAGAUGGAAUUGGAGAGUUGCUAUUGAAAGCUCCUAGUGUAAGAAUCUUAAAAAGUUUGAAUUCAUACGAAAUGUGAAAUUUGUUACUUUUCCUUUGUUUACAAUGUAAUAUCCUAAUGCCUAUUUUACAUUGUGUUCUAAUCCUACUUUACUUGUUACUUUAUACUAUAACUAAAUUAUAAUCCGUGCGGUGCAUAAGAAUAUAUAUGUAUAUAUAUAUUUUUUUUCAAAAUUAUAUACAAAUUUUUAAAAUUUAUAACAUAUAUAAAAUUUAUAUAUAUUGACUUGUUAUUAAAAAAUAAAUUUUUUAAAAAUAGUAAAAAAAUUAUGUUUUUCUUUUGGAUAUUUUUGUUUACAAUAAUAUUUAUACACCAGUAAAAUUAUAUCAAAUAAAAAUAAAUUGUAUUUUUUAAAAAAAUAAAAAUAUAUAUCAUUAAAUGAUAAAUUAAAUAAUAAAAGAAUUAUACAAAAUAUGAAAAAUGUUAGAAAAUAUGUGAAAAAAUUGAAAAAAAAUUAUUUUUUUAUAAAAAUGAAACUAUAAUAAUAAUAAAAUAUAUCGUAAAAAAAUUUAUAAAAAAAAAAAUUGCAAUAGUAAUAGAAUAUACCUUAAAAAAGUUACUGAAAAAAUAAAAAAAAUUGAUGUAUAACACAUUACAUUUGUAAUCUUAAAUUUGUAGAAAAAUUUUUUAGUGACAAUUAGGAUUAAAUAGAUAAUUUUUAAAACUUAAAAUGGAUAUAAUAAGUGAUAAAGAUAAUAUUAAAUUUUUUGUAUUUAUUUGAAAUAUAAAUUUCAUAAUUAGAGUUAAAAUAGAUAUAAUCAUUUUGAUAAUCUUAUUAUUUAAAGAUUUAAAAUAAAAAUUUUUUGAAAUUUCAAAAUCUUACAUCAAAUUGUUUGAAUUUUUAAUGUCUUACGUAAAUUUUUAAAUCAAGAUAAAAAAUUUGUUGAAAUAUUUGGAUAAAACUUAAUCUUUAUUAAUUUUUAAGCAUGUUUGAAAGAUUUUAAUAAUUAAAUAAUUUUUUAAAUAAAGUUAUUUGGUAAAAAAUUAAAAUUAUUAUUAAAAACUAAAAAUCCAUAUUUCAUAUUUUUAAUUUUAGAAACAUAUAUCUCUAAAUUGAUUGAUUUUCAAUUCUAAUUUAAAUAAUUUUGAAAUUUAAAAUUUUUUAAUUUGUAAUUAAAAGAAAUAUUUUAUUUUUUAAAAAACUAUCUUACGUAUCAUUUAAGAGAGUUGUUCACAUACUUGUGUGACAAAUUUAUUAUGAUUUGUUAAUAAUAUUAAAAUAAAGAUAAAAGUAAUUUUAAACAUUGAAAUAUAAUUGUGCUUUUGUAAUAUUUGGAAAAAAUUUAAAAUGUAAUUCAAUUUAUUGCACUUAUGGUAGCCUCGUGCAAGGAAAAAAUAUUGUACUUAUAAAUAUUUUAUAAUAUUAUUAAACUAUUAUCUAACGUAAAAUCUUAAUAAAUAUUUUUCAUGAAGCUUACAUUAGACAUCAUUACUUAGGUAAUAUUACCAUAAAGAGUAAUAUUUGGAAUAAACUUUCUUUGUAAAAUUUUCAGAGCAACUCAUUAAAAAUGUGUAACUUCAGAGAUUAUAAAAACAAAGGAUUGGAUGUAUUUUUUUAAAAAAAUUCACUAUUUAAUACAAAAAUAACUGGAUGCGAUAAGCCUAUUUUUGGUGUAUCCACCAAAAAGAUAUUGCUUUGAGAAAAUUAAACUAUUAAUGAACAGCUUUCCUUAAUUGUCACAUGACUGAAACGGCACGAUGACACCAAUUUUGUUCGGCUUAAUAUAUAUGAGGUUGGCUAUUUUGAAUACAAAAUCCAACUCCUUCCAUACCACUAUCACUAACGAUAAAACUGUCUAUAAACUAUACCUGUACAUGGAUUUAAGUUUGAACAUUAACUCCAUUCAUUCUACCAUAUUUAUCAGACCAAUUCUGAUAAUAGUCUUCAUCAGAAUAUCUUCAAGGGCACGAAGAUAAGCAAGAAGUGAUCUCAAAGUUCCUAAAACAAGUAUGUUAUUCAGGAAAUUUUUUACUAUAUAAGUGAAAGGAUUCAUCAAAUUUUAGUGUGCCUUAUCAAUUUUCAACUCUUCAAUCCUAGCAGCUAUCCCGCCAUGGCAUACAAAAGCCAGUACCAAUGCAUUUGUUUGGCCUUAAUCUUCACAGUUGGUGCUUUAGUUUGUCAAGCCACAUCACGCUCUCUUCAAGAUGCAUCGAUGUAUGAAAGGCAUGAGCAAUGGAUGGCCCGUUAUGGACGAGUGUACCAGGACAACAAUGAGAGGGAGGGACGUUUCAAUAUUUUCAAACAAAAUGUGGCUCGCAUAGAAUCUUUCAAUAGUGCCAAUGACAAACCUUACAAGCUCGGUGUCAAUCAAUAUGCAGAUCUUACAAACGAAGAGUUCAUUGCUUCUCGAAAUAGGUUCAAGGGCCAUAUGUGUUCCAACAAGGCUACGACUUUCAAAUAUGAAAAUUUCACUGCAUUACCUUCUACCGUGGACUGGAGAAAUAAAGGAGCUGUAACACCUAUUAAGGACCAAGGCCAAUGUGGUAUGUUCAAAGUUUUUAUAAGAAAUAAUGGUUUUUGGUUCUUCUAGCUAAUUAUUUGUUCUAACUGUCGAUGUAUGAUUGAAAUACAGGAAGUUGUUGGGCAUUUUCGGCUGUGGCAGCCAUGGAAGGGGUUACUAAACUAGCAACAGGUAAGCUAGUUUCCUUGUCUGAGCAGGAGUUGGUUGACUGUGAUACCAAAGGUGAAGAUCAAGGCUGUCAGGGUGGUUUGAUGGACGAUGCUUUCCAAUUCAUCCAGAAAAACAAAGGCCUCACAACUGAAUCGAAUUACCCUUACAAGGGAGUUGAUGGCACAUGCAAUACCAACAAGGAAGCCAACCAUGCAGCCAAUAUUAAUGGACAUGAAGAUGUGCCAGCCAAUAAUGAAGAGGCAUUACAGAAGGCAGUUGCAAACCAGCCGGUUUCUGUUGCUAUUGAUGCUGGGGGGUUUGAAUUCCAGUUCUACUCAAGUGGUGUAUUUACAGGAGAAUGUGGCACUGACCUAGAUCACGGUGUUGCUGCUGUUGGUUAUGGAGUGGAUGCUGAUGGGACUAAGUAUUGGUUAGUAAAGAACUCUUGGGGCACUAGCUGGGGUGAAGAAGGGUACAUUAGGAUGCAGAGAGAUGUUGGCGCAAAGGAAGGCCUUUGUGGCAUAGCAAUGCAAGCUUCUUACCCUACUGCCUGAACUUCAUUACCAUAGCCUAUAUAUAUAUUCUGCUCUCGAUGUAAUAUAAACAUAUUUAAAACAAACAUGAGACCAAUAGGAACUACGAUGUCUGCUUUCAAUAUCCUCUAUGUGCUUGUAUUUUCUAAGAAAAAGGAAUUACUGAAGGAAUGACUUGUGUAUUAUAUAUUACACAUUAAAUUAUUUAUCUACUAUCGUCUCACUUGCACAUCUCAGCUCUUUUAUUUUUUAAACCACAAUUUUAUGACUAUUCCAGUGCCUAUAUAUGGAAUACUAGUGCCAUUUUUUAAAAUAGAAGGACCAUUAAUUCAUCUUGAUUCUGUGUGCUAACGGAAGUUCCUUUUGUGAGUUUAAGAGGAGAGUGCGAAGAAGUAUCAAUAUUUGAGAGAGUUGAGAAAACCGCCAUAACUAAUAAAAAUAGUGAUGAGCACAUCAUGUGGAAAAAAAAAAUGAUGACUUGCAGCAGCAUCAGCUUGAAUUCUUGACAAAGGAACAGUAGAAAUGGAGUACUUGAUAAUUAGACUAAAAGGUCUGAAGAGUGAGUAUAAUCAUCUAUUUUCUUACGAAUAUCAAGCAAGAAAAAUGAUCCGCCAACUAUUCUUCUUCCUGAGUAAUCCUAAAAUUUUUUAUUCUUUGUUAAAUAAUUAUUUAUUUAUGUCUUUCAAAAAAAUAUAUAUUUAAUAAUAUUAAUAAUGAUAUAAUUAUUUUUUUUUCUUUAGACAUGAGGGUAAUUGUAAUAAUAUAGAAUUAUAUUAUUUCAAAUUUUUAUUUACAAAUUUUUUACAUAUAUUAUAAAUUGACACCCUAAAAAUAAUUUGGGUCCGUUGUUGGUCUCACGUGAGCCAAAUUCCCAUUGUUGAGGAAUCACUCAACUCCAACUCCUUUAUGGCUCCACCAGAUCAUAUUGGACCUCAAACAAAAGUUAGAACACAAUACAUUGCGAUAGUUUAGCUUCAAUAGUUAAGGCUGCUAGAUAGGGCUUUGUAAUCACUGGCGGAUUUGGGAACCCAAUAGUUGAACGUAGGGAAAAGGCAAAUAAAAAGUAUUUUUAAUAAACUCAAAAUUGAGGAAUCAUCAUCAAUUUUUUUUAAUAUGAUUGGUUAUCCAAAAAUUUUUAUUUUUUUAAUAAAACAUUUAAAACAAGUUUAAAGUUUAUUAAAAAAAAUUAUCAUAUGCGAAAUCAGAAUUAAGUUCGAGAGUCAAUUACGCUUUGGUAAAAUAUUAGUAUUCCCACAUUGCCCGUUGAAAAUAAUACCAAUUGAUUACAUGUUAUUCUUAAAUUUUGAUAAGUAAUCACAUGCAUGUGCACCUACAUAAACUACUAUGGACUUGCAAUCACUUGAAAUUACAAUUUUGACCUUCUUAAUAGCCGAAAUUACCAACUUAAAUGUUGCAUGAAUUUCUUUUAUUUUUCUUCAAUAUUACAUCAUUCUAACUCCAUUGAACUUCACAAAACCAAUCUUGAACUUCUUUUUCAUUCUUUAACUUCAAGAUUUCCAAGAAAAUUAAUAACUUCUAAGAACAUCACAAGAUUCCUUCUUAUGCACAAAAAAUAUCAAGAUUGAUCAAGAAUCAUCAAGAAUCUUCCAGAUUUACUUUUUUCCUCAGAAACCUACAAAAUAAAAAAUUAUCCAUUUCAGCUAUAAAAAGAACAUUAUUUUUUUAAGAAUCAAGUAAAAAUUAAUUUCAUUUAAGCACUAAAAUUAAUCCCAAACAACUUUAUUUUAUAGAGUUAUCAAACCCCCCCAACUUAAAACUUUUUAUGUCCUCAAGCAAAAAUAAACCAAACUAGAUGGCAUGUAGAAUCACCCACACUCCCAUAUUAGAUUCUAUUUUCCUCAAAAAAUGCAUAUACAUAUCUAAAAGAAAUCAUAAUCAUAGAAUCCAACACCAAGUUCAUUUAAGAAUAAGCUUGCAUUCCACUCACAAAUUUUCAUUGUGUGUAAAUAAUCUACUCUAAUUAAUCGAAAUAUUUAACAACUUAAGCAAUAUGAAAUUAACAAAUCACCUCAAAGCAUGCACAAAUCUCAUAAGUUUGCUUUUCACAUACUCUUUCCACUAAUAUAGCCACAACUUAACCAAAGAUCAAUAGGUUUUUAUUAAGCUUGUAAUGCCAAGUUACGGUUAAGGUAUGAUAAAGGAAAAUUUAGGCUCAUAAACCCCAAACAUGCAUUACAUAGGAUCUGCACUUUUAUGAGAGAACUUCCAAGAAAAUAUAAUACCCCUAAACUUAAAUUCUUUUUUCUUUUUCUUUUCAAACAAUAACUUUUUAUUGAUUUACAUGAAUACCUUACUAUUUUUCACUUUUUUUCUCUUUCACUAUUUUUCCUUUUCUUUUACAUUUUUUUUUUCUUUUUUUUUUUCUUUUGUUGAAAAGCUAUUUUUAGCGUUUUCUUUUUCUAUCCUUUGCUUGAAACUGAAUUUGCAUAAUAAUUUCAACUGCAGACUCCACCCUUCCUUCCUAAAUGUAACAUAACUCUUAUAUUUCUUUGAUUAAUCCAUAUACACAUAGGGUUAGGUAGAAAGAAAAAACCAAUAAAUCAAAGGGGUAGCUAAUUUAUGUAGGUGAAAAACAAAGAAAGGAAUAUAUAUUUAUUAGGCUCCCACAGGGGUAACUAGGGAUAAAUAUAAUAAAGGUUAGCUUGAAAGGCUCAAAUGAUCCAAAGAUGGCCUAAAUCAUCUCCCUAGUUAAGUGUGGUAUAAUAUUUCACCUCAAAAGAUGCUCUAACAAAUUCUAAAAUCAAUACAUGACGUCAAAGAUCAAUGCAACUUCACAUCUACACAACUUCAACUAAAUAUACUUACAUCUCAAUGAUCAAGACUAAAUAUGUUUGAAGAAUAUGAAAAUAUUGCAAGUAAAAAGAAACUACUUCAAGAAUUCAUCUCAUGCAUUUACUACAUUCAAACCUUUUAAAAAAGCUAUAUUUAAAGUCAAUUAAGGUUAUUAUCAUUGGAUUAUGAGAAAAUAAUCAUAGGAAGUGUAAUAAUUCUAACAUGACAAAAUAAGCUCAAAAAGAAAUUUUGAAAAACAUUUUGAAACAAAUUUGGCAUAAAUUUUCUUUCCCUUUAAGCUUAAAUGACACAUUGUCCCCAAUUUGUGAAAAUAAAGCAUAAAAGCUUGAAAGAGAAAAAAGAUACUCCUACUCUCCUAAAAUAGUAAUGGCUGAAAACUGCAUUAAUGAAAUCCACCAUUGCUAAACCUUAUUCUAGCUUCCUUGCUCUUAUUUCCUACAAAAACAAAAUAAAGAAAACCAAAGCAUUACAUGUUCUUAAAAAAUCAAACUAAAAGUAAAUAUGCAAACUGAAAAUUAAAAACUUGGGUUGUCUCCCAAUUAGUGCUAGUUAGAGUUAAACUUGACUAACUCUUUCUAGAACUCUUCAAUCACUUUAUCCUUUUAGGAAAGAGUUUACCUUACUGUAUUCUCCUUUGUGGUAUUACAUAGACUGAGUUACGUUUAGGAGGUGUACUCAUUUUCCUUGCAAGAAUAAAUCAAGUUGAACUUGGAUUCAUUUUUGGCCUAGAAAUUUCAAGUUCGUGCUUGUAAAAGUAAGGCUCAUAGGUUUUGCCAAAUGAUCUUGCAAUAAAGGACUAGAAGGUUUAGAAAUUAAGUUUAACUCCCUAGGUUUAUCUUUUUCCUUAACUCUUAUUAUUGCUUGAACAUCCUUUUCAUCUCUAAGGAUACCAUAUCCUUUAGUUAUAAAUUACAUUUUCUUGUCCUUAAAUCUCAAUGUAAGAUCACAAUUAUAUACAUUAAUCAAGGUUUUUGACGUCAAAAACAAUAAGGAUGCUUCAUUAUCUUCCAUUUCUAGUACCAUAAAAUCCAUAGAAAAUGUAUAUUUUCUGACCUUUGCCAACACAUUCUCUAAUAGUCUUUACGAUUUCUUCAUAGAUCUAUUAACAAACUUAAUAGUGCAAUUUGGAUAUUUCGAAACACCAUUUCCUAGUUCAUGAAAACAUUCAUAGACAUUAGAUUUAUACUAGAUUUAGGAUCAUAAAAAGCUUCAUCAAAUUUUAAAUGACCAAUUCUACAAAAAAUAGUAAAAGUCUCUAGAUCUAUUUAUUUUUUAGGAAAGAGAUGUUGAAGUGCAAGACUACACUCUUUCACAAAAAAUAGCAUUCUCCAACUCCUUGAGUAGCACUUUCGGUAUGGAUCUAGGUGUUGGUGAUGCUACUUUUAAAGUUUGUCUUUGAUGUUCUUCUUCUUCAUUUUCUUCAAUUAGUUCAUAUUCUUCAUCUUCAUUUUCUUUUUUAAUCUCUUCUUACUGGGAUCCUCUUUUAUUUCAUCAUGCAUAGACUCUUCCAAAUAAAAAACUUCCCCCAAAACCCUAUUUGACUCCUCUUCUUCCAAGGUAAAAAUGCUAUUAACUUGUUCCUUACCUUGUCUUUUAGGGUUGUGCCCAGUAUUGCUAGGUAAAGUUCCCUAAGGACAAUUAUUGAGGCCAUUUACAAAGCUAACCAACUUGCACUUUAAGGUUCUUUAUAAAGGCUACUUGGUUUUGUAAAAUCUAAGUGAACAUUUCUUCCAAGGAUGGUUUUUUCUCUUAGGGUUAUGGAGGUGGAUGGUGUUGUGGUGGUGGUGGUGGUGGUGGUUGGAAACUAGGUGGGUUAACAUGUCUAUUAUAGGAAUUAAAAACUUGCCUUCAGUUAUUACCCUAUGAAAAAUUAUGAUGUUGCUUCCACAUUGGAUUAUAGGUAUUAGAGUAUGGAUUGUAUUAUUGCUUGGGUUGAGUAACAUAAUGGAUUGGCUUUACUCUAAUGGGACACUAUCAUAGCGUAUAGAUUCAUGGACCUAUCGCUAGAUAUGGUUUUCAGGAGUUGCCACCAAUCUUUUUUGUUUAGGUGUGAUUGGCCACCUGAUUGAAUUUGUCCCAUUUAAAAGGGAGUUUCAAGAUUAACUUAGGUAUCUUUAAAUAGUAGAUUCUGAUCUAUGAAAUUAGAUUUUAGGUUCGAGAGUACGUUUACCUAUGAAGAAGUUUAUAGCACCCCCACAGCACCCAUCCAAAUAAUGGUACCAGUUUGAUUUUAAAUUAUCCAAGCCUUAAAUAUAUUUAUAGUUUACCAAAAUAUUUAUUUUUGAAAAUUAAUCUUAAAAUUACCCCAAUUGUUUGGUAGUAAUUUAAGAUAAUUCUCUUACCUCAUGAGUAUUCAUGGAGACUAAUGUCUUACUCUGAAGAGGCUCUAUCAUCAGAUUUAUUAAUGUAUUUUAUUCAAAAAAAAUUAGAUCCUCUAAUAGUUUGGUAGGAUUUACUUUGAGGCAAGUCUCUUAAUAGUUUAAUAAGAUUUUAUUUGAAAAUGGUUAUAAAAAUUUUAUUCUUUUGAGAAAACUCAUUAAAUCUCUUAAUAGUUUGGUAAUAUUUAACUUGAGAUGCAAUCUUCCAAGAGUUUGGUAGGAUAAAAAAUUAUUUUUUUAUUUUUUUGAAUUUUAUUUAUGGAACUUCCCAAAAGUUUGGCGGAUUCCAUAAAAUUUAAAUUCAUGAAAAUUCUAUAAUAAUUUGGUAGGAUUCAUGAAUUUAUUUCAAAAGAUUUUUUUCUUUAUUUUUUUGUUUCUUUUAUUUCUUUAUUUUUUAAAAAAAUAAAAAUAAAAUUUUAUAAAAUAUUUAACAAAUAACAAAUUGCUCAAUAAAAAUAAAUAAAUAAUAAAAGUUAGUAAAAUAAAUACAAAAAUUGAAUAUAAAAUAAUACAAAAAUAUUUCAAAAUAAAAAAUAAAAAAAAUAAAAUAAAAAAAGAAAAUGAAAAAAGAAAAACCUGCGAUCAGGUUGGGUUGAAGCAUAGGUCAGCACGCGAGUCAAUGGGUCACAUGCGAAUAUGGGACCUUCAAAACGAUGUCGUUUUAGGUUGCUAUAAGAGUCGAGUUCCCCAUUUUCUCUUUAAAAACCUCAGUCUCCUUUCUUUCUAACCUCAAACACUCUGACCUCUCUUUUAAAAAGCUAAGAUUGUUCAACCAAAAACUGAAAUUUUCUUCGAUUUUUGGAAAAAUAGUCGAAAUCCCUUGGAAAACUCAAAACUUGCUGAAAAAUUUAACUAAAAAUUUCAAAAAUUCAUCCUAAACAUAGAUUUUUCCAAAUCUUUCCUAGAAAAUCCCCUAUUUUUGCAAAAAUCUAAUCUUCAAUCAAAAAUCCCAGAAUCUCAACCCCACACUCCAAAACAGAAAUUCGAAAUCCAAACCGUUCCCAAAACCACUAAUUCUAAACUUCCAAAACCAAAAUCUCAAAACCUGACCACCCAAAAACUUUUCAAAAUUUUAAACACCAAACCUUUUCUCCUUCCAAAAAUCAAUCAUCUCGUUCUUUUAGUCUUUUAUUCAAUUUAUAGCCAUCCUUAGUUGAGAUUUUAAGGAUAAGAUAGAACCAAUCCUGGGAUUGGAUUCUGCUCGAACCUGAUUUUAAGACUAAUUCUUUGCUGAUUUGUCUAGACUGAAUAAAAAUCCAUUGAUUUGGUUUUGAUCGACUCUUUGACCGAGUAGACUGAAUUCCUUUUACUCCUAAUUCUAUGAUCACAGAUUGAAAAAAAGAAAGGAAAGAAAAAUGAUAAAAUAAAAUAAUAAUAAUUAUUAUAUAAUAAUAUAAUAUAAAAGCUAUAAUAUAAUAGUAAUAAUAAUAAUAAUAAUAAUAAGAUACUAUAAUAUAAUAUAAUAAUACAAUAAUAACAAUAAUAUAAUAUAAUAUAUUUUAAUAUAAUACGAUAAUAAUAUAAUAUGAUAAUAAUAAUAAUAUAAUAUACCAUACUAUACUAUACUAUACUAGUAACAAUAACAAAAUAAUAUUAAUGCUAAUAGCAAAAUAAUAAUAGUAAAAAUAGACUCCAAUUGACCCUAGACACAGAUAGGUAUCUAUAGCUACCCCUCUUUACACAUCUUUAUUGGACAAGGAUGAUGCAGAGACCUAGACAUCCACUAUGUUCCAGUCUAAAAACAAAAGCCAAAUCAAUAAACCAAAAUGACCGGGACUAAGCCGCAAGUCUGAAAAAUGAUUUGGACUGAGCCGAGAUCGAACAACCGAGAUUAAACUACAAGUUUGGAAAAUGAUAUGGACUAAGCCAAGAUCGAGCGACCGAUAUUAAACCACAAGUUUAAAAAGUUGACUUGGACCAAGUCGAGGUUGAAGCUAGGUGACCGUGGUCAAGCCAAGGUUAAAAGAUAAUCUAGACAGAGCUAAGAUUAAACGACUAAGAUUGAAUUGCAAGUCUAGAAAAUGAUUUGUAUUGAGCCAAUAUCAAACGAUCAGGGUUAAACCACAAGUCUGAAAAAAUGAUCUAGACUGAGCCAAGAUCGAGUAAUCAAGAUUGAACCACAAGUCAAAAAAACUAUUUGGACUGAGCUGAGGUAAAAAAUGAAUGAUAAUGCAAUGACACAAAUGCAUGUCCUAUCUAGGAUGCAAAUGUAAAUACACUGUAGUGCAGAUGUUACUAAAUCAAUACCAUGAAAUUUCAAUUAUGGUAACACAGUUCUCAAAACUCCAUCAUUUCAUAUAUUCCAUCUCAACUUCUCAGCAUUAAUGAUCUUAGAACAAACCCCAUCAUUCGAUCUAUGUUGUUAUCCUCAUCUGGUCAUAACUCACAAGUUAUAUUGAUCAAUCCAUCAUUGUAUUUGCAUCUGUGUUUGCCCUUUUUUUUGUUUUUUUUUUUUUUUGUUGUAUUUUCUCAGGCUUCUCUCACUUACCUCAUCUUAGAUUUCUUUCAAAAGACUGGGAACAUUGUCAUUCAUUUAUUUACCAUCAUUCAAAUUAGUGACAAACAUGAUACAUUUUCUUGUUUCAUUCAGGGGAUGUACACUUAGUAAUGAAUAGGAAAAAUGGAUGUUUAUUAUUGAAAGAAAAAGAAAAGUAUGGUCAAGAACAACUCAAAGAUAAAUGAAAGCAAAAUGUUGUGACUAUGUAAAUGAGAUAUCAACAUCUAGAAUAAUAACAGUUUAGACAAUUUUGAACUCUAACUUAGAAUUCUCUUUAAAAAACACAUUCCAUCAAUAUUUUCAAUCUUUGAGCCAAUCAUCAUCCUCAUUCCUAGGACCCUCACAUGAUGUUGUUUCUUCAAGUCUCCAUCUUUACUUAAAUUGCCUUUUCAGGUUUUCAAUUUAAGUCUUCCCAUUUUUUUUUUUUUUUUUUUUUGCAAACCUCAUUCUCAUCUUUUCUUUUCAUUUCUCUUUUCUCUUUAUCCAUCAAUGACACUUCCAUCAAAUUUUCAAAUAAUCUAAUAACAAAUAUGCCUUAAUUCAAUUCAUGAUUCUCCAAUUCGAGUAUUCACAUUUGAUCAAAAUAGACUUUUAAAGGAUGUAACAUAGGCUAAGGUGAGGGGUUAUGAAAAAAAUUAAUGAAACAAGUCCAAAUUGUAUUUGAAGUGUUGUCAAACCAAGAAUCAUUUUUCAUGUAGAGCACAUUAGCAUUUUGCCCUAACAAUUUCUCCUUCAUCUUUUUUUUUUCUUUUUUCCUUUAAUUAUUUUUCAAGAAAAAUUGAGCACAAAAGGCUUUGCCUUUGAAAUCACUAAGGAUAAACAAGCUUUCAAACUUUACCUUCUAGUGUAGAGGUGAUCUUUGGUUAGGAUUUCUUAAAAAAAAUUUUCAACAUGUUCAAAUGGGGUAGCAAAGGAUAAUUUUAUUCUUUUUUUUUUUAAAGGUAGAAGAAAUAUGACCUUUUUUAUCUCAAACAUAAGUACUCUUAAUGAAGAACAUUUACAAUUAAGACCAGGCCUAUGAAUGAACAAUUGUAAAGAUCAUGUGUUACAUCACUUUUAAAAUUCUUUCCUAGAUUUAUUUUUUUUAUUCAAAAGUCCUAAUGAAUUAGCAAUCUCCUUUACCAAUCAAAUCAUCAUGAAUGAUGUCUUCAAAAUUGAAUCUUGAAUUAUCAUCAUGACUAUCUAAAUAUUCAUUAUUUAGAAUCAAAGAGUAGAUAUGGAAAAAAGGUAUAAGAAGGUAAAAGUAAAUAAUGGUGACUCAUAUAAAAAAGAAUGUCAUGAAAAUGCAUCAAAUUUGUCAAUUUUAUUAAAAUGAUGAAAAAUAAGAUGAAAUCCAAAUACAUAAAAGAGAUCCAUAUGCUUAAGAAAUCCUAAGUGAUAAUCAAUUUUAAUCAGCCUCCCUAUAAUCAUGCCCCUGGGUGAUUGGACAAUGGGUUACCAUUGACAUUAGGUGUUGUGUUUACAUCGAUGUCAAAGCUCAUCAACCUUUCUUUAAUCAAACUUUGUAUUCUAUGUUUCAAAAGGAUAUAAUUUUUGAUAAAAUGACCAACCACCCCAUAAUGAUAGUCACAAUGAGUAGUGAAAUCAUACCAUUUGGGAUAAAGAGGUUCAAAUUGUUUUGCAGGAAUGGGAGCAAUCAAGUGAUUUUUGUAAAGCUCUUGGUAUAGUUUUAUAUAGCUCAUAGGAAUAGGAUCAAAUGUAGGCUUUUUUUAAUUUUGUGAUUCUUGAACACCACUUGUUAGGAUAGUUGGAUGAAUAGAAGGCCUAGUUCUAGAUAGAUAAAAAGGUCGUAGUUGAUUGGUAGGGUGAAGUAGAAGCAUGACUUAUAGUAGGAUGAUAGGAUAGAUCGACUGAAGGUAGUUUCUGAAUUACUGUCUUUCGAAACUCAUAACUUGAGUCUCACUUUCAUUUUUCUUAGGCACCCUUUUAGCAGCAAAGGAUUCUUUUUCUUCUAGUUUACCAUUUUUAUUGCAUUUUUAAUGGCUCACCCAAAAUCACCAUAUCAAUAAAAUUUUUAGUCAUAUUCCCUAUCAUCUUCUCAUAGUAUGGUAACUUUAAAGUGCUUAUAAAUAGCACCAUCAUUUCUUUCUAUGUUAGUGGUGGCUAUACUUGAGUGAUGACAUUCUGUCACCUUUGGGAUACUUCUUGGAAGACCCAAAUGCUUUUUUCUCCAUACCUUGUAACAAAAGACGAUCAAGAGCCAUAUCUAUGAUGUGAUGGUAUUGGUUGAUAAAAGAUCGAGUUAAAUCUUUCCACGAUCUUAUGCGAGUCCUGUCUAAGUAAACAUACUACCUUACAACAGACUUGCUUAAGCUAUCUUGAAAGAUAUGUAUCAGUAAUUUCUUAUCGCUUACAUGUGUUGCCAUCUUAUGAUAAUACAUUGUGACGUAUGUAAUGGGAAACUUAGUACCAUCAUACUUCUGAAAUUUUGGUACUUUAAAUUUUGGAAGAAUCAUAACAUUGGGACCAAAAUAAAGGUUGGUAGCAUUCAUGGAGCCAUAAAAAUCUAUUCAUUCAAUAGCUUGCAAUCUUUCUUCAAUCAUGUUUAUUAUUUAAUUAGUCUUAAAGUCUUCUGAGGACAUAACCAUUUGCAUUUUCAUUGUUUCUUUUAUCUUAUUCAGAUUGGAGAUUUGGAUGAGUUCAACAGCCUUUUCAGUGAAGAUAGGAUUAGUGUAAUCUGAACAUUCCCUUGACUAGGUGCAUAAGGCAUUCUCAGGUAACUGUAACUUGGCAACAUGGUCUAUUGUGGCUAAAGAUUUGAAGUGAUUUAGGUUUGAUGCAUACCGAACCUUGGAGGAUACAAUGACUCAGUAAUUUCAUGCGAAAUAUCUCCUUCCACUACUUUCCUUUUGUUUGCCUUUUCUAGAGCUUUAAAAAUCUUACUUAGCUUCCCCCUCAAUUAUCUCCUAACUUUUUCCAACCUUUCAAAAUGGUUUAGGUUAUCCUGUUCCAUCUUAUUGGCUCUAGCUUGGGGGUAAUAUUAGUGUUGAGCUAGUCUCAAACCUUGAUUUCUCAUAAUGUGUAAAUUUAGAAUGAUGUCUAUGGAACCCUCAGAUUGUGCAUGAAUAUGAAUGCAAAAACAAAAUGCAUGAAUGCAAUAAGGAGAAUUUAUCACAUAACCCUCAGAUUGUGCAUGAAAAUGAAUGUAAAAACAAAAUGUAUUAAUGCAAUAAGGAGAAUUUACCACAUAACAAUUGUUAUCAAAGAAAAUCUUUAUUGAAUUAAAAAUCAUUUUUAACCAAAUCCAACAUUACAUCCAUGAAAAGUCUAAAACUACUGGGAAAAGAAACCCAUAACUUGUCGAUAUUGGCUUUGCACUUCAUUAAAGAAAUCUAUCAAUUUUUUACCAUGUGCUCCCAUUGGUGGCACCCUUGCCUUCCAUUUUUCAAUCUUUUCUAUCAUGUCCUUGGCUUUGUAAAUAGNNNNNNNNNNNNNNNNNNNNNNNNNNNNNNNNNNNNNNNNNNNNNNNNNNNNNNNNNNNNNNNNNNNNNNNNNNNNNNNNNNNNNNNNNNNNNNNNNNNNNNNNNNNNNNNNNNNNNNNNNNNNNNNNNNNNNNNNNNNNNNNNNNNNNNNNNNNNNNNNNNNNNNNNNNNNNNNNNNNNNNNNNNNNNNNNNNNNNNNNNNNNNNNNNNNNNNNNNNNNNNNNNNNNNNNNNNNNNNNNNNNNNNNNNNNNNNNNNNNNNNNNNNNNNNNNNNNNNNNNNNNNNNNNNNNNNNNNNNNNNNNNNNNNNNNNNNNNNNNNNNNNNNNNNNNNNNNNNNNNNNNNNNNNNNNNNNNNNNNNNNNNNNNNNNNNNNNNNNNNNNNNNNNNNNNNNNNNNNNNNNNNNNNNNNNNNNNNNNNNNNNNNNNNNNNNNNNNNNNNNNNNNNNNNNNNNNNNNNNNNNNNNNNNNNNNNNNNNNNNNNNNNNNNNNNNNNNNNNNNNNNNNNNNNNNNNNNNNNNNNNNNNNNNNNNNNNNNNNNNNNNNNNNNNNNNNNNNNNNNNNNNNNNNNNNNNNNNNNNNNNNNNNNNNNNNNNNNNNNNNNNNNNNNNNNNNNNNNNNNNNNNNNNNNNNNNNNNNNNNNNNNNNNNNNNNNNNNNNNNNNNNNNNNNNNNNNNNNNNNNNNNNNNNNNNNNNNNNNNNNNNNNNNNNNNNNNNNNNNNNNNNNNNNNNNNNNNNNNNNNNNNNNNNNNNNNNNNNNNNNNNNNNNNNNNNNNNNNNNNNNNNNNNNNNNNNNNNNNNNNNNNNNNNNNNNNNNNNNNNNNNNNNNNNNNNNNNNNNNNNNNNNNNNNNNNNNNNNNNNNNNNNNNNNNNNNNNNNNNNNNNNNNNNNNNNNNNNNNNNNNNNNNNNNNNNNNNNNNNNNNNNNNNNNNNNNNNNNNNNNNNNNNNNNNNNNNNNNNNNNNNNNNNNNNNNNNNNNNNNNNNNNNNNNNNNNNNNNNNNUAUAUAUAUAAACUAAUUUCUUUUAAAAUUAUAUUCAAAUCUUUAAAACUCAUAACAUAUAAAAUUUAUAAAUAUUGACUUGUCAUUAAAAAAUAAACUUUCUAAAAUAGUAAAAAAAUUAUUUUUCUUUUGGAUAUUUUGUUUACAAUAAUAUUUAUACACCUAUAAAAUUAUAUCAAAUAAAAAAAUUAUCUUUUUAAAAAAUAAAAAUAUAUAUUAUUGAAUGAUAAAUUAAAUAAUAAAAGAAUUAUUAACACAUUUUCACUUUAGUAAUCUUAACUAAAUUAUUAUACAAAAUAUGAAAAAUGUUAGAAAAUAUGUGAAAAAAGAAAAUUUUUUUUAUAAGAAUGAAACUAUAAUAAUAAUAAAAUAUAUCGUAGAAAAAAUAUAUAAAUAAAAAAAAUCAAAUUGCAAUAGUAAUAGAAUAUACCUUAAAAAAGUUACUGAAAAAAUAAAAAAAAAUUGAUGUAUAACACAUUACAUUUGUAAUCUUAAAUUUGUAGAAAAAUUUUUUAGUGACAAUUAGGAUUAAAUAGAUAAUUUUUAAAACUUAAAAUGGAUAUAAUAAGUGAUAAAGAUAAUAUUAAAUUUUUUGUAUUUAUUUGAAAUAUAAAUUUCAUAAUUAGAGUUAAAAUAGAUAUAAUCAUUUUGAUAAUCUUAUUAUUUAAAGAUUUAAAAUAAAAAUUUUUUGAAAUUUCAAAAUCUUACAUCAAAUUGUUUGAAUUUUUAAUGUCUUACGUAAAUUUUUAAAUCAAGAUAAAAAAUUUGUUGAAAUAUUUGGAUAAACUUAAUCUUUAUAAUUUUUAAACAUGUUUGAAAGAUUUUGAUAAUUAAAUAAUUUUUUAAAUAAAGUUAUUUGGUAAAAAAUUAAAAUUAUUUAUUAAAAACUAAAAUCCAUAUUUCAUAUUUUUAAUUUUAGAAUAUAUAUAUAUAUCUCUAAAUUGAUUUGAUUUUCAAUUCUAAUUUAAAUAAUUUUGAAAUUUAAAAUUUUUUAAUUUGUAAUUAAAAGAAAGUAUUUUAUUUUUUAAAAAACUAUCUUACGUAUCAUUUAAGAGAGUUGUUCACAUAGAUGCUUGUGUGACAAAUUUAUUUAUGUAUUUUGUUACAUAAUAUAUAUAUAUAAGAUAAAAGUAAUUUUUAAACUUUAGAAAUUAGAUAAUACUUUUGGGAGUUUUGGAAGGAAAGACCUUCUAAUUUUAUUGCACUUUUGGGUAGCCAUCGAAAAGAUUUAAUUACUUAAUUUUUUAAUAGUAAGAAAAUUAUUAAUCGUAAAUUAUAUAAGUGGCGCGCCAUGUAAUAUUAUAGUGCAUUUUGUUGUUAUUUAUCUGUGUGAUUUUCCGUUGUUUCUUGACAAUUUUCAACCGAAGAGCAAAAGUCUAGGCUUAGGUUAAAGCUUCAUACAAAAGUUUAUUUUUUUUUAUAACUAAUUUAAUACCAAUAAAAAUCUUUUCACUAAUUGUGUUAAUAUUGCUUAAUUUAUUUGAACAGCUUUUAAAUUGUCAAUGAUGAAACGCACGAUGACACAAUUUUGUUCGGUUAAUAUAUAUGUAUUUUUUUAAUACAAACCAACUCCUUCCAAACCACUAUCAUAACGAUAAAACUGUCUUAAAACAUACCUGUACAUGGAUUUAAGUUUGAACAUUAACUCCAUUCAUUCUACCAUAUUUAUCAGACCAAUUCUGAUAAUAGUCUUCAUCAGAAUAUCUUCAAGGGCACGAAGAUAAGCAAGAAGUGAUCUCAAAGUUCCUAAAACAAGUAUGUUAUUCAGGAAAUUUUUUACUAUAUAAGUGAAAGGAUUCAUCAAAUUUUAGUGUGCCUUAUCAAUUUUCAACUCUUCAAUCCUAGCAGCUACCCCGCCAUGGCAUACAAAAGCCAGUACCAAUGCAUUUGUUUGGCCUUAAUCUUCACAGUUGGUGCUUUAGUUUGUCAAGCCACAUCACGCUCUCUUCAAGAUGCAUCGAUGUAUGAAAGGCAUGAGCAAUGGAUGGCCCGUUAUGGACGAGUGUACCAGGACAACAAUGAGAGGGAGGGACGUUUCAAUAUUUUCAAACAAAAUGUGGCUCGCAUAGAAUCUUUCAAUAGUGCCAAUGACAAACCUUACAAGCUCGGUGUCAAUCAAUUUGCAGAUCUUACAAACGAAGAGUUCAUUGCUUCUCGAAAUAGGUUCAAGGGCCAUAUGUGUUCCAACAAGGCUACGACUUUCAAAUAUGAAAAUUUCACUGCAUUACCUUCUACCGUGGACUGGAGAAAUAAAGGAGCUGUAACACCUAUUAAGGACCAAGGCCAAUGUGGUAUGUUCAAAGUUUUUAUAAGAAAUAAUGGUUUUUGGUUCUUCUAGCUAAUUAUUAGUUCUAACUGUCGAUGUAUGAUUGAAAUACAGGAAGUUGUUGGGCAUUUUCGGCUGUGGCAGCCAUGGAAGGGGUUACUAAACUAGCAACAGGUAAGCUAGUUUCCUUGUCUGAGCAGGAGUUGGUUGACUGUGAUACCAAAGGUGAAGAUCAAGGCUGUCAGGGUGGUUUGAUGGACGAUGCUUUCCAAUUCAUCCAGAAAAACAAAGGCCUCACAACUGAAUCGAAUUACCCUUACAAGGGAGUUGAUGGCACAUGCAAUACCAACAGGGAAGCCAACCAUGCAGCCAAUAUUAAUGGACAUGAAGAUGUGCCAGCCAAUAAUGAAGAGGCAUUACAGAAGGCAGUUGCAAACCAGCCGGUUUCUGUUGCUAUUGAUGCUGGGGGGUUUGAAUUCCAGUUCUACUCAAGUGGUGUAUUUACAGGAGAUUGUGGCACUGACCUAGAUCACGGUGUUGCUGCUGUUGGUUAUGGAGUGGAUGCUGAUGGGACUAAGUAUUGGUUAGUAAAGAACUCUUGGGGCACUAGCUGGGGUGAAGAAGGGUACAUUAGGAUGCAGAGAGAUGUUGGCGCAAAGGAAGGCCUUUGUGGCAUAGCAAUGCAAGCUUCUUACCCUACUGCUUGAACUUCAUUACCAUAGCCUAUAUAUAUAUUCUGCUCUCGAUGUAAUAUAAACAUAUUUAAAACAAACACGAGACCAAUAGGAACUAUGAUGUCUGCUUUCAAUAUCCUAUAUGUGCUUGUAUUUUCUAAGAAAAAGGAAUUACUGAAGGAAUGACUUGUGUAUUAUAUAUUACACAUUAAAUUAUUUAUCUACUAUCGUCUCACUUGCACAUCUCAGCUCUUUUAUUUUUUAAACCACAAUUUUAUGACUAUUCCAGUGCCUAUAUAUGGAAUACUAGUGCCAUUUUUUAAAAUAGAAGGACCAUUAAUUCAUCUUGAUUCUGUGUGCUAACGGAAGUUCCUUUUGUGAGUUUAAGAGGGAGAGUGCGAAGGAAGUAUCAAUAUUUGAGAGAGUUGAGAAAACCGCCAUAACUAAUAAAAAUAGUGAUGAGCACAUCAUGUGGAAAAAAAAAAUGAUGACUUGCAGCAGCAUCAGCUUGAAUUCUUGACAAAUGAACAGUAGAAAUGGAGUACUUGAUAAUUAGACUAAAAGGUCUGAAGAGUGAGUAUAAUCAUCUAUUUUCUUACGAAUAUCAAGCAAGAAAAAUGAUCCGCCAACUAUUCUUCUUCCUGAGUAAUCCUAAAAUUUUUUAUUCUUUGUUAAAUAAUUAUUUAUUUAUGUAUAUCGAAAAAAUAUAUAUUUAAUAAUAUUAAUAAUGAUAUAAUUAUAUUUUUUUUCUUUAGACAUGAGGAUAAUUGUAAUAAUAUAGAAUUAUAUUAUUUCAAAUUUUUAUUUACAAAUUUUUUACAUAUAUUAUAAAUUGACACCCUAAAAAUAAUUUGGGUCCGUUGUUGGUCUCAUGUGAGCCAAAUUCCCAUUGUUGAGGAAUCACUCAACUCCAACUCCUUUAUGGCUCCACCAGAUCAUAUUGGACCUCAAACAAAAGUUAGAACACAAUACAUUGCGACAGUUUAGCUUCAAUAUUUAAGGCUGCUAGAUAGGGUUUUGUAAUCACUGGCGGAUUUGGGAACCCAAUAGUUGAACGUAGGGAAAAAGGCAAAUAAAAAGUAUUUUUAAUAAACUCAAAAUUGAGGAAUCGUCAUCAAUUUUUUUUGAAUAUGAUUGGUUAUCCAAGAAAUUUUAUUUUUUUAAUAAAACAUUUAAAACAAGUUUAAAGUUUAUUAAAAAAAAUUAUCAUAUGCGAAAUCAGAAUUAAGUUCGAGAGUCAAUUACGCUUUGGGAAAAUAUUAGUAUUCCCACAUUGCCCGUUGAAAAUAAUACCAAUUGAUUACAUGUUAUUCUUAAAUUUUGAUAAGUAAUCCCAUGCAUGUGCACCUACAUAAACUACUAUGGACUUGCAAUCACUUGAAAUUACAAUUUUGACCUUCUUAAUAGCCGAAAUUACCAACUUAAAUGUUGCAUGAAUUUCUUUUAUUUUUCUUCAAUAUUACAUCAUUCUAACUCCAUUGAACUUCACAAAACCAAUCUUGAACUUCUUUUUCAUUCUUUAACUUCAAGAUUUCCAAGAAAAUUAAUAACUUCUAAGAACAUCACAAGAUUCCUUUUUAUGCACAAAAAAUAUCAAGAUUGAUCAAGAAUCAUCAAGAAUCUUCCAGAUUUACUUUUUUCCUCAAGAAAACCUACAAAAUAGAAAAUUAUGCCAUUUAGGUAUAAAAAGAACAUUAUUUUGUUAAGAAUCAAGUAAAAAUUAAUCAUUUAAGCACUAAAAAUAAGCCUAAACAACUUUAUUUUAUAGAGUUAUCAAACCCCCCAACUUAAACUUUUGUUUGUCCUCAAGCAAAAAUAAAACCAAACUAGAUAGCAUGUUAGACAUCAUCACACACUCCCAAUAUUAGAUUCUUAUGAUUCCUCAAAAAUUGCAUAAUAACUUUAUCUUAAAAGAAAAUCAUAAGCAUAUAUCCAACACAAAGUUCAUUUAAGAAUAAGCUUGCAUUCCACUCACAAAUUUUCAUGUGUGUGUAAAUAAUCUAUCUCUAAUUAAUGCGAGAUAUUUAACUAAAGCUAAGCAAAUAUGAAAUUAACAAAUCACCUCAAAGCAUGCACAAAUCUCAUAAGUUUGCUUUUCACAUACUCUUUCCCCUAAUAUCGCCACAACUUAACCAAAGAUCAAUAGGUUUUUAUUAAGCUUGUAAUGCCAAGUUAGGGUUAAGGUAUGAUAAAGGAAAAUUUAGGCUCAUAAACCCCAAACAUGCAUUACAUAGGAUCUGCACUUUUAUGAAAGAACUUCCAAGAAAAUAUAAUACCCCCAAACUUAAAUUCUUUUUUCUUUUUCUUUUCAAACAACAACUUUUUAUUGAUUUACAUGAAUACCUUACUAUUUUUCACUUUUUUUUCUUUUUCUUUUUUUUUUUCUUUUGUUGAAAAGCUAUUUUUAGCGUUUGCUUUUUCUAUCCUUUGCUUGAAACUGAAUUUUGCACAAUAAUUUCAACUUCAGACUCCACCCUUCUUCCCAAAUGUAACAUAACUCUUAUAUUUCUUUGAUUAAUCCAUAUACACAUAGGGUAAGGUAGAAAGAAAAAAACAAUAAAUCAAUGGGGUAGCUAAUUUAUGUAGGUGAAAAACAAAGAAAGAAAUAUAUAUUUAUUAGGCUCCAACAGGGGUAACUAGGGAUAAAUAUAAUAAAGGUUAGCUUAAAAGGCUCAAAUGAUCCAAAGAUGGCCUAAAUCAUCUCCCUAGUUAAGUGUGGUAUAAUAUUUCACCUCAAAAGAUGCUCUAACAAAUUCUAAAAUCAAUACAUGACUUCAAGAUCAAUGCAACUUCACAUCUACACAACUUCAACUAAAUAUACUUACAUCUCAAUGAUCAAGACUUAAGUAUGUUUGAAGAAUAUGAAAAUAUUGCAAGUAAAAAGAAACUACUUCAAGAAUUCAUCUCAUGCCUUUACUACAUUCAAACUUUUUUAAAAGGCUAUAUUUAAAGUCAAUUAAGUUUAUUAUCAUUGGAUUAUGAGAAAAUAAUCAUAGGAAGUGUAAUGAUUCUAACAUGACAAAAUAAGCUCAAAAAGAAAUUUGAAAAAAUUUAAAAAAAUUUGGCAUAAAUUUUCUUUCCCUUUAAGUUAAAUGACACAUUGUCCCCAAUUUGUGAAAAUAAAGCAUAAAAGCAUGAAAGAGAAAAAGAUACUCCUACUCCCCUAAAUGGUAAUGGCUGAAACUGCAUUAAAGAAAUCCACCAUUGCUAAACCUUAUUCUAGCUUCCUUGCUCUUAUUUCCUACAAAAACAAAAUAAAGAAAACCAAAGCAUUACAUGUUCUUAACAAAUCAAACUAAAAGUAAAUAUGCAAACUGAAAAUUAAAAACUUGGGUUGUCUCCCAAUUAGUGCUAGUUAGAGUUAAGCUUGACUAACUCUUUCUAGAACUCUUCAAUCACUUUAUCCUUUUAGGAGGGAGUUUACCUUACUGUAUUCUCCUUUGUGGUAUUACAUAGACUGAGUUACGUUUAGGAGGUGUACUCAUUUUCCUUGCAAGAAUAAAUCAAGUUGAACUUGGAUUCAUUUUUGGCCUAGAAAUUUCAAGUUCGUGCUUGUAAAAGCUAAGGCUCAUGGGUUUUGCCAAAUGGUCUUGCAAUAAUGGACUAGGAGGUUUAGAAAUUAAGUUCAACUCCCUAGGUUUAUCCUUUUCCUUAACUCUUAUUAUUGCUUAAACAUCCUUCUCAUCUCUAAGGAUACCAUAUCCAUCAGUUAUAAAUUACAUUUUCUUGUCCUUAAAUCUCAGUGUAAGAUCAUAAUUAUAUACAUCAAUCAAGGUUUUGGAUGUCAAAAACAACAAGGAUGCUUCAUUAUCUUCCAUUUCUAGUACCAUAAAAUCCAUAUAAAAUGUAUAUUUUCUUACCUUUACCAACACAUUCUCCAAUAGUCUUUGCGAUUUCUUCAGAUCUAUUAACAAACUUAAUAGUGCAAUUUGGAUAUUUCAAAACACCAUUUCCUAGUUGCAUGAAAACAUUCAUAGACAUCAGAUUUAUACUAGAUUUAAGAUCAUAAAAAGCUUCAUCAAAUUUUAAAUGACCAAUUCUACAAAAAAUAGUAAAACUCCUUAGAUCUAUUUAUUUUUUAGGAAAGAGAUGUUGAAGUGCAAGACUACACUCUUUCACAAAAAUAGCAUUCUCUAACUCCUUAAGUAGCGCUUUCAGUAUGGAUCUAGGUAUUGAUGAUGCUACUUCUAAAGUUUGUCUUUGAUGUUCUUCUUCUUCAGUUGGUUCAUAUUCCUUAUCUUCGUCUUCUUCUUUAAUCUCUUUCUCACUAGGAUCCUGUUUUACUUCAUCAUGUAUAGACUCUUCCAAAUAAAAAACUUCCCUCAAAACCCUAUUUGACUCAUCUUCUUCUAGGGUAAAAAUGUUACUAACUUGUUCCUUACCUUGUUUUUUGUGGUUGUGCUCAGUAUUGCUAGGUAAGGUUCCCUAAAGGCAAUUAUUGAGGCCAUUUACAAGCUAACCAACUUGCACUUUAAGGUUCUUUAUAAAGGUUACUUGGUUUUGUAAAAUAUAAGUGAACAUUUCUUCUAAGGAUGGCUUUUUUUCUUGGGGUUAUAGAGGUGGAUGAUGUUGUGGUGGUGGUGGUUGGAAACUAAGUGGGUUAACAUGUCUAUUAUAGGAAUUAAAAACUUGCCCUUAGUUAUUACCCUAUGAAAAAUUAGGAUGUUGCUUCCACCUUGGAUUGUAUGUAUAGAGUAUGGAUUGUAUUGUUGCUUGGGUUUAGCAACAUAAUGGAUUGGCUUUACUCUAAUGGGACACUAUCAUAACGUAUAGAUUCAUGGACCUAUCGCUAGAUAUGAUUUUUCAAGAGUUGCCACCAAUCUUUUUUGUUUAGGUGUGAUUGGCCACCUGAUUGAAUUUGUCUCAUUUAAAAAGGAGUUCCAAUAUUAACUUAGGUCUCUUUAAAUAGUAGAUUUUGAUCCAUGAAAUCAAAUUUUAGGUUCGGGAGUACAAUUACCUAUGAAAAAGGUUAUAGCACCCCCACAGCACCCAUCCAAAAGAUGGUACCAGUUUGAUUUCAAAUUAUCCAAGCCUUAAAUAUGUUUAUAGUUUACCAAAAUAUUUAUUUUUGAAAAUUAAUCUUAAAAUUACCCCAAUUAUUUGGUAGUAAUUUAAGAUAAUUCUCUUACCUCAUGAGUAUUCAUGAAGACUAGUAUCUUACUUUGAAGAGGCUUCAUCGUCAGAUUUAUUAAUGUAUUUUAUUAAAAAAAAUAGAAAAAUCCUCCAAUAGUUUGGUAGGAUUUACUUUGAGGUAAAUCUCUUAAUAGUUUAAUGAGAUUUUAUUUGAAAAUGGUUAUAAAAAUUUUAUUCUUUCGAGAAAACUCAUUAAAUCUCCUAAUAGUUUGGUAAUAUUUAACUUGAGAUGCAAUCUUCCAAGAGUUUGGUAGGAUAAAAAAUCAUUUUUUUCAUUUUUUUGAAUUUUAUUUAUGGAACUUCCCAAUAGUUUGGUGGAUUCCAUAAAAUUUAAAUUCAUAAAAAUUCUCUAAUAGUUUGGUAGGAUUCAUGAAUUUAUUUGAAAAGAUUUUUCCUUUAUUUUUUGUUUCUUUUAUUUCUUUAUUUUUUAAAAAAUAAAAAUAGAAUUUUAUAAAAUAUUUAACAAAUAACAAAUUGCUUAAUAAAAAUAAAUAAAUAAUAAAAGUUAGUAAAAUAAAUAAAAAAUUGAAUAUAAAAUAAUAUAAAAAUAUUUCAAAAUAUAAAAUAAAUAAAAAUAAAAUCAAAAAAUAAAAAUAAAAUGAAAAAAAGAAAACCUGCGAUUAGGUCAGGUUAAAGCACAGGUCAGUAUGCGAGUCAAUGGGUCACGUGCAGAUAUGGGACCUUUAAAACGAUGUCCUUUAGGUUGCUAUAAAAGCUAAGUUCCCCAUUUUCUCUUUAAAAGCCUCAGUCUCCUCUCUUUCUAGCCUCAAUCACUCUGACCCCUCUCUAAAAAAACUAAGAAUGUUCAAUCGAAAACUGAAAAUUUUCAUCGAUUUUUGGAAAAUAGUUGAAAUCCCAUGGAAAACUCAAACCUUGCUAAAAAAUUUAACUGAAAAUUUCAAAAAUUCAUCCCAAACCUAGAUUUUUCUAGAUCUUUCCUAGAAAAUCCCAUAUUUUUGCAAAAAUCUAAUCUUCAAUCAAGAAAUCUAGAAUCUCAAGCCCCACACUCCAAAACAGAAAUUCGAAAUCCAAACCGUUCCUAAAACUACUAAUUCUAAACUUCCAAAACCAAAAUCUCAAAACCUGACCACCCAGAAAACUCUUCAGAAUUUUAAACACCAAACCUUGUCUCCUUCCAAAAAUCAAUCAUCUCGUUCUUUCAGUCUUUUAUUCAAUUUAUAGCCAUCCUUAGUAAAGAUUUUAGGGAUAAGAUAGAACCAAUCCUAGGAUUGGAUUCUGCUCGAACCUGAUUUUAAGACUAAUUCUUUGAUGAUUUGUCUAGACUGAAUAAAAAUCCUUUGAUUUGGUUUUGAUUGACUCUUUGAUCGAGUAGACUAAAUUUCUUUUACUCUUAAUUCUGCAAUCAUAGAUUAAAAAAAAAAAAGAAAGAAAAAUGAUAAAAUAAAAUAAUAAUAAUUAUUAUAUAAUAAUAUAAUAUAAUAAUGCUAUAAUAUAAUAGUAAUAAUAAUAAUAAGAUACUAUAAUAUAAUAAUAUAAUAAUAACAAUAAUAUAGUAUAAUAUAAUAUAAUAUGAUAAUAUAAUAAUAAUAAUAUAAUAUACCAUACUAUACUAUACUAGUAACAAUAACAAAAUAAUACUAAUGCUAAUAGCAAAAUAAUAAUAGUAAAAAUAGACUCCAAUUGACCCUGGACACAGAUAGGUAUCUAUAAGUGUCCCUCUUUACACAUUUUUUUUAGACAGGGAUGAUACAAAGACCUAGACAUCCAUUUUGUUCCAGUCUAAAAACAAAAGCCAAAUCUAUAAACAAAAAUGACUAGGACUAAGCCAUAAGUCUGAAAAAUGAUUUGGACUGAGCCAAGAUCGAACAACCGAGAUUAAACUACAAGUUUGGAAAAUGAUUUGGACUAAGCCAAGAUCGAGUGAUCGAGAUUAAACCACAAGUUUAAAAAGUUGAUUUGGACCAAGUCGAGGUUGAAGCUAGGUGAUCGUGGUCAAGCCAAGGUUAAAAGAUGAUUUAGACAGAGCUGAGAUUAAAUGACCAGGAUUGAAUCGCAAGUCUAGAAAAUGAUCUGUAUUGAGCCAAUAUCAAGCGACCGGGGUUAAACCACAAGUCUGAAAAGUGAUCUAGAUUAAGCCAAGAUCGAGUGAUCAGGAUUGAACCACAAGUCAAAAAAACUAUUUGGACUGAGCUGAGGUAAAAAAUGAAUGAUAAUGCAAUGACACAAAUGCAUGUCCUAUCUAGGAUGCAAAUGUAAAUACAAUGUAAACACAAUGUAGUGCAGAUGUUACUAAAUCAAUGCCAUGAAAUUUCAAUUAUGGUAACACAGUUCUCAAAACUCCAUCAUCUCAUAUAUUCCAUCUCAACUUCUCAGCAUUAAUGAUCUUAGAACAAACCCCAUCAUUCGAUCUAUGUUGUUGUCCUCAUCUGGUCACAACUCACAAGUUAUAUUGAUCAAUCCAUCAUUGUAUUUGCAUCUGUGUUUGCCCCUUUUUUUGUUUUCAUUUUUUUAUUGUAUUUUCUUAGGCUUCUCUCACUUAUCUCAUCUUAGAUUUCUUUCAAAAGACUGGGAACAUUGUCAUUCAUUUAUUUACCAUCAUUCAAAUUGGUGACAAACAUGAUACAUUUUCUUGAUUCAUUCAGGGGAUGUACACUUAGUAAUGAAUAGGAAAAAUGGAUGUUUAUUAUUGAAAGAAAAAGAAAAGUAUGGUCAAGAACAACUCAAAGAUAAAUGAAAGCAAAAUGUUGUGACUGUGUAAAAGGAUAUCAACAUCUAGAAUAAUAACAGUUUAGACAAUUUUGAACUCUAACUUAGAAUUCUCUUUAAAAAACACAUUCCAUCAAUAUUUUCAAUCUUUGAGCCAAUCAUCAUCCUCAUUCCUAGGACCCUCACAUGAUGUUGUUUCUUCAAGUUUCCAUCUUUACUUAAAUUGCCUUUUUAGGUUUUCAAUUUAAGUCUCCCUUUUUUUUUUUUUUUUGCACACCUCAUUCUCAUCUUUUCUUUUCAUUUCUCUUUUCUCUUUAUCAAUCAAUGACACUUCGAUCAAAGUUUUAAAUAAUCUAACAACAAAUCUGCCUUAAUUCAAUUCAUGAUUCUCCAAUUGAGUAUUCACAUUCGAUCAAAAUAGACUUUUAAAGGAUGUAACAUAGGCUAAGGUGAGGGGUUAUGAAAGAAAUUAAUGAAACAGGUCCAAAUUGUAUUUGAAGUGUUAUCAAACCAAGAAUCAUUUUUCAUGUAGAGCACAUUAGCAUUUUGCCCUAUCAAUUUCUCCUUCAUUUUUUUUCUUUUUCAUUAUUUUUCAAGAAAAAUUUGAGCACAAAAGGGCUUUGCCUUUGAAAUCACUAAGGAUAAACAAGCUUUCAAACUUUGCCUCCUAGUGUAGGGGUGAUCUUUGGUUAGGAUUUCUUAAAAAAAAUUUUCAACAUGUUCAAAUGGGGUAGCAAAGGAUAAUUUUAUUCUUUUUUUUUUAAAGGUAGAAAAAGAUGACCAUUUUUUAUCUCAAACAUAAAUACUCUUAAUGAAGAACAUUUAUCGAUCAAGAGCAAGCCUAUGAAUGAACAAUUGUAAAGAUCAUGUGUUACAUCACUUCUAAAAUUCUUCCUAGAUUUGUCUUUUUUUUAUUCAGUAGUCCUAAUGAAUUAGCAAUCUCCCUUUAUCAAUCAAAUCAUCAUGAAUGAUGUCUUCAAAAAUGAAUCUUGAAUUAUCAUCAUGACUAUCUAAAUAUUCAUUAUUUGGAAUCAAAGAAUAGAUAUGGAAAAAAGGUAUAAGAAGGUAAAAGUAAAUAAUGGUGACUCGCACAAAAAAGAAUGUCAUGAAAAUGCAUCAAAUCUGCCAAUUUUAUUAAAAUGAUGAAAAAUAAGAUGAAAUCCAAGUACAUAAAAGAGAUCCAUAUGCUCAAGAAAUCCUAAGAUGAUAAUCAAUUUCAAUCAGCCUCCCCAUAAUCAUGCCUCUAGGUGAUUGGACAAUGGGUUACCAUUGACAUUAGGUGUUGUGUUUACAUCGGUGUCAAAGCUUAUCAACCCUUCUUUAAUCAGACUUUGUAUUCUAUGUUUCAAAGGGAUAUAAUUUUUGAUAAAAUGACCAACCACCCCAUAAUGAUAGUCACAAUGAGCAGUGAAAUCAUACCAUUUGGGAUAAAGAGGUUCAAAUUCUUUUAUAAGAAUGGGAGCAAUCAAGUGAUUUUUGUAAAGUUUUUGGUAUAGUUUUUAUGUAGCUCAUGGGAAUAGGAUCAAAUGUAGGUUUUUUUUGAUUUCGUGAUUCUUGAACACCACUUGUUGGGUAGUUGGAUGAAUAGAGGGCCUAGUUCUAGAUAGAUAAAAAGGUCGUGUAGUUUAUUGGUAGGGUGAAGUAGAAGCAUGACUUACAGUAGGAUGAUAUGUAGGAUAGAUCGACUAAGGGUAGUUUCUGAAUUGUUGUCUUUCGAAACUCACAACUUGAGUCUCACUUUCAUUUUUCUUAGGCACCCUUUUAGCAGCAAAGGAUUCUUUUCUUCUAGUUACCAUUUUUAUUGCAUUUUUAAUGAUCUCACCCAAAAUCACCAUAUCAGUAAAAUUUUUAGUCACAUUCCCUAUCAUCUUCUCAUAGUAUGGUAACUUUAAAGUGCUUAUAAAUAGCACCAUCGUUUCUUUCUAUGUUAGUGGUGGUUGUACUUGAGUGACGACAUUCUGUCACCUUUGGGCAUACUCCUUGAAAGAUUCAAAUGUUUUUUUCUCCAUACCUUGUAACAAAAGGCGAUCAAGAGCCAUAUCUAUGAUGUGAUGGUAUUGGUUGAUAAAAGAUCGAGUUAAAUCUUUCCACGAUCUUAUGUGAGUCCUGUCUAAGUAAACAUACUACCUUACAACAAACUUGCUUAAGCUAUCUUGGAACAUAUGCAUCAGUAAUUUCUUGUUGCUGGCAUGUGUUGCCAUCUUACGAUAAUACAUUGUGACGUGUGUAAUGGGACACUUAGUACCAUCAUACUUCUCAAAUUUUGGUACUUUAAAUUUUGGAAGAAUCAUAACAUUGGGACCAAAUAAAGGUUGGUAGCAUUCAUGGAGCCAUAAAAAUCUAUUCAUUCAAUAGCUUGCAAUCUUUCUUCAAUCAUGCUUAUUUUUGAUCAGUCUUAGAGUCUUCUGAGGACAUAACCAUUUGCAACUUCAUUGUUUCUUUUAUCUCAUUCAGAUUGGAGAUUUGGAUGGGUUCAACUACCUUUUCAGUGAAGACAGGAUUAGUGUAAUCUGAACAUUCCCUUGACUAGGUGCACAAGGCAUUCUCAGGUAACUGUAACUUGGCAACAUGGUCUAUUGUGGCUGAAGAUUUGAAGUGAUUUAGGUUUGAUGCAAAUCGAACCCUGGAGGAUACAAUGACUCAGUAAUUUCAUGUGAAAUAUCUCCUUCCACUACUUUCCUUUGUUUAUCUUUUCUAGAGCUUUAAAGAUCUUACUUAGCUUCCCCUCAAUUAUCUCCUAAGCUUUUUCCAACCUUUCAAAAUGGUUUAGGUUAUCCUGUUCCAUCUUUUUGGCUCUAGCCUGGGGUAAUAUUAGUGUUGAGCUAUCCUCAAACCUUGAUUUCUCAUAAUGUGUAAAUUUACAAUGAUGUCUAUGGAACCCUCAGAUUGUGCAUGAACAUGAAUGCAAAAACAAAAUGCAUGAAUGCAAUAAGGAGAAUUUACCACAUAACCCUCAGAUUGCAUGAAAAUGAAUGUAAAAACAAAAUGUAUGAAUGCAAUAAGGAGAAUUUACCACAUAACAAUUGUUAUCAAAGAAAAUCUUUAUUGAAUUAAAAAUCAUUUUUAACCAAAUCCAACAUUACAUCCAUGAAAAGUCUAGAACUACUGGGAAAAGAAACCCAUAACUCAUCGAUAUUGGCUUUGCACUUCAUUAAAGAAAUCUAUCAAUUUUUGACCAUGUGCUCCCAUUGGUGGCACCCUUGCCUUCCAUUUUUCAAUCUUUUCUAUCAUGUCCUUGGCUUUGUAAAUAGCCACAGUGAUUCGAUCAAAUAGAGACUUCAACUGGUUAUGUUUUUUUACAUAUGCUUCAUACAUUUGCUCACAUUCUUUAGUCACAGCCCUUAUUUGUGCUCUAAUUCCCACCACUACUCCAUUUAGCAUCUGGAUGUGCUUUUGUGCUUUAAAAAGCAUUUCAUCCCUUUCUUGUAGCUUUGCUUGCAAUUGUUUGUUUUGUGUAAAAAGUUGGCCAAUUCUAAAUUAGUGGAUGAUCAUGUUGUGUUAAGGUCAAUGAACAAACUCUUCCAUGCAUCGUUUCUUUGUUCAAAUGCUCGAACUUCCCCUUUUAGCCUCUUGUUUGCAAGUUUCAACUCUUUAGACUCCCUCUUUAGACUAGUAAAAGACUUUGCUAGGUUGUCCAUAGAUGCAACUGAGAUUUUCCUUGUUAAAAUUAUUUUGUGGCAAAUAUUCCUUAUGAUAAAUCUAAUGAUGUGAAUGCAUGAUAAAAGAAAAGGGUUAGUAAAAAAUAAUAUUCAAAAACCAUUAUAUAGGAUACAAAAUGCUUACAAGUAAAAUAAACAUCCAAUCAUAUGUCCUAUUCAGGAUUUUCUAACACAAGGGAAGGCAUGGUUCUAUCUAUGGUUAGGCUUUUAAAGUUAACUAUAUGCGGUUUGGAUUACUUUUAAAAGGUUCUCAAAUUGUUCCUUACAUCAUUGUCCAUCACAGACUAGUAAGGCACCCUAAUCUUCACCCAUCAUAAGCUACAAACGAAAAUGGUUCAAUUUCAAUGAGAGUAUUUUUAGGCCCAAGUGGAGACAUGAAAUCUCACAAAAGCAUAGGUAGUUGACUCCCUCCUAAAGAUAAAGCUCAGGUGGAGAGCUUAUGUUAUGCACCAUGCAAGUGAGUGAUAUAUAUAUAUAUAAAUGAAUAACUAAAUAGAAUAUAAGCAAUGAAAAGACAUAAAUAAGAAAAUAAUUUCAAUUUUUUAAGCAAGGCUUGAAUAAUAAGAAAUCAUUUACUAGCUUGACUCUUGAUGUCCCUAGUGGAAUCGUCAAACUGUCAUAAUAUAUAAAUCUGUGGACCUACCGCUAGACAUGGUUUUCAGGAGUUGCCACCAAUCUUUUUUGUUUAGGUGUGAUUAGCCACCUGAUCGAAUCUAUCCCAUUUAAAAAGGAGUCCCAAGAUUGACUUAGUUAUCUUUAAAUAGUAGAUUCUGAUCCAUAAACUAGAUUUUAGGUUUGGGAAUACGGUUACAUGUGAGGAAGGUUAUAGCACCCUUACAGCACCUAUCCAAAAGAUGGUACCAGUUUGAUUUCAAAUUAUCCAAGCCUUAAAUAUGUUUAUAGUUUACCAAAAUAUUUAUAUAUUGAAAAUUAAUCUUAAAAUUACCCCAAUAGUUUGGCAGCAAUUUAAGAUAAUUCUCUCACCUCAUGAGUAUCAUGGAAAACUAGUGUCCCACUUUAAAAAGGCUCCAUUGUCAAAUUUAUUAAUGUAUUUUAUUCAUUAAAAUUAGUAAAGUCCUCCAAUAGCUUGGUAGGAUUUACUUUGAGGCAGAUCUACUAAUAGUUUGGUGAGAUUUUAUUUGAAAAUGGUUAUAAAAAUUUUAUUCUUUCAAGAAAACUCAUUAAAUCUCCCAAUAAUUUGGUAAGAUUUAACUUGAGAUGCAAUCCUCCAAUAGUUUGGUAGGAUAAAAAAAUUAUUUUUUUCAUUUCUUUUAAUUUUAUUUAUGGAAUUUUCCAAUAGUUUGGUGGAUUCCAUAAAAUUUAAAUCCAUGUAAAUUCUCCAAUAGUUUGGUACGAUUCAUGAAUUUAUUUGAAAAGAUUUUUUCCUUUAUUUUUUUAUUUCUUUUUUUAAAUAAAAAUAAAAUUUUAUAAAAUAUUUAACAAAUAAUAAAUUGCUCAGUAAAAAUAAAUAAAUAAUAAAAGUCAAUAAAAUAAAUAUAAAAUUGAAAUAAAAUAAUAUAAAAAUUUUUCAAAAUAUAAAAUAAAUAAAAAUAAAAUGAAAAAAAAAACCAGCGAUCGAGUUGGGUUGAAGCGGGUCAGCACAUGGGUCAACGGGUCAUGUGUGAAUCUGGGACCUUCAAAAUGCUGUCAUUUUAGAUUGUUAUAAAAACCAAGUUCCCUGUUUUCUCUUCAGAAGCCUCAGUCUCCUCUCUCUCUCUCUAGCCUCAAAUGCUCUGACCUCUCUCUAGAAAAACCAAGAAUGUUCAACCGAAAAUUGGAAAUUUUUGCCAGUUUCUAGAAAAAUAGCCAGAAUCCCAUCGAAAAACUUCAAACAUUGCCAAAAAUUCAACUAAAAAUUCAAAAUUUCAUUCCAAACCUAGAUUUUUCCAGAUCUUUCCCAAAAUUUUCCAUAAAUCUAAUCUUCAAUCAAGAAACUCAUAAUCUCAACCCCCACACUCCAGAACAGAAUUUCAAAAUCCAAACCCUUCCUAGAACCUCUAAUUCUAAACUUCAAAACCAAAAUCUCAAAACCUGACCACCCAAAAAACUUUCUAGAAUUUUAAACACCAAACCUGUUCUCCUUCUCAAAAAUCAAUCGUCUUGUUCCUUUAGUCCUUUAUUCAAUUUAUAGCCAUCCUUAGUAGAGAUUUUAGGGAUCGGUUAGAACCAAUCCAGGCUUGAAUCCUGGGAUUGGAUUUUGCCCGAACCUAAUUUUAAGACUAAUUCUUUGCUGAUUUGUUUGGACUAAAUAAAAAUCCUUUGAUUUGGUUCUGAUUGACUCUUUGACCGGGUAGAUUGAAUUCCUUUGAUUUGAUUAAUUCCAAAUUUUAGUUUCCUAAUUCUACAAUCGCAAAUUGAAAGAAAGAAAGGAAAAAUAAUGAUAAAAUAAUAAUAAUAAUAUAAUAUAUAUAAUAUAAUAUAAUAAUAAUAAUAAGAUACUAUAAUAUAAUAUAAUAAUAUAAUAAUAACAAUAAUAAUAUAAUAUAUACAAUAUGAUAUAAUAUAAUAUGAUACGAUAAUAAAAUAAUAUGAAAAUAUAAUAAUAAUAAUAUAAUAUACCACACUAUUUUAUACUAGUAACAAUUAUAAAAUAAUACUAAUACUAAUAGUAUUGACCCCAGACAUAGAUGGGUGUCUACAGACACCUAUCUAAAGAAUAGUUCCUUCCAUAAUUAUCAUAAGAAACAAAAGGAUUUUGAAUGGCAUUAAUAGGACUACAGAAAGGUUAGAUCCUAAGUUUGCAAUCUUUUUGGCUAAGGCUGAAACUUGUGAAGUGAAAGUAUUAAGUGCAUCAAGUUCAUAUACCUCAGUUGCUUUUUUAGGCACAAACCUCUCAUUGGCCCAGUCAUACUUAUUCAUGGCCAUUUCUCUAUUCAAAUCAUAAGCUUCAUCAAUGAACUUACUCAUUAAAGUGCCACCAGUAGCAGCAUUAUGGUGGUCCUAGUUGGACCUACUAACCCAUUAUAAAAAAUUUGAACUUACAACCAUUUAGGUAGGCCAUGGUGAUGACACCUCCUUAAUAGCUUUUUGUACCUCUCCCAUGCAUCAAAAAGAGAUUCGACCUCAAAUUGCUUAAAAGAUGUAAUGUCAUUGCGCAUCUUAGCUAUCUUAAAUGGAGGAAAGAAAUGGGUCAAGAAUUUUUGAACUAAGCCAUCCAAGUAAUAAUUGAACCAAGAGGUAGAGAUAUGAGCCUACUCUUUGCUUUAUUCUUGAAAGAAAAUGGAAAAAGUCUUAGUUUAGUGGCAUCAUUAGUAACACCAUUUUGUUUAAAAGUAUCACAAAUCUCAAGAAAAUUAGUAAGAUGAAUAUUGGGGUCAUCACUAGGUAACCCACAAAACCAAAUAGAGUUUGGAACCAUAUUGAUAAUAGAUGGUUUUAAUUCAAAAUUGUUAGCCUGAAUGACUAGCCUACUAAUGCUCGACUGAAAACCAUCUAGCUGAGGGAUAGCAUAGUCCUUAAGUGUUCUCUGAUUUUCUUGUAUUUAAUCAAUCAUAGAUGAAACAAGAGUUGUUUGCUUCUUACCUUUUUAUCUUUUCAAGUGUUUUCUCAAUUUCUUUAUCUAAGGGUACUAAACUAGCACUCUUAAUCCUUGGCAUACAAAACAAGAAUAACCAAACAGAUUAAAAACAAGAAAAAUAAAAUUUAAGCUACAAAUAGAGAAAUUAGUAUUGAUAUUGCACAUACUCCUUCAACAAUCCCUGACAAUGGUACCAAAAACUUGAUAGGUAAUUUGCAAGUGCACUAAAUUGUUCAAGUAAUAUAAUGAUAAGAAUAAGAGUACCAUCCCACAGAUAUUGUGUAUAUGAGAUCACAAGUACCAAAAUUGUAUAUUUCACACUUAUACUUAGAUAUAUCAAAUCAAAGAUAAUAUAAACUAAUAAAAUAAAACAUAAAACAUGCACUGCUAAUAUAAACCAAACUAAAUCAAACUAAAAAAAUAACUAAAAAUAGAUUAAACUAAAACCAAAUAAACAAGUAUAACAAAACACAAACUAACUAAGCAAUAAUAAACCAACUAACAUACAAUAAAUCGUAAACUAAAAUCAACUAAUCAACUAAACAUGCAAUAUAAAUCAAAAGCAAUGAAAACUGAAAGAUCCAAUAAGCAAAACUAAAUAUAAACCCUAAAACAAUUAACAUGCAAUUUCAAUAAAACCAACUUAAACCAAAACCUUACUUAUCUUUAAAAUCAUGCAAUAAACUUAAAUUAAUCUUUAAACAUGCAAUUAAACCAAAUUAAAUCAAAAUAGAAAUCGAAUUAAGCCAAUAUAUGAAAACCAAAAAUAACAAAAUCGUAAUCUUAUGCAAUUUCCUAAAACCCUAAUAUAAAAAUCCUAAACAAAUUAAAUGAACCCUAAAUAUGCAAUAAUAAAUUAAAAUCAAUUAAAAUAUCUAAAACAGAACUUAAUUAAAUUCAAAACUCUUAAACCAAAUAGAAUAAGUAAGAACUUAAACAAAUAAAUCAAGAUUUCAUCCUAAACAUGCAAUCUAAACAAAUUAAGCUAAAACUGAAUUAAAUCCAACCUUAAACUUGAUAACCAAAACCUUUAAUUUGAAUUAAAGUUGCAAUUGAAUAAAUUGAACUAGAACAAAAAAUUAACCAAAAAGAUUAAAUGAAAAAAAAAAGCAACUUGUAAACAUAAAGAACCAAAAUAAAAAAGAAAGAUUCAAUCUUUAAACUAAUAACACUAAACCAAAUGAAAAGAAACUUAAAACCAGAAUUUGAUUGCUUGAAAAAUUAAAAACAAUAUGUAUGAAUAAUCUUGAAAACCAGAAAAGCAAAAUACCAUAAAAUCUUUAAAAUAAAAACUUGAAAACUAAAGACAACUUAAAGAAAACUUAGAAACAAGAACCCUAAAAAUCACUAAUAAGUUGGUUUGUCACCCCAACCCCUUACACCCUUUAUUCUCAAACUUAAUGAUGUAUUUAUAGGCUAAAAAAACCCUAGAUAGGUUUGACCAAGAGAUCUUGAAAAGAGCUUGCACAAUUUCUAUUGGAAUUGAACUCUUAAAUCCAAGAAUGCCUCUUGUAGUUGAAUCCAACAAGAACUCUUUAAAAAGAAAGCUUAUAGAUCAAUCUUGACUUUUAGAUCAUAUUCAUCCUCAUUCUAAUCAUGUAGCAACUCACAUCAUGCAUAAAACAAUACUAUAGCCGAAUCUUGAAUACCCAAAGAAUUGCAUCCGAACAAAAUACAUAAUCUUCUUAAAUGUUGCUUCAAAUUGCCUUGAUCUUAUAUCCAUCACGUAGUCCAUGCUUGCUUGACUUCUUGCUUGAAAAAUUAGAGUUUUAAACCAUGUAGAACAUUUCGUUAACGUCGCCCAUAAAGAAUGGAAUUAAAUACUUCAUGCAAUCCUACUCCAAGUAGGAAUAAGAAUACCAAAUCAUAAUCCAUAUAGGAAAUCCAAAUCCAAGUAGGAUAAGUAAUUAGAAUUGCCACCUCAUUGUGCCACAUCAUCUUUCUUAACCAAUAAGGAAACUCUUUAUACCAUGUCAUCCAAUAGUAAUCCUAUGCAUGUGCACCUAUAUAAGCUACCAUAGACUUGUAAUCACUUGAAAUUACAAUUCUAACCUUCUUUAUAGCCUAAAUUACCAACUUGAAUCUUGCAUGAAUUUUUCUCAUUUUUCUUCAAGAUUGCAUCAUUCUAACUCCAUUAAACUUCACAAAAUAAAUCUUGAACUUCUUUCUAUUCUUUAGCUUCAAGAUUUUCAAGAAAAUCAAGAACUUCUAAGAACAUCACAAGAUUCCUUCUUAUACAUAAAAAAUCAUCAAUAUUGAUUAAGAAUCAUCAAGAAUCUCUCAAAUUUACCCUUUUCUUCAAGAAAACCUACAAAACAGAAAAUUAUGCCAUUUAGGAGUAAAAAGCAUAUUAUUUUGCUAAGAAUCAAGCAAAAAUCAAUCAUUUAAGCACUAAAAACAAGCCUAAAUAAAUCUAUUUUAUAGAGUUAUUAGUGGGAAAGUUUUACUAGCCAUUACGGAUGUUUACACUUCAUGAGAGCAUAGCUAUUUUACUUCUUCUUAGAAAGGACUAGAGCUCACAUAUAGAGCUCAUACAUGUAAUACAAAUGUGAGUGUGUGCGGAAGAACAUACAAAGCUUUCACAUUUUCCUAAAAUACCCCUAUCUUAAAUGCCUCACAAUUAUUAAAAGUAAAAUAAACAACAACAAUUUAAAAUAAAGGACAUGAUUAAAAUAUGCAUGAAUGUAAAACACAUAUAAUGUUUUUUGGAUUUUAUGCUCUUUAAAGACAAAAAAUUAAAGUCAAAACAUUUUUUGAUUUUUUUACUUUUUGGAAAAUAAGAAAAUUAAAAUUAAGAAAUUAAGAUUAAAUAUUAACUAAGACCUUUAAUCUAAAAUUUAGGAUAAACUGUAAUCGUUCUUUGGCUUGACUAUCAAAAAAUGCAUUCCCUAAAGAAGUCUCAAGCUGUCGCAACAUACGGGUCCAAGAAUCGAGUCAUUAGACAUAGGGAAAAAGGCAAGCAAAAAGUAUUUUCAAUAAAAUCAAAAUUGAUGAGUCACCACUAAUUUUUUUUAAGAUGUGAUUAGUCACCUAAAAAAACUUAUCCUUUUAAUCAAACAUUUAAAAUAAGUUUAAAGUUUAUUAAAAGAAUAUUUGUGGUCUGCGAAAUCAGAGUUGGGUCAUGGAGUUGGUUAUGCAUAAGGAAGGAUUAGCACCCCACAGUGCUUGAUGAAAAUGGUACCAAUUGAUUGCAUGUCAUCCUUGAAUUUUGGUAAAAAUGGUCUUAUUAAAUGUUUAAAAAUUAAUUCCUUUCUUUUACUUGUUUAUUCAAAAAAUUGAAUCUCUUUUUUUUAAUUUUCUUUUGAAGGGAAAUAUUUUUUAAUCUUUUUUUGAAAAAGAAAAUAAUUUAUUUUUGGAUCAAGAUAAAAAAUCCUAAGUAUCAAGAUACUUCCUUCACUUCCCUAUAUUUUGGCAGAGUUUGAAAAGUGCCUCUAACUUUAGGAGUUUUUAAAUUGUCCUAUGAAAACUAAUGUAACACUUCGCAUGAGUGAUAACCGUUGAAAAUCCUUCUAUAUUUAGCCCAGAUCUCGAAGGUUAUUUUUACAUGAAAUAUUACUUUAUUUUAAAACACUUUACUUAAAAAGACUUUUUUUUAUAAAAUAUAUGCAUGGUAUGCAUGAAUACAACAAUGUAUAAUAUAUGCAUGAUAGUUGAAAAUGAAUGAUAAAAUGUAAAUGUAUGACAAUUCAAGAAUGCAUGUAACAAUAAAGUAAAAUGAGAUGCAAAUUAGGGGUGGCUCGUAAUGCAAAGCCCCCCAAAAAUUUGAAACCCUUUUAAUAUGUAUAUAUAUAUAUAUAUAUUUGUAUUCGAUACAUUUAAAUUGGUCCUCUAAUAAAAAAUGUUAAUUUUCUUUUUUUUGUAUUUUAUAAAUUAAAUUUAUGUAUUGUAAUUUAAGAGAUGUUUAAAUUAUAUUUAUAUUUGUUUAUUUAUUAUAUCUAACAAUUAUUACUUGUAAAUUCUCACAUUUAUAUUUGUUAAAAACUCUUUUCCUUCAUAUAUUUUUUACUUUUAUUUUUACUUUAGAUCUCUAUUACAUGUUGUAAUUCUUUUUUCAACAAAAAGAUCAUAUUUGAACUACUUUAUAAAAGGAUAGAAAAACACCAAACUUCUACUCUUAAGUUUUCAUUUUUAUUCUUUUAAAAGUAUAUUUAGUUUUCUUGUUUUGAUGAAUGUUUAAUGAUUGAUUUAUUCAUACUUUUUUAUUUCACUUUUAUAUAGUAAAAAAAACUAAUUUUUUUAAUUAGUAAUUCAACAGUUAAUUAUAAAUCAUGUUAUUAUUAAAAGUAUAAUAUUGUCAUAGUAAUAUUUUUAUUUUAUAAUUUUAUACUUUUAUCAUGUUUUUAUUAGUAUAUUGUUUGCCUAUAUAUUUAUUAAUAAGUAUAAUAAAAUAUGCCUUAGAAAAAAAUAUUAUAUAUUAUUAGUUAGCCCUUCUAAAUUAUAUGUCAAGAUCCCCCAUUGAUGCAAAUGCAUGAAUGGGAUCAAGUGUUGGUUUAAGGGUUUGGGGAUUGGUUUGGUUUUUAGGGUUAAGGUAGGUUUGAUUCAAUUUUGGUUGGUUUGGUUCGGUUUUGGGGUUGGUUCUAUUCGAUUUAAAGUUUAGGGUUUUAGGUUGGUUAGGGUUUAGAAUUGGUUUAGGGUCAUGGUUAUAGUUUAGGCUUUAGUAUAGGUUUAGAGUUUUGGUUUAGGGUUUAAGGUUUAGGAUUUAGGGUUUUAAGGGUUUAAGGUAAGAGUUUUGGUUUAGGGUUUGGGAUUUAGGAUUUAAUUAGGUUAGGUUUGGUUUAAGUGUUUGGGGUUUAGGUUUGAUUUAAGGUUUUAGAUUUUGGUUUAGAGUUUAGGGUUUAGGGUUUUGGCUUAGGGUUUUGGUUUAAGGUUUAGGGUUUAGAGUUUGGUUUUAGGGUUUAGGUUUAGGGUUUAGGGUUUGCAUGUAAAAAAAAUCAACAAAAAUGCAACCUUUAAUGCAUGAAAAAUGGAUGAAUGUGAAGACCAAGACCUUGGCAUAUUUACAAACAUACCACAAACUAAACAUGCAUGUAACAACAUAGUAAAAAUGGAUCAAACACCAAGGAUUUAAAGACAAGAGAGGUUUGGCCAAGCUAUGAUUAAAGGCAUAAUUGAAACUUUAAGGCCAUUUUUCAUGCUCCAUUAUUGGCUAAAAAAAAUAGAAAUGGCUCUACCAUUUUUGUUUUAAACCAAACACAUGCAAACAAAAUAAAAUCUCCAAAAAAGUUUACUAAUUCAACACUUUUAUUCAUUAAGGAUUUCAUCUAACACAUAGCUAACAUAAAGGAAUAACUAAAGAUAUAAUAAAACAAGCAUGGAAAGAGCAACAUUUAGCCAUCAAACAUAUGUGGCAGGUUUGGCCAAGCAUUAGGAAAGACUUGGCAAAAACAUGGCCGUUCCCAAAUACACAUCUUUCAUUUAGCUUGAACCACUAAAACAAUCAACAAUCAUGCAAAUAACAUAUAGUAUAACAUUCAAAUCAUCCAAAUUCAUUAUUCAAAGCAAGAAAAACAUGAAAUAAACCAAUAAAAGGUUCGACCAUAUCAUAAUGGUUUUAGAGCCACUUGACGAAUUUGAAAACAAAAAUGAAAAAAUGGAAACGAAGUCGCCACCAAUCUUUUUUUGGCUAGGUGUAAUUAGCCAUCUAUUAAAAUUUAUCUUUUUAAUAAAAUCUUAAAAUUUAUUAAAAAGAUGAUUUUAGGGUCGACAAAAUAGUCUAGGUCUGGAAGCCAAUUAUAGAUAAAGAAGGAUUAGUACCCCUAUAGCGCUAUUUAAAACAAUUCCAAUUAAUUGCAUGUUAUCCAUUAAUCUGGAAAAAAAUAGUCUUAGUUUCAGUGUUUAAAAAGUAAUUUCUUAUUUUCUUUUUUUUAUUAAAAUUUUGAUUCUUGUUAUUUUUUUCAAUAUUUAUUGUUCCAUUUUUAUUUAAGAAAAAUAAAUUAGAACCUUUUUAUUGAAAUAAUUUUAAAGUGUUCCAAUACAUUAGUAACAUUAGAAGAAUUCUUUAUUACCUAGAGAUUUCUUAGAAAUCGCUUCUCAAAAUACCUUAGAAUCCUAUCCUCGAAGAUUCAUAUUUACUUUUCAUAAAAUUAAUAUCAAGCAUGCAAUGCGAAUGACAAUAUAUUGAAUGCACACAUUUUAUUUUACUUUUAGAAAUUUUAUUGGUUUUUCAUUAAAAUUUUUGAAGAAAAUAAUUUUUAUCAUAUUAAAGAUUUUCUAUAAAUACAUUGGUAAUAUUUAAAAAAAAAUCUUAUUACCUAAGGAUUUCAUAAAGCAUUACUACUCGAAAUACUUUUAGAAUCCCAUCAUCAAAUAAAAUUUCCUUUUUCCUCAUUUUUUAUUAUUUUUAACAAAUUAGUUAUUCUUAUUUACUAUUUUAUACCAAAAAAAAGAAAAUUUUAAUUGUAUUAAAAACCUUUCAUAAAUACUCCAAUACAUUGGUCGUAUUUUAAAAAAAUUUUCUCCUUUAAAAAUUUCGUAGGUAUCGCUACUCGGAGUACCUUUAAAUCUUAUUGUCGGAUAAACAUUUCCUUUUCUUACAUUUUUACUAAUUUUUUAUUAUUUUUAUUUUUUAUUAAAAAUUUUUACUAUUUUUUAUUUUUAAUUUUAAAAAUUUAUCAAAAGUUUGAAACCAUUUUUUAUUAUUGGUAUCAUAGUCAUUAAUUAUUAAUUAUUAUUUUUUAUCAUUAUUUUAUAAGGUUUAUUCCAAAUUUUAACAAAAUUAUCAAAAAUUUUAACUAUAUAUUUUAUUUUUUAUUUUUAUUUAUUUAUUUAUUAUUAUUAUAAAAAUAACAAAAAAUUAUUCUAGCAAAUUUAAACAUUUUAGCAUCCAUAAAUAUUAAUAACACAAUUUAAAAUAAUAAUAAUAAUAUUUAAAAAAUUAAUUCAAAAAAUUUUAAAAAUUUUUCCUGAACCGGAUCGGUCAAUGCUGAUUCGGUUGGGCUAGUCAAAAGUGAUUCAAUGGUUCAAAACUGGUUCAAUUGGAUCGGUGGGGUUGAGGGGUGUCAGGUCACUAGGUUAGGUGUAUGGAACCCGAGUAGAGUCGUAGGUCCACACACUGAUCCUAGGGGUUCAAAACGAUGUCGUUUUGACCCCUAGCUGCUUAUAUAAAAGCUCAAUUUUUUUUUUGCUCAUUCUCUCCCCUAUUUCAAAAAAAAAAUCUAUUUCCCUUUCUCUAUACCAAAAUCCCAUAGGGGGCUAGUUUGUCGCUGUUGUCGUCAUGCCAUCGAUCAUUAGCAAUAGUCGUUGGUGAUUGAAAAACUUCAAAAACCCACCAAAAAAAUUCCUCUGGCCUCUUAAAUCUCAAUCUGACCUCUUUUUUGCAAGAAAAUGGCAUGAAUGGUCUAGAUCAAGGCUAAAAGUUUUGGCCAAAACUCUUUUUUUUAUUGUGGAUCUUGAUUUUUGAAUCUAGCGUUAAGGUUUCCUCAUCAAAAGGAUUUUUUUCUUGUGUUUCUGUGUUUGAUUUUUUUUUUAGUUUUUUUUUAAUCUGGUAGAACCUUUUUUUUUUAAUUUGAGUUUUUUUAUUUUCAACAAGGUUUUCCUUUUUUAUUUUAGAAUUUGAAAGGUUCUUCUAAGUAGAGACUUAACGACUUUUUUUUUUUUGCUAAAUUUGAUAGGCUCCCCUAAGCAGAGGCUUAACAACUUUUUAAAAUUUUAAAAAGCUCCUCUAAAUAGAGGCUCAACAACUUUUUAAAAAUUUAAAAGGCCCCUCUAAACAGAGGCUUAACAACUUUAAAAUGCUCCUCUAAAAAGAGGCUCCAUAACUUUUUGUCAAUUUAAAAUAUUCUACCCUCAAGACUUAUGAAUCUUGAUAAUGAAAGCUCCUCUAUACAAAGGCUUAACAACUUUAAAAUUUCAUCUUGGAAAAGCUCCUCUAAGUAAAGGUUCAACAACUUUCAUUGACUUUAAAAAUUUCAUCUCAAAAAAGCUCCUUUAAGUAGAGGCUUAACAACUUUAAAAAAUUUAUCAUGCAAAAGGCUUUUCUAAGUAAAGGCUCAAUGACUUUAAAAAUUUUAUCUUGAAAAGUUUCCUCUAAGCAGAGGUUCAACAACUUUAAAAAUUUCAUUUUAAAAAACUCCUCUAAGUAGAGGCUUAACAACUUUAAAAAAUUCAUCUUGAAAAAGGCUCAUCUAAGCAAAACUCAACAACUUUAAAAAUUUCAUCUCAAAAAGUUCCUCUAAACAGAGGCUUAACAACUUAAAAAAAAUUCAUCUUUUCUCAAAAUUGAGAUCUCAUCUUUGAAAAAGUAAAUUUUUUUUUUUUUAAGAACUCUUAUAUUAGAUCGUUAUCCGUUUACAAAGGCCAAAAAUCUGUUUUUUCAUUAGGGAAUGAAAAAUCUUUACAACUUGUGAUAUUAACCUUUAAUGAAUGCAUGUACCAAAUGCACUAAAUGCAAUGCAUGUAAUGCAAUCAAAUUAUUCACUUCCAAUUAUGGUAAAAGGUUCUUAGAAUCUCUUACCUUUUAUGCUUCAAUCAUAAAAAUUCUCAACAAUUGUCAUAUAACCAACUUAUCCUUGACAUAUGAUCAUUUUAUUUUCUUCAACAAUAUCCUUUCCUCUUUUUGCAACAUCAAUGUCUUGUCAUGCUUUUCUUGUCAUUUUCUACCUGCUUUUAUCAACUUUUAAAAAGUAAUGCUGAGAUCUUCCAUGUUAUUGGUUAGUUUUUCAUCAUUUUAAGUUCAAGACAAAUAAAAUGCAUCAUACAUUUCUUUUAUUCAUUUGUAAGAUGGGAUAGCAAAUGAGAUAAAGGAAUGGAUAUAUUAUCUUUAUUUCAAUGAGAAGAGGGAACACAUUUCAUCAAACAGAUAACAAAAUCAUAAAGUGUUUGGAUGGGAACAAAAGCAUCUAAAUAAUGAUUAUAAGAUAAUCAUGAACAAGUUAUUCCUAGAUUCUUUUUCUAAAACUCAACUAGAUGACAUCCUUGAUCUUUCAAAACUCAUCAAACAUCAUUUGCCCUUGUAUUUUAAGGUCAUCUCAUGAUGCUACCUCUCUUUUAUAUCUAAGCCACCUUUUCAUGUUUGCAACUAAGAUAUAUCUUUUUUUUUCUUUUUCUCUUUUUUUUUGUUUUCAAGUAAAGUAUUUUUUUACAACAUCUGAGUUUAUCGAAUUAGGCAAAUCAUUUUCGUCCAUUUUUGCCUAAAUCAAUGCUCCACUAGAAAAAAGCUUUUUUCACCACAAAUGAACCUUUUCAAUUUAGUGUGCAUUUCCCUCAUUGUCAUAUUGAUUUGGAAACAUCCUUUUUAGCACUAAAUCCCCUUCUCGAAAGUGAUGAAGGUGAAUUUUCUUAUCAUGUGCUCUCAUCAUCCUCUUCUGAUACAGUUGGCCAUGGUAAAGUGCUAUAAGUCUUUUCUCUUUAAUGAGGUUUAACUGUUCGUACUGAUUUUAAACCCAUUUACUUCAUCUAGCUCUACUUCCAUUAAAAUUCUCAAUGAGAAAAUUUUCACUUCAACUGGCAAUACAGCUUUCAUUCCAUAGACCAACAAAAAUGGAAUGGCCCCAAUAGAGGUUUUGAUUAAUGUUAUGUAAGCAUGCAAAGCAAAAAGUAAUUUCUUAUGCCAAUCUUUGUAAGUAUCAGUCAUAUUUUCUAGGAUACUCUUAAUAUUUUUAUUUGCAGCUUUUACUACUCCAUUCAUCUUCAAACAAUAUGGUGCUGAAUUAUGAUGAUGAAUCUUGAACUGAGUGCACACUUCUUUCAUCACUUUUCUAUUCAAGUUUUUGGUAUUAUCAGAAAUAAUCCUCUUUAAAAGCCUAUAUCUGCACAUUGUCUCCUUCUUUAUGAACUUGUAUACCACAAUUGGGUCAUGCUAGCAUACAAUGUAGCUUUUACCCAUUUUGUGAAAUAAUCAAUUAUCAUAAAAUAACUUUAUCCCUAUUUAAAGCUUUCGAGGUCAUAGGACCAAUGACAUCUAUGCCCUACAUAGAAAAUAGCCAUAGAGGUGCUAAAACAUGCAAAGCUAAUGAAGGAGCAUAAAUCUUGUCAACAUAAAUCUAACACUUAUGACAUCUUUUGGUAUAAUCAAUACAAUCACAAUAUAGCCAACCCUCAUAAUUUGUCUAGCCAUUAUGUGACAAUUCACAUGUGCCCUCACAAACCCCAUCAUGUAUUUUUUCAGUAAUUUUUUUUUACUUCAAUUGCAUCUACACAUCUUAGAAGUACCUAAUCUCGACUUCUUUUGUAAAAAACAUCUCCAUCAAGAAAGAAACUCAUAGCCAACCUUUUGAUGAUCCUUUUAUCAUUUUCUAUUGCAUGCUCCAAGUAUUGUUGACUUUUGAUAUAUUAAAGAAUAUUAUGAUACCAUAGCUUCCCAUCCACUUCUUUUUUGAUACCUGAGCAAUGUGUUGGUACAUCUUUCACGUCUAACUUGAUGGGUUGGAUCUUAGUAUUUGCAUCUAUUUUGAUCAUUACAGCCUAAGUAGAUAGUGCAUCAACAAUCUGGUUCUCCUCUUUAAGCAAAUGCUCGAAUUAAACUUCUUUAAAUUACUUGACUAACUCAAGAUGUAUUUAUGGUAUCAGAUCAAUUUUGAAUCUCUUAUUUCUUAUUCACCUCGUAACUAAUAGAUGACUAGUGCUGAAUCUCCAAACACAUCCAACUCUUUGAUUUUUUUUCAAUUGCUGCUUGCAAACCCAUAACACAAGCCUCGUAUUUAGCCAUAUUAUUUGUGCAGUUGAAAUUCAAUCUAGCUGUGAUGGGAUAAUAGUGUUCAUUGGAGAUGUUAAAAUUGCUCCAAUACCAUGACCCAAAGCAUUAAUAGCUCCAUUAAAAUACAUCCUCCAAGACUUCUUGACAAGUUCAUUUUCUUCAAUGACUAUCACAUAUUCAUCAGAAAAAUCAAGCUUUAUUGGUUCAUAAUCUUCAGCCACACGAUCAGUAAAGAACUCGACUAUUGUACUCCUUUUAAUAACCUUUUGAGUUAUAUAGACAAUAUCAUACUCUGAAAGCAUAACUUGCUAUCAUGCUAUUCUCCUAUUAAUGAAGGCUUUUUAAAGAUAUACUUGAUAGGAUCUAACUUUGCUAUAAGCUAUAUAGUGUGAUAAAGUAUAUAUUGCUUGAGCCUUUGAGCUAUCCAAGCUAGUGUAUAACAUAGCUUCUCUAAUGGCAAAUACUUAGACUCAUAAUCAGUGAACAUUUUGCUCAAGUAGUAGAUUGCUCAUUCUUUCUUGUUGGUUUCAUCUAUUUGCCUCAAUACACAUCCUAUUGAAUUUUCAUGCAUGGUUAAGUAUAAAAUCAAAGGUUUUUCUAAAACUAAUGGCACUAACACGAGUGGAUUUGACAAGUAUUCCUUGACUUUGUCAAAAGCUUUUUGGCAUUCAUCAUUCCAUUCUCUUGGAUCAUGUUUUCUAAGAAGCUUGAAAAUGAGAUCACUUGUCGAUGAGUUGAAAGAUGAAACAAGCAAUAUAGUUCAAUCUUCCCAUAAAGCCUCACAUUUCUUUUAAGUUAAGAGGAGGGGAUAAGUUUUGAAUAGCAUAUAUUUUACUUGAUCCACUUGUAUUCCCCUUUCACUAACUACAAAGCCCAACAAUUUUUUUGAUUUAGCAUCGAAUGUAGAUUUUACAAGAUUUAACUUUAGUUGGAAUCUCCUCAAUCUAUCAAACAACUUUUUGAGAUUGACUACAUGAUCUUCUCCUUUAUGAAAUUUUGCAAUCAUAUCAUCCACAUACACUUCUAUCACUUUAUGCAUCAUGUCAUAAAAGAGAGUCACCAUCACUUUUUGAUAAGUAGCACUAAUAUUUUUCAAUCCAAAAGGCAUGACUUUGUAACAGAAUGUCCCUCACAUGGUCAUAAAUGUUGUUUUCCCCAUAUCCUCUUGAACCAGCUUAAUCUGAUUGUAGCUUGAGAAGCCAUCCAUAAAGGAAAAUAUAGAAUGCCCAACAGUGUUAUCCACUAGGGUAUCGAUAUAGGGUAGAGAAAAUUAUCCUUAGGACUUGCCCUAUUUAGAUCAUGAUAAUCGACACACAUUCUCACCUUUUCAUACUUCUUGGGAACAGGCACUAUAUCAGCUACCCAUUCAGGAUAUUUUUUUACCUCUAAAAAUCUAGCAUCAUAGUGCUUUUUCACUUUUUUUUUAAUCUUCAGUAGUAUCUCUGGCUUCAUGCAUCUUAGCUUUUGCUAUAUUGGCUUACAAUCUAAUUUCAAAGGCAAUUUGUGCUAUACAAUAUCAGUACUGAAUCCUAGCAUAUCCUGGUAAGACCAUGUGAACACAUCUACGUAUUCUCAGAGUAGUUCUUCUAGCCUUUGCUUAUCAGUUGGUGAAAAAGACAUACCAAUUUUAACCUCUCUUCUAUUUUAUCAUCCCCUAAAUUCACUAAUUCGAUAAUUUUUUGGUAAGGCUCAAUUGGCUUAUCUUCAUGUUCUAUUAAUUUCAACAAAUCAAGAGGCAAUGUGUAAUUAUCUUAUUUUUUUUCAUUAUCAAGUUCAUCAACAUGAAUUGUGCUUUCAAAAUCGAAUUUGAGAUUAUUACCAUGGUUAUUUUCAUGUUCAUUAUUUGAGACACUGCAAGGGGUGAAUGAAGAGAAUAUUGGCAUACAAAAGUGGAAUGGCAAGAAAAUGAUUAAGGUAGAAUGAAAAGAGAAAUGGAUCAAAUAAAUGAAAAUAAAAACAAAUAAAAAAAUGCAAAUGCAUCUUCUAAGUCUUUUAUUAAAACGACAAACAUAAAUACACCACAAAAGAUCUCAUAAUGCUCAUAGAGAGCAAUUAGGGAUUUAAAGUUUCAUAGUAAAUUACUUUUUAAAAGUUUUAAAGAUAAUAGGCAACUCCAUGACUUUCCAAUUAUCUAGUUCAAAAUUUGAAGGGCAAAGAUGCACAAAUAGCUCUUCAUCCUAACUCUUCUUUUUUUCCCCAUCUACCAUCUAAAUGGCCAGCUUAGUAAAAGUUUCAAUCAACUCCACAUUUGGGGUUUCAACUGAAUCUAGGUAAAUACAACCUCCUAAAUGAAAAGAAUCAUAGAGAUAAAGAAUGAUCAUCGACUUCGACUUUGGCUCAUAUCCCCCAAGAUUAGCCAUUGUUUUUUCUUUUUUCUCAUUCAUGAUUUUCAUUGUGUUUUUUUUUUUGUCAGUUUAUAACCCAAGUUAAGUCUAUCUUUCUUAUCAUGUAUUGUUGGAGGCUUCGUGAUUUCUUGCAGAUUCUUCCUAAGUUUGGCUCCAAGUUGCCAUUCCAUCUUGAUAAACUACUUAACAAUUAUUUUAGUAGUCAUAGAUAGGUGCGAUAAAUAUAAUUUAGAUCUUUUAGCUACAUAUGUUGUAUUGGCAAUCUCUAAAUAUCUAUAAAAGUACUUUGAGGCUCCAUCUACUGCUUCUACAUAAAGAGUAUUUACUGAUUAGGUUAUCAAUAAAUCUUUUUUUUGCCACACAUGUAAGCUUUUCAUCAAUAAUGAAUAUGACUUUUAAUGCAAUGAAGAUGGAACAACACCUGCCAUAUGAAUCCAUAGCCUACCCAACAAGUAACUGUAUGAGGGAGAGAUAUCCAUAACUUAGAAUUUCAUAUUGAAAAUGCAAAGGCCAAUUUGCAGCAACAUUUUUAUAUCUCUUAACACCUCUCUUCGAGUCCUAUCAAAGGCUAAAAUUACUAUAUAACUAGGUUUAUGUAAGAUCCAUCAACAAGUAAUUUUGUCAAAGUAGUCAUGGGCAUAACAUUGAUUGAUGUGCCAUUGUUGAUCAAAACCUUAGCCAUUAUGUGACUCUUGCAUUUUACAGUAAUGUAGAGAGCUUGGUACUUUUUUGACCUUCAAGAGGAAUCUCCUCAUCACUGAAAGAGAUGUAGUUUGAAAUUGCUAGAUUACCAACAAGCUAUUCCAUAUACUCAAUAGAUACAUUAUAGGACACAUAUACUUGAUUGAACAUCUUCAAUAGAGAGUUAAAGUGCGACUUUGAGCUUAGUAACAAUGACAAUAGCAAAAUUCUAACUAGCAACUUGUUCAACUAUUCUACCAUGCUAUACUCACUAUGUUUUAUUAGUUUUAAAAAUUCACAAGCUUCAUUUUCAAAGAUUGGCUUCUGACAAUCUUUAUCAGGAUUGUCACAAGAUUACUUUUAUUUCCCUUUUCUUCCCAACCUUUGCUUUUUCUUUCCUAGCUUUUUCUAACGUUUCUAGGGUAUAACAUCACCCAUUCUAGGUCAUACCUCCUAUACCUGUUAUGUUUGCAGCAUCUAGAUUGACUACAAUGUCAUAAUUGUACUUUUAUGGUACUACUUUGUCAUUUUGGUAUGAAAAAAGGCCAAAAAUUUUAAUUGUCACUACUGGUCGAGAGAUGAGCUUUUUGGCUUUGAGAUUGGCUUCUCAUCAUAAUAGAUAGUUAUUGAUAUACAUAUAAACUUAUUCUUCAAAUCAAUAGUAAACACUUCAACUUUUUUUUCUUCGUAAAACCUAUAUCUAUCAACUUCUGCACCUCUUGACAAAACUGGUCAAAAUUCUCGAAAGAAUGCCCCAAAGCACCUUUGUGAUAGUCAUAGCUCUUGGUUGAGUUAAUCACUCUAGAGCAAUUUUAAGACUUUAUUGACUUCAACAUAUCAGCCUUAACUAAAGCUUUAAACACCUUAGUCAUCAAAGUUUUAACUUCAUCUAUCCCCUUAUUCAUGUAACUCGUUUGUCCAUUAAUCAAAGCAUUUAUUGAUGGUCUAGUAUGGUUCGAUAGAGGGUUCUAAUUAACAUUUGGAGUCCCCGUUGGCUGGUAUCAAAGUUUAACACCGUUUCAUUGAUUAACGCUUGCACUUUAUGCUUCAAAGUAGUGCAAUUUUUUAUAGAAUGGCUUGGGUUUCCCUAAUGAUAAUCACAAAGCACAUUGGGAUCAUACCAUUUGAAAAAUGGAGGUUUCAAAGGUUUAACAAUAACAAAGGCUAGUAAAUGUUUUUCAAUAAGUUGAGGGUACAAAUUUGUAUAUGUCAUGGGAUAGGGUUGAAAGUGAUUUUUUUCUUAGGUAUUUCUUGGGGCUCUCAAACCACUACUUGGAUUGGGUCUCCAUUCUGGUUUAGUAGUAUAGCAAGACGAUUGUGAAAAUAGAUGGGUGUUUGAAAGAUGGCUAAAAGUGGGGGAGAUAAGUUGGUUGUUGUAGCAACUGAAACAAUUGAUACGGAUGAGGGAUGGAUGUAACAUUGUUAAUGGAGGGUAAUGGAUUUGGUACACUAGUGUGGGGUAUGGCAUGAAACUUCUGAACUAUUGCCCCACAUAGUUCACUAUUUAGACUUCAUUUUCUUUCUUCUUGAGAGCUCCACAUUUUUUGCUUCGCUUGUCUCUUUUACAUUGAGCUUGCUAUUUUUUAUGACGUUUUCAAUAAUCUCACUUGAUAUCACCAUAUUUGCAAAGUUCUUAGUUGCAUUGCCUAUUAGUCUUUUAUAAUAAGGUGCUUUCCAGGUGUUUACAAAUAGGAUAAUUGUCUCUUUCUCAGUGAAGGAAGGUUAUACUUGUACGACCACAUCUCUCCAUCUCUAUGCGUACUCUUUAAAGUUUUUUGUUGCCUUUUUUUUCAUGCUCUGUAGAGAUAGAUGAUUUCAUGCUAGAUCUAUAACAUGUCGAUAUUGUGUAAAGAAUGCUUUCAUGAGUUUUUGCCAGAAAUGAAUAUGAGUCCUGUCUAGUUGAACAUACCAGCUGGUUGCAAAUCCAUAAGGUUAUCUUGAAAUACAUGCAUCAAUAGCUUCUCAUGAGGAACAUGUGCCAUCAUCUUAUAAAAAUACAUGGUGACAUGAGUCAUUGGGUAUUUUGUACCAUCAUAUUUUUCAAAUUUAGGGACCUUAAAUUUAGGUGGAAUGACCACGUCUGGAACUAAACAAAGCUUGACUUCAUCUGUGGAGCCAUAAAAAUCAAUUCCCUUACAGCCCUAAGUCUUUCUUCUAAUAAUUUCAUCUUCUACUGGCACUAGUAUCUUUCACUUUCUUAAAUGUCUCAUCCCUAGCUUUUCUCUCUCUUUGGGAUCAUCCAAGUUACGAAUCAAGAUUGGCUCAAGUGGUUUUUCUACCAUGAUGAGAUUAGCAAAUUUUAAAACUAUCUUAGAAUAGGUAUAGAUGUCAUUCCUGGAUAAGGAUAGAAAUAUCCUCCAGGAGUAAGGAUUUGCACUCUAGCUCCUUGAUAAGGUUAGGUUAGUCGUGGAUCAAAUCUUAAGGGUACAGGAUCCACCAUGUCUGGCAUUUGCUCUUGAAAGCUGGAUUUUCUUCAUCACUUUUCCUUUGUCAAGAUUCUUGAGCAUGUCUAUUAUUUUACUAAGAUCCUCUUUUAGUUCCUUUUAAACCUUCUCAAUCCUCUCAAAUCAACUGGCCGUUCUUGUUCUAUGAUUCUUGUUUAAGCCCUAGUGUUAUAUGAAUGAUGAGUAGGUUGAGUCAAAAUUUUUAUGUACGAGCUAUUCUUGAACAUUUUUUAUCACAAAUUUUCAAAAAUUAGAAUGUCGUGUGUUGAAAAUUUUAUUUUUCACUUCUUUUUGUGAUUUUUAAAAAAUAUGGUAAUUAAAACAAAAACAAUGCACAUGAUACAUGAAUGCAAGUGAUAGAUAUUUGCUCUUGGACGAAUUUCAACACUAGAAAUUUUUAUUGAUUCCAUACAACUUUUGUUACAUGAGAUUUAUCAUCCUAGAAUUAUACUCAUAAAAGCAUUUGACUUGCUCAUAAUGAUCCUUGGCUUCAUCUAGAAAGUUCACUAGGCUAUCUAUAUUCUCCUACUAGAUUGACUUCUCUUCUUAAUGCAUCUACCUUUUAAACCAUCUCUCAUGCCUUUUUCACUGCCUUGCAAACUUGACUGGUCAGGUGCUAUAUUUACUGUUGCCUCUUAAGUUUUUGCUCUCCAUCUCAUGCAAACAACUCUUUCCAAAUCACAUGUGCAGAUCUAAUCUUUUUCCUUCUCUACCAUUCAUUUAUUAUUGCUAAAAUAUGGUUCUUAUGGUCUUGCAAUUGUAGCUCCAACCCUUAGAUCACCUAGUAAAGUGAUUUUUUUUCAUUUAGUAUUUCAAAGUGCUUUUUACUCUCUUUGGCAAGCAUAGCCUUCAACCUUUUCUUUUUGGCAUUCAACCAAUCUUGUUGAAACUAUAGAGUAUAAUCUUUCCCAAUUCUGACAUUCUUAAGAAAUUCUAGUGACCUCUUCUUGCUUUUCUUGAGCUUUGCCUUUUUAUUGGUUUAUUUCCUCUCAGAGCUUAUCCAUUUCAUGUUGCUAACUAAGAUAAGACUUGAUGACUUUUUCAGUCUUGAAUUGGACUUGUAAUCUCUUAUUUUCUUGGUAUAGAUCUUUCAAAUCAUUGUUGGCCACAUGCUGUUCUUUUAUGACCUUAUCCAAUCUAUUCCCUUGUACUUUUAUUUUGUAUUUCAAUUGUCCCAUCUUCUCACAAAAUUUCAAAUUUUCUCCUUUUAUUUCCUCUGUUUUAGCUUCUAAUUCUUUCCUGACAAGCUCAACUUCUGAUAAUUGCAUUUUUGUCAAAAUGUUAGCCGAUUGAUGUGAGUCAUCAUUAGGAAUGAGCACUAUGUCUUUGAGUCUUCUUUCCAAAUCUGGUAAUCAAAGUGAGUUUGUUGAUUAAAGGCCCUAAUCUCAUUCUUCACAUUUUCUUCCAUGCUUGGAUCAACCACCUGAUGUUCUUGGUGGAUUGGACUCCCCAUAUGUGAACUCUACUUGAACCAGGUCAUAAGUGACAAGAACAAACUGCUUUACACUGAAUUACCUCAAUACCGUCAAUGAAGCAUAACUUACCACACCCCAUAGUCCUAACAGUGGUAUCCAUGAUUCAUUUCCUUCUUGAUACAACAUGGGCACAUAGGGCAUCCACGGUGCUAUCCAUUUUAUUUCAUCCCCAAUAAGGCUUCGUAAGAAAAGAACCCAUUCUUCUUUAGUCUUUAAUGUCAACCAUUAGCUUUUAUAGAAUUCUUUGAUUGGUGCCUUGUUUUAAAGAUAUGGCUUUGAGAAUGCAUUCUUUCCACACUUGAAAUGACUUUUAAUCCAUAUAUGUAAUAGUAGUGCAAACCCUAUGAAUCAUCCUUUUUCAUUCUGUCGACAAAAAUUCAAUGACCUGAUGGUUUCAACUAGGACCACUAGUGCAGGAUUAAUUGCUUGGGUUUCAAUUUGCUCAAAAAGUCCACCACCAUUAUCUCAAUGUAGCCCAAGAUCUUUGGAAAGAUCACCAUGCCAUACAAUGCUAAAGCAAACACAGCCAUGCCUUAAUCAUCAUCUAAAUGCUCUUAAAUAAAAUUAUGGAAAAAGUUUCAAUGAAUACCGAGAUGUUCACCUUUAGGCUUUAUAAAAAAAUCUAUUGUUUCUACUUUAACCUCCAUAAGCUUGGCCAACUUGUUAUCAUAACUUCAUUUCAGCUUUCGGGUAAACACUUUUAUCCAGACACUGUAGUUCUAUCCCAAGCAAAAUUGAGUAUUCCUUAAUGGUUAGUGUAAACAUCAAAUUUUAUUCAAGACUUUUUUUCAACAUGAUUGACAUAGGGCUCAUUUACAAACAUGGGCCAAGGCCAUUUAGGAGGAUCAUUUAUGACCCAUAAAGAGCUCACAAAUUCACCUAUUUAGAAACCUAAAGUCAACUUGGAUCAAAUCCGAUCAAACAAAGUCAAAAUUGCACAAAACUUGAUCAAAAUGUAUGAGAGCCUAAAUCAAUUCUAAAAAUUCAAAAUCUAAUUGAAAUCAACAUGGUUUUAAAAAUGAAUUUGAGAUUUUUUUCAAAACACUCAAAUUUUCAUAGUGCCCCAAAAAGGUAAAAUUACCAAAAUAUCCUUAUAGAUGUAAUUUCAUAAUUUGACCUUUUCCAGCUUGAAUUUUUUUGAAACUUCUCAAAUCUUAAUUUUAUAAUAUUUCAUAAAUUUUGGUGCAUUUAAAAUCACGAUGGUACCUCAAAAAGGAUGAAAUUACCAAAAUAUCCUUAUUAGGGUAUUUUCAUAAUUUUACUUUUUUGAACUCGGAUUUUUUUUUAAACUCUUCAAAUUUUAAUUUUAUAAUAUUUCAUGAUUUUUGGUGAGUUCAAAGCCACAAUAGUACUUGAAAAGCGUGAUAUUACCGAAAUGCCCUUAUAGGGUAUUUUCGUAAUUUGGCUUUAUCGAGCUUGGAAUUUCACAAAAACUUUCAAAUCUUAAUUCCAUAAUAUUUUAUGAUUUUUAGUGCUUGAAAAUCCAAAAAAUGACCAUGGAAACAUUGAUUUCUAAGAAAAUGAUCAUAAAUACCAAAAAUUUGUACUAUGGAUGAAAUGGUCUAUUUCAUAGGUUUGGGAGUAUAAAAAUUCAACAUUUGUAGUGUUCGAUGUCGGCCAUUGGAUCUUUUGCUAUCUCUUGAUCCAAAGGCCAAAGGUGGCUCUUUCAAAAAAUAGAAAAGGAGAAACUUUGGCCCUUUGAUAAGUUUCAUCUAAAGGCCCUCAUUGAUCAAGAUUAGGAUCUUAAUCUUAGAGGCUUGGCCGAUUAUAUAUAGGCUAGAGGGAAAUAAUUAGAACGGGGGGAUGGAAAAAGAGGCAUCUAAAAAAAAAGAGAGGAAACAUCUGAAAAAAAUAAAAAAAAAAGAGAGCACAAAAAAAAGAAAAGUUGUAAACAAAAAAAUUCAAGAGGUGAGACAGCCCAUACCAAUGUUUAGUUUUUCCAAUUAUAUCAUGUGUUUUACACUAUUUUUGCACCUGUUAUGAUCUUUUUUGCAAGUGUUUUUAUUUAUUCCUUUCAUGCCUCAUGUUUGGUGUAUUUAUUGAUAAAAUUUCAAGCCUUAUUUAUUCUAUGUUUUUGUUUCAUUUUUUUUCAAACUGGUUGGAACAUCAUUGUCUAUUCUAGUGUUGUCGAAUAACUGCUACUUCUCUUUCUAGUAGUAACUAUUCGGUCCAUGCCAUAAAUCCUCUAACCUUUCUUUUCCAUCAUUCAUAUCUAGCCUAUAACUAGCUUAAGCUAAGACAAAUAAAGAUAAGGAAAUUAGCUUGGAGUAGCCAAACUGUGCUACCUAAUUUUCCAUAGGCAAUCAUAGGUUGGAUUAUUUUUUUUAUAUAAAUAUAGCCCUUCAUUUGACUGGGAAGAAUGCUUCAAUAGAAAAUGAUUUCAAAGUUAAGGAGAUAAGCCAUUAGAAAGGGAAGAAAGGUUUAAAAGUUUUAGUUUCCUUUCACUUUUAAUCCCUAGUUUCAUGUAGUGGGGUCUUAUACACAUUAAAGCUUUAAGUUUUUUUUAUCUUCUGGUCUUUUUCUUUACAUGGGGUCUUGCCUUUAGUCCAUUCUUGUAUUUGACUAUAUGAAAAAUAAAAAGUUGAAAUGGUUAACAUAUAGAGCAAGCUUCACGUGAAUGUUCCCUCUUUAUUUUUGUUUUGCUUGACUUUCUUUGUAUGACUUUGCUUACUCAACCAAUGCAUGAACAAUAAAUUCUAGAUGUAGGAAAACACAAGGAAUGAAAGCUGAAAAUAGGCCAUAAGUAGUGCAUGCUUCACGUGAACUAGGUUGUCCCAUCUCCAAGUUUGUUUUGCUUGGUUAUUUAUAUUUUUAUCUACUUCAUCAGUGCAUGAAUCAGUUUUGGAUGAGGGAAAAUAUUACAGUUACCACAUAGUCCCAUCAUUAUCUUGAUGCUUAGCUCUCUUAUGGUUCUUUUUGGUAUGAUGGUUGUAAGGGUGGGUCAAUCUUUAGCAUAAUGGUUAUUAGAUGUUCUAAAGAAUAUAAUAAAAAAAUGUUUUGAUUAAAGGAUUAGAACCUUUAAGCAGUAAUAUUCAUUUUAGCAUGAUAAUCAUGUUUAUUUUUGGAUUAUGCCAAGGUUUUGAAUGUCGAGUUCCUUUGUGCAUUUAUUAGCUUUUAAACUGAUUUGUUUAUGCUUUUUGAAUACAUUUUAUGUAUCUUAAUUGCUAUUUACAUUUUAAAGAUUUUUACUAAUACUAAUAAUUUUGUGCUAGAAAGUAUAAUUAGUUAUAUAAAGAAUUUUAAUUAAUUUUUGGAAUAACUAUAAAAAAUAAACUUGCUCCAAAAGUCUAUCCAAAAGUCUGCUAGAUAUUAGAGACUUUUAGAGAGGUUCAUAAAUUCUUAAAAUUUGAAUCCAAAUCUACCUAUUCACAACCUCAAACUCUUUUCAAAAUUUGUAUAAAAGCCUUUGAUGGAGUAAUUUGUUCCCAAAUGCCACAUAGAUGUUGGGGUAUUUAGGAAAUUUUAUUUCAUUAAGAAUUUUCAUACAUUUCUGCAACUUAAACAAAUUUUAUUUUUUAUGUAUCUAGUUGUAAUUAUACCCACACAAUUUAUUUAUGAUUGUUUAAAUUUAAUUGCAAGCUUAAUCUUAUGCAUUGUUAAUUUCUUCAUUGUUCGAAUUCCUAAUGCUUGUUUAAAUUUAAUCUUUCAUACCUAAAUCUAUGUUUGAUAUAUUUUAUUCAUUUAAAAAAUAUAUAAAAAAAUGAGCUUGCUCCAAAAGUCUGCUUAGAUAUUAGAGACUUUUAAAGAGGCUCGUAAAUUCUUAAAUUUUAAACCCAGACUUACCUAAAAACUCAAACUCAUUUUAAAUUUAUAAGAAUUUGUAUGAAAACCUUUUGUAAAGUAAUUUGCCCCCGAAUACUGCCUAGACGUUGGGGUAUUUAGGAAAUUUUAUUUCAUUAAGGAUUUUCAUACAUUUCCAUGGCUUAAAAAAAAUAAAUUUAUUUUGCUAAAAUUUUGGUUAUGAAAAUACCUAUUAACUAAUAAUAAUUGGAUGAGAUUUUUAAAUAUUCACAUCCAAACUCUGCCUAGAUGUUGAAGAGUUUAGGUAAUUUCUUUAUAUUUGAAAUCUUGGUUUUUAAAUUCACACUUGAUCAUCAUUUUGCAUAUGUUUUGCUUUAAAUUAAUGUCUUUAUCUACGAUGCAUACAUAUAUGUUUGCUUUAGUUAUGGUUGUUAACAUUCCAUUUUUUUUACCAUAUAAAAAAUUUUCUUAAAAUUUUGCUUUUAUAAUGGGGAAUUCAAGGGUAUUUCUUUAAUUUGAAGAUUUUCUCAAUAUUCAUCAAUAAAAGAUUUUUAAAAAAAACUAAUUUUUAUUUCUUAUAAAAAAAGGAAUUAUAAUUAAAUUUCAUAUUGAAAACCAUUUUUAUCUAAAAUUACAAAUAACGCAUAAUUAAUUGGUACCAAUUUUAUUAGCAUUGUAGGGGUGCUAAUCAUUUCCUACAUGUAAUCGUUCCUGAACUUGAUCUUAUUUUUGUAGACCAAAAUCAUCUUUUUAAGGAAGUUUUCAACCCGAUUUUUUGUUUUAUUAAAAAGAUAAAAUUUUUGGAUGACCAAUCACACCCUUAAAAAAUGAUUAGUGGUGACUCCUCGUGUUUUUCACGGUAACUUUUAAAUUGUUACAUCUAGCAAUUAAGUCUUCAGACUGAUACAUUACAAUAGUUUGGUAACUCUGCUAGGGACUUUUGAGAGUCAGGCCAAAAGUUUUAAUUAUAUGCUAUCAAUAAUUGUUGGAUUUAAUUGAUUUUAUUUGAUAUUUAAUUUAAUUUCUUUUAUUUUAAUUUUUCAAAAUAAAUAUAUAUACAUAUAUAUAUACAUAAGUUAAUAAAUAAAAUAAAUUGCAUAUUAGUUAUUUUGUUUUGAUUUUGUGCUUAUGAUUUAUUUAUGAUAUUGAUUUAUUUAUGAUAUUUUGAUUAAUAUGUCUUUUUGCACACACUCUGCAUAUGCACUUAUAUGUAUGCACUCUAGACCCAGACUCUAUCCUUUUAGAAGAAAGUGAAGUAGUUACACUCUCUUGAGGUGAUAACUUCUACAUUUACUAGCGAAACACUUCCAUUCAAAUUGAACCCUUUCCAUUAGUAGCUUGUAAUGGGUAAGGAUCGGGGAGCCUUACUAGUCUAUAAUAGAUAAUGAUGUAAGAAAAUAGUCUAGGAACCUUUAGAUAUGUGAAUCCUAACCCAGCAUAUCAUGAACCCUAAAGAUCCAACCUAGGAUAGAGCCGUGCCAUCCUUCUCGAGAAAAUUAUCAAAACUUAGGACACUAUAUACAUUUUAUUGUUUUGUUGUAGGGUUGUUAUAUUGUUUGUUUGUUUUGAAUUAUUGAAUCAUUUUAUUUUCUUUGAUUUUGUUGCUUGCAUCAUAUAGGCAUUAUAUGGUAGUCAUCAAUAAAAAAGGAGGAAAAAAAAAGAAUUUUAAAUUUGAAUCUUUCAUUUUUUUCGUUUGAUUUUUUACAUAUAUUUUUAACAUGUCAAAAAAAAAAAGAAAUAAUGAGAUAAUAUAUACACCCCAUCCUAUACAUCCUCAUAGAUAGUACAUGCACCCUAUCUAAUACACAUUAUACUAAGAUAAUACAUGCAUUGCAUCCUAUUCUCAUCAGUAAAUAGUACAUGCAUUUCAUUUCAUGCACAUGCCUCAUAUGCGUAUCUUAAUAGGUAGUGCACACACUUAAUUUCAUUCCAUAUUUUAAGGUAGUGUCAGUUUCAUUUGGUUGAUAUAACACAAGUAUUGCAUUUCAUGUAGAAAUAUCACAUGCAUUUGAUAGUCUAGCACAAUUUAUCCUUUGUCAUAGGAUUGUUCUUAAUGUAUAAACUUGAAACUUUUGGGAAUGAAGGAAAACUUUUAAAUUUUCUAUGAAUGGACGUCUUUUAUUUACAUUGUGUGCCUAAAAGAGUUUGUGAGAAAGAAUUAUGGUUGUAAAUAAUAUUUUCACCAUACUUUUAAGGUGGAAGAAAUGUCUUUAAAUAACCCGACUUGAAUAUAAUAGGGAAUUUGAGCUUAUCCUCAAUAAUAAUAAAUUUUGACUUGUAUAUCAUACAUCAUUUGUUUGAAUUCAUUAUUUUUCAUACUAGCUAAGGACAAAGAAUGAUGAUUGUGUAAAUAUUUUUGUUAAACCUUUAAAGCAAAAAAAAAUUAUUCGUAAUAAAGUCCCAUAUAAAUAGUUUUCAAUAUCAAAAAAUAAAAAAUAGGUCUUUUCAAAAGAAAAUAUACAAUUUUUCUAGUGAGAAUCUCAAAGUAAUUAGUGAUUACUAUAAAAAAAAAUCCUCAUCCAAUACCACUAAACUUUUCCUUGACCACUCUUAUGUUGCAAUAUUUUUGAAUAAUUUUACUCACCAAUCAUAAUUCUUUAAGCGAUAUGAAUUUUCACUUGUGAACCUUGUUGUCAUUUGAUAUAUUGAAACCAUAGUCUUUUCUUGGGCAAUGAACAAAAGAAAAGUCAUUUUGAAUUUUGAAAACCAAGCAAGAUACUUUUUCAAAUUUUUAAUUGGUAAUUCAAUGUGUAUCAAAUCUUGCCAAUAUGAUUCAAAAAAUGCCUGAACUUUCUUUCUCAAGUAACCAUUAUUUCAUAUCUUAAGGUACAUUAACUAAAAGAAACAAACUUCUUUCUUGCCUAAGACAAUUUGUUCCAUGCUUUAUUACCUUUUUCCUCAUUUUACCAAAAUGAUAGACAAUUUGGAACCAAAAUGAGUCUUUUUGUGAAUUGUGCAACCAAAUUUAGGACAUCCCAUAUAACCUCAUAAAAACCUUGAGUAGAAAGACAAGAUGGGACAUCUAUCUAUUUCUUCAAAUACAUUGCUCUUUUAAUCAAGUGAUCAUGUUUGAAAUGAUGAACAGCCAUCUUUCUCUAUCUUUCACUUAUAAAAAAAUUAUCCACUUAUUACCUUUUUGAGCUUAUUAAAUUUAUUGUUCUCAAAAUGAACCCUAGUCAAAGAUCACUUUGGAGGGCACAAUGAGGAUAUCUUCAAAAGUCCAACUUUAAGGAAAGUGUCUGAUAUUGAGAAUAUCUAAUAAGCACUUUGAAAAUAAGGGUUUGAAGUAAAAAAAAAAAAGUGAAUGACAUUUUAGGAAAAUAGAAUUCAAAAAGUUUAUUGCUAAAAUAAAGUCAAAUGUCACAAAAAAAAAAAGAGAUAGAGACAAAAAAAAAAGAAUGAAAAGAAAAAUGGUUAUGACAUCAUGCAUUUAGGAAAUUUAAACAAAUCUUGACAAAUUCAAAGCUUUGGAAAAGGGACGAAAAAGCCUAAAAUAAAAAAAUAACAAACAAAAAAAACUGUUGAAAUGAAAAUAUUUUUUUGAGAUCAUUUUUCUAAAGAGAACUACUCUUGAAUUUAAAUUUUAAUACCUGAAAUGAUAAAUGACCGUCUUUCAUUAUCCUUUCACAAAUAUAUAAAUUUAUCCAUUGUUACCCAUUUGAGCCUGAUUGAAUUUUUUCAAAAUAAACCCUAAUUUACCCUUCACACUAGGUGACAAAAAAGAAACACAUUUAAGGUUUAAGAAUGGGGAUGUUCGAAUGGAAUCUCAUGUGAUAAGGGAAAAAGCCCAAUAUAAAAGUUCACAAAAGUUCUAAAUUCAUUCAAUGAAAGAAUGCAAAAUAUAUAUAUGAUAGAAAAAAGGAAAAAAAAAGAAGAAAUGAAUGGGUAAAAGGCAAAAAAAGGAAUAGAGCUCAAAGUGCUUCUUUUGAAUGGAAAAAUGAUCCUUUGUUUUUAAUACCCUUAAAUACUUUUUUUUAGGCCCUUAUAUCCUUUUCUUUGACAACCAUGAACCUUAACCUACGUUAUAACCUUUAAAAAGUCUAUAUUGGAUCAAGUAUGAAGGCUUAAAAUUGAAGAGUUUCUCUUAGAAAAAUGAUCAUGAAUCUUUUGAGUUCCCAUUUAUUACACAAUUUCUUGCUUGGACUGUUAACCCCAUUUGAAAAAUUAUUUUCCUUUUUUGGAUUAGUUUUGAAUUUUUUAAAUGCAUGGUGUGUUAAUCGAAAAAGAAAAAGUAAAAAAAAAAGAAGAGUAAAGAAAGAUAGAUACAUGGCUUUUCAUUUAAAGAAUUCUUCGAUUGAUGCCUUGUUUCAAAGAUACAGCUAUGAGAAUGCAUUCUUUCCACACUUGAAUUGACUUUUAAUCCACACAUGUAACGGUAGUGUACACCCUAUAAAUCAUCUUUUUUUAUUCUAUCGAUAGAAAUUCAAUGACCUAAUGGUUUCAACUAAGACUACUGGCACAGGAUUAAUUACUUGGGUUUUACUUUGCUCAAAAAAGUUUGCCACCAUUAUCUCGAUAUAGCUUAAGAUCUUUUGGAAGAUCACCAUGCCAUACAAUGCCAAAGUAAACAUAACCAUGCCUUGAUCAUCAUCUAGAUGCUCUUAAACAAAAUUACAGAUGAAGUUUCAAUGAAUAUUGAGAUGUUCACUUUUAGGCUUUAGAAAGAAUCUAUGGUUUCCACUUUAACCCCCAUAAGCUUGGCCAACUUUUUGUGAUAACCUGAUUUCAACUUUCUAGUAAACACUUUUAUCCAGACCUUAUAGUUUUAUCCCAAGCAAAAUCUAGUAUUCUCCAAUGGUUAGCACUAAAUUUUCCUAAUUAAAAAUGAAGCAUCAUAAUGGGGGUUCCAAAACUGUAUAUUUGUCUGGACCAACUAUUCCUUGAUUAAAACCAAAAUGAAGGGAUGUAAUCUACCCAUACUUCUUGUAAAAGCUUUCUUUUCUUUCUUCACUUAACUGAUCCUAGAUGACAGCUAAGUCUUCUAAAUUGCUCUAUGUAAGAUCCAAAUGCAUCUUUUUGAGUAACUCAUACACAUAACUAGUAGGCAAACAAUCUCUAUUCUGUUACUAGGCUUCCUUUAACCAAACAUGUACUUCAUUAUAUGAUUCACAUGGGAUAUUGAUGAAGAAUGAGCAAAUCUGUAGUUUUAUAGGAUCCUUGAAGAACUUCUCAGGAGAAAGAUAUCCUUGAGCAAAUAUCUCAAUGCAGAACUAUAUGAUAUGUUUUAAAUUUCAAAUUUUCUUAAAAGAAAAAUGUCAUAGGAAUCCUAGAUUUUUUUAGCUUUAAAUUUCAAAUUUUCAAUCGAUCUGGUAGACUUUAGUGGCUGAAAUCCACAUUGCCAAGUUAAACAAAGGUGUUAGGCGACUGUGACGAUGGUGUUUUUGGUGUAUUUAAUGCACAAUGACUUUUGGUCAAAAUGACCUAAAAAGGGAAAAAAAGAAAAAUAAUAACAAUAAUGAUAAUAAAUAAGAAAAAUUGGACGUUUAUAGGCCAUGGCAUGGAGAAGCUUAGCCAAACCUCCUAAGAUUACAUCAAUGGUGGAUUUUGUUAUGGCUUGAUCUCUAUUGCUUCAAAACACAACUAUUGAUUAGUUGGUUGAUUUUUGGAUCAAGCUUGGUGUUAAGGAGGCAAACAUCUUUGGAGGAAGCUAUUUUCUCUUGAAAAAUAUUACUUAAACCAAAACAAUAAGGAAACAUGGCAAGAAAAUUCAUGGAAAUGAUCAUAGAAAUGUAUGGAGGAUAGGGUAGAAAUAUACCUCCCAAAAGCUUCCUAAAAUCUUUUUUUUCCCUCCCUUUACUUCUCUUUUUCAUGCUACUUCUUUGGCUACCUCCCCUUUUUUUCUUAGCCUAAAAUGAUGAAUAUAAAGGCUAUGCAAAUGCAUGAUAGCCUUUGAUAAAAAAUACAUCCAAAGGCCACUAGCUCUCCUCCAAGUUUCCAAACAAUCACCUUUCACCUUUAGAUCAAGGUCUUUGAAAGAUUAAUGGUUCAUGAUGAAUCCAGCACAAAAUGAGGUUUAUGGUAUAGCUAGAAUAACGUAAAAGUUCAUUUUACCCUUUUUUUUUAAAAUUUUCUCCUUUUUAUGAGAUUUUCUUGAAAAGACAUGAUCCUUUCUUUAUUUUUGUGAUUUCAAUGUGCCAAAAAGUCAUCAAAUAAUAUGAAAACAUUAUCUGAAAGUUUUCGUGAAAAAAUCAACCUCAAGAAAGUUAAAUUAUGAAAAUAAUCCUAAAGAGAAUUUUAAUAAUUUCACACCUUUUGAGAUAUGAUAUAGGUUUUUAAUGUAUCAAAAAUCAUAAAAUAAUUUCAAAACAUAAUCUAAAGUGUUUCAUGAAAAACCAACCUCUGAAGGUCAAAUGACAAAAAUAUUCCUAUAGGGCAUUUUAAUAAUUUUAAAGCUUUCGAGGUGUGAUCAAGGCCUUUAAUAUAUCAAAAAUCAUAAAAUGAUAUCAAAUUAUAAUCUAGAGCAUUUCGUAAAAAACCAACCUCAAAAAGGUAAAAUUAUGAAAAUACCUCUAAAGGGCAUUGUAGUAAUUUCACAUCCCUUGAGGUACGAACAAAGUUUUUAAUGUACCAAUAAUCAUCAAAUAAUGUUUAAAUAUAAUCUAAAAGUUUUCACUAAAAAUUAACUUCAAGAAGAUCAAAUUACAAAAAUAUCCUUAAAAGGCAUUUUGGUCAUUUUACCUUUCUUGAAGCGUGAUCAGAGUUUUUAGUGCAUUAAAAUCACAAAUUCCAACCAAAAGCCUUGUUAAUCCCAUUAGUUAUAAAUUUUGAAGAAUGACCCAAGUUUGAUCUUGUUCAAUGGAUUUUGAUCGAGUUUGAUCAAAUUUGACAAAAUUUGAUUAAAUUUGACCAAGUUUGACCCUAAGGCAUUUGGGUCAAAUUGGUUUUAAAUUUGACUUUGAAAACUGUCAGUAUUAAAAAAUGUUGGAUUUGAAUUGAGUUAAAUUUUAAAAGCCUCACAACUAGCUAGAUUUUGAUAAAAUAAAACUAAAUGUCUACAAAAGUCAAAAGGAUACUUGUUUUUUGGCAACAGACAAGAUGGCUUUAUCAUCCAUUUCAUCAUAAAGCACAUUUUGAUGAAUGAAAUUAAAUUAUGGAGCCACUGUUCGUGUAAUGUGAAAAGUAAUGUAUUCAUGAAUGAACAUUUUAUACUCUUUUAUAACAAAAUUGAAUACUAUAUUAAAUGAUAUAAUUUAAAUACCUUAAUUUAUAAGUGGUUUAAGACUUUCAAAUUUAUAUUUCAUGCAAUUGUGAUACUUGCUAAGUGUGAUAUUAUUUAAACAUUAAAAAAUGAUAAUUUCAUCUAAUAUUAUUAUUAUUAUAUAUAUAUUUGAACGAGUUUAGAUGCUUAUUAAUGUAAUUAAUUAAUUAAUUUCUAGAAUUCUUUGCGACCAAAUAUAUUAUUGUUGUGUACUUAAUUGAAUAUGAAUAUUCUAGUAAUUACCAAUGCUUAUUAAUUAUCUUUGGGACUCGUAUUUGUGAAUAAUUCAAAUAUUAGUAAGUUUACUAUAAUGCAUCUAUCUACCUUUUUCUUAAUGUAUUUUUAUCAUAAUUAUAUCUUGUAUGUCAAUGAAACAUUGGUUUAGUGGCAAGCAAGAGAUUUUACAUCCUUGAAGUUCUAAAUUCAAGUGUCACUGUAUGCAUUUGAUUCAAUUUUAUAUUCUAAUUUAUUUUAGUUAUAUUAUAAUUUUUUUAUUGAUUAUUCAAUAUUUCUUAUUUAUGACUAUUGAACUUGAUUAUGAUUGUAAUUUUAAUUUCUUAAAAAAAAAGUCUUAUAUAUUCAUUUGAUUGAUUUUUAAAUUUUUUUUAAGGAGAUAGUUUGAAAAUGAAAAUUAUGUUUCAUUUUUAAUUUGUUUAAAAUAAAUAGACUAUUUUACCAUGAACUAGAAAUUUUUGGGUUAAAUCAAUUCUAAAUAACUAAACUAAAACCAUGGGAAAAUGGGGGGGUUUAUUUAAUUCUAAGGACAAAUAUUGUUCAACCUUAAACACCAAAAUAUAGUCCAACAUUUACAAAUUACAAUUGGAAUUCAUCAUGAAUACAAGUAUUCAAUUAAUUAAGACUCUAGCUAAUUACGAAGCAUUAAAAUUGAUUGUAAAAAGAUUCAAAAAUAUAUGUCAAAGUGAAAUGAAAUGAUUAUUUUAGUUUAGAAAGAGCCUAAUAAUAAUAACUAAAAUUCGACCCCUCUUCGUUGGGGUUCAUUAAACAUUUUUUAUUAUUCUUUUUUAUAUUUAUGAUGCUUUUUAACAUAAAAUUAAUAAUAAAAUUUUUAAUCUAUGUGUUAAAUAUUAUAAAUAUAUUGAAAUUAAAAAAAUUUAAUAUAAUGUUGUUGUAUUUUUGUUUUAGGCUUUUUGUGCUAUUUUGUGAAAGUUUAGGCUUUAUUAUAUUUUUAAUAUUUUGUUAUUUUAUAUUUAAUAAUAAAUAUAUCCAAAUAAAAAUAAAUUUCAAAUCCGCCCAACACUUUUCAUAAGAAUCUAUAGUUAUUUUUAUUUAAGAAAAUUUAGAAAAAAAUUAAAAUGUUAACUUUUGAAAAAAAUUUAUUUUUAGGAAAUAUUUUCUAAAUAAUUAUUGUUUCAUUAUGUUUAUUUUAGGCUUUAUUAGAUUUUGCAUUUGAUUUAAUUAUAUAUAUAUAUAUAUAUAUUACUUUUUUAGUUUAGGAUUUAUUAUAUUUUCUAUUUAGCUUUAUUAUAUUUUCUAUUUGACUUUAAGGUUAGAAGCUUAAUGUGCCAAAUAAAAAAAUAUUUACUCAGUCUUUUAAUUUAAGCAAAUACAAAAUGAAUUUAUUUGUUUGGAGAAAGAGAGAGAAUUUUAAAAUUCAGGUGAAUUUUUAAUAAAAAAUUUAAGGUGCUUGAAAUUCCAACUAAAUAAAUAGUUUUUUAAAAUUCCUUCUAACCCUCUCUCUCUUUACUACAAAUGAUCCAUCAUAAAAUACAAAAUUAAGAAAAUAAAUAUAAUUUUAUUUAACUCUAAUAUACAUUUUUAGUUUUUUAUACUAUUAAUGAUAUAUAUAUUUUUACAAAUAUAAAGAUUUCCGUAUUGCAUAUUUUAUUUUGCAUAUAUAUUUUUUAUCUUUAAUAUCAUUAUUAUUCUUUUAUAAUUAUUUUUUAUCUUAUCUAAUUGCAAUAGAUUUUUUUUUUAAGAAAUACUUGUUCAAACAAAAUAAUUGCAAAUGCUAGCAUUUUAAAAUGCAUUCAUUCCAAAUUUCUUCAAAAUUUCAAAAUUCUCCAUCUAAAUGCACUAUUAAUAAUUUUGCAAAAUCUUUUUAUUUUUUUGCAAAAUACCCAAAACAAUUCAAAAUAUGCAAAUUAUUAUUUUAGAACAUUGUAAAUCUACAAUAAUUCAAAAUAUCCAAAAUUUUUAUUCUUUAAGGUUUUAAACACAUAACAAUUCAAAAUACCCAUAAUCAAUUUAUGAUCCUUACUCAAUAAUUUUUUUUUUUUUCAAAUUUUGCUAAAAUACUCAAAUCCCAAUAUAGAAAUCCUUAAACCUACUAGGAAAAGUAGUCAAAAAAUAUCAAAAUCAAUGAAAGAAAAUUUUUGAGCAAUUAAAGUAUGACAACUAAGAAAAAAAGAAAAACCAAAACACAAGAAAUAUUGUAAAAAAUAAUCUUAUACAAUUAUCUAAUGUUCAUCUUUCUCCUAUCAAGCCAUCACAAAGAUAAUAAAAAAUAAAUAUAAGGGUUAAUAUGUAAACUAACAUCUUCUAUUAGUUUAGUACUAAAAAUAAAAAUUUUUAUUUUAGUAUUUUAAUUUUCACUUCAUUAAGCACUUUUGAUACAUCACACUGUUAUUAUCAGUUAAAUGACUAACGUUAUAUGAAUAUCUAAUAAAAGCAUACCAUGUAUCAUAAAUGUUUAGUUAUCGUCAUGUUAACUAUUGCCAUGUCAGCAAAAAAUUUUAAAAAUUAAAAAAAUAAUUUUUUAAAAAAAUAAAAAAUAAAAGUAAAAGAUUAGGGAGAGAGAGGGGGAAUGAAAGAAAGGGAAGCAAAAUGAGAAGGGGGAAUGGAUAACGUCAAUGAUUGGCCUAAGGUCAAACUGAGGUCGGUCUACCCCAGGCCUAGUAAAACAACAUUGAUCCAGCGUAAAUGAGUUGUGUCGGUAGAUUCGAAGUGGAUCAUCACCGAUUGGCCCCAAUCUGGCACUAAGCUGCCAACAUUUGUCACCUUUGCCUUCACAUUCCCCUAUUUUCUCCUUUUGUUUCCUUUUUUUUUCUUUCUCCCUGAUUCUUUUCCUUUCAUUUUUUUUAUUUUUUCAUUUUUUUAAUUUCGAAUUAAGACAUAUACUUUUAAAAAAAAUUUUGAAUUUUUAUUUAAAUGCUGAUGAUAUAACUAUAAUUGACAUUUAUGUUAUUUGCAAUGAUUUUGUUGGAUACCAAUAUUAUGUAAGUAACUUAAAUAACGAUAAUAGUUUGAAGUAUUAAAAUACUUGACAAAUGAAAAUUUAAGUAUUAAAGUGAAAGUUUUAUUUCUUUAGAUACCAAAAUGACAAAAAAAAAGUAUAAGAGUCUUUUUUAUUUAACAUUAAAUAUAAAAAUAAAAAUAAAUAAAAGUUAUCCAAUAAAAUCUAGCCUAACGGAAAACACUAAUCUUUUUAAUCCCAAAAUCCUUUUCAUCAUCUUCAAAAUUAGCAUGAAAACUUGCAAAAAAUUCCAAAAGAGAUCAUAUUACUUGUUGCAAUUUUUUGCAUCUAAGAUUGCUAGAGAAUGUUGCUGCCUUAGGUUGCUUUUACUGGGCAUUCUUUGGAGAUUUUGUUUUGUAAUUGUUAAGAGAAACAAAAGAAAAAUGGAGUGGAGUGGCAAGUGGAGAGGGAAGCGUGAAAAAGAUUGAAGGAUUGGAUCGGGUGAUUAGUAAGAGAUUAAAGGAUUAAAGUAUGAAUUGGUGACAAAUAGAGAAGAUGGGAGAAAUUGAAGGAUCAAGUGGGUUAAUAAGAGAAAAUGAAAGAAACGUGAAAAAGGAAAAAAUGGAAAUUAAUGAAUAAUUAAAACUAAAUUAUGAGUUUUACAGGAUUUUGAUAAAACCAACCUAUCUACAAGAUAUGUUUUUUUUUUUGUACAAGUCCUUCAAGGCUUUAGUCGUAAGAAUUAAUGCUUCUCAUGCUAUAGUCUAGUGUCACGGACCUAAGAAAGAGUCAUGAAUCUCACAUCGAACAUAAUAGGAGGGUCACUGGGGUAUAUAAGGGUUCACACUACCUCCGCCUUGUGAGGCACCUUUUGUAAGAUAAAACCGUGAGGCGGGGGGGCCAGAGCGGAUAAUACCUCACAAGGGUGUGAACCGUGGCAAGAAGGCUGAUCUGGGACGUCGAAAGGGUGAAUGCCCGGGUCCUGAGCCGUGCGGGUUCGAAGCUUAAGUCUCGACUCGUGACAAGUGGUAUCAGAGCCAGCCCUAAAUCGUUCGAUCCACGCCAAGCACCUCAAGGGAGGUAGGUAGGCUGGACAGCCUCCGUGACGAGGGCAUCACGAGGUUGGGUGUGGAAGAAUGUCACGGACCUAAGAAAGAGUCCUGAAUCCCACAUCGAACAUAAUAGGAGGGUCACUGGGAUAUAUAAGGGUUCACACUACCUCCGCCUUGUGAAGCACCUUUUGUAGGACAAAACUGUGAGGUCAGGGGGGGCCAGAGUGGACAAUACCUCAUAAGGGUGUGAACCGUGGCAGGAAGGCUGAUCUGGGACUUCGGAAGGGUGAAUGCCUGGGUCCCAGAGUCGCGCGGGUUCGGAGCUUAAGUCUUGACCCGUGACAAGAAAUGUCACGCCCUAGACGGGUACGCCACGCACAUCAGAUAGACCAGCAGGCGAGCCAAAGGUUAAGGUCCGCAGAUCAGGUGUGCUGACAGGUAUCUGUGCGCAAAGCCUAGCAAACGAGUUCAGAACUCCCGUUCGACUUGCAGGCCAGCCCGUGAGACUAAGGCCUAGCAUACAAGCUGCCCGCACCACAUCCAGAAGGGCCCAAGGUGCUAGACACACAAGGGAAGCUUCUGAAAGCAAGCAGGAGCAUCCUGACAGAUUUGGUUGACCCUGAAAAUCAGGAGUUGGCAUCCUGAUUGAUUGUAAUCUGUAUAAUCCCAUGAUUUAGCAUUUAUUCUAGGGAUUUGCCAUUAAGUGUAAGCUGAAGCCUCAACUAUAAAUAGAGGGCUACUCCACCCUCAUUUGUAUAUCAUCAAACAUUUCUACUUCAGUGAAUACAAAAGCAUUUCCAAAAUUUUACCUUCUUAUCAUGUUUCUCUUUAACUUGCGUAAGUCAGUCUAAAACACAAGCGUACGGGCACUAAAACAAUGGGAAGGGCUGCCUCGAGGGAGGUAGGCAGGGUGGCUAGCCUCUGUGACGAGGGCGUCACGAGGUUGUGUAGGAGAGAAUGUCACGGACCUAAGGAAGAGUCAUGAAUCCCACAUCGAACAUAAUAGGAGGGUCACUAGGGUAUAUAAGGGUUCACACCACCUCUGCCUUGUGAGGCGCCUUUUGUAGGAUAAAAUCGUGAGGCCAAGGGGGGUCAGAGCGGACAAUACCCCACAAGGGUAUGAACCGUGGUGGUCAAGCUGAUCCGGGAUGCCAGAAGAAUGAAUGCCCGGGUCCCAGAGCCUCGCGGGUUUGGAGCUUAAGUCUCGACCCGUGACACUAGCACUUGCUUCUUUAAGUUUAAGUUCAAUUAAACUAAGGAGAUAUAUAGCAAGCCUUUUUCAUUUAAGGUUUCACAGUUGCAAAAACUCUAAUAUAUAUUUAUAUAUAUUUAUAUAUAUACAAGAAAUUAUUAAAUAUAUUAACAAUAUAAAUUUUUAACUUUACAAGUGAGAUUAAGAUGAUAAUACAUAUCAUUUAUACAUUUAAAAAAAUUAAUUUAAAAAAAUAAAAUAUGUAUAAUUAUCUUAAUCUCGUUUGUGAAAUUAAAAAAUUUUCACUAUUAGAAUAUCAAAUAAUUAUAUAUAUAGAGUAAAACGAGAAAUAGGUUUAAUGAAAAAUAAGUUUUAGUAAAACUCAAUAUUUUAAUAAAAAUAAUAAAAAAAGUGAUGUGGACUAAUUUUAACCAUUGGAUAGUGUUUUUAAAAUCAAUGGAGAUAGUGUUUUCAAUAUUGGAUAGGAUCAUUUUUUUUUUAUUUUAUGGUUUUUGCUUGUUGAAAGAUGAUUUUGUACUUCGCCUUAUUGUUGUUCUAUAGGUUUUUUUUUCUGGGGAUACUUUUUUUUAUUUAAUCAAAAAAAUUUUGGGGUUUCAUCGAAACAAAAUAUUUGAAAAUUGGAUCCAAUUUUGAUUUUGAUUUUCCUUUUUAUUUUCUUUGCUGUCAAGCCUUUCCAAAGUUGAUUAUUUUUCUUGAUUCCAAAUUCACGAACUUUUUAAAAUGUUCAAAAUUUUUGGCACAUUUUCAAAGGCUUUUUUUCCUUUUUUUUUAAAUUUUUCAUAUUGAUAUUAAAAAUUAAUCAUAAGAAUAAUGAAACAAAAAUUAAAAGAAAUUAAAAAAAAAUGGGGUAAUCCAAUUUUUCUUGGGCUUAAAGCUAAAUUUGAUAUUGAAACUUAAUUACCAACAAGUAGUUGGUUCAAUCGAUUAGAUUCGUUCACCUUAAUAAAAAAAUUCUGGGUUUGAGUUUUGUUGGUGAUCACUUGUUAGGAUCAUUUCGAAUGCAUGAUUUGCAAUCACAUAUCUUAAGUUAUCAAGUACAACACAUCUUAUCUUUACCUGAGAGAUUGAACAACUUAUCCACCUCCAAAUUUUUUUUACCAAAAAAAAAAGAGAUUAAAACUUAAUUUGCCAAUUUCAAAUCCAACUAAUAAUUUUUAAACCCAAAAUAAAUUCCAAGCGUGAAAGUAAACCUUGAGGUACCAUAAAAAAAAAUUUGAAAACAAAUCUUGAGAACCAAUUGGUCUUGCAAGACCUAAAACCAAAUAUCGACUCUAACUCAACUUGAUUAAGGUUCAAUCAUGAAUAUGAAAAUAAACGCAUCUAGCUUUAAGUCCUUAAAAGAAUUAUUCAAUUCAAAUUUUUUUAAAACACUUUUAAAAAUCUCGAAGAAAAAAAGAAUGUUUGUACUUAUUCUUUUUAUUGUUUUAAAUUCAAACAAUGUUAACUUAAAACAUGUAUUAAUAUCAUUAUUUUUUAAUUUGAAAUUUUUUUAAUAUAUUAUCAACGAAUCAAAUUAUGAUAACUGAUUAAAAAAUAAAUAUAAUUCUUACAAAACUCUUAAAACAAAUACACAAAAAUUUUAUUUUUUAAUUUUUUACUAAUAUAGUAUCAUAAUUUGAUUUGCUACGAAUGUUAAAUAUUUGAUAAUUGACAUACAUCAAAUACAAAUUUAAAAGAAAAAUUAUAGGAAACAAUUAUAUCACAGUAAUAUAUAUUCUUUCCAUUCACAUCAUAUUAUAUAAUUAUAUUAUUAAAUAAAAAUAUUAAUUUAUUAUAAAUUAAUAAAUUAAUCUAUUAAAAUAAAUAUUUAACAUUUAAUUAUCACAAAUAAUAUAUAAUAAAUGAUUAAUUUUUAAUAAUAUAAUUAUGUGAUAUAAUUUAAAUAAAAAAUAUAUACUAACCUGAAAUAUAUCUUUUAAAAAAUAUAUAAACUCUUUUUUGUUUUUACGUUAGACGAAAAAAAAAAAAAAUGGCGAGCCGCGCACCCUAGGGCACGAUAGCGAAGCUGAUCUUGGAAAUAAAUGAAUUUUGGUAAAAUAGCCUGCUAGACAUGAUAGUUGUAGCGAUGUUAGCAUAGAUGGAAUCCUUUAUUAUAAAGAAAGUUUUACUUCGUCUGAUUGAAGAUUAGCAUUCAAAAUUUGAUCGAUCACUUCUCCGAAAUUCGAUUCAUUGAUCCCUUUCUCCUUCGAAUCAAGUGCUCUCUUUCCUUAAUUUUAUCAAUUUAUUAUUAAUUGAUGCUAUGAACUGAAAUUAAUUUUAAUUCCAUUUUCAAUGAUUUCAAUACGAUCAUAUAGUUGUUAAGUUACAAUUUUUUUUAGAUUAAUUAUUGUUAUUUACUAAUUUAUUUUUUGAUGAUAAGAAAAAGGGAAACAAUUUUCUUUCACUUUAGAAACAAAAAAUCUUUUAAAUGUUGAAAGAUAGAAUAUUGCAGUUUUAAAGAAUGUUAGACUCGGUGAUUAUUCCUGGUGAGCUAAAUGAGCUAAUGUUGAAUUUUUUUAUACAACUAAUAAGAUUCAUAAUUUUAAUGAUUGAUUUUUAUCUGCAAAUCCAAGACUAACCAUUUGUAACAACUAAAAAUUGAUUAAACUAUGACAUAACAAUAGAAAUUAACUAUAUUGCAAUUUUUUUUUUUUUUUUUGUUUUUCCUAGAGCAAUAUGUAUUUGGAGAAGAGAUGCAGGAACAUAGCGAAUAUGAGGAAACCUCCUUCACUGGUAGACCUUUGUGUUAGGACGGCGAUAGAUAACGUAAGAUACCUUGGGGAUGUCGGUGAGACAGAUUCACAUCUUCUUGAGCGUAUUCUACCCCAUUGUACAGUGGAUCAAUU
This 208498-nucleotide long non-coding RNA is filed under the name Durio zibethinus. RNAcentral describes it as "long non-coding RNA (DZIB_LNC002256)". The record is from RNAcentral. Lineage: Eukaryota; Viridiplantae; Streptophyta; Magnoliopsida; Malvales; Malvaceae.